UAGAAUAAGUUUAACUGUGAUUAACCCUAAUUUCUUCCCUGGGCAUAAUCUACGGCCUGCACCAAAUGGGAUGAGUUCAAAAUCAUGUCCAUGAAGGUCUAUAUUGCUAUCAAUGAACCUUUCUGGAAAAAACUCUUCAGCGUUAUUGGACCAAGUAUUAGGGUCUCUCCCCAUUGCCCAAAUGUUCACUAAGACCCUUGAUUGUUUUGGUAUGUAACAACCAUCAAUAAUUAUGUCUUCCACUGACUCACGAGGAACUAGCAAAGGUGCAACAGGAUGAAGCCUAAAAAUUUCUUUCACAACCAUGUCUAGGUACUCCAAUUUUGGUAAAUCAUUUUCCUCUACCAUUCUCUUGUUCCCGACAAUGCUUUCUAACUCUUGUUGGAGUUUUAACAGUACCCUUGGAUGCCUUAGGAGCUCUGAUAAUGCCCACUCCAAUGUGGCAGCUGAAGUGUCCAAGGCACCCACCAUCAUAUCUAUUGUUAUGGCUUUGAUGCUAUUUCGAUCCAUUAUAUCACCAUCAUUGUUCAUUGGUUGAUUUAACUCUUUAAGCAGUGUACCGACGAAAUCAUCUUGCUUAUGUUGUUCAUGGUCGUCAAUGAUCGUCUCGAGGGCUUUGUCAAGUUUUUCACCGAGUUUCGUUGUACGUGCUUUGAGUCCCUACACAGUUGAUAAUAAUCAACACCAUUCACUUAGUGGUUGUUUGUAAUGUAUAUGACUAAUUUGUUUUGAUAUGGUCCAUUAAAAUUCACACAAACACAAUACCUGUAGGUCGAAAGCACCCAGAAAAGGAACAACAUCUGCAAGAUUGAAAGCUCCUGCUAUGUGAGUAAGCUCAUCAAUAAGCUCCUUGAGGUUAAAUCCCUGAUACUUCUUCACAUUCCCCAAAACCAUUCUCAAAGUCAUCUCUUCAUUAAGCGCCCCAAUCUUCUUACUAAUGUUGACCACUUCCUUUGCUGAUGCAGCUUCUUUCAAAGAUUCAAUGAAAUGCGCUAGCACCUCCUUCCUCGUUGAUGCAAACGAUUCAAUUUUCGAUGCAGUAAAAAUUGUCAUAUUACAAAUCUUCCUCACACUACGCCAAUAUGAUCCAAGUUCUGUGAAUGCUAUGCCCCUUUUGCCAUUGUAAAUUAAUUCUAGGACUUGAAGUCUUGGCCUGCUUGCGAAAACAGCAUCAUGUGUCUUGAGAAAUAUCUCAGCGGCUUGAGGGGAUGAAACGACAACAGUUGGCACAACGCCUAGCCUUAUGGACAUCAUAGGACCAUAUUUUUUGGCCAAGUGAUAAAGGGAUUGGUGUGGAAGCAUGCCUAACAUGUGGAGGUUUCCAAUAAUUGGCAAGGGUCGCGGACCCGGAAUGGCUUUCCCUUUUCCUUUUCCUUUUCCAUUUUUGCUUGAUGAGAUGUAAAAUAGAAUGUAAAAGAAAGAGCAGAGUACUGCAAGGGCAGUGAGAAGAGUGGCAGCUGAAAGAGCCAUUCUUGUUAAUUGAUUCAACUGAAGGAUAUGUCUCUACUGUCUAUACCGUCCCCUUUUAUUUAUACAUUUAUCUAUUAACUAUAAAAAUAUAUACAUUAUUUGUAAUCUGCAGAUGAAAAGUCGUUCACGUUUGGCCGUCGUAUUUGACCUAGAAAAAGAAAUUUGGCGUAUUUGGACAGCUGUUUCAUAUAAUAUUAUGGAUAAUUAAUUCAGACAAAUUAUAUUUCUCGAAUCAGUUAUUACAAAUUAUUAUAUAGAUUUUUUCUGUAUGUUUACGAAAUAUGGUACAGGGUGUCAUAACUCUUCGGCCAUCACAUUUGACACGAAACUUGGCAGUUAGCUGUUUUGACCAUAAAUUUGUCAAAAUCAGCCAGCAGUUUAAAUAUUUAACUAGUUUUAAGCCGGUGUUUUGCACGGGAUAUAUUAAAUUUAUAAAUAUAAAAUAAUAUUUAUUCAUAAAAAUUAUAAUUAAGAUAAUAUCUAUUCAAAUUAUAUUUAGACAAUUUUUUAAUAUAAUAUUAAAACAUCUAUCAAACUCAUACGUAUGAAAAUUAUAUAUUUAUAACACAAAUAUAUAAUUAAAAAUAACAUAUAAUAAAUAAUAAAAUAUAUUGUUUGAAACUAAUUAAUAAUAUAUAAUAUCUAAAACGUGUACGGGAUUAAAAUAAAAUAUUCGAUUAAAUUGUAAGUAAAACAAAAUUUAAACACAUAAAUAUAUCGAAUUAAGAAUACUUGAUGAUACAAUUGUUUAACAUGAUGUUUUCAUCAAUCCUAAGUUGGUGUUGAGUUAAUUUGUGACACCAAUUCAAUCAAUAACAUAUUUAAUCUAUAUAAUUGAUGGAGGUAACAAAAUGUGCAUAUUAAAAUAAAAAUGUAUGAAAAUUUCAAAAUAAAACUUUGGUUGAGUGGUAAAUUAAAUGUUUUAUUAACUUAACUAGCAUGGAUUCAAAUUCCACAUUAUGCAUAUUUCUUAUUGUUUUUUUUAAAAAAUAAGAAUAUUAAAACACCUUCGAAUAAUAUAACUUGAUUUAAUUACGAAAUGACAUUUCAAUAAUUUCCUCGACCGAGUUGGUACCUGGUUGACACGUGACACCAACUCAAUCAAGAGUUUAAAUAAUAGUAUAGAGAAUACUCUAAUUUUUUUGAUACAAUGUUUAGAACUACCCAUAACCCAUCCCGGCCCUUAAAUAGGAGGAUAAACACGUUUCAGCACACUCGAACCCACGUCCUCCUACACUAGCAUCAAUGCCAAUGCUAAUACAUCAGUUUUAAUAUAUAUAUUUAUAUAUAUAUAUAUAUAUAUAUAUAUAUAUAUAUAUAUAACUUGACAAAUGGAUCUCGAAUGAUGAAGGUCUAGAAUGAUGUAAUAUAUUCUGAAGAUAUAGUAAAAUAAGAAUAAUAUAAUAUAGGGUAAGCUAUAAUAAUGGUCAUUAACGUUUACUGAAAUUUUUUUGUCAUUGAACUAUGAAAAGUUAUAUUUUAGUCACUAACAUUAUUGACUUAUAAUGUUUUGAUCACUCGUCCAUUAAUGAUAUCAUUACAGUCUUAACGAAAAAAUAAGGUGACACAUUAAUUCAAAUGUUAAUAUUCAAUUUGAUUCAUAGCUAAAACAUUCAAUUUGAUUAACGGAUAAGACCUAGCGGCACAAGCCGAAAGGUCGAUCGAACUCAACUCAAAAACGAGGAAAUAAGGAUAUUCGAGAGUGGGUAGACAUACCGAGGUUUAUGCACAUACUGUAGGAACCUAGGGCAUAUGAAGCCAACAUGUCCAAACAACCCGGGAGCAUUGAAGAGAAGAGCUAAUUAAAACACUAACUUACCAACUUAUCCGUUUAUUUAUUAAUUUUUUCUGUAAAGUGGAAGUUAUUAGUACUUUUUCAAAUAAGAUAUAUUACAAUACCCAAGCCAAAGUUUUAGCCAAAAUUGGGAAGCUUUUGAUCAAAUCUUCACUUUGUAAAAAUUUUAUACUUAACAAAUCGACGGAAAAAAAUAUGAAUGAAAAAGUAAUAGAAAUAAAUAGAUUUAAUAGAUUUGUUUGGGGUUACUUUAUACAUAUAUGCUGAAAAAGAAAGACAAUUGAGAAAGUAGGUUGAAAAUUUUAAAAUUUACCGAUCUAUUCCUUAAAACUAUUAUUAUGCUUAUCUCAAACACAAAUAAAAAUAAAUCUACAAACUUCUAAUUUCUAACUAUAAGAAAAAAGAAAUAAAGAAAAAGAAAAUUUAGGUAAGUGAAAACAUGUGCUAUAGAGAGCAUUUCACUACCACAUCCGUUAAAACACGCCACGUAAGACGUGUUUUCAGGAGAGAGACUGAAAACACAUCCUAUAUGACUCAUUUUCACUGAUGUGGCAAUUAAAAUACUUAUUGUAGGACGCAUUUUUCUUUCUCUAUCAGUAAACAACAUAAAUCAAUAAAUAUGUAGAAUUUCAGUAUAACUUUUAAAAUAAUUUUUCUCUUGAAAAUAAUAAUUUUCAUUAAUCUAAACAAGCAUCAAAGUAUUUAAACUUAAAACCCUUGAAAGUUGAAACAAUCCAAUUUGCCAUAUUUUAAUCAUCAAACCAUGGGGGAAAAAAGCUUUUUAAAAAGCCGAACUGUAGAUAUAAUUGCCAAGAAAAAGUAGGCCAAUGAAGACAAUUACGUUUGCUUUGCUUAGAAAAUUUUACUAAAAAUAAAAAAACUCAUGAACUAUUGAAGGGAAGCAUCAGGACACAAAUAAAAAUAAAAAUUGGAUAUAUUCUAAAAUCCCCCCAUUAAUCUAAGAAGAAAACAGGGAGAUAGAGCCGCCGCCCACACCAACAAAAUCACCACAAUGUAGGACCAUUGCACCGACGAUCCUUGUCGCUCCCUCCUCAAAAAAAAGAUCGUCCCGCCUUGAAGGGUGAAGAAGCAAAGCAGCUCAAGAAAGCUAGACUAUAUUAGUAACAAGUAAAUCCUUUGUAUGUAAAAAAUCUCGAUAUAAUUUUGGGAUAAAAGUGAAUCGCAAGGCCUAAGAUAACCUAUAAAGCACUUGAUCACGAUCAAUUUUGUACACCUACUUAGGUAUUGAGCAUUUACAUGUAAAAAAUAAAAUUCCUUAGAAUGUAUAAUUGCAACUCCGUAAAAUGGAAUUGGGUACCUUUUUUCUUACAUACGGAACCAUUCAUAUAUAUGGGGAUAACAUAUAGAUUUAUUUUAAACAUAUAGAAUAUAGAUUUAUUUUCGUUCAAGAGAUAAGCGACUCACAGCCUAGGAACGUCUCUCGGCUCCCACCACCAGGACCGCCGAUGAGCUCUCCGACCGCCAUCUCCUCAAAGGAGAUUUUAUUUGGCCUGAGGAGGGAAGAAAUCCGUAGAAUAGAAAGAAAAACGAAAGAGGUGGUAGGGGUCGGCAAUCCACCGGGGGCGAAGCGGUCGGCCGCCCCUAGAUCAUGAUCUGGAGUUCUUCCAAGGAAACUUUAGUAAAACAAAAAUUGAAAAAGGUCAGAAUUUUGGUAUUAAAAAAAGAAAAGAAAAAGAGAACACUCUUAGUCACAUUCAAUAUUAUGCUCAAAUUCAAUAAACAAAACAGCUAAAACCCAGGAGUGAGAACUAAGAAGCUUUUCUGUAGAAUCCAUUCAAACAUAAAAGGUUAUUUUAUAAAAGAAUCUUGCAUUGAAUAAAUAAACCCAUACAAAAAAGGAAAAAAACUUACGUACUUGAAGAACAUGAGAAAAAUGCCAAACGAUUCAAAAGAAAUUAUUUUUUUAGAUUUUAUAUAAAAUUUAGGAUAAACUAUUAAAAUAGUCACUUUUAUUUUCCUCAGGUUACAUUUUGUCAUUUAUAUUUAAAAUGUUACAUUUUAGUCACUUACGUUAUCGUGUUGUAACAUUUUAGUCAUUGAGUCGUUAAUUGUCAUUAACGGUAUAACAGUAAGUUGACGUGGCCCGUUAAAUAAUCAUUCCAAACGAAAAUUUUAGGUUAAAUUCUACAAUUGAUGCUUAUAUUUUUAUUUCAUUUUGAGCAAUUUUAUUUUUUUCUUUUAUAUUUUUUAACUUCUUUUUUUUCUUUUUUUUUUCAAUUCUCUUCCUCUUCUCCCUCUGUAUUCCUCCAUUCUUCAUUUCUUUUAAUGUAGUUUUUUUAUGUUUUUUUAUUUGUUAAAACUAGUCCACAAGCCCGCCUCACUUGAAAAAAUUAAAUUGUUCAAAAAAAAGUAUAAGGACUAGUUUUAACAAAUAGAAAACAUAAAAAAAACUACGUUAAAGAAGUGGAGAAGGGAGGAAAUUAGUGGGAGAAGCAGAAGUGAAUGAAAAAUAAAGAAAAAAAAGGAAAGUUAAGAGAACAUAAAAGAAAAAAUUAAAUUGCUCAAAACGAAAAAAAUAUGGGAACCGAUUGUAUAAAUUAACCUAAAUUUUUUUUUAAAAAUAAUGAUUUAAUAUGUCACGUCAGCUUACUAUUACACCAUUAACGGCAAUUAACGGCUUAGUAAUUAAAAUGUUAUAACGUGAUAACGUAAGUGACUAAAAUUUAACAUUUCAAACAUAAGUGACUAAUAUAUAACUUGAGGUAAACAAAAGUGACUAUUUUAAUAAUUUACCCUAAAUAUUUGAAACAUUUAUGAUUUUUCUUAAUUUUCUAUAAUUAUAAAUUUCAAAUAUAUUUUUAUACUUUUAAAAAAUAAAUAAUGAAUUUUUUAAUAUUUUUUAUGUUUUUAGAAUUUUUUUUUUCAAAAUUAUUGUUAAAAAAGUUAUAAAAGCAAAUGGAAUAUUUUAACUACAAUUUAUAGAUCAAAUUGAAUACUAACCCUUGAAUUAAUGUAACACCUCACUUUUCUGUUAAGGUUAUAAAGGCCAUUAACAGAUGCACUAAAACAUUAUAACUCGAUAAGUUUAGUGGCCAAAAUGCAACUUUUCAUAGUUUAAUAAAAAAAAAAUUUCACCAAAGAUUAGUGACCAUUUUUAUAGUUUACCCUAUAAUAUAAAAUAUACUUGUAACAUUUUAGACCAAUUUUUGGAGUUUUUUUUUCUAUCAUCGGUAGUGAAUAUAAUAAUUAUUUUAAUAUUAUUAGAUAAAACUGAAAACUAUAGAUUUUUUUCUCAAUGUGCAACUUUUAAUUUGGUACAAUUAUAUAAAUAAAAUUUUAAUUUUUAUACAUUAUUUAUCUAUUUUCAUUUAAUUUUGCAUAUUAAAAAAGUUUAGUUAUCAUAGAUAAUUUUUUUGUAUAUGAAUUAAAUAAAUUUAGAAUAAUAACACAUCAAUAACGAUAUUAAUGGUUUAUCCCUAUUAUUAUAAAUUGGAUGAAAAUGCUAAAUAACCAGCCUUCGGAUAGAAUAAAAGUAAGUAGAACAGAAUUAAAUCUAAAUAAAUCAAUAAGAUUAAAAUUUUAGCUUUAGAUACAAUUUUCACUCCGGCUUUAAGUUUUUUUCCUCCAAUCAAUAAGUUAGUUAUAGUGAUUGAGGAUCAUCCUCUAAUCACCAGCCUUUCUGAAUGUAAAUUAAUAGUUAGAACAAUCCAACAAGUAACCCUUACCAAGUGAUAAAUCUUGAAAUAAACUUCUACGAUUUAAUCCCUCGACAGUCUUGUGAAUUAAAAGGACCUGGCUCAAAUUAACGGUCUCAAUCGUAUGAGUCGUUUAAACUUGGUCGUUAAUUCCCUUAACAGAUCCAACCACUCAAUUGAUUACAUCAAAUUGUUCUUCGAUGGAUCGAAUAUGACAAUUACAGAUCGUAUCAAUUUGCCAAUUGUAUCUUGUCCAACACUGAACUGAGGGACAUCCUUCUCGAUUUGAUGCUAAAGCAAUGUUGUGAAAUGACUAAGUCUAUCUCCUAAACCGGAGAAUGAACGCAUACCGAAGUGGAAAGUGUAAGUGUGAUUUCGAACGGUUCUCUCCUUUCAUUCACUUCUAGUGUCUAUAUAUACAAUCAACCCUUUCUAUAACAACCUCAUUUGUCUGCCAAGAUUUUGCCUAUUACAGAGAGGUUAUAAAGAGAUAAUUAUUGUAAACCUACCAUAAAAUUCAUAUCGUGAAUGUAAUACCUCAAAAAUCUUAGUGUCACUAAUAGUAAUAUUUUGAAAGAAAGAUAACAUUUUUUCCAAAAACAAGUAAGAGUUUAUCAAUUGAAUAAUGAUAGUAAUGUCAAAUUUUGACAUUGAAAAAUAAAGUAUGAAUAGUAAAAUUUUAGUGAAGAUUUAAUUGAAAAUUUUGUAAUAGAUGAACUAAAAAUGCAAAUUUACUAUUUUAGAAAAAGGGUGCAAAAUUUUAAGAAAUUUUUUUUAUGAAUGUGAUAUGGAUACGGAUUGAUAGGUGGAGUCAGAAAAUUGAGAUAUAGACUAGAUUGAAAAGUGGUGAAAAGUAUAAGGACCAAAGUGUAAUUUUACCAUUUUAUGAGAAAAGGGUUUAAUUGUAAUUAUACCAUGAAUAAAUAAUAUCUACAUAAGUAAUAAUUACUUAGAACACAUAAGUAUGUCAUGUGUCAAAUAAAAGAGUAAUGAAAAGGGUAAACCCUUAUGUCUUAAAUAUGAGAAGAUAUUUUAAAAGGCAAUUUGAUCAUUUUAUCAUUAAAUAUUAUUUUUGAAUUUUAAAUUAUAAAAAGAGAGAUAUUUUGAUGAGAAAAAUUAUAGCCAUUUGAUUAAAAUAAUUUGAUUAGACGUGAACCAUUGAUUUAAUUAAUUAAUUAAUUAAUUAUUAAAUACAGAAAAGUCUAGAGAUAUGAGGAAUUUUUUUCACUCAUUUCAAUUUGGUCCUUUUCUUAUUCACAUACAUUUCUAACCUAAAAUUCUUAGAAAUUAAAGUGAGAUAACACAUCCAAAUCUAAUUCAAGAGUGUCCUUUCAUAUGAAACCAACCAUGAAGGCUUGAAGAUGAUGAAAGUGGGAGAAAGCAUGGUAAGUUGUUCCAAUUAUUAUGUUAUGUUUCUUUGAAUUUAUAAUUUGAUGUGAAAUUAUAAGAAUUAACUGGAUAUUUAUACAAUAGAAUUACGAAAUCUAAUCAUUGAAACAACGUAUACAUACUGAUUCUUGGCUAAGAUAUCAAUGCUAUUUAAAAUGAUUAUAAAUACCAAUAGAUUUUAAACGAACGGGGACGAUCCGAAUUGUGUUCUAAAAAGAAAAAAAAGCAGGAAUAAAAUCAACAAAAGUAAAAGACGUAUAACAAAUGCAUGCAUUAUUACUUUUAUGCAUAUUUUAUUUAACAUUCUUCUACAUGAUAAUUCAUAAAUUUAAUAAGUUCAAUUAAUCAAUCUGGGUUAUCAAAUUAAAUUAAUUAAUUUAUCACUAAUCAUUAAAUUCAAGUAAUCAAUCUAUAAAUUUAUGGUGUUCCAAAAUUUAUAGUAGAAUUUUUAAAUAGGGAUUUAAUAGAUUAUUGAAUUGAUAUUUUUUAAUUUCACCAAUUUAAUUUUUCAUGUGAAAUUUAAACUUUUUAUUGAAAUAAAUUUUAAUUAAGAUCAUUUUUAAUUAAUUAGUUAUAAUUAACAUGCUUGCUUAUUUGAUAUUGCUAUAAUUUAACUUAAAAUUUUAGACAAUAUGUGUUAUAGAAAAGUAAUUUAAUACUUCAUAACUAUGGCCAUUGUUUUUAUAAGUGAAAAAUUGUUACAAUGGGCUAAAAUUAAACAUAAAAAAGCGGUUUACUAGAAACUUAACUAUGAUAGCCAAAUACUGUUAUAAUGGGUAAUCAUUAUAGAGAAGUCUGAUUGUAUGAAAACCUAAAUAAAAAUGGAAAAAUUUUCCUCCUCUUCUUUCUCAAGCUAAAAAAAAUUAAUAAAAAUUAAAAUAAAAGGGAAAAAUUCAAAUAAAAGCCUUUUUUUUAAAUUACUGAAAUGGGCCCAGUAAAAAAAUAAUUACAAGAAUGGCCCAAUUCCCCGAAAAUGCGUCCACGUCAGCGAGUUAUCAGGUGAUGAGGCAGGAAAACGCUUCCUCAAUGGAGCGCUUUGUCCACGUGGACAGAAAACGCACCCUCAAGGAAGCGUUUUGCCCGUGUCUCCUGCUGGUUAGGGUUUUGGGUUUUUAGUUUAGGGUUUAGGGUUAGAGUUUUGGGGUUUUUAAGUUUAGGGUUUUAAAGAAAAAAUUAAAUAAAUAAGGUAUUAGAGUUUAGGGUUAAUUAAUUAAAUUAAUUAUAAAAUUUUCAAAAUUGGAUUAGGUUUCGUGUUUAUGGUUUUUAAAGAAAAAAUCAAUUAAAUUAGGGUUUAGGGUUACUUGAGUAAAUUAAUUAAAUUUUUUUUAAAAAAAUUAGAUUAGGGUUUAGUGUUAAUUUAAAAAAACUCCCACGUGGACGCUCUUUUGCUACAGUAGCUCCUGAAAAAAUAAUUUCGAGAAGACGUUUCUGAGCAAAUAGUGUCAAAAACGCUUUAAGCAGGAUGCUUUGUCAGCAAAAGUACUGAAAGAAGUUCCCACGUGGACGCUCUUUUGCUACAGUAGCACCUGAAAAAAUAAUUUCGAGAAGAAGUUUCUGAGCAAAUAGUGUCAAAAACGCUUUAAGCAGGAUGCUUUGUCAGCAAAAGUAUUGAAAGAAGCUCUCACGUGGACGCGCUUUUGCUACAGUAGCUCUUGAAAAAUAAUUUCGAGUAGACGUUUCUAAGCAAAUAGUUUCAAAAACACCUUAAGCAAGAUGCUUUGUCAGCAAAAGUACUGAAAGAAGCUCCCACGUGGAUGGGCUUUUGCUACAGUAGCUCCUGUUUGGCCUGAGGCUAUGAAUAAGGCAAAAAUAUUUCUCAGAUUGCAUAAGUUACAGCAAAAAAAUUUAGCGAGGCUAAGAAGGCUAAAAAUUGAAGAUGAGUGAACAUAUUAGUGCUGUUAUUUACUAUGAUGGUGAGGUUCGUCACACCGAGAACGUUGUUAUUUUUUUAUCGGAGAAUAUAGUACGACUGAUUUUUAACCAGAACAUAGAUUUGACAGAACUUCGUAAAAGAAUUAGGUGUAAAAUAUUCGGAACGACGCCAAUGAAAGUUCUGUCUAUUACGUAUCGGUUUUGUUCUUCUGUUGAUUCGGUGACAUAUGACUCGUUCGACGUAAAAGGUGCUCGUAGCUUGGAGGCGAUGGUGCAGACUCAUCUCGCUAGUGGAGUACCUUAUAUUGAGUUAUAUGUACAAUUUACAUCACCAAAUGAUGCACUUGCGACUGCUGUUCGAGAUGUAUACAUGACCUCUGCUCGACACUCGGUUAGUGGGUUACAAAAGAUAGAACAACCCAUGUUUGGUAGCGGUAUGGAAUAGACAUCCCCUGUAUGACACUCUAUUAGUGGAUAGGACAUACACCUCGGUGGGUCGAUGUUUGAUGCUGGAAAUACGUACUGGGGAACGGCAUCAACUUCUAGUGGUUAGCAAUCUACAUCCAAUUGGGGACCUUAUGCAAUGCCCAGAAGAAGGGAUGAUGUACUCCCUACGACGUCCACCAGUGAGGGGACCUCGUACGUUACAGAUGAUGAUGGGUUAGAAGAUGACUCUGAUGUUGGUCCACCUUGAGAGCCCGGGCCCGAUGGUACAGAAGUUGCAUUAUUUUCUGAACCGGAGUCUAUUCCAACUGAACCUGAAAAUGUUGAAGGGGGUUUAGAUGAAGAAGAAGAUCCACGAUUCAGGGCAUACUUACCUCCAGCCCACAUGCAUAAUGUUUAUCUAUCUGCAGAUGAUGCGUUGGAGUUUCUAGAUCUACCACACAGGUUGCAUGAUCAUACAAGUUUGAUACUGGAUUCGGGUGAAUUUGAAGUUGGUAAUGAGUUUUCCAACAAGGAUAGUUUUAUUGGUGUAUUGAAACAACAUAGCAUCAAUAACGACGUUAACUACCACGUGGUUAAAUCCAAAGCUAAUAAGUUUGAGGCAAAGUGUGCAGUGCAAGACGGUACAUGUUCAUGGAAAAUCUACGCCUCGUUGAGGAAAAUGACAGAGUUGUGAAAGAUAAAAAAGUACAAAGUUCGACAUACAUGUACUGCAGAUACAGUAUUUAGGAUUUUUGAAUAAUACUAUUAUUAUGUAAUGUUGCAUUAUUUAAUGUACUCCGUUGAUAAGUAUUUCACAAGAUCAUCCCAAGAUGGAUUCAGCUAUGUUAGCUAGCUUGAUACUAUCCACGAUAAAGGCUGAUCCUAGGACUUCAGUGCCGGUCUUAAUUGUCAAUAUUUGUAGCCAAAUGGGGUACACACCCUCUUACUGCAAGGCUUGGGUAGCUAAGCAGAAAGCGUUGGAGAAGAUGCAUAAUGGGUGGGACGCUUCAUAUAAUGAAAUAUGGCAGUGGUGUCAAGUGGUAUAGAGAUACGUCUCAGGUUGCAUAACAGACCUUGAAACGGAACAUGCGUACUACAACGGCCAAUUGCUAUGUGGAUGCCAAGUGUUCAAAUGCCUGUUUUGGACCUUUAAGCAACGCUGAGACGCAUUUCCAUACUGCAAGCCAUUGGUACAAAUUUAUGGUACCUUUAUAUUUGGUAGAUAUACCCAUCGGCUAUUGCUAGUAAUGGCACAGGAUGGUAGUAGGAGAAUUUUUCCAAUUGCAUUUGCAAUAACACCGGGGGAUUCAGUUGAUGACUGAGAUUUCUUUCUAUCUAUGUUAAGGAGGCAUAUGUGCACCCAACCUAAUAUCUAUGUUUUUUCGGAUUGGGGCACCGAAAUACUAGCUGCAAUUGAUCGACAAUGAAGCUUAUGGCAGCGCACACACUAUCCGUAUUGCCUAAGGCACAUUGCUUCCAACUACUACAGGCAAUAUCCAUCUAAGAGUGAACGACGAUAAAUGACUAACAUGGGUAUUUAGUCUCUAUUAAUAUAAUUUCUUUUGUCAUUUUGAAUUUAUUUUAAAUGAAAGAGUGGUAUGUAAUAUUUGCUGUGAACUUAUAUUGGCAGGGUAUGAAAUAAAUAAAGACUAUUUUCAUGAGAUGUUGGUAGUUUUGCGUUCAAUUAACAACGAAGGCGCGAACUACCUUUAUAACAUACCUUUUGAACAGUGGGCACAAGCAUACGACAGUGGCCUACAAUAUGGUCAUAUGACCUCAAACCUAGCUGAAUGCAUAAAUUUUGUUCUAAAAGGAAUGCGCCAUCUACCGAUAACAUCGGUUUUGUGAGAGACAUAUUUUCAUUUAGUGGCUCUAUUUCCAAAGCGAGCAGCGAGUUAUGCAGGCCAGAUGCAAGGAGGCCAUGUAUGGUGCAGUAAGGUAGUGCAAGAAAUUAACAAGGCCAAGGGACGGGCGAACACCAUGCACACAGUGUGUCAUGAUUGAGACAACUUAUGGUUUCACGUGACAGAGUUUGACAGACCGCACCAAGGUGUUAUUAGCGGGCAAUAUCGUGUACACUUGCAAAAUAAGACUUGCGACUGUGGGAUGUUUGACGCAUUUUAUUAUCCAUUUGCUCAUGUAAUUGCAGCUUGUCAAAAUCUUCGUUUGGAUCAAAUGAGCUAUGUCAAUGAAGUGUACAAAUUAGAAAACAUGUACAACGCCUGGAGACACGUAUUCUAACCGGUCCUAGAUAAACGUAAGUGGCUUUCUGUAUCGUUUGCUCCCUUUAAGCUGUUACUGGAUAGAGAAUUGCAUCGUAAAUCAAAGGGUCGACCUUGCUCGACUAGAAUAUGUAACAAUAUGGAUAUCCGAGAAAUAACCAGUCAACUGAAGUUGUGCGGAUGUUGUAGGAAUCCAGGCCAUACAAGCCGAUCAUGCCCAAAUCGCAAUAGUUGAACGUUGUUGUAAAAAAACAUUGUAUUAUUUAUAUUUUUUGAAAUCAAAUAAUAUAGAAAUAUUCAAAAGAUAAUCUAUUUAGAUAAUCUAUUUUAUUAAAAAUAUUAAAAUAAAUUACAAUUACUUUAUUCAAAACAACGUUUUAUUUUAUUAAAUGAAAUAAUAUAGAAAUAUUCAAAAUAUUGUGUUAUUUAAAACAAUUUCUAUUAUAUAAAAAUGGAAAAGUAAAUUUCUAUUUUAUUACAUGAAAUAAUAUGUCAGAAUUUCUAUUUUAUUACAUCAAAUAAUAUCAAAAUAUUCAAAAUGUUUGUACAAAUAUAUUAAAAUAAAAAUCAAUCUUCGUGCCCACCGAAUUCAGUUCCACAUGGCGGCUGUCGACGGUUACGCGUUGGAUUCCUCAUUUGACCAACUUUCAGCGGGGGUUGUGGUUGCUCCGGCAGGGAUUCUGGUUCCUUUGGUAGGGGAUCUGGUUGUCGGUGUUGGGACGAUGAGCCACAUUGAUAGAAUAGUGACUGUGGAGGUGUUUGCAUGACCAACGACGAAGCUGUUUGAAACAUAUACGGUGAUAGGGAUUGGUAAAAAGAAGAGCUCCACGAUGACCCCUCCUGCGAUCCCUUGUACGACGGUGGCCUAUACAUUGGCGGUCCACUUGGCGUAAUUGAAAAUAGAGAUGAACGGGGCCAUGUACUCCAACCUACCAUAGGACUAGAAAAAGGAAACGUAUAAGGGUUAGAAUACAUAAAAGGGCUAGGAUACGCACCUGGCAUCAUCUGAAAAGGCUAUGUUGUAGGUGUCGUUGGUCGAAGUGUUGGGCCCGAUGACUGUGUGGGUGCUGUUGCUGGGCUUGGUGAUAGGCCGAGUGCUUGUGAGGGGCCUGUAUCGUCGUCCCUUCUUCUUGGAUAUAAAAGGCCACGUCGCUCCCUUUGGAUACGCAAUUGCCGCUGCCUCUCCUCUGCCAAUAGUAAAUACGACUUGCCAUGGAUCCUAAACCAUGGCAUGUAUUCCGGCACGCACGCUAACUCUGGAACGAUGAUCAAUUCCCGAGUAGGUAUAUAAUCAUACCGAUCUCCCCACAUUUGGAUGUAGUGUGACCAGAAUCUCGGCCAAUCCGUAUGCAAUUACCGUAGGUCGAUUUUGUGAUGAUCAUCCAACACAUCAGGUGCCACGGGAAUCGGUUGUCGGAAUCCAAAUUACCGUAAUACUCUAUCCGACUGGUGCAUCUCCACGGUCCAAAGUUGACCAAUGGGACUUUCACAUUCCAAGCUUUUGGAUUUUGUAAGUACUCAUCCAGAAUUAUUGCCUGAAUUGCCGGAUCCUCGUAUGGUGUCCAUUGAAACUAUAUGAACAUGAUGGAAAUAUUAGUUAUAUAUAUAAUACAUAAUACUAAAUACUAAACACUAAAUACUAAAUACCAAUCGACUAUCUCAUAAUGGAAAUAUCUAUUUUAUUUAAUACUUACUUGUGCUUCCGACCGUGGUCUAAUAGAAGCCAUAUAUCUUCAAGAGAGGUAGGUAAUCGAGCAUAACUUGCCGAACGGUUCCACCUAAUUAAAUAAAUUUUUAGCAUUCGAUUAUAUUUUAAAUCUACAUAAUAAUUGUAAAAUCUAAUAUAAAAUUUACCUCGUUAUGAGUGGGAAUGUAUAUGGGUGGUCCACUCAGGACGUAAAAAUAGAAAGCGAAACCGUGCCAAUGACUGCAGUAGUGAUAGGCAACCUCCGAUUUUCGCUUUAUUUGGUCGCGUCGCCCGGCACAUCUCCCUGUACAAUGUUGCCAACACGGCAGACCCCCAACUAAAUUCACCAGUUGCUCGAAAAUUAAUGAGUUUCAGUAGACAUCUUAGAUGUACAAGGUUCCGUGACAAGUCUGACAUCAGAUAACCUCCAAUUAUCUGAAGAAUGUAUGCCCGAGCAUAUCAGAUUCUUUCUAGUUCGGUAGAAUCAUCAUCCUGCUCCGGGAAUGUGUCUCGUAACUAGCCCAUCUCGAUCCGACCUCCGUUAAUAUUGUCCAGUAUAGUGCCCAAAAGCUCGUAGCAUACCGCUCCCCAAUCACCAGAUUGAACAGACUCGGUGACUGCGUACUCGUCCACCGGCAAUCCCAAUUGCAAAUUUACGUCUUCCAAAGUGAUAGUGCAUUCUCCACAUGGAAGAUGGAAUGUGUGCAUAUCGGGUCUCCACCUCUCAAUCAACGCAUUGAUGAGUUUCGAGUCCAACUUGCAUCCCCAGCCUACCGUCGCCACGUGCCAAAAACCUACUUCCCGCAGGUAAUUCUCUACCAACGAUGAUGGAGGACCAUGCAUAUUACGGAUAUAACAUUGCAUUAUCCGAUCUAUAGACUUUUAUAAGAAAUAAUAAAAUAAAAAUUAUUUAAAAAUUAUAAGAAAUUUCUAAUAAAAUAAAAAUUAUUUAAAAUUGCAUAAAUAAAAAAAUCUUAAAUAAUAUUUAAAAAUUAAAUUUAACACUUACCGUUUUCAUUUGUUCGAAGGAUAUGUGCUUGUUAUCGAGACUAAUUAAUUCUCUGGUCAUUGCUAACACAAUCAAAUUUUUAUGAUUUAAAAAAAUUCAAAAAAAAUAAAAUUAAAGCUUUUUUUAAAAUAAUUAAAAAAAUUAAAGCUUUUUUUAAGAGGAAUUUGAGAAGAAUUUGAGAGAAUAUUGGAGAAAAUUUGAGAGAAAGGAUUUAGGUGUGAAAAAAAUGAAAUGGGGGUUUAUAGUUUUUUUUUACCGUUGAGGGGGUCACCAACGGUCAAAAAAGUAGUCGUUGCUACUGUUCACGCUGUUAAAGUAUGCCCAAAGAUCAAUCAUGAGAUGGUUGUAAUAACAUACUUGAUUUAUCAUGUUUAUUAAUAUAAUGCGUUACAAUUAUUAUUUCAAUUUCUUUUCUGCGUGUAUAAAUAAACUGUUUUAUAAUAAUGUCCUAAGAAUAAUAUGAUUAUUCUUAAAAGAUCCUUAGUCAAGUAUUAUCGUUGGAUAAGACAACGAUAAUGCAUUAAGACUAACAUGUAGUUAACUGAUGAUAAAGAGUUGACAUUGAUAUGGAAUGUCAAAAUCAAUGCAUGAAUAUGUGUGUUAGAGAACAUAUUGGACUGACCCAUUAUGAGUAUGUUUCUUGGAUUAUUAUGUAAUUGUCACGACAUUACUCAUAGUGAUUAAUAUGUAUAUGAUCCUCAGACUUGAGAUCAUCAUAAUCCCGACAUCGUGAGUAGUAUAUUUUGAUACAGUCAAACGUACACUGUAACUGGUUGUUCUAUAAAGGCUGAUGUUGGAUAUACCACAAUCGAUGUAAAGGGAUAUGGUUGGUCGAUAUAGAAUAAGUCCCUCCUACAUAAUGGGAGUAAUAUGUUAGGCCACUUGAUUAAGUGAAACUAGAUAUGCAUGGCAAUGCUCAAAUAAGUUGAUAUGAGAUGUCAUACUUAUUUGUAUAUCGUAGUCUGCUUAAGAUAUCAAGGAACAUGGAAUGGACUAUGCAAGUGUGACUAUUCCAUGACUUGUGUCCAAUCCAGAGAUAAAUGACUUAAGGAUUAUUGCAUAAAAGGUUAAUCAUAAAAAGGUUAUGUCGAAUCAUGAUCUCUUGUGACUUAGGUAGCAAUGAUGCAUUGCUAGAUGCCACUCAUUGUUUGUAACAUUGGAAUCGUUCUAGUAUUACUACUAACGUUACAGGAACCUACAAGGUCACACCCAAUAGUUGAAAUGAACGGAAUAGACCAUAGUUGGUAUUAUUUUUGGAGGUUGUUUGAAUUAAAUUAAUUAAAGAAUUAAUUUAAUUCGGUAAUCAAAUUUCCAACACAUUAUGUACAAGGUUGAUGUACGCAUAAUGAGGACAUGAAUUUGGUUAGCAUAUGAAUUCAAAUAAAUAUAUGGUUUACCGAAAUUAUAUUAUAAUUAAUGUAAUUAUAAUUUUUGAUUUAAAAUAUUAUUAUAUUUAUUUAAUUCCUAAAAACCCUAAAAUAAAAAGAUAUAUAAUAAUCCCAUUUUUCUUUGUUUUAGGUCUAGCAGCCGUCAAAGAAAAAUCACUCUCAAAACUGUUUUAGGGAUUUUUGAUUUCUUCCGUUCGUAGUCAACUGGGUGGAUUACGUAGAGGUCGGUGUCUCGAUAGAUUGCGGCUUGGUUCGACUAUAGAUCUGACUACACGUUGUUGAGACGUUGCUGUCUACUCAGAAUAAACAUUCGGUAAUUUCAUAACCUUUAUCACCCCGAUUCGUUCUUCACACAUGGAUCCUUGGUUAGGAUCGCCGAAUUUUAUUUUUUUCGCUGCGCAUAGGGGUGCCGGCGAUCCAACACACGCGUGGGCAAAACGCUUCCUCAAGGAAGUGCUUUGUCCACGUAGACAAAAAAUGCGUCCUUGAGGGCACACUUUCUAUCCACGUGGACAAAGCGCUUCCUUGAGGAAACGUUUUCCUGCUUCGUCACCUGACAACGCGCUGACGUGGACGCGUUUUCGGGGAAAUAAGGCCAUUCCAGUAAUUAAUUUUUUACCUGGCCCAUUUCAAUAAUUAAAAAAAAGACUUUUAUUUAUAUUUUGCCCAAAAUAAAACCCUAAAGUAAAUGCCAAGAUAAAAUAAAGAAAGUCGAGCAAAAAGCUUUUACUUAAGAUAAACCUAAUCUAAUCCUAGUUGGUCUCUUAAAGAGACACUUUUCUCAAUAAUAAUAAUAAUUCUAAAAGUCUUCAACAUCAUUUCAACCCUCAUGUCAAAUCUUCCUUCCCACAAUUCAAAUUGUUUCUCAACACAGUGGACUUACAUAGCAAUUUACCAAUAAAAUGUCAAAAUUAAUAGACUUUAUGUUCAAAAUUAAUUAAAAUAAAUAGUAAAAAUGUGUCGAUUAAGCACAUUAUCAUGGUGUCUUGAAAAUGUAAUAUGUCAAACACAAGAUUCAUAAUGAACACACUAACAAUGAUAUUUUCUAAACAAAAAUGAUAAAUUUCUAAUCAACAUUUAAGAAAUUCAAGAUUAUAAAGACAACCAGUCCUAUUUUCUUCAAGGAUUUGUUUUAAUUAACCUCUAAACAUUAUCACCUAAUCAAGAUAUUAGUGGUUUCAUACAAAAUCAAAAUUAUUUUGAAACAAAAAAUUAAUCUAUAACAAGCAAAGCCACAAUUCUAAAUUUUUUAUAGAUUAAUUCAUAAAUAUUGAAAAGAAAAAAAAAGUGUUACCAAAUUAAGAAGAUGCACUUAAAAGGAUUGAAGGAUUGAUAACUUAUAUUUUAAAAAUUUGGAAACAUGAAAAAAAUUUGAAAGAAAAGUGUUAAAUGUUAAAAGAAAAUAAAAAGAGAAUGGAUUUUUUUAGUAUUAGUAUGUGCAAUGAAAUUAAUUUAUUUUAUAUAAAUUAAUUCGUUAUCUAAAAUUAUUUGUUUUAAAAUUUUUGAGGCAUCAUUUUAUUAUUUAUAUAUAAUUUUUUUUCUUUUAUAGAGUGAUUGUUUUUAAAAAAAUUUGUGGAGUCAAGUGGCCACACAAUUUAUAAUGAGGCUUCGUCAUUGGCUUUAGUUCAAUUGACAUUAUUAUUAUAGCAAUUAGGAGGAUAUGAAUUUAAACGCAAUUAAACAUGAGGUUUGUUAUGAGUAAAAGUAAAAAGAAAAAAUUCAACAUAAAUUUUCUCUAAAUUCAAUUACUUUAACAAAUUAUUCAAAAUAUACCAUGAAUUGAUAUAUUGACACAAACAUAAUAUUUAUUUUUCUAAAUUAAAUUAAUAUGAAAAAUUAUAUAAAAUAUAAAGUAAGUUUUUGUUUUGAAGGAUAAAAUAUAAAUUAAGUUGAAAUCUAUAUUAUUAAUAAAAUUCUUGAUUAAGUUGGUGGCAUGAGUCAACCAGGCACAAACUCUGUUAGGAAAAUUUAAAAAAAAAUCCUUCUGUAUUAAGAAUAAAUUAUAUUAUUCAAGAAUACUUUAGCCUUUUUUUAAUUAAAAAAAAAGGACAAUAAAAAUUAUGAAAAUGAUAGAAUUUAAACCCAUAGCAAUUACAUUAGAAAAUAUUUAAAUUUACCAUUAAACUAAAGCUUUAUACUGGUUAAUUUAUAUAUUUUAAUUUUAUUAUACACAAUUUAUUACCUUCAUCGGUUGCAUAUAUUGGUUAAUUUACCAAUGCACAUGUACAUACUAAUAGAUAUCCAAUAUACAGAUGUUAGACAUGCUUGUUAAAUGUAGUCAUGCUUUUAGAAUUAUCAGAACAUGGAUCAUACAUGUAUAAUUCACAUACCUUAAUCAUAUCACAUUUAGAGGCAUAUUAACGGAUAUCAUGUCAACAUAUUUCACAUACCAAGUCCAUAUUACUUAUAGUAAUAUACUAUAAGAUGUCAUAUUUUUUAGUCCUAUUUGUUCAGUAUGAACUUUACGGAGCAACUAAAUAUGAAUCACACAACAAUUCGGAGCUAAGCAAAAUUUUCAGGAAAUGGGCCCACACGCCUGUGUGGCCCACAUGGCCGAAAUAGCCUAGAUUGUGUAACAUCAACAGUAAAUUUUUGCAUGUGUAUAUGUUCCAAUUGCUCGACCACAACACAAAAAGAUGAGUGAAUCCUUAAAGAAAGUUGAGAAUAUAUAUUUAUUAUGAGUCUCCUUGUAUUCUUAGAUGUUUUGAAUGUAUUGAAGAUUCAAUUAUGACAUAAUUUGUGAUUACUAUUUUGAUUUGAUAGUUUUCCUGAUAUUAGGGGGAGAGAAAUAAUAGUUGAAUGAAAUCACUUCUUGUAAUGUGUUAUCAUUAUCUAGAUCCUUAUAGAGAGUAAUUUGAACCAGAAGUUCAAAAAAGAUAUAUCACUUUAUUACAAGUUAACUAUCAGAUGUAUUUACAAACUUAAUGAGAAUAACCAAGUGUUAUAUACCUUCUAAUAUUUUAAUUUGAAUCAAAGUCCUAAUAGGAUCAAUUAGAAUAAAUGAUAGAUUGAUUGGUUCCAAAGAUGAAAAUUCUUUUAGAUGGUAAUAUAGUGGAGGCGACUGCUCCAAAAGAGACCCAAGACAUAACUAAUAACUAAAACUCCAGAAGAGAUUUAGGUACCUGAAAUUGAAGAUUAAAAUAGUAAAAAUAAAGAAAUCUCUAUAAGUUAUGUCAAUUCGAGAAAAUGUGGAACCGAUAAUAAAAGUGAUCAAAAAUGGUUUUGCAUGCAAUAUUAUUGUUGAAAUAAUGAAAUAAAAAGAUAAUAUUGAAUAAAUCAAUUGAGAAAUAUAGAUAUGGAAUAGAUUGGACAAAAUAGAAUGACACAACUCAAGUACAAUUAAAUUCGUGGAGUUUUUGGACCCGUAGUCCAAAUAUCUAAAGGUAUAAAGCCAAUGAGGGUACAAAUGAAGUAGUUUUGCAAAAACGGAAUAAAAAUAUGAAGUUUUUCACUAAAUCUUGACAUUGAUUAUGAAAAGAUACAAUAUUCUUUUGUGGUGGAUGCAAUAACCUUUAGAUAUAUUAUUAAACUAACAGUUCAUAAAAGAUUUAACUUGCGUCUAAUGAUUGUUCUUACAACCUUUUAUGAGUCACUAUAUAGUAAAGUUUUUAUUAAAUUCCUUAAAGAAUUUAGAAUGCUAGAAACAUAUAAAAAUUCUGGAGAAACUGUUCAUUGAAAUAAUUUGAACAUAUGUGGUAAAUUUGACUUAGUGAAUAGUAGUUGAAGGAGAAUUAUAAAAUGAUGCAAAAUACCUAUUUAUAUAUAUAGAAUAAUCAUGAUUAAAGUUUACUAUGAUUAUUGUUGAAACUCCUGAAGAGAUCAAACUAUAUUUCCCCAAAAUUUUCCUUCACUCAUGACUUUCAAAAGAAUAAUAAUAUAAAUACUUAUCAAAUAUAUUCAAAUAGUCCUUUAAAGAAUGGUGAUGUACUUUAAAUUUUAAUAAUCAUUAGAAAUAGAGUUCUAUUUAUUUAUACUUCUUAUGUCUAUAAAUAUAGACUUCGGAGAAGCAUUAUAUAUAGAUUUUUAUUGAUCAAUAAAAUAUGCUCCCUUUUACUCUUAGAUCUCUUUUGUACUUCACUCUCUAUCUUUUUAUUUUAUAACACUUAUAGCAUUUAAGACCCAUUUUUAAAGUUUUCUCAGUGAUAAUAAAUAUAAUAAUAUAGUUAUUGUUUUUUGGAAUAAAAGUCAAUGAGCCUCAUUUAUAAUAGAGAGAUGGUACACAAUCAAGUGGCAAACACAGGCCCACAGCCAUUAAAAAUAUAAGACAGAGAAAAAAAAAACUGUAAAUAAAGAAUUAAAAGGUCCGCAUCACAAGAACUCUCUCAAAAACCAACAACUAACCAACAAGUCAUUGAAAUCUCUCAUCUAGCUUACAAUAAAUUCAGUAUGUUUGAUUUUUUUAAUCGGAAAAAUAGUUCUUCUAAGAUUUAGGAAAAUAAAUCAAUUUUACAAAGUAAAUGUGAAAGUGUGUCUAACUAGAUGAACUUUUUAUUGACAUGUUAGGGGAAGUGCACCCAGUUAAAAAUAUUUUCUGAAAAUUUUAAAAAGAAAAUUAUGUCCAACUGGGCGCGUUUUUCUUGACAUGUUAGUAGAAAGUUCACUUAGUUGGACGAGCUUUCUUACCAACUAUGCAAAAAGAGCACCCAAUUGGACGCGUUUUUACACUCUCUCUAAAAUCGACAUAUUUCUCUAAAUCUUGAAAAAAAACGAACCUAUUUUGCCAAUUAAAAAAAUGACAUUUUCUUCAAAAAACAAUUUGGCAUAUAUUACAUGUUUAGCCCAAUAAAUAUUUUAAGUGAUAAAUAAAUUUUAAUUCGAUAUACUUAUAUAAAUAAAACUUUUAUUUUUAUAUAUAAUUUAUUUAUUUAUUUUAAUUUAAUUGUAUUUAAAAAAAAUAUAUUUUAAUAUAGAUAUUUUUUUCUGUGUGCGCCUUAGAAAAUAUGUAAUCAUAGAUUUUUUUUUCUGCGUGCGCCUUGCGUAAAUAUAUAAUGGUGAGAUGUGAAUAACAGAAUUAGUGGUUUACACUUAAUAUUAUAAAUUGGAUGAAAGUCAUGAAAUUUACUUUUAAUAUGUCUUAUAAUAAAAUAAGUAGCAACUUGGUUUUAAAUGAUUAUAUUUUAAAUGUAGAAAAUAUAAAGAUCAGAUUUUUAAAUUAAGUCAAAAUUACAUCACUAUAACAGACUUUAUAAUUGAUAUAUACUGUUGAUACAAGGUGGAAGUGUGGUUGUCAAGCGACUUAAUGGAGUAACAGAAAAUUUGGCCUUCUCUUUUUUUGGUAAAAUGAACAGUAGUUGUUUCUAUUUCCAGGAUCUCUCCAAAGAUUACAUAAAUAAGUUCACGUGCUACCGCCUUACUUUUAGGCAGUAUUUAUAUAAUAAAUUAUAUAUAGAUUCUUUUUUUUUUUUUUUUUUAUGUUUACAUAACUAUAGAUGAUCCAAAAACAACGGCAGUACGCUUCCGCCAUCAUAUUUGUCAUCACUCUUUAUUAUGGGCCAUAAGAGAAUGAUCGGUCAUAUUUAGACAACAAUUUUAAUGUAUAAUGAUAGUGUUUGACCAUAGCAAUAAAGUAAGGGUCAUAUUUGUACAGCAGUUUUAGUGUAACGAUGAGUCUUCAAAUAUGCAAAAUUGGUCAUAUUGGUUUUUAAAUUCAUAGUUGUUUUUAAAUUUGUAUUUUGUUAAUAUAUGAUAAUAGGGUAUUUUGAGAUUUCACUAUAUUAUUAAUUAUUUUUUAAAACUUAAUUUAUUUAUAAAAUUUUAAUCUUGUUCUAGAUUUUAUAUAAUUUUUAAAAUUUUUAGAUAAUGGUAGAGUAUUGCAACUUCAUUUCUCUUGAACAAAAUUUAAGUUUCGAAAUUAAUGUGGACAAAAAAUCACAAUUUGUACCCAAUUAAACUCCUUGAAUUUCUGGUAAAAAAAAAACCCCUUGAAUUCAUUUUUCUGUUGAAACCUCUGACGACUUUAAAGUGCUGAUGUUGUGAUUAGUGUGGCAAGCUAGUUAGAAAAAAUUAUUGGCGAGGAUGGCUUAAUUGAUUUUUUUAUUAUUUCACAAUGAUUUAAUUGAUUUUUUUAGUUAUUUUACGAGGGCUUAAUUUAUUAUUUAAGUAAAAAAAUUAAAAUUAUAAAAAAUAUAUAAUUUUUAAUUUAAAUUAUAAAAUUCAUAAAAAAAUAUUAGAAAUUUAUAAAGAAUUAUAAAAAAUAUUAAAAAUAUAAGAAAAAUAUAGAAAUCUUUUAAAUUUUAUAAAAUUUAUAUUAAAGUACAUAAAAUUUAUUCAAAUUAUUCAAAUACUAUCAAGCUUAUAAAAAUUAAAGAAAAGUUAUAAAAAUUAAAAAUUACUACACAUUUUUGGUUGCUCACGCACACUCUCCUACAUCAUAUAUUAACACAUCCGUAUUGACUUCCCUUGCAUUAUCCUUCCUCAACUAAAAUAUUACCUAUCACUAGAGGUGUUCAUGGGUAAGGUCGAUCUUAGGUCCGAUUUCAAAAAUUUUGUAGGCUCGAGCCCAACUAGACAUAGCUCGCCAAAAUGAUUCGUUUCCCUAUUUUAAAAAUAAUAAAAAUAUUUUUAUUUGAAUUUAAUUAUUAAAAAUAUAAAAUAUUAAUAUAAACUUAUUUUUAUAUAUUUUUAUUUUUUGAAUAGUAAAUUAGAUCAUUUCAUGAGCACCUCUACCCAAUUACUCACCUGAAGUCAUCAAGUAUUAACCUCAUAAUCAAACCUCUCACUUGAUUCCCCACAAAAGUCUAGUCGUUACACUUCAAUCUCCUCAUUUCCUUAUUACCCAAACCAAAGACUCAAAACCAACAAAAUAUGUCACACCUCAAAAACUGGGUUAGAAUAAUCGAGUUUGUGAAAUUUGAAAGUGGUCAUGUCCCGAUUUAUAAGGUUAUUUUUAAGCUUAUAAAUCGAGGGUUUGAAACGAAUACUGAAAUUAGGUCAUAAAUAAUUAAUUAAAGCAUUAAAAUAAUAUAAUAAUAUAGUAUUAUAUUAAUUAAUCUAAAACGAAACUUGAUUACGGGGUUUAAUUUGAAAAUAGUGUGUUUUAAUUGAGUUAGGACCUAAGUGGAAAAGGGGUAAAAUGAAUUGAAAUAUUAAUAGUGAAACUUGACUAUAAGUAUUAAUUAUUGUAUAUAAGCUAAAAUAGGAAUGUGUUAAAAACUAUAAAGUUAAAUAAGUUAAUAAAAAAAAUUGAGUAAAUGUGUAAACUAGUAAAGAAUAUGUAAGUUGAGCUCAAAAUAAAUAUAUACAGUUGAGUGACUAAAAUAAACUAGAAAUAAGAUAUAAAUUGAGUGGAUAGGUGCCUCCAUCUUAAAAGCCAAGGUUUGAAUCACCCUUCUCCCAUUUCUUUUCCUUUUAAUUUUCAACAACCUAGGAUUAUAAUCACAUUAAAAUAUAUAUUAUUUAGAGUAAAAAUUGAAUAAGAAUGGGCAACAACUCAAUUGGUUAAACACCCUUAUUUCCCUCUUCUUUGCCCAAGUUUGAACCACCUCUUAUCCAAUUCUAUAUCUUUUAAUUCUUUCAGUCGAAAAUUUGGGUAAAUUACCCUACAACCUUUAAAAGUUUGAAGACCUAGAUAUUUAAUCCCUUUAACUAAUUACUCUAGGAUUUUGAUUUCUUUUCUAUUUCAACUUGAAUUCUCCCUUUUUCCCUUUAAAUUCCUUUUUUCCCUUUAAAAUUUUCUUUUCUUUUCUCCCCCUUUUUCUUUUCAUCAAAUUGGUCAUUCUAUUGUUAAAAUUAUUUUUGCUCUUGUUAUCAAAUCAAUCUUUGAUAAAUCAAUUCUCUAUCAAUUGUUGAAAUUAUUGUUGAUAGCCUCUGUAAUUCCAUCAAGUUCGGUAAGUGCAUCUCGAUCUAAAGUUUAAGACCCCAAAUUUUAUAGAAUUUCUAUCUGAUAUUGAUCUUUCAAAUAAAUUAGUGGAUCUUUCAUAGUUCUUGACAAAUCUUUCGUUAAUAUUGUUGAAUCUUAAUAAAUCUUAGAAAACAAACCCUAACCUGUAUAAAAAUGUUGCUUGAAGGACCUGUUACAUGUGCAUCGGACCAGAUUUGAAAGUGAGGGACGUCGUUUGAAAUAUCGGCAAAAGAUGUGUGUUCUUUUACAAGCAAAUCGGGGUAAAUCAUGCCUCGGGAUAGGGCUACACGGCUAACCACACAAGUGUGUGGGCCACCCAUGUGGACCACAUGACCUCUCACACGACCACAUUCCCCCUAAAACCUUAGGUUUUGUGAUUUUCACACGGCCUAGGACCCUCCACACAAUCGUGUCACCCCUGUAGGUUAGUUUUGCAAUUUACACACGGUCUUAGUCUGUUACAUGGCCCAAUUACACAGCCGUGUACCCCUCUACACGGUCUAAGGCUUUCUACAUGAUCCAGUCACACGGUCGUGUGUCCUCUAUUUUUCAGAUUAUAUAGUUUUGCCCAUGUUUUUCAUAUUUUACAAUUUUACCCCUAUUUUUUAGAUUUUAUAAAUUUGUCCCUAUUUUUUCAAAUUUUAUAAUUUUUCCCUGCUUUAUAAAACUUACAAUUUUUCCCAAAAUUUUAUGAUUUGUUCAGUUUAUUCCUUGAUUAAUUCCUGAACUGUUUUAGUAUAUUAUAUUAUUCAAUUAAGUCCCUGAUACAAUGAAUUAUGUCAAAAUCCAUGAAUUGACUAACUGUAAUAAUAUGAUGAUUAUAUAAUUGCAUGAAUUUUGAACAAUACGUAUGACUAUUGCUUUGGUGUUUGCGAUUGUACGUAUAGUAUGCUUUAUGACACUGUUAAACUGAACAAUUAAUAAACAUGACUUUUGCUACUAAGUUGAACUGUUAUAAGCAUAUUAAUUGCUAUUGUAUUGAAUUGUUAUAAGCAUAUUGAUUGCUAUCGUAUUGUUAUAGUAAUUUUCAAUUUAAUUUAGGAGGUUAAUUUCAUCUAAAAUUGAUUAAACCAGAAUUCGAAAAAUACAAAAAUAUAUUUUUUCAAAAAAUUAAUUUUAAAGAUUUUAAAUUAUUAUUAGUGAAAAUAAUCAAUUUGGGUUGAAAAAGAAUUUUUAAAAUAUUUCUUAUUGGGGUUAAUGUAAGUACAAUUUAAAUAUUAAUUAAAUAGUAUUUAAUUGUAAAACAAGGGAAAAUUUAGAGUAUUUAUAUGACAAAUAAACCUUAAAAUUUGAAAUUUUGGAGGGAAAGGAUUAAAUGGUAAAGUAAGGGAAAUAUAAGAGUGGUCAUUAUAGAAAUUUCACAAAUUUUAAAUUUCUGGUGGGUGGUUUCAGUUUUAAAACUAAUGUAUCUAGCCCACUUUUCACACAUUUUACAUCAGAUUAGAGAGCUUUAAAAUUCAUUUUCUUUGCGUGAUUUUAAAUAUCUAUUAUUAGAGAAUAUAUCCAACCAAUUUCCUUCUCAAAAUACUCUUUCAAUUCACUCGAAUUUUUUUUCAAAAGUAGCCAAAAAUAUUCUGAAAUUUCUUAAGUUUCUUGAAUCAAGAUUUUCAAGUAAUGAAUUUAGAGCGAAUCAAAGGUAAUCUUCAAUGUUAAGUAUGACUCCUAUUUUCAGUCAAAUUUGAGAAAUAAUCUUUUAGUUAAACUAUGUUUAUUUGUUUCAGUCAAACACUGAUUAGUUUAGAUUAUUUUAUUAUUAUUUGACAUAUGAAUUUAGCCUAUAAAUAGGCUCUUGUACAACCUUAGAAAACACACCCAUUAGAUUAGAACUCAUAACACAUUCAGAGAAUUUUGUGUUUACGUUUUGAGGGUUCUUUGUUUUUCGGGUUUUCGGGGUUUAAUUUUAUCUCCAUCUUUUGUAAUCUUUAUUCUUUUGCCAUUAUAAGAAAAUUAUCUUUGCCCGUGGUUUUUUAUCCUCUUUGGAGGGGUUUUACCAUGUUAAAUUUGUGUGUUCAUCUUCUCAAUUUCUUCUACUAUUUUACUUGUUUGUUGCUUAAUUUGGUCGAUCCUAACAAGUGGUAUCAGUGCUAGUUCAAUUUUCAUAGAUCAGCCCAUUCAGAUAUGGCAACAACAAGGUUUGAAAUUGAGAAGUUCGAUGGUGAGACAACUUUCAAUCUGUGGCAAGUUCAGAUGAUGGCAAUUCUAGUUUAAUCUGGUUUGAAAAAGGUUGUUACCGAGAAAAAGCCUGAGAAUCUAAAUAAAACAGAAUGGGAAGAGCUUGAUGAGAAGGCCUUGUCUGCAAUCCAGUCGUGCCUCGCGAAUACGGUAUUACAGGAGGUAUUGAUGGAGAAGAGCUCAUCCGCCUUGUGGAAAAGGUUAGAAACUCUUUAUGCGACUAAGCCUCUGGCUAACCGUUUAGUGUUGAAACAACAUCUAUUUACGUUUCGAAUGAACGAAGGUGAGCUUCUUAGAGAUCACAUCAGUCAAUUCAUUACUCUUUUAAAUGAUUUAAAGAACGUUGAUGUUCAUAUUGAUGAUGAAGAUCAAGCUAUGCUAUUAUUGUGCUCUUUACCCCCUUCAUACAAGUCUUUCAGGGAGACCCUGAUUUAUGGCAGAGACAAAAUCUCGUUCGAAGAUGUGAAGGGUUAUUUGUUGAGUAGAGACAAACUCGACAAUGAGCUUCAUUUGGAUAGCAAGGUAGAUAGGCAAGCUUCCGUUUUGGUAGCAUCAAAGAAAUGAGACAAAAGGUGUCGCUAUUGUAAAAAGUUAGGUCACGUCAAAGUAGAUUGUUAUAAACUGCGAAAUAAAAGAGCUGCUGAGAGUAACGAGGAAGAUGUAGCUUAUGCUAAUUUGGCCGAUGAAAGCGGUGAUGAUUUCUUGUUAGUGUCAACGAGAGAUAACUCCAAGCUCACGUCCGAGUGGAUCCUAGAUUCGGGAUGUUCUUUCCACAUGUGUCCCAAUAGAGAAUGGUUCUCUACAUACAAUUCGGUUGAAGGUGGAGUUGUGCGCAUGGGAAAUGAUUCAUCUAGUAAGGUAAUUGGUAUUGGUACUGUUAAAAUUAGGAUACACGAUGGGACGAUUAAGACACUCUCAGAUGUUAGGUAUGUACCUGAUUUACGAAAAAAUCUCAUCUCCUUAAGUAUUUUAGACUUGAAAGGAUGUAGAAUCAACAUCAAGUCAAGCGGCAUUAAAGUAUAUCGUGGAGCUCUCGUUUUGUUAAAAGGCAAAAGAACUAGCAGUCUUUAUAUUCUAGAAGGCUCUACAGUGACCGGUGAAAUUGGAUGUCCCUCAUCCGUUACAGAGUCUAAGUCAACUCGUUUGGAGUGGAGGCAACUUGGUCAUAGGAGGGAAAAAUGUAUGACCGUUUCGUUAAAGAGAGGUUCUCUUUUGGAUGCAGGUUUUGAAAAGUUAGGGCACUGUGUUCGUGAAAAUCAGACCCAGGUUAGUUUUGAUUUGGCAGUGUACAAGUCGAAGGCUAGAAGUCUUCCAGUUUCUAAGCACAAAUUCGACUCAGUUAAUUCCCUGCAUAGUUCAAGAUAGGCUCGUGGCGGGCUUUGGCAAAGAUGGCGUUGUGGAAAUAUGAGUCAAGGUGGAGAUUUGUUAAGUAUGACUCUUAUUUUCAAUCAAAUUUGAGAAAUAAUCUUUUAGUUAAACUAUGUUUAUUUGUUUCAGUCAAACACUGAUUAGUUUAGAUUAUUUUAUUAAUAUUUGACAUAUGAAUUUAGCCUAUAAAUAGGCUCUUGUACAACCUUAGAAAACACACCCAUUAGAUUAGAACUCAUAACACAUUCAGAGAAUUUUGUGUUUACGUUUUGAGGGUUCUUUGUUUAUCAGGUUUUCGGAGUUUAGUUUUAUCUCCAUCUUUUGUACUCUUCAUUAUUUUGCCAUUAUAGUAAAAUUAUCUUUGCCCGUGGUUUUUAUCCUCUUUGGAGGGGUUUUUCCACGUUAAAUUUGUGUGUUCAUCUUCUUAAUUUCUUCUGCUAUUUUACUUGUUUGUUGCUUAAUUUGGUCGAUCCUAACAUUCAAUCCUAAACUUGUUUUUAUGAUGAUUAGAAAAAUUUUAACAUGAUUUGAGAGUCAAUUAAAGGAAUUUUAUCAAUGUCAUCUUUGUCCAAAAACACAUGGUUCUUUUAUGGUGGAUUUUGAGUUUUGAGAGGAAAUCCACAAAUCAAUGGAUGUUCCAACUUAAAACGGAUCUAUUAAAAGUUUUUGGGUCUUAUUUGUCAAGAUUAAACAUGAUUUGUGAGGUAAUUUAAAGAAAUCUGAAUUUAUCAUCUUCAUGAACCAAUUUUCUAGAAUCUGUGAAAUUGAUUAAAAGAUGAAAUUGAUGCUUAGUAUAAGUGUAUUUGGUCUAGUAUUGAUGAUUGAAAGUGUUUAAGAGGGCUGGAGAAAUCGAUUUUGUGAGGAAUCGAGUUUUCGACUUGAUGUUACAAAUCCGGUAUGGUGUCUUUAAGAGAGGAUUUCGAUUAGUAUAGAUAAUUAAAGUUUGUGUUUAUUAUAGCAUUAAGAAGGUGGUAAUGUCUACUUUAUCUCUGUUUAAGCUCUGAAUCUUGAAGAAGACUGAUAUAGCCGGAAUUGAAGCUUGGAUUUGCUUGGUUGAUCACUUGUUUGUGGUAGAAUAAAUUGUGUGGUGAAUGUUUCUAAGGGUGAUUUGGUAAAUUGGCCCUCAUUUAUGUUUAAUUAGUAGCUUAAUUGAUGAUUUCAAUUGAUUAAUUAUGCUUGAAUGGCUAAUUUUUGCAAGAUUGAUAUUUUAUGUACAAGAGUUGAAUUUUUAUUGAAUAAUGGUAAGUAAGCUUUUGGGUGGUGUUAUGCUAUUUAAUUAGGUUAAUUAUAUUGAUGAUUAAAUUAUGUUUACUGGAGUUUUUGAUCAUGAUAUGUUGGUGUUACAAUUGGUAAUUAAACAUUAGAAAAUGGUAAAUGAAAUGCUUGAUUUAAUUGGAUGUUAAAUGGCUAUGUUACAUGUUACACAUAAGCAUUUUGUCACAUUAAAUUGAGCACAAUAAUGACUAAUUUAUAUGCUAUGUUUGACUGAAUAUAUUGGCAACAUGCAUGGUGGAUUCAUAGAAUAUAGUUCUCAUGCUAUAGUAUUUGUGAGUACUCACCUUUAUUUGUGACAUUAUGAGCAUAUGGCUCUAGGUGGACUGAUUUAUUUGGAAUAGAUAAGGGAGUGUUAAGCAUGAGUCUCCACUCAAUGGGUUAUUUGAGGCACUAUAAGGGAGCGUAUGCUUCGGUCCGCUCAACUCGGUGGAUAAUAUUUGAUAUUUGUGGGAGUUCAAAGAUCUAUUUAUCUGAUGUACGAUCACCCGAUUAAGCCAUUAGAAGUGAAUUCCAAUAUAUUUAUGUGCGAUUUUUGCUAUAUCAUUUGAUGAUUGAAAGCCAUGAAUAAUUAAUUCUUGAUAUUGAUAAUGCAUAUGGAAACUAAAUUGACAUGUUUCAUUAUUAUGGCUGAUAAUUGGUGAUUGAUUGAAUGUGAUUUAAGCAUGAUUUGGGUGUGGAUUUAUUAGUCAUUUUUAUUCAUGUUCACUGAGCUUUUUAAAGCCCACACCCUCACAAUUCGUACAGAUAAUCAUCGGGCUUAAGGAGCUGAGGAGUCCAGCAAGAGAGUUCCAAGAGAUUUAGGCUUGGUAGAGACUUUAUUACACAUUUUAGAUAUUGUAAUUGGGCAUUAUGAAACUCCCUGAAAUUAGUUUAAUUUUGGUUGUAAUUGGACUUUGGACAUUCGAAAUUUUAUUUUGGAUGGUUUUAUAAUAAUUUUGAGGCAUGUUUGAGUUUAAUUAUUGAAUGAUUUACAAUGUAUUGUUGCUUGAUAACACAGUGAUUGAUAACAUGAUGUGUGAGGCAUUAAAUUUAUACUAACGGUUGCUUAAAGGAAGCUUCCAUGGAGUGGCUUACUAGCGACUAAGGUACUCCACUUGAUUGAUUUAUUUAGUGUUUGUUAUGCAUGAAAUUGAUAGUCUAAUUCUAUAUAAUUGAUGCUUAAUUGAUGUCAAUCAAUUCAAUUGAAAGUGUAUGUAUAUGUAUGUUAAUUAAUCAUAGUUAAAUCGGGUUUAAUUAACCAUUCAAAUAUACAAAAUCGGGUUUUAAAAUGAGUUUUUUGCAAAAAUAGAUGCAGUGGUUUUCACAUGGGCGUGUGCCUGUCCACACGGGCGUGUGAUGGGUUGCACACAGGCGUGUGGGUAAAUGAAUGAGCGUGUGGAGACUGGAGCUAUCACACACAGGCGUGUGCGAUCAACCUACCAAUUUUUCACGACGUGAACAUGGUUGAUUAAUGACACACGGUCUAGGGGACACGGUCGUGUGGGUUUUGGGGGUUUGAAUUUUUUAUCUUUUUAAAUUGGUAUUCUAUUUUGUUUAAGUUACAAUUUAGUCCUAAAAAUUGAUUAAUCUAAUUAGAGCCUUAGAUGAUAUGAAAACUCGGUAAAAUUUUAGGAUUAGUCUCAUAAUGGUUAAAUUUCGAUAGAAACACACUUAAUUUAUAAUUCAAAAUAGGUCCUGAUAGUUUGUAUUUGUUACAAUUUAAUCCCUAAUAAUAAAACUUGAAGUAGACAUAGUAAACGAACUCAAAUUAAGCUGAAACUUUUAGGCUUGCAUAAUUUUACUAAAAGAAGGUCAGUAAACACUUAGAUCUAAAAUCAGGUUAGUUUUACCAUUGGUGGUAAAAUGAUGAGAAUGCCCUUAGGUUAAAUUACCUAGGAAAAGUUUCAAAUUGGCUCAUAAUUUGCUUCCACAUUAAUAAACAACUAAUAAUUAGAUAUGAUUGAGGUGUUAUAAGGUCACAGUGUGUCUUGGGUGGUCGUUAGCCGGAAAGUCACUUAGGUGGCUAAUGUAACGCUUCAAAUUCAAGUCAGUUUGUCUGGUCGAGUUUAGAGUGUCACAAAGUUGUUAAAAUUGCAAAAUAACAUGAAAUUAUUUUGAUAAAGUGAUAAAUGUGGGCUGUUUAGGGACCAUAUAGAAUUCGGCACAAGGGUUUUGGGGUUAAUUUGUGUUAAUUGUGAGAAUUUAGGUUUUAAGGAUGAAAUUGAAUAAGAGGUAAAAGUUUAGGGUAAAUGUGCAAAAUGUCAUUAAAGGGUAAAAAUGAAAAUUUAAAUGUUUUAUGAUAUUGAAUUUUUUAAUUGAAUAAAAUUAUCAUAUUUAGAUCAUGAAACAGGUUAGUCGGUUGAUAAACAUGGGAAAGAAAAAGUUGCCAAGUAGUUGUCAUCGCAUGUCGUUAGCUAUCGUAUUUUGGUAAGUUUGUAUUACAUUUGUUAUAUUGUUUAUGCUUGACUUAUUAUGUGUUUAAUAAUAUGAAAUUUAAUGUUGUGAUGAUCUAUUGGAUGAUUAAUGAUUCAGAAGGAUACAGUUGAGUAUGAAAUGUCUCGGAAAAGUAGGAUAAGUCCGUGUGAACUUAGUGAAUAGCUAGGAUACAAAUGACAUGCCAUUAGGGCAUAGUAGGCUUUGUGCCGGUGUAUAUUUAGUAGGCUUUGUGUCGGUGUAUAUUUAGCAAGUUUUUCACUGGUGUAUAUGUAGCAUACAUUAGUUGUCAAUGAUUUCAAUAGCAUGUACUAUGUACCAGUGAUGGAUACCGUACUGAUGGCUUGAGGUCCUGCAUGUGUUACAAAUUCUCUAGCUUGGGUGAGCAGCAUCACGUAUCAGUUAAUGUCCUUAUGUUAGCUCGUGUGAGCAUUACCCUCUUGUGUAUCCGAAGUUGAUUUACUAUUGUUCUUCAGGUAAAACAAUUAUCUAUUAAAAAGAAAAUGGAAUGAGAUGACAUGAUGAUUUGUAUCUUAGUACAUGAUUAUUUGACACAUUGUGUUUUGAUGUAUGAAUUAUCUAGGUUUAAUUAUUUCGAAUAGCUGAAAUUAUGAUAUAAGAUAAAGGAUUGUUAGUUUUUUUAUUUGUAUGCUUUAUAGUUAAGGUCUAAGCUAUUUUGUUUUACAAACUUACUAAGCUUUAUGUAAGCCUUUUUUGUUUUACAAACUUACUAAGCUUUAUGUAAGCUUACUUUAUUGGGUUUUAUUCUUUUUAGAUAUUCGAACUUUCACUGUCGAUUGGAACGUCGUUGGAGGUCACACUAUCCGGCAACUCACUCAGUAGCUAUCUAUUUAUUUUUGCCCGGUUAUAACUACCAUGUAAAUAGGGUUUUAGAUAGGUAAUUUAUAAGCAUUUUGGUCAUAUGAUGUGCACUUAAAAUCAUGGUAUAUGUGUUGAUGUAAAUCCUAUUUCGUAACUUGGUUGGUUGUGGUUCGUGAUGGUGGAUGCAUAUGUUGAUCUCUAGAUGAAAAUAAAAGGUUGUUUUGGUAUGUUAGGUUAAUAAGCAACCUUGAAAUUCUUUUUGCUUGAAGAAUGGCUAAAUUGGUUAUGGUAAGAUAUGAUUUUAAGAAAAUUUAAAUGAGUAUUUGAUGGUUUGGUUUAUGAUUGAAUGUUGGUAUUCGUUAUCUUGAAUUUGAAGGAUGUUUGAAUAAAUUUUACUUGCAGUACAUGUUUUGAUUGGAUGGUUGUUGUAAAUAUUUGGAAUUGUGGUGCCAAUGAUGGCACAUUGGUUAGACAUAUAGAUUAUUGUGAAUUGGUAUAUUUUAGCAUGUUUAGGUACAUUUUAAAUAGGUUUAAAUGUUGGUUAUUGCAUAGCUUGGACCCCAAGCAUUUGAAUGUGAAAUGGCUUGAUUUUGAAGGUAGUUUUCAGCAUACAUGGCCUGUGACACAGGCUGCCACAUAGCCAUGUGUCCCUAUGGUUGUAUGACACGAUCAUUUGGUUGCUUGAUUUUCCGUGUAAGAUUUUUCACACAGUCACAGUUGGUUACAUGGCCUAGUGACACGGCCGUGUGACCCUAUAUUCGAAUUGUACACGGCCUGAGAACACGGGUGUGUGGAGUAUCGACAAGGCCAUGCUUGGGGCCACACGGGCUGGUUUCUAUCACAGUGCUUGGCUAGAUGGCUAUGUGACCCUAUCUACACUUUUUACUCAAAAUUUCAUAGAAGUUUCAAUUUAAUCUUGAAUUGAUCCCGGUUUGUUUUAAAUGUUCUGUAAGCUCAAUUUAGGUCCCAAAUUGAUUGAAAAGUAUGGAAAUGAUUAUAAAUGAAUUAUUUGGUUGUUAUCUAAUAAAAAUUACAAAAAAUGUUCAAGGUUUGUUGUUGUAAAACCUUAUAGCUCGAAUCGGCCGACUGAAUUAAGUAUAGGGUGUUACAAUUUUGUUGUGUAGGGAUUGUCAAGUUCUGGGGAACUCUUACUGUGGUGUGUAAGGUUGGAUUGGGUAGUGUACUACACUGUCAUUCAUAAGCAUGUUAAUAGUUACUAUGUUUUUUGUGAAUAUCAUAAUUCUGAUACGUAUUGUAUACCGUAUGCUCAUAUGAUAUUAGUUACUAUUUAAUAUGAUUAUUGCUCACAUGUUUAAACCACACUGAGCUUCAUAGCUCACCCUUUUGUUUUCCCAUCCUUUCAGAUAGCUCAUGAGGUAAGGGCUUGGACUUGGCAUUCGAAGCACUAUCGUCAGAUUUUCCUUAAAAACAAUUUCUAAACUAUUUUCUAAGUUCUAUUUGGAUUUUCCUUUGUUAAACGGACUGUGGCAUAGAAUCAGACAUUUUAUGGGUAUUUUAUUUGGGAUUUACCAUUACUCAUUUUUCUUUUAUUAUAUAAAACUCGAAUAUGGCUAAAGACUUUAAGAUUAUUAAAUGAUUUUAAAAUCGUUCAUUUAAGAUUUUUCUAACAACUUUGAAACUAAAAUUAAAUGAAAGAAAUAACUAAUAUAAAUUGAUGUUAUUAUAAAACAUGUUAAAUUGAUACAUGUUUUUUAAAUUGAAAUGAAAUUGUUUUCUAAAAGCAAUUUUCACCAGUUUUGGGAUAAAAUAUCGAUACCUUGGCAUUAAGUAUAGAAUAGAUACUAGAGCGAAUAAAUAUUUUCAAAUCAAACAGAAUGUCAAAUUGGUAUCAAUACCAAUAAAUUGUAUCGAUACCUACCGAUAACAUUUUUUUUGAAUUCCAAAAAUUGAUAGAAUGCCCAAAUCGUAUAAAUUUCUUGUAAAAAUAGAAUAUCAAUAAUGACAAUAUAUCGCAAAUAAGGAUUCCAAUAACAUUUUACUUUUAUUUUAUUUUACCACUGUUUUUUAUUUAAAUAAGGAUUCGGGUCACUUAAUUUUAAUAAUCUCCACAUUGACACGAAUUCUUAAUGAACAAGUUCUUCAUCUCGAACUCUCAACGAACAAGUUCUCCACCUCUUCCAUAAAACCCCUUAAGGGUUUAACUUCAACAAUGAACACCAACCAAGUUAAAGCAAUGUUCAAACUUGAUUAUAGGAAGUGACUUAGUCAUCAUAUCUGCAGGAUUUUCAUGAGUACUAAUUUUGCUCACAACAAUAUCACCACGGGCAAUAAUAUCACGAACAAAAUGAUACUGAACAUCAAUGUGUUUUAUUCUCUCAUGAAACAUUUGAUCUUUUGUAAGGAAGAUAGCACUCUGACUGUCGCAAAAUACUGUAUUGAUUUGAAGGUCUUCAUUGAGUUUACUAAAAAGUCCCUUCAACCAAAUAGCUUCUUUACAAGCCUCAGUAAUCGUCAUGUACUCAGCUUUAGUGGUAGACAAAGCAACUGUAGUUUGCAAAGUGGCUUUCCAACUGAUUGCAUAACCUUCGAUUGUAAAGACAUAACCUGUGAGAGAUCUUCUUCUAUUGAGGUCUUUAGCAAAAUCAUCAUCAACAUACCCAAUGACUCCAUCUCUAGUUCUUCCAAACUGUAAGCAAACAUCGGUAGUACCUCGUAAGUAUCUUAAAACCCACUAAACUACUUUCCAAUGUUCUUUAUCAGGAUUUGCCAUGUAUCUGCUAACUGUACUAACUGCAUAUGAUAAAUCUGGACGUGAACAAACAAUGGCAUACAUGAGAGAUCCCAUUGCACUAGAGUAUGGAACAUGUGACAUGUACUCAAUCUCAUCAUCUGAUUGUGGAGACAAAGUUGAUGAAAGUUUGAAAUGGGCUACUAAAGGAGUACUAACAGGCUUAGCAUUCUGCAUAUUGAAUCUGCAAAGAACUUUCUCAAUAUACCCCUUCUGACUUAGGUACAAUUUACUUACUUUUCUAUCUCUGAGAAUCUCCAUACCAAUUAUCUUCUUUACUAGUCUCAAAUCUUUUAUCUCAAAUUCUUCACUUAGUUGGGCUUUGAUCUUUCUUAUCUCUUAUUUAUCUUUCGCUACUAUCAACAGGUCAUCAACAUAAAGGAGUAGAUACACAAAAGAACCAUCAUUGUUUUUCUUAAAGUAAACACAACUGUCAAAGCUAUUUGUUUUAAAAUCAUGAGAAGUCAUAAAUGAAUCAAACCUCUUAUACCACUUUCUUGGUGACUGUUUCAAACCGUAAAGGGACUUUUUAAGCAAGCAAACAUAGUUCUCUUUUUGUGAGACUGUAAAACCCCCUGGCUGUUGCAUGUAAAUAUCCUCCUCAAGUUCUCAGUGGAAAAAUGCAGUUUUUACAUCUAACUGCUUAAGCUCUAAAUCAUGCAUGGCCACAAUACCAGGCAAAGGUCGAAUCAAACUAUGCUUCACAAUUAGAGAGAACACAUCUGUGAAGUCCACUCCUGGAAUUUGACUGUAACCCUUUGCAACAAGCCUUACUUUAUGUCUGGGUUCUUCAACUCUUGGAGUCCCCUCUUUCUUCUUAAACACCCAUUUACAGCAAACAACCUUUUUACCUUUAGGAAGUUUCACAAGAUCCCAUGUUUUAGUUUUGUGUAGUGAUUCCAUCUCCUCUUACAUAACAAAAUCCACUUUUCUGAGUCUUUACAACUAACCGCCUCAGAAUAAUUAGAUGGCUCUUGGUUUGCAUCUAUAUCAUCAGCCACAUUUAAAGUGUAAGCAACUAGAUUAGCCUCGGCAUACUUCUUUGGAGGUUUAAUUUUUCUUCUUAUUAUGUUUUUGGCGUUAGAGUAUUGUGGUGAAGAAGCAACUCUAUUUUAAAUUUUUGUACAGGCUUCAGUAGUCGACUCUGUUGUAGAUUUUGUAUUAAUCUGAUGCUCCACCUGCCUUUGAUUUUCUUUAUUGGAAGAGUCUUUAAGAGAUAAAUUAGGUAGCAUAACAGUUCCAUCAAAAACAACAUCUCUACUAAUCACAACUUUUCUAUUUUCGGUACACCAUAACUUAUAUCCUUUUACACCAGCUUUAUAACCAAGAAAAACACAUUUAAUAGAUCUCGAUUGCAAUUUUCCAUUAUCAACAUGAGCACACGUAGGACAACCAAAGAUCUUUAAACCAGAAUUGUCAGUAGGAUUACUAGACCAUACCUCUUGUGGAGUCUUUUUCUCAAUGGCAACGGAUGGAGAUCGGUUGAUCAAAAAACAUGUUGUAGAGGCUGCUUCAGCCCAAAAUGACUUUGGUAAGUUGGCAUUUGACAACAUACAUCGAACCUUCUCCAUGAUCGUUCUGUUCAUUCGUUCUGUAGCGCUAUUUUGCUGUGGAGUAUGAUAAACUGUCAAGUGUCUCAUGAUCUCUUCUGACUUGCACAGUUUAUUAAACUCAUCAGAACAGAACUCUAAGCCAUUGUCUAUGCAGAGAUAUUUUAUUUUUUUUCCCGUCUAUUUUUCAAUCAUGAUUUUUCAAGACUUAAAUGCAAAAAACACAUUGCUUUUCUGCUUCAGGAAGAACGCCCACACUUUUCUGGAAAAAUCAUCAAUAAAAGUUAGCAUAUAAUUAGCUCCACCUUUCGAAGGCACUCUAGAUGGCCCCCACAAAUCAGAAUGAAUAUACUCCAAUGUUCCUUUUGUGUUAUGGAUUCCUCUGGUGAUUCAAACUCUCUUUUGCUUCCCAAAAAUGCAGUGCUCACAGAACUUCAGUUUGCAAAUUCCUUGCCCAUCAAGAAGUCCUAUUUUGCUCAAUUCUACCAUGCCAUUCUCACUCAUAUGCCCUAGGCGCAUAUGCCAAAGUUUAGUAAUAUCAUCAUCUGGCAAGGAAGAGGAUGCGACAACUACAUCACUAGUAACAGUAGAACCCUGCAAAAUAUAUAACUUAGCAGUCUUUCUUUACCUUUUCAUCACAAUGACGGAACCUUUGGAAAUCUUCAAAACCCCACUUUCAGCUGUGUAUUUGUACCCUUUUGAAUCAAGAGUACUCAACAGAAUUAAAUUUCUCUUUAAUUCUGGAACAUGUCGUACGCCACUAAGUGUUCUGACAAAUCCAUCAAACAUCUUAACUUUAAUUGUUCCAACACCUACAAUUUUACAUGAAGCAUUAUUUCUCAUCAAAAGAAUACCUUCAGACACUGUUUCAUAAGUUGUAAACCAAUCCCGAUUAGGACUCAUGUGGAAGGUACAACCCGAAUCAAAGAUCCACUCCUCGCUCACUUUAAAAAUGUUGACGGAAGCGACUAGAAGUUCACCAUCGCUGUAGUCUUCUACAACAUCAGCCUUACCAGAAUUUUCUGGUUGUUUUCCAUUUUGAUUCACAGCCUCCCUUUUGAUCUUGUUCUGUAGCUUAUAGCACUCAGAUUUAAUGUGCCUUUUCUUCCUGCAAAAGUCACGAUCCUCUCCUUCAUCACAUCUUACAAAAUUUCGUUAGAAAAAUGUAAAUGUAACUGUGUUAACGCCUUUCGAUCCUUGUGCUUCUUCUCUUCCUCCAUCAAUGUUAAAGGCAUCUUAUCUACCCCUAGUAGGGCUUCCUCUAAGUCCAUCUGUACAAAAACUGCCUGCAUCUUUAUCUGCCAUAAUGGGAAUCUGGUGUUGCGAUCCAACAGCGGAAUUUCUUACUUUAAAAAUGCCAUUAUCGUGAUUGAGAUGAACAACUCGGAAGCUCUUAUACCAAUUUGUAAAAAUAGAAUAUUGGUAAUGACAAUAUAUCACAAAGAAAAUAGAAAUAGAAAUAAAAAUAAAGAAUACACAGAUUUUACGUGGAAACCCUUUCGGGAAAAAACCACAGGCAGAGGAGAAGAAAAUCCACUAUGUUGAAUUCGAAUUGAUUACAAGAGGAGUAGACUAUGUCUAUUUAUAAGCUUGUAAAACCUUAUUCUAAUAGGAGUGAAACUCCUUAUUCUAAUCAAUUUCAAAUAGAUGGAGUUUAAUAAAAUUUAAAAAACCUUAUUCUAAAAUAAAAUAAAAGAAGUAUAAUUCUAUAAGGAUUUUACUUUUAUUUUAUUUUACCACUGUAUUUUAUUUAAAUAAGGAUUCAGGUCACUUAAUUCUAAUAUUUCUUUUAUGAAAAUUUGAAACUUUUUCAACCUAAUCCUUUUUACUGAAACUAAAUAUUUUUACUGGACCAUUUCGAUGGCUAAUGUGACCUCUAUAAUUCGGCCAUAACAUUUGGGCUGGGUUGAGGAGGUUACAAGUCUCUUCAAUUUAUAAGGAACCGAGACUUGUUAACAUGCUACAUCAAUUACAAUCAAUCUUCCUAUGAAACUAACAAGAGAAUAUAUUCAAUCAACUAAAGAUAAGUCUUAAAUCUCCAAGGUAUACUUCCAUGUUUUUCUUGAUUAGAUUUGAUCCAUCAAACUUGAGAAGUCAAUUGCCUUGACCAACAGCCAAACCAAUCUCAAAGAUAUGUUGCUAUGUGUAGUUUAAAAAUCAAAUAUGGGCUAGAUGUCUUCAAUUAACUAGAUGGAGCCGAGUACAUAAAAAAACUUUAUAAUUGUUGAAAAACCAACAUGAAUAUAUGCCCAAAAUUGAAAACAUAAGUAGAAACAUUAAAAAUAAAUAACAUCUAGCCUUCAUUCAUAUUGAUUGAUAAUUGUAAAAUUAUUAUGCAUGGAGAGCAUAUAAUAAGUCACAACUACUAUGGUGAUCAGAUUGGUUGAAUGAUUGUGACAAUUGGGUACCUCUAGAAAUUUCUCCAAAAUUUAAUAUAUCCUUUUUUAGUGAGAACAAAAGAAUUAGCAAAAAGAAAGAGUUACACAAACCCCAACCUCUUUUAUAUAAAUUCUCACUCAAUUUAUACGCUUUACCCAAGUCAAAAUAAGCAGUUAAAAAAUAAUAAUCAGUUAAAAAAAAUCUAAGUAUAGUCCUUAGUGUGUAUUGAUCUUUCUUGAAGAGGAAGAAUGCACCAUUUGUUUAUUUCAAUAGUAAUUACCUAAAAUAUAGAAAAAUAUCUAAUUUAUUAAAAAAAAUAAAGACCACUAUAUAUGUAAAAUAUUUAUAUUUCAACAUUCUUCCACUUGGUGCAAUUUUAUAACAAAAUCAAUAAUAGUUUUAUACGCAUUAUGUGUAAGUAGAAAAACAAAAUCUUACGAAUUUUGGAGGUAAAUCCUCAUUUAGAGGAGUAUUUUAUGUCACAUCACAAAGCAAAUUUUUUUCUAAAUAAACUCACAUAUUUCAGAAAUUACUUUAUUAACAAACUUUCAAUGUUCCAAAUCCUACAUAGAGGUUUGUUUUUCUCAACCAAAUUUAUACAACUAAUUGGUACUUUCUAAAAUAGUAAUGUCCAAGUUUGAAUAUGGAUAUGUAAAAGUAUAUAAAAAGUAUCACGUGGAAUAAUUUAAUGGGCUACAACUAUAAAAAUAAUUCUCACGAAAUCAGAUUAAAAUUUUAAAUAUGAUAUAUUUAUUUAAUUUUUAAAUAAAUAAUUAUAAAAUUAAAUAUUGAAUUAUUUUAUAAAAAUUAUGUAAAAUGUGUUAUUAACGUGUAAAUAAUUGUGAAAACUAAUAAAAUUACAAUAUCGACACCAAUUUGUUUCAUUAAAUUAAAUCUCUAUAACAAAUUAUACAAUAUAUAUAUAUAUAUAUUAUGAAUUAGGACAUUACAUAAAAAAUAUUCACCAAACAUUACACAAAAAAUAACAUUAUAUAUCUCUAAAAAAUCACAUGUUUUUCCUAUUUUUCUAACUUGAUCUUCAAUAAGCAUAAUGAUUAAAAAAAUUAUAAAUUAAAUAACAUAAAUCAACUAAUUUUUUAUCCAUGAAUUAUGUUGAAUAUAUCAACUUUAAUAUUUUAUAUUCAUUUAUUAAAAAUUGUUAUAAAAUUUAUAAAAUUUCAACGUUAUUAUGAUUAAAAAUAAAAUUAUUUUAAAAUUAUAAUAGUUGGUAUUAUGCUAAUUUUACUUUGCUGGAUAACUGAGAUCCACGACCGUCAUAGACAAAAUCCAUUCUCGUUGUUAUUGAAACUUAAAACCGACUGUAAUAGCCCAUUUUUGCCCGGCCCAUUCAAAAUAAGACCAACCCAAAAUCAUAACACUGCCCAAAUUAAAUACAAUUAAAUCCAAUAAAACUUGGGCUAAGCUUAACCCAAUUACAGGGCCCAAUUAACCCACUAGCCUAAAACACAAAACAGAGAAACCUAGCAGCAAAAUCAACAGCCGCGGCAACCUCACCCACGCCUCAACAUCGCCCCACGUUCAGCACUUUGCGCACGUCCUCCACGACUUUCAUACCUACGAAAAACUGAUCCAAACGGCAAUGGAUGAAAAAUAACAGAAUAGAUUUUUAUUUAUUGUUUUUUAUUAUUAUUUGGGGGGGAUAUAAAAGGGUGAUUUCAAUUUGUAAAAGGGGGUUAGCAAAAUUUUUAUACCGAAAUCAAAAAGAAAAUAGACGGAAAGAAACAUUUUUGAAGGUGGGAUCUUGUUUUCUUUCUCGGUUCUUUUACUGUUUUUUUUAAUUUACCUUGUUCUUUUCUUUUGCUUCUUUUUAAAAAAAAUAACAAAAAUAAACGAAGAGGGAGAGAAAGGGGGCUUACCUGGUGUCGCCGGAGCGUCGUCGGAGGCCAAGGGACGGCUUAGCGGCGGUGGAUCUUUGACGGUGGCGACGUGUGGGGAGGGUGCUAAGAAAAACCUAGCAGAGAACCCCCACUUUUCCUCUCUGUUCUUUAAAGAAAAUGGAAUAAAGAUGUUUUUAAAGGAAAUUUUUUUUCUUUUUUCCUUAUUUUUUUUAUAUUAACGAAAAGUGGUGCCGUUUAAUGGCCAUUGAUUGGUUUUUUAUUCAAAUGGUUUAUUUUCGAAACUGGUCCUUUCUUGUUACAGUGCUUGUAAAUUAAAUUAUUUAUUUCUUAUAAAUUUGGCCACAUGUUUUAUAACUGUUUCAAUCUGACCCGUAUUGUUGUGCAGCGUUUUGGAGGGAGGGAUUAUUUUCCCUUUUGGUCCUUCAAAGUUAAUUGUGCGUUCUAAUUGGUCCAUUUGCAUCUUAUUUUUUAUAAAUUUGCCCUAAAUGUUUGUUUAAAGUUUAAAUUAGAAUAUUUUUUUUCUUUCUUCUUUAUUUCCAUUAAUAUUACUGUAUUAUUAUCAGUUUAUUAUUAUUAUUAUCAUAUUAUAUAGUAUUAUUAUAUUUAUUUAUAUGUGUAUAGGCAUAUUAAUAUAUAUAUAUACAUUUUAAAAUAUACACUAUAUGUAUAUCAUAUAUUUUAUUAUUACUUUAUUUUUCUUAGUUUUAUAUACAUAUGCAUAUAAAUAUUUAUAUUAUAUAAUUUUCAUAUCAUUUUUUUUAUUUUAAAGAAAUUCGAUCAAUUAUAUAUGUUCUUUUAAAUAUAUAUAUGUAUAUACGUUAUUCAUAAGUAUUUAAAUAUAUUUUUUGCAUUUGUCUCGCAUACAUAUAUACACAUUUUCAUAUUUUUAUAAAUAUAUUUUACUUAUAUUUUUUUAUAUACCUAUACAUAUUUUAUACCUCACUUUCAUAGUUUUUAUAUAUACGUUUAACGUAUGCAUAGGCAUUUUAUUUUAAGAUAUACUUAUAUGUCAUAAUUUAUUUUGUAAAUACACAUAUGCAUAAUUUAAAUUAAAAUAUUUGUUUCAUAUUGCAUUAAUAUUUUAAUAUAUUUUCAAAAAUAUAUAUUGAUUUUGUUAAAACAUUUAAAACGGUUUUAUGAUCCAAAGGCUUUCAAAAUAAAUGAUAUUCAAGGUGAGGGAUUUUUCGAGGGAAAUUGAACCCUAACGUAUUGGGUUCCGAUUUUCUUUAUCAAUUUCAAGUAACCGAGAAUAUUCGUUAUUUAAAAUGUAUAAGUAUAAAAAAAUCAUUUUCGGGAACUUUAUUUAUGGUGUCCUAACGUAUUGGGCAUGACAUAUUAUUUUCUCGAAAUGAAGAUUUUCUUUAAUGACUGAAUUUUACCCGGCCCACUCAAAAUAGAUCUAACCUAGCCCAAUAAACCCAUCAAAAAAAAACCUAGCCCUUUCGUCUCAAUACUGCAGCAGCAAGCGGUUUCCACAGCCCCGCAGACAUCGCCCACGUUCAGCAGUUUCCUCGCACACCACGCACGUUCCACCUGCAACAAAACCACAGACAACAGCAGAUAAAAAAAAAAGAGGCUAAAAUAAGAGGGGGAUUUUUUUAUUUAAGGGAUUUUUUUAUUAUUAUUAUGGUUUUUGGGGGGGAUAUAAAGAGUUGAUUGUAAAACCUAUGGAAAAAAAAAACAAUAUUGUAUGAACAGAUUGAAGAAACACAAAAAAAGAUUGAAAAAAAACAGUUUUGAAGGUAAAGGAUUUUGGAUUUUCUUCUUUUGUUCUUGUUACUGUUGGCAUUAGAUUUUUGUUUCUCUUUUGUUUUUUUUUAAAUAUUAAAUAAGCAAAAGGGAUAAAAGGAAAGGGACUUACCUUCGAGAGAGUGGUCGAGCACCCUCUAUCGUUGUUAUCUGGUCGGAGAGGUGAGGAGAUUGGAAGGGCAGAAGGAGAUCAUUACGGCGCAGUGUCAAAGAAAGAAAGAAAAUGUUCCUUUUAGGGUUUAAAAAGGGGGUUUCUAUUUGAUUUAAGUUGAUGGGUUAUUUAUGAUUUAGGCCCUUCAUUUGUUUUAUGGUUUUAAAAAUCACUUUUUCUUAUUUUCAAAUUUUCCCAUGAAAUAUUAUUAAUGUUUUGAUUUAAUCCAAUGUUGUGCAAUGCUUUAGAUUGGUUGGGUAAAUUGUUUUUUCAGUCCUCUCCCUGCUGCGCGUGUUUUAAAUUACUCCUUUUCUUGUUUUUAUUUUCAAAUUCGGCUCAUAAAUUCUGUUUGGCUUUAAAUUUAGUCCUUAAUUUGUUUUUUUUUUUAUAUUGUUAAUAUUAUUUAUUAGUAUAAUUAUUACUAUGUUAUUAUUAUAGUAUGUAUAUAUGUGAGCAUAUAUAUAUAAGUUAAUAUAUAUAUUAUAAAUGUUUUAAAUAUAUAUGUAGUACGUAUAUAUUUUAUUAACAUAUCAUUUUAUUUUUAUAGUUUAUAUAUUAUAUAUGUAUCCUAUAUUUUAUUAUUACUUUAUUUUUCUUAGCUUUAUAUACAUAUAUAUGCAUCUAUAUAUUUGUAUUUUAUAAUAUUUACAUAUUUUCAAUAUCUUAUAAUUCAAAAUUUUUUUUAUUAUAAUAUGUAUACACAUACACUUAUAUUAUUUGACAUCUUUAUCAAUAUUAUCUUUCAAAUCCCUUUUACAUGUAAAUAUAUGUCCAUUUUUUAUAUAAUUAGUAAUAUAUUAUGCUUACAUUUUUUUCAUCUUUUUAUUUAAGUUUUUUUAUUAUAUUAUUUUUAUACAUGUAUGUGUGCAUUAAUAUCUUAUCAUACUCUCAAAAAGUAAACAUUUUGAUUUUGUCAAAAUACUAAAAUUAUUUUUAUGAUUUAAAUGUUUUCAAAAUAAAUAAAAAACGAUAUUCAAAGUUAGGGAUUUUCGAGGAAAAGUGAGCCCUAACGUAUUGGGUUCCGAUUUUCUUUGUUAAUUCCAAAUAACCAAGAAUAUUUGUUAUUUUAAAUAUAAACAAAAAUCAUUUUCGGGAAUUCAAUAUGUUAUGUCCUAAUGCAUUGGACAUGACAUAUUAUUUUCUCGAAAUGAAGAUUUUCUUUAAAAAAUUAAUUAAUUAAAAAGUGAUAUUCAAAAUUCGGGGAUUUUGAGAAAUUGUACCCUAACAUAUUAGGUCUCAAUUUCUUCGCAUGACUUGAAUAAUUGAUUAUCCUUUUCAGAUUUCAACAUUUGGGUUUAACAAAACCUUUUUAAUUUUCGACACCAAGACAUUAGAUAAUCAAUUUGGUACCGAUUUUUUGGCGUUACGAGGGUGCUAACCCUUCCUCGUGCGUAACUGACUCCCGAACCCGUUUUCUCAAAUUUCGUAGACCAAAUUUGUUUUUUAAGGUGAGCCGGUCACACCUAAAUCAUGGAUCGGUGGCGACUCCAAUUUUUGUUUUCAAAGUCGACAACCAAAUUUUUAUUUUCAAAAAAUGGUUUCGACAGCUCAUUUUAGAUUCAUUCACGGGUUAAAAAUUUCUAUUUAAAAUCUUUUCAAUUUUUCGACAUCAAGACAUAAAAUAAUCAAAUUUGGUACCGAUUUUUGGGCGUCACGAGGGUGCUAACCCUUCCUUGUGCGUAACUGACUCCCGAACCUGUUUUCUCAAAUUUUGCAGACCAGAAUUUUUUUUUGGUGAGCCGAUCACACCUUAAUAAAGGAUCGGUGGCGACUCCAAUUUUUUGUUUUUAAAGUCGAUAACUUUUAUUUUUAUUUUCAAAAAAUGGUUUCGACAGCUUGGCGACUCCGCUGGGGACCUUCGAGGGUCGAGCCAUAAAUUGAUUAGCUUUUGUCUUUUUGUCGGAAGGGUUUCAAAGUUGUUUUAAAUCAUGAUUUUCCCCUUUGCAUUCAUUGGUUUUAUCAUAUACUUGCUUGAUUGAUCUAAGUCCGUUAGUUUAUUUGCAUUUCGCAUUUCAUGGUCAAUUUUACCCCUUUAAGUGGGAGUGAGAAACUAGUCCUUCGUGAAGUUUUCACCUCCGUGCAGGAUAGUGGAUCGCUUUCGGAAUACAUCUAUACCUAUGUCUUCGUGAGAUUUUCAUCUCCGUGCAGCCAUAGGGAAAUGUAUUCCCCUGAACUGAACUUGGUCCAUAUGAGCCUAUAAUGGGUGAGGAUCGAGGAAUCUGUUGGUUCGGGUACCCUUACUCUAGAAGCCAAAACCUCAUAUAGUGAACCUUAGGAACCCACCCUAGGUAGAAUUACUUUGAACCUUAGUAGACACCUAAUUAGGAGUUUUUACUAUUUCUUGGUUGUAUUGUAUUUAAUUGUUACUGACUUUUUGUGUUUUACUCUGAUUGCAUGGCAUUACAAUUACAUGGCAUUCCAUUAUAAAGAGGCGUUGUUUCGUAUUCGGUUGCUAGACAGAAAGUUUAUCAUGGGAAAUGGGUUUCUUGAUAAAGUGGAAGAUAAUACGGCUACCUGAAUAUAUUCCAAGAAACGCAAAAAGGGUGAUGGAGAAAUACAUGACUUUACUUCGUGCCUCAAGGUCAAGCUAAUUAUUCAAGAGUUUCUGACAUUUCAACCUCCUUAAAGAAGCUGAUAACCCUUACGAUGAUGCGCAGACGUUGGAUUAUAACCAGGAUCAAGUAAAAAGGGAGGUAGAGGAGAUACCCCUUUUGAAGAAUUCGCAAGAUUUAUCUUAGCAUCUAGAUGAAGAAGGAGAAGAUGACUUCGCCUGGAGUAUGAGGGCAAAGCCGUAUGUAUAUAUCCGCUUUAUGUAAAGAAAUUCAUCUUCUAGUAAAGUUUUCUAAAUGGAAUUGAAUCAGAAUCAACGUCUCUUUUUGCAUUCAUUCAUGCGUUUGCAUUACAUUGCAUCAUAUGCACUAAAAUCCACCAAAAGAGCCUAAUCAAUUAAAAUUAUUCUUUAGUUAACCUGGAAACCAACCAGCAAACCCAGCCCCGUUAUGGUACAAGAGCGAAAUCAAAGAAUAUGGAUCAAAGAUUAGAAAAGCUCGAGCAGUUCCAAAAAGAAAUGCAUAAGCAACUUCAGCAGCAGAUGCAGGAGCAGCUCGAGAAGAUUCAAGAGAAAAUGAUAGAUAAAAUGAUGGAAUCUCAAGGAAGUAUGAUGACAAAGUUAACGCAGUUGUUGAAGGAAAGGAAAGAUAAAGGAAAGAGCCCCAUGGCCAAUGUUGAGGAGGAAGGUGAUAACAGACCCCUGUAUCCUUCAGGCUUCACUCCCCCAGAUGUACAGCCUCAAGUGGAAAUGAACCAACGUAGAUCUUCUGUUACCAUUAGGCCUCAGCAAUUUCUGGCCGAUGCUUCAAAGGCGAUGAAUUAUCGAACUGGAUCAGGCUCUAGCCCUGAGAAUAUUCCCGUCAAUCUUGUAGUCCCUAACUUUGAUGAGGUGGUCGAAAAGAAAAAUGCAAAGGAAGAAUUGCCAAAGCAAUUGGAAGAAAGGUGGAAGUGGGUCGAAGAGAAGUUCAAGGCGAUGAAAAGUACUGAGAGAUAUGGUGAGAUUGAUGCUAAAGAUCUGAGUUUGGUAUCGGAUUUGGUGCUCCCUCACAAGUUCAAAAUGCCAGAAUUCGAUAAGUAUAAUGGGACAAGUUGCCCUGAGGCCCACAUUACCAUGUUUUGUAGACGAAUGGCUGGGUAUGUCAAUAAUGAGCAGUUAUUGAUACACUGUUUUCAGGAUAGCCUCACGGGGGCAGCGUCUAAAUGGUAUAAUCAAUUGAGCCGUGCUAAGAUUAGUUCCUGGAGGGAUUUGGCACAGGCUUUUAUGAAGCAGUACAAUCAUGUGGCAGAAAUGGUUCCUGACAGAAUUACUUUGCAAAACAUGGAGAAGAAGUCGAAUGAAAGUUUCAGGCAGUACGCUCAGAGAUGGAGGGAGGUUGCAGUUCAGGUCCAACCACCGUUCCUUGAAAGAGAAAUGGUGAUGCUCUUUAUAAAUACGUUGAAGGCCCCAUUCAUCACACAUAUGUUGGGAAGUUCCACAAAAAUCUUUUCUGACAUAGUUAUGAGUGGUGAGAUGAUUGAGAGUGCUAUUAGGAGCGGAAAGAUUAAUGCUGGAAGAAAUAACAGAAAUCAAGCCCCAAAGGAAAAAGAAAAUGAGGUGAACAGCGUGAACACGUACAGCAAAUCGAUUACGGUGAAUCAGCCAGGAAGGGUGGUUAUUAAUCAACAGGGUUCAUCAAGACAAGAAUCAGGUGUGAAGCCAGGUACUGAGAAGCUCCAGUUCACACAAAUUUCGAUGUCCUAUAAGGAGUUAUAUCAAAGCUUGUUCGAUGCGCAUGUUGUUGCUCCUCAUUACUUAAAACCCCCACAGCCUCCGUACCCCAAAUGGUACGACGCAAGUGCACAAUGCGAUUAUCAUGCAGGAAUUCCGGGACAUUCUAUAGAAAAUUGCAUUGCCUUUAAAAAAGUGGUCGAAAGGCUUAUCAGUAUGGGCGUUGUCAAAUUUGACAAUUCAUCCAUUGCAGAAAAUCCACUACCUAAUCACAUUUGAUAAUGGGGUGAAUGUGAUGCAUGAAGAAGUGGUAGGAAACGUUCACAUCAAUGCCAUACAUGGAGACACAACUAAAGAAGAGAUCUUGUUAGAUAUUCGCAUUUGUAAAUUUGGGAGUGUUUUAAUUAAUUGGACUGUAGAAGAAAUUUCUGUGGUAUUUAGAACUUACUUAGAGUAAUGUUCAAAACACACUUGUUGCUUUUGGCCUAGAGGCAAUAAGAAUUCCUUUGCGAAAUAUGCUUAUGUUUGAACGUCAUUAUUCUAUGAAUACAUCUUUACAUUCAUUUUUAAGCCAAUAUUCUUUCAUUCCUUUUGAAUAAUUCUAGAUUCUUUCAUUCUUUUGGAUUUUCUUUCAUACUAUUUGUUCAUUCAUAAUCAUAUUGUAUAGAUAGUUCUUCAUAAAUUUAUACAUUCUUUUGCAUAUUCUUUGAUAUUUAUUAUGGGCCCCCAGAUAUCAAUGACAUGAAUGACACUGCUACAGAUUUAGAAUCUCUUUUUGAGCAAGACAUGUGUUUAGAGGGAUCUCAUGACUUUGAAGAUGACAUAGAUCGUAGCCUAUCUCUAGCCUUGUUGAGGAUGGUAGAGCAAAAAGAGAACAAAUUUUAGCUCCUGAAGAGACAAUGGAGAUUGUGACUUUAAGAGAACAUGCAUAACCGGAGAAACGAAGCAAUACCUUGUUAAGUUACUUCAAGAGUUUAAAGAUGUCAUCACAUGGUCAUACCAGGAUAUGCCCAGGUUAAGCACUGAUAUUGUAAUCUGAGCAAUAGCACGUUAAAAAUCUGCAGUAUGUUCAGGAUUCACAUCGUGAACGAUGCAGUUAGAAUUCUUUGUUGGGGCAAUACCUUCUUCUCUGGCUUAUCGUGUUGAAGUCAAGUUGUCAUUUUUCUGUAUUUUUGUUGGAUUUCAUCUUAAUCGAAGAGGAAAAUCUAAAAUUUUCUCGUCAUAGUUUCGCCCCAAAAGGAUCUAUGAGAGAAACCUGAUACCAAAGAAGAUCUUUCGCAUACAAAAUGAAAGUGAAAGAUCUUAUGGGGAAGACCUUAUCUGGAAUAAUAUUGAUUCUGAUCGAAAAGGAUGACCUGGACUUGCCUAAUCCUAUGAGUGCAGAUUCAGUUAAAAAAAACAAAAAAACAAAAAACAAAAAAAAAGAAAGAGAGAAAAAAAUAGAAAAUAGAAAAAAAAGAGAACAUAAAAGAACAAAAAACAAAAAAAACCUCUACCGGGGCAAUGUCUUUCUCUUUAGCUUAUCACGGUUUUUCCAUUGAAGUUAAAAUUCUUUCUCUCCGAGUAUAGGCUGAGCUAAAGUAGAAUAAAGAUCCAAUCUCGAUGAUCAGUUGAACUUAAUUGAAGGAAAUUGGCUAAAAGUUAUUCGUCACGGUCAGAUGUACCAAAAACGGAUGAUGCGAGCUUACAACAAAAAGGUUCGUCCUAGAGAAUUCCAUGAAGGAGACCUGGUAUUGAAAAAGAUCAUUCCUCUACAAAAAGAUUUAGAAAAAAAAAUGAGUGCCAGAUUGGGAAUGUCCUUAUGUUGCAAAGAAGACAUUUUCCGGAGGAGCACUGAUCUUGAGUGAGAUGGAUAGUAAAACUUGUCUAAUCCUAUAAACUCAAAAUCAGUCAAGAAAUACUUCGUUUAAAGAUGGAGAGGACCAAGGUAAAAAACCCGCAAAAGGCAUUUUGAGUCGCAAAAAAAAAGAUGAGAAAUGAAAAAAUGAAAAAGUGAAAAAAUGAAAAAGUGAAAUGGAGAGGCUAAGGUGAAAAUCCGCAAAGGGCGCCUUAGACCAAAGGGGAUUUGAGUUGAAAACCCGAAAAGGGCAGCUCAAAUAUUGAUCAGAAUGGGCAUGAGGUAAUCAGAGCAGCUCAAAUGUUGAUUAGAAUGGGGCAUGCUACGCGACAUCUUGGGGCAUCGACAGAGUAAUGUAGAUCUCCUAAACACAUGUCAAACUCAAAAUGGUCUUCAAGAAGUUUGUACAGAGAAGUUCAAGCUGCGACAUCUGGGGCACCUAGUCUCCAUACUAUUUAUUUUGAAUUUGUUGUUCUUGGAAUACUUCAUUCUUUUCCAAGACACGCAUUCCCAAUCAAUUUCUUUGUUAUCCUUCUUUACUAUUUUUGAUAAUUUAUUCCUUUCGAGCUAUGCUCAAAACUAACUUUAUUCUUAUCCAUUGUUAUCACCUUUUUGCAAGCAUGUUGCAUUAGAAUAAUGAUUAAUGGACUAAUAAAACUUUCACAAUGGAAGUUUUGCAUAUUACUCUAGAAGUUUCUAAACAAUAUAGGAGCUUGAAACAAGACUGUUGUUUAGAAUGCACCAAGUUUAAAGGUUGAAAUAUCUGGGAAGGAAAUGUCUAAAUUGAGACUAUACCUUCAGAUUUUGUUGUCAUAACAUUGAUUGAACAAAAUGAUAGGACGAUAGGUUGGUGGCAAGGCUUAGAUGAACAAGAAAGCAAUAAUCACCAAGCAAUAAAAAAAGGGUUUCUUUGGAGAGGAGAAUCCUUCAUGCGUGCAUAAGCAUUUGGUAUGACACCCUGAGAUUGGUAUAAAAGACCAAAGAGCUUCACAUUUUGCAUCCUUGAAUUGCGAUAGAUGAGGAUUGAGAAAAGGCCAAAUUUUUCUACCCUUGGGUUACAGCGGGAAAAAGAUGAUACCAAUGUUGCAUCCCAGUAGAUUGAACUUUGAAGCUCACAAUGGGGGCAAUCUGAUUGAGUGUUUUUUUUUGAAGAUGCUAGCCGAGCAAGAGGACGUUGUAGUGCGUCAGUGAUACGGCUUUAAUAAAUUUUGAGUAAUGACUACCUAAGCGGGAUCAUUCUCGGAAAAAAUGACAUUCUGCAUUCAUUCAAACGUCAUUCAUACAUGUCUAGUUAGGAGCAUUUAAUUCUUUCUGAUCAUGACAUCCUAAUCACUAGGCAUAAUUAGGUUCAUAACUUGAAUUUUACAGGUCAUGUUCCCUAGAGAACCAAACUGAUAAAACUUCAGCCUUAUCUCCUUGAGCAGCAGUAGAGUAGAUUGAAAAUAGUAGAUUUUUAUUUCCUUAGCGUUGUAGCGGAGCAGAUUGAAGUCACAACGGCGGAUCUGGUUUCCCCGACAGCGCAAUUAAAAGAUUGAAGCCACAACGGCGGAUCUUACUUCCUUGGCGGUGCAGCGGAGCAGAUUGAAGUCACAACGGCGGAUCUAGUUUCCCCGACAGCGUAAUUAAAAGAUUGAAGCCACAACGGCGGAUCUUACUUCCCUAGCGGUGCAGCGGAGCAGAUUGAAGUCACAACGACGGAUCUGGUUUCCCCGACAGCGUAAUUAAAAAGAUUGAAGCCACAACGGCGGAUCUUACUUCCCUAGCGGUGCAGCAGAGCAGAUUGGAGUCACAACGACGGAUCUGGUUUCCUCGACAGUGCAAUUAAAAAGAUUGAAGCCACAACGGCAGAUCUUACUUCCCUAGCGGUGCAGCAGAACAGAUUGAAGUCACAACGACGGAUCUGGUUUCCUCGACAGUGCAAUUAAAAAGAUUGAAGCCACAACGGCAGAUUUUACUUCUCUGGCGGUGCAAUGGAGUAGAUUGAAGUCACAACGGCAGAUCUGGUUUCCUCGACAGUGCAAUUAAAAAGAUUGAAGCCACAACGGCGGAUCUUACCUCCUUAGUAGUGUAGUUGAACAGAUUGAAGCUACGACGGCGGAUCUUGUUUCCUCGACAUUGGAAUUGGAUAAAUUGAAUAAGAUAAUCCUAUCCCCCUGAAGAUGCAGUGGAGCGGAUUAACACCACGGAUAUUACCUUUCUAAAAUUGCAGUAAAGCAGAUAGUAUCAGACUCAUCUUUGAAGUUGCAGCAGAAUAAGUUAAAGUUACGAGUCUUAUCUCACUGAAGUUACGGUGGAGCAGACUAGAGAUUGCAAGUUUUGUUCUUUUGAGAAGCCACAAAGUACAAGUCCUAUCUCUUUGAUGUUGCAGUGGAGUGGAUUGAAGCACCGAUUCCUAUACCUCUGCAGACGCAGUAGAUUGGAAUGAGGCUAUUUGAAGAGCGCUAAGGUCCAGUAUGCCCGGGCAAAAUUGGCCAUCUUAAAGUCUUUGCUCUGUUCCCGUUACACGACAACGAGCAAAGAGGGGCAGCUGUAAUAGCCCAUUUUUGCCCGGCCCAUUCAAAAUAAGACCAACCCAAAAUCAUAACACUGCCCAAAUUAAAUACAAUUAAAUCCAAUAAAACUUAGGCUAAGCUUAACCCAAUUACAGGGCCCAAUUAACCCACUAGCCUAAAACACAAAACAGAGAAACCUAGCAGCAAAAUCAACAGCCGCGGUAACCUCACCCACGCCUCAACAUCGCCCCACGUUCAGCACUUUGCGCACGUCUUCCACGACUUUCAUACCUACGAAAAACUGAUCCAAACGGCAAUGGAUGAAAAAUAACAGAAUAGAUUUUUAUUUAUUGUUUUUUAUUAUUAUUUGGGGGGGAUAUAAAAAGGUGAUUUUAAUUUGUAAAAGGGGGUUAGCAAAAUUUUUAUACCGAAAUCAAAAAGAAAAUAGACGGAAAGAAACAUUUUUGAAGGUGGGAUCUUGUUUUCUUUCUCGGUUCUUUUACUGUUUUUUUUAAUUUACCUUGUUCUUUUCUUUUGCUUCUUUUUAAAAAAAAUAACAAAAAUAAACGAAGAGGGAGAGAAAGGGGGCUUACCUGGUGUCGCCGGAGCGUCGUCGGAGGCCAAGGGACGGCUUAGCGGCGGUGGAUCUUUGACGGUGGCGACGUGUGGGGAGGGUGCUAAGAAAAACCUAGCAGAGAACCCCCCUUUUCCUCUCUGUUCUUUAAAGAAAAUGGAAUAAAGAUGUUUUUAAAGGAAAUUUUUUUUCUUUUUUCCUUAUUUUUUUUAUAUUAACGAAAAGUGGUGCCGUUUAAUGGCCAUUGAUUGGUUUUUUAUUCAAAGGGUUUAUUUUCGAAACUGGUCCUUUCUUGUUACAGUGCUUGUAAAUUAAAUUAUUUAUUUCUUAUAAAUUUGGCCACAUGUUUUAUAACUGUUUCAAUCUGACCCGUAUUGUUGUGCAGCGUUUUGGAGGGAGGGAUUAUUUUCCCUUUUGAUCCUUCAAAGUUAAUUGUGCGUUCUAAUUGGUCCAUUUGCAUCUUAUUUUUUAUAAAUUUGCCCUAAAUGUUUGUUUAAAGUUUAAAUUAGAAUAUUUUUUUUCUUUCUUCUUUAUUUCCAUUAAUAUUACUGUAUUAUUAUCAGUUUAUUAUUAUUAUCAUAUUAUAUAGUAUUAUUAUAUUUAUUUAUAUGUGUAUAGGCAUAUUAAUAUAUAUAUAUAUAUACAUUUUAAAAUAUACACUAUAUGUAUAUCAUAUAUUUUAUUAUUACUUUAUUUUUCUUAGUUUUAUAUACAUAUGCAUAUAAAUAUUUAUAUUAUAUAAUUUUCAUAUCAUUUUUUUUAUUUUAAAGAAAUUCGAUCAAUUAUAUAUGUUCUUUUAAAUAUAUAUAUGUAUAUACGUUAUUCAUAAGUAUUUAAAUAUAUUUUUUGCAUUUGUCUCGCAUACANNNNNNNNNNNNNNNNNNNNNNNNNNNNNNNNNNNNNNNNNNNNNNNNNNNNNNNNNNNNNNNNNNNNNNNNNNNNNNNNNNNNNNNNNNNNNNNNNNNNUUAUAAAUAUAUUUUACUUAUAUUUUUUUUAUAUACCUAUACAUAUUUUAUACCUCACUUUCAUAGUUUUUAUAUAUACGUUUAACGUAUGCAUAGGCAUUUUAUUUUAAGAUAUACUUAUAUGUCAUAAUUUAUUUUGUAAAUACACAUAUGCAUAAUUUAAAUUAAAAUAUUUGUUUCAUAUUGCAUUAAUAUUUUAAUAUAUUUUCAAAAUAUAUAUUGAUUUUGUUAAAACAUUUAAAACGGUUUUAUGAUCCAAAGGCUUUCAAAAUAAAUGAUAUUCAAGGUUAGGAAUUUUUCGAGGGAAAUUGAGCCCUAACGUAUUGGGUUCCGAUUUUCUUUAUCAAUUCCAAGUAACCGAGAAUAUUCGUUAUUUAAAAUGUAUAAGUAUAAAAAAAUCAUUUUCGGGAACUUUAUUUGUGGUGUCCUAACGUAUUGGGCAUGACAUAUUAUUUUCUCGAAAUGAAGAUUUUCUUUAAAAGCUAAAGGUGAUAUUCAAAUUCGGGGAUUUUGAGAAAUUGUACCCUAACGUAUUGGGUCUCAAUUUCUUCGCAUGACUUGAGUAAUUGAUUAGAUUUCAAUAUUUGAGUUUACAAAAUCUUUUAAAUUUUCGACAUCAAGGCAUUAAAAUAAUCAAUUUGGUACCGAUUUUGGGCGUUACGAGGGUGCUAACCCUUCCUCGUGCGUAACUGACUCUCGAACCCGUUUUCUCAAAUUUCGUAGACCAAAUUUGUUUUUUAAGGUGAGCCGGUCACACCUAAAUCACGGAUCGGUGGCGACUCCAAUUUUCGUUUUUAAAGUCGACAACUACAUUUUGUUUUUGUUUUCAAAAAAAAAAAUGGUUUCGACACCGACAAUCUUUAAUACAAUUUCUUUUUUACGUUCCAUGUUUUUAUUUUUAUGAACAUUUAAAUUUCUGUUUGUUACCAAUAAAGUGUAAAACAUUUAAAAAGAAAAAAGAAAAAAGAAAAAAAGAAAAUCCUUUUUGGCAUUUGAACGCUAUGUUUUUAAAAAAUCGAGAAAUGUAUUUAAAAAUUGUUAUGUGCGAUUGGAUAUUGCAUUGCAUGAAAAAAAAAAACAUAUUUUAACGUGUGAUAUCAAUUUUCUCACGUUUUAAAACAUGAAUAUCAUAUUAAAAGUCAGAAAAGUAAAUGUUAUAUGUAGGAAUUUGUGUAAAGCAAUUUAUAAUAUAUAUUUUUAUUAAUUAGCUUAAAAUAGUACUUGAUGGUAUGUUAUUAUUUCACCAAAAAACUUAUAUUUCAAAUCCGCUGUAUUAUCUCACAAAAUUUAAACUGAAUAUUACAAUUUCAACUAAAUUUGAAUGCAUAUAUGGUAAUAAGCUUAACCAUUUGAAAUAUAAAUCUUUUAGCAUUUAAUAGUUUUAAAAUUCUUUUUGUUAGGUUGCGAAAUGUAUAUUAUUAAAUUUUCCAUAAAAAUACACCAUCAUUUUUUUAUUAAUAAAUUUUAAAUAUAAAAAGAUGAUAAAUUCUAUAUUGGCAUUAAAGUUUAUAUGGGAAAUGGAAAUGAUUUGUAUUCAAUAUAUGUGGUUACAAAAUUGAUUAUAUUUUGUAAAUGAUUAAUAUAAUUUAUUGAAUUUGAAAAUGCUAAAGGCAUGUAUGCUUAGAAAUCCACAAUGUUAAAAAGUUAGUACAUUACAUAUCAUAAAAUAAGAUUAAUAAUUAUUAUUAAUUUGUAUAACUCCAUACUUGCAUUAAAUCCACUGAAAGUGAAAUUAACAAUUUGGUAUUAAAAAUAAUAACUUUGAUUAUAAUUCGAUAUGACAGAAAUAUAUUACUAAGAUUAUUCCGAGGUUAUUUUCAAAUUUAAAAUUUAACAAUUAAUUGUAAUAAAUAAAAAUAGAAAGAAAGAUAAACUUUCAAACUAUGUAAAUAAACAACUGCUUAAAAUAUAAAAUAAUGUGAUAUAACUAUUCAUUGGAUACUUAGCAUAAAUUAUAAAUUAAAACAUCAACAUAAUGAAAUUUGAAAACGAAAUCAAUUUUAAUACAAUUAAAUCGUUAAGCUCAACAUCGACUCUACUGUUCUUGGAUGAAUGGGCAAUCCACUUGCAAGUUGUGCCAAGUAUCUUCUCCCUAUAAGAAUUGAUAAACUUGUGGUACAUUUCCAUUUCUUCUCGUAAUUUUUUAUAAAUCUUUUACCGGGGUAAAAUUGAUAUGAACAAAUUAUUUAAUAUAAAAUAUUAAAGUUUAUUUUGGAAAUUAGAAAAACUGAAUUGGAUUGGAUAAAAUUAUAAAGUACUGGAUCGAAAAGCCCGAGAAGUACUCGUAAUUAGACUCGAUGUGAGAGAGACCCAAAAACCCCUCAUGGAUAUGAAGAGAGGCAACAACCCUAGUAGGAAUGCCAAGGGAUCCCAUCCACCCUACUCCUACACUAAGUAGGAAGUUGUUUUCUAUUUGAAAUAAACAUCUACAAUUCAACAAGGAUUCUACCUUAUCUUCCUAUAAUUAGAUGACAUCAAUAGAGCUAUUAACAGAAUUUCGAGAGAUUGUUGCUCUGCCGAAAAAUAGAGAGAACUUAUUCUCAACUAUUAAAUAUAUUUUUCCAUAAUAACAAUUCUACCGAUUUCUAUUGAAGAAGAGAGAAUUUUCGUUUUCACCCCAAAAGGAAAAGAAAACUUUUCUAGUUAUAUGUUUUGAUUCAAUUGGUUUGAGCCCACACUCAAAGCAAUUCGUGGUACGAGAAUAGCGAAGAAGAUCGUUUGGUUGAAAGCCAGAAAACAUCAAGGAUUCGCAUAUCUUAAAAUAUAUGUAUGAUUUUGGUCUAAGGUUGAUUGCUAUAAAUAUCACAAACCAGGUCAGUUUUCAAAAUCUUAAUUUUCUGUUGUGCAAGAAAACUAUUUUCAAACCAGAUUUUUUCCAACAGUUUGUUCUCACAAGGGAAUACACUCACCAUUGGACCUUUAGUAUUUUGGCUUUUUUCACUAAUGGCCUCUUGUCUCUCAACCUUUUUUACAAUUGCAUCUUUCUUCCCUUUAACCUCCUCACAAAAUUUUUUCAUCUUGAGUUGAUCAUUGUGUACAUCUUUUGGAUCCAAAUGGGCCAAAGUAAAUUUCUUCCCUUUAAACACGAGUAACGGUUCAAGUUUUUCAUGAUGCACCAUAUCACGAUCAUAUUGUCAUGGUCUACUAAAAAGCAGAUGGGCGACAUGCAUAGGAACUACAUCACACCAAACCUCAUUAGAAUAAUUUCCAAUUUUGAAUGUUAUUAAGGAUUGUCUAACUACCUUAACUUUUGAACCUUCCUUAAGCCAUUAUAAGUGAUAAUGCUUAGGAUGCCAUUGAUAAGGUAAAGAUAAAAUAUCCACUAAAAAACUACUCACCACAUAGGUACAACUACCACUAUUAACAAUAAGAUAACACAACUUUCCUUGAAUCAAACGCCUCUUGUGGAAUAUGUUAGUCCUUUGCACUUCGUCUGAAUCCUCCCUUACUUGAAUGUUAAGGGAUUAUCACACUACACGACAAUGGGUGAUCUGCCGCAAUUCGAUGUAGCAGAUUAAACUAGUUCUCACAUUUAAGGAGCUUGAAUACAAACAUUUUCAUUAUUAAUUCAGCUUCUUUAGUUUUGUUUACAUUAAACAAAAUGUGCACAUCAGUCUUUUAUUAACCUUAAGGGCUAAAAGAGGCCUAAGGGAGAGCUAACGUAAUUUGUGAGUGUGUAGGAUACCAUUAGAGGGCAUUUCAAGUCAAUACUAGACGUUAUGUCACAACAUGGGGAAUUUGAUGUCACAACAUAGCGACCAAAAUAGAGAAAGUGAGAAAUUGUCUUUAAUGUCGCGACACAGGCUGAAGUGUCACGAGAUACCCCUAAAGAUGGCUACGGAGGAAUAUGUUGGUUGCUACGUUGUAACACAGGUCCUGGUGUGUCGCGACACCGACUCUGUGACAGGAAUAAAACACGAAGCAGUGUCAUUUUGGUCUGCACAAUUGAACUUUAAGCUUUGAAACGUUAGCUAACCUAGGGUUAAGAACGACGAUUAUCUGAAUGCUAGAAAUAGGCCCCUUUAGCACAUGUAAAGGACAUCUAAGUUUUAACCUAGUUUUCUUCUGUUAAAUUUAGUCUUUUUUUUCUUUCCUUCUUAGGUUUUCCUAGUUUUAGUUAUUUGCUUUCUUCAAGAGAUAUGAUUGUAAAUGAGAUAAACUUUUGCGGAUUCAUGGUUAUUAUCAAUAUCAAUCAGACUUUUCUUAAAAUCUCUAUUUUAAUCCAUUCCCUAUGAUUAAUUCUUCCAUUUAUUCCAUGUUGUUUAUGAAAGCCAUGAGGACCUAAUCCUUUUAUGGGGAUUAGCGAGUGGAAGCAUGAUCACUUAACCAUUUUGUAGGGUUAUUAACAGAUUAAUUGUUUGGGAAAGGAAGAAUGAGAAAUAAACCCUAGGCCUGACAACCCUAAGAAGUCAUCAAUGUGAUAAUUAACCCAAAAUUGGUAUUGCCCAUCCGUGAACACCUUGACCCCAAAAUUUCUUAACCUUCUUAAAAAAAUUACACAUUAACUUACCGUUUGUUGAAGCUCUUUCACAGAUGCCAAAUUACAUCAAAUUCUUAAAGGAGUUGUUAACGAACAAGAGGAUGUUAAACAACUUGUCGACUGUGGAGCUUAAUGCAGGUUGCUCGACCAUUCUCCAAAAUAAACUACCCAAAAAACAUAAAGAUCUAGGGAGUUUUACUAUUCCUUAUCUUAUUGGUAGUUUAAAUAUUGAAAAUGCUUUGGCUGAUUUAGGGGCUAGUAUUAAUGUCAUGCCUUAUAAAAUGUUUAAACAACUUGGUCUUGGGAAACCUAAACACACUAGGAUGAGUAUUCAAUUAGCGGAUAGAACCACUAGAUAUCCUAGGGGCAUUAUUGAGAAUGUCCUUAUGAAAAUCGAUAAAUUCAUAUUCCCUUUUGAUUUUAUUGUUUUAGAUAUGGAUGAGCAUAGUGAGGUACCUUUGAUCUUAGGUCGACUUUUUUAGCCACUUCUAGGACAAUUAUCGAUGUUGGUAUGGGUGAACUUGUGCUUCAUGUAGGUGACGAAAAGAUUACUUUCCAAGCACACGAUUCUGUAAGAGUCUCAUGUGAGCAAGAUGAUGUUAAAUGUUCUAUUAAUGUUAAUAAUCAUGUGGCUCAAUGUUCUUUGCAGGAAAUCCCUCGUGAAAAUGUGUUAGAGCCAUGUUUCAGUCAAGGUGACAUAAAUUGAGAAACAUAUGAAGAGCGAAUGGUGUAACUCGAUGAACUAGAUGAAUGGCGAAUGCAUGCUAAGGAGAAACUGAAAAAACACAAUGUAGAGCCAAAGUGACGCCAUGAUGAGCAACUGAUGAGAAUGAACCAAUUUAAGGUAGGCGACAAAGUACCGCUAGAAAAAAAGGAUCUACGGAUUUCUCCUUCGAAGCUCAAGUCAAAUGGAUCGAACCCAUUUACGAUACUUAACAUCUUUCCAUACGAAACAGUCCAGGUAACACAUUCUGAGUUUGAUACAUUUAAAGUAAAUAGUAGUCGACUCUGUAACACCCCUUACCCGAGACCGUUACCGGAGUCAAGCAUGAGGUGUUACUUGACGUAACUUAUUAGUUUGGGGCAAAAAAAAUUUGCUUUUAAAAUUCAUUUCACUGUUCACCAUAAUGUUGUGCACCUGCGCAGCAGUCACUAAUUUAAUUAUAACUUGAGUUAAAAAACUAAAAAUUUAGAUCCGUAAAUUUUUCCUGAAACUAGACUCAUAUAUUUUCUUACCAUAAAAUAUUUAGAAUUUUUGGUUAAGCCAAUUAGUACAGUUUAUUCAUUAAAGUCUCCCUUGUUUCACUGCCUAACAGUUCUGACCUUUACUCACUAAAAAUCAAUUUUCUCAUCUUAUGAUUUUUAUAUAGUGUUCUAACUUAUUUAUAAAGAAAAUAGACUCAUUAAGGAAUGCAUAAAUGUACAUUAUAACUCAUAAUUAUUUUUUUAAAAUUUUUAAUGAUUUUCUAAAGUCAGAACAGGGGACUCCAAAAACUAUUCUGACCCUGUCUAACCAAAAUUCAAAUAUCUCAAAACAUUAAAUUUCUUUGCCUACAUCGUUAUUUUUCUAUGAAAAUAGACUCGAUAAGAUUUAAUUAUAUGUAUCAUUCACUCUCUAAUUAAUUUUAUACUAUCCUUGGUGAUUUUUCAAAGUCACGUCACUGCUGCUGUCCCAAAACUGUUUCAUAGCAAAUUUUUACUCUUUCAUAAUUUCUAGGUAUAAACUAUCACCUAGGCAUUCAUAAUACCAAACUUAUUCUUACUUAGCCAUUUUAGUAGCUAAACAUUAUCAAAUAUUUACACAUCAUCCUUUAGCAAUAUCAUAAGGACAUACAUUCAAAAUGACUAAGUCCCUAUACAUGUCAUAGCUCAAACAUUAAUCAUCAUAAAAUACCAAGUUGUUGUUGUUGAUAGUGUGAGCGCUCUCCAACGUCUUUAAGAUCCCCGAAUUAGCUUUGCAAUACUAUAAAAGAAGGAAAAUAAAAGAAGUAAGCAUAAAGCUUAGUAAUUUUACAAGAAAAUAAAUAACAACAUUUAACACAAAUAAUUAACUCAAACGUCAUGAUAUUUAAUUUCCUCUUUACAUACUCUCUUACUCGUUCACUUACUUGUUUACUUAGAUAACUCAUGAUUAUACCUUACUCUUCUCUUGCUGAAAUGUUGGUUCUCAAUUGAUAACAUAAUAUGUUCUCAACUCUUAUAACUCACCUGAAUUUGCUAUUUAUGCUUUUACCUGAACUUUCAUGGAACAUAAUUUGUUUACUAGCUCGUUGAGCCACAUUGGAAUAAUAAGGAUAAUUGUGUCUCUUUUCUGAUAAUAACAUGCCAAAGUCAUGUCCCAGACAUGGUCUUACAUGGGAUGUUUCUUGUACUGCCAAUUCCAUAUCCCAGAUAUGGUCUUACACGGGAGUUCUCAUAUCGGUGCCCAUGCCAUGUCCCAGACAUGGUCUUACGGGGGGCCUCUCAUCUUGGUGCCAACGCCAUGUCCUAGACAUGGUCUUACAUAGGACCUCUCAUAAUCUCAAUGAUGUCAAUGCCAUGUCCCGGACAUGGUCUUACAUGGGAACUCAUCACCCAAAUGUCAUGACAUUUGUAUCCGAUACAUUCCUAAUGUUUCAACGGGGCUUGUAUCACUAAUUCUCUGUCAUCUCAUACUUGAGUCAACAUUAAAUAUUUUCAUGAAAUAAAUACAUAAUUGCUGAAAAAUAACAGCAUUAAUAAUAAUUAAUGAAAUAUUGCAUUUAUUUACCGUAAACUUACCUCGGUACAAAAUAUGGCUAAAUCUAUCAACUUAGUCUUCAACCGUUUUCUUUCCUCGGUCUAACUCCGGAUUUUGUUCUUCUUGAUCUACAGUAGCAAAUUUAAUUUAUUUAAUACUCACAUUUAUAAAAACAGCCCUCGACUCUAACUUUGGAAAAAUUACAAUUUUGCCCCUAAACUUUUGCAUAUUUACACUUUUUUCCCAAAGCUCGGAAAUUAAGCUUCAUCCCAUAUUCUUAUGUUUUAUAGCAUGCUGAACAAUUUUCCCUUCUAUGAUAACAUCAAAUUCCCAUUCUAACACUUACUUAUGAACAUUACGUAUUUUUACCGAAUAUGUCAUUUUACUCGUUUUCACUUAAAAUCGCUUAGCAAAAGUUGUUUAACAUAAUUUAAAACUUCAUAUUCUUCCAUAAAACAUCAAAAUAAACACAUUUCACCUAUGGGUAUUUUUCCAAAUAUAAACCCUAGGUUAAAUUAUUGCUAGAAUAAGCUAAAUCAAGUUACCGAGACUUCAAAAACGUAAAGAACAUUAAAAAUGAGGCUUGGGAUCACUUACUAUGGAGCUUGGAAGAUUGAAAACUCUAACUAUGGCUUUCCCCAUUUCUAAUUUUGGCCAAAUGAAGAAGAUGAGCACAAUUUGCCAUCUUUUUCCCUUUUAAUUCAUUUUAAUUACCGAAUUACCAAAAUGCCCCUAACUUAAAAAUUUCCUAUUUCACUUAUCUCAUGUCCAUUUUUGUCCAUAACUUAAUCAAUGGUCUAAUUUCCAUAUAAAGACCUCCAAUUUAAAAUUUCAUAACAAUUGGACACCUCUAACAUGUAGAACUCAACUUUUGUACUUUUUCUAAUUUAGUCAUUUUGACUAAAUUGAGUGCCCAAACGUCAAAAUUUUUGAACAAAAUUUUCAGGAAAUCAUUUCGUGAAAUUGUAGGCCAUAAAAAUAUAGUAAAAAUAAAAUUUUCCUCAUCGGAUUUGUGGUCCCGAAACCACUGUUCCGACUAGGCCGAAAAUCGGGAUGUUACAGACUCAAACUUUAUCUUAGUGUUAAAAUUGAUAUUAAGAAAGAGGAGCUUUGGCUCCGAGAACAAUUGUAACCGUGCGCAUACAGGGUAAGUUGAGCUUAGACUCUAAAUAAGCGCUUCUCGGGAGGUAACCUAAGUAUUUAAAUUUUUUAAUUAUUUUAAUUUUUGUUACAUGUUAAUUUUAAAAUUAAUUAAAUUAAUUUUAAAAAAAUGUUUUUUAACCUAUACGGCCUAGACACAUGGGCGUGUCUCAGGUCAUAUACAUGACGGAGCAAAUGACAAUUAUACAGUGUGAAGACAUGGCCGUGUAGGUCGCACAGCCUAGACACACGGGCGUGUCCUGGGCCGUGUGAGUCUUGGGACUUAAUUUUUCCAAUUUCGAUUGUUACACGCCUGAUGUGGUCCACACAGCCUGGUGACACGACCAUGUGCCACACACGAAUGUGUCCAAGACCAUGUAAAUACUGGAGUUAAUUUUUAAAUUUAAUUACAGUCUUGUGCAAGACACAGCCUGUCACACCGACAUGUGUGAGACCGUGUGCUCGUCACAGCCUCGCACACGAGUAUGGGAGAAGCGAAGGAAAAUCACACACGACCUGGCACAUGGCCGUGUGUGACACACAAGCUAGACACAAGGACGUGUUUGAGGCCGUGUGAAAAUUGAGCUUAAAUUUUGAAUUACACAUAGGAUGAACGAGCGAAUGCGUGGAGUGGAUCCUCCUCAAUACUAAUUAUCUCAUUCUGACCUUCAGGAUGAGUAUGAAGACUUCACUGAUGAUGUCCCUUUCUACCACGAGGAUCCACCUCCAGGUCACCCUACUACUACUUCUGCUACUACCCUAGCGGACCUCUUCGAGCAGUUCACUCGUUUCGAGCAGCAUUAUUUUGAGCAGUUCAACAAUAUUGAUGCGACUUUGUAGAAGAUCUAUUAGCAUCUUCAUAUUUCUUCUACAGUGUUGGCACUUCGAUAUCCCGAUGCCUCUCACGGUGAAGAUCACUGAUUUUUUUCAGUUUUAUUUUUAUUUCUUCUUGAAUGAGAGUUGUUCAACAUUGUCUUGUUGAGGUUCUGGAUUCACUUCUUAAUCAAUGAUAGGUAUGAGAACAUGAACAUUAUUAAAAGUGAUAGUAGGAACUGAGUUAGAAUCUAAUUGCUCCUCAAAAGCAAUGUCUCUAACCUUAUUUCUCCCCCCAAACUUAACAUCCUCCAAAAAUGUUACAGUUCCCGUCUCAAAAAUAUUCCUUAUUAUGGGAUCAUAAAACUUAUAACCCCUAGAUCGCUUAGAAUAACCAAUAAAGUAACUGCUCACUGUUUUGGAGUCCAAUUUCUUUUCAUGUGGCCUAUAAGGCCUUGCCUCAGCUGGACAUUCCCAAAUGUGAAACUGCUUUAUGCUAGGCUUUUGACCUGUCCAAAGCUUAUAAGGUGUUUUUGCAACUGCUUUAUUGGGUACUCUAUUCAGAAUGUAAGCUACUGUCUUUAAUGUUUCUCUCUAGAGGGACUCAAGUAAGGUAGAAUGAGCAAUCAUGCUCCUUACCAUAUCCUUAAGAGUCAUGUUUCAUCUUUCAGCUACACCAUUCAUACUAGGUGAUCUUGGCAUAGUGUAUUAUGGGACAAUACUUUAUUCCUCUAGGAAUUUUGCAAAUGGUCCUAGAAAUUAGUCUCCUAAGCCAUCAUAUCUACCAUAGUACUUACCACCACGAUCAGAUUUGACGUUUUUAAUCCUUUUGUUAAGUUGUUUCUCAACUUCAGCUUUAUAAGCUUUGAACACGUCUAGAGACUGAGAUUUCUCAUGAAUGAGAUAUAGGUAUCCAUAACAUGAGUAAUCAUCUAUGAAUGUUAUGAAAUAUUGUUGACCAUUCCAGGAUGCCGUAGGGAAUGGACCACAAAUAUCUGUAUGAAUUAAUAUUAAGACAUCUGAAGAUCUGUUGGCACCCAAUCUCUUGGUUUUGGUUUAUUUUCCCUUAAUGCAAUUGACACAGACAUCAAAGUUUGUGAAAUCAGUGGACUCUAAAAUACCAUCAGACACAAGGCGUUCAACUCUAACUUUUGAGAUAUGACUUAAGCACUUAUGCCAUAAUGAUGCUGAAUUUUCCUUAUUUAAUUUACGUUUAAUACCACAUGAUUCCACAUGCAAGGUUUCAUUAUAGGAUGCAACUGUUUCUAGCAAAUAAAGGUUGUCAUAAGUAUUUAAAAAACAAGUUCCAACAACAUUCGAAUUUAAAGACAAACUAAAUUGAUUGUUUCAGAAUGAACAAUAAUAAGCAAAAUUUUCCAACAAAGAAACAGAAACUAAAUUCUGUCUAAAUGAUUGUACAAUAAAAGUGUCUUUUUAAUUCAAAUAAAAACCAGUUCCUAAUAACAACCUAAAAUGUCCAAUCGCUUCCACUUCUACCGAUUUUCCAUCGCCCACGAAGAUGUGUCUUUCACCAUCACUUGGCUUUCAGUAACUCAGGCAACCCUACAUAGAAACACUUAUGUGAGUAGUAGCACCAGAAUCUAUCUACCAAGUUUUUCUAGGUACUAAACCGAAAUUAACUUUAGAACAAACCAAAUUAAGAAUUAUACCUUUCUUUGCAUGUCAGGCAUGAUAUUUGGUACAAUUUUUCUGCACAUGUCCAGACUUGUUACAAAAGAAACAACUCUCUGUAGUUUGUUAUUGUUUCUUUUGAGCUUGACCCUUAGUAGUUUCAUUCUGAUAUUUCCUUUUCUGGCCCUUAUGUUUAGGGGCAUUGCCCAAAUGAGCACUUUCAGACUUAUCACGCUUCAACAUUUCUUCCUCUUGCACACAAUGAUAAAUGAGCACAUUUAGACUCCAUUUCUCCUUUUGAUAGUUAUAACUAAUUUUAAAGUGAUAAAACUGUGCAGGAAGCGAUACCAAAAUCAUAAAAACAAACAAUUCUUCAAAAAGCUCGAUCUUAAGUGCUUUAAGUCUUGAAGUAGUAUGGAACAUCUCCAUAAUGUACUCCCUUAUAUUUUCUUGACCCUUAUACUUCAUAGACAUCAAAGAAGUCAGAAGUGAUGUCAUCUUAACCUUAUCAUUUUUAGCAAAAUGUUUCUCAAUUUCAUCAAGGAAACCCUUGGCCUGAGUAAUCUCUUCAAAUUCUGUGCCCUUAAAGGCUUUUGGAAUGCUGUGUUUCAUGAUCAUUAGACUCGUGUGAUUUGAAUGAUCCCACCUCUCAAAAUCCCUCUUAACAUCAAGGGUGCUUUCCACAGUGAAAUGUGCAGGUUGUUCUUCCCUUAGUGUAGGGUCUCUGUCCAUAUAGUCAAGCAUUAUAAGUAAGUGUCUUUUUCAUUCCUUAAAAUUAGUCCCAUUAAGCAUAAGUAUAGAAUUUAUAUUAGCAGAUAUUGUGGCAGCAGAAGAUGAACUAACUGAAUAUAGAAAAAAAAAGCUCAAAUCAAUAUUCAUAAGUAAAUAAUAAAUUCAAGAUAAUGGCUAAUCUCAUCUCAAGAUACCAAACACAUCAUUAAUAUCUAGUUUUUGGACAGUAAUAUUAACAAUAAGCGGAACUCUUGUUGUAGCAAUCAAACAUUGACAAUAAAUUUUGUCAAACAAUUAAUUAAUCUUUGGACUAACUUAUUGCCCACAUAAAAUACCUUAUAAUUAUCACACAUUUAUCACCACGGAUGUUGUUGAAAUUCUAUCAAAUAUUAACUUACCUUUGGGUCAAUCAAUAAACACAUGAAUCACAAAAACAUAUAAUCAUCUUGAUAUUUCAAAUAAACCAAUCUACGCAAAAGAGGUCACUUUGGCAGCAUUUUAUUUCAACUCAUCUAUUUAAAAUAUUAAACAUCCUUACUUAAAAGCUAGAAUCUGAAUUUAUUUGUUUCAAAAUAUUUAUCUUUAUCUUAUCUUUCAAUCAAAUUAAUAGAUAAUAGUAUAUACAUUUAUCUCAAAACUACAUACAUGAAGAUUAAAUAUAACACAAAUAUACAAUUUGUAUCAAACUCAACUAUAUAGACUAAAAAUAAAUAACCAAUAUGUUGAAAUCUAUUUUAAAAUAUAAUAUAAUAAUAUAUUGAUAAACUCGAAACAACCCAAAUUAUGUGAAUCCAGCAAAUCAUCCAACUAAGCAUGCAAUUCUGCUCAAAUUUGCAAAGUAACUUUGCGAAAAGAAAAGUAAUAAGAAUCGCCCAUAUUUAUUCAGAUUCAACUUGCAGAAUGUGAAAUACAAUAGUGAGUAGCCAAAGUCAUACAUACUUGAAUUCAAUCAUCAUCUUCAUUAAAACUAAAACGUCUUUAGCCAAAAUUCAUAAAAACAUUAACCCUAAAACUUCAUAAAUCCAAAAGAUUUAAUAACAUCAAAUCUAUAUAUAUCAAAUCUAUAAAAUCUCAAGUACGAAUUAAUUUUAAAAAUAAAAAAAAUUAAUUCAUUCUCAAUUAUUCGACAUGACGAGGCUCGGAUGUCACUUGUUAGUACCAUAAAUUAAGAUAUGAUAUAAAACUUAAGAAAUUAUAAAUUAGUACCUGGCAUGUCAAAUCAUUAAGAACAAAACAUGAAUAAAACUAGAUGUGGAAGUGUACCUGAAUCCAUGAAUUCCUUAAAGUUUUUUCGAAUCUUGGGGAUUUGAUCUUCCAAAUUAGCACACAAGAAAUUUAGAGAAUAUUUUCUCUCUUUCCUAAGGAUGGAAUAUUAGAAAAGAUAUCUUGUAUGUAAUUUGGGGACCAUAACCCUAAUAUUUAUAACUUUGGCAUAUUAGUCCUAAUUCCUAAUUAGCCCAUCAUUAAUUAGAAUUUGAUUAGAACUUAAUUACCAGAGUAUCUACAUAUAUUUGACCCAUAUUUUAUUUAAUAAUUAAAGUCAAUAAAACUUUAACCAAAUUAGAUCACUUUUAAUUUGGGCUAAUCUAUUAUGAUAGUUAAUAAUAACAUGUAAUUACCCUUAUUAUAUAUGUGAUGUCCAUUUUUUUUCAACAUGACUUUGUUGGAUGUUUAUUCGAUUCAACCAAUUUCAUUAAACCUUGCCCAAAAGAGAGGGAAAAAAGAAAAUCAUCAAACCUUCCAUUUUUGCGAACAAUGGGAGCAAACAUGAGAAACUAAGGAGGACUUGACUUCUCAUUUCGGAGAUUGUAGAAAAGAAGAUAAACAUACCGGAGAUGAAAAAAAAAGACAAAUAAAACCUUAAAAAACCCAACAUAUGAUAUUCAAAAUGACUUGGGGAGUUUGAACUGGUUGCAUGUAGGGUUUGGACUUUGGAACAUGGAAGUAGCCCGUUUGUGGAAUGGAAAAGUAUUUUGGAAUAAUUAUAGAGAGGUUUCUAAGCUUUAGUCAAAAGUGCAAAAUAUUAUCACGUGUCGUCAUUCAAUUGGGUAAUAUGCCACGUUAGCAUUUUGUUAGUGUAAAACGAAAGAUUUUAACAAGAGUGAUUAGUUUGAACAAUUAUUUUAUUAAAGCGAUUGAAUUGAGGAAAAAAAUAAAGUGAUCAAAAUAAGACAAACCCUAUUUUAGAGUGACCUUGGGUGUACUUUACCCUUAUCUAAAAUACACAAAAUUAUUUCAUUUGUUAUAAAAUUAAUGACAACUCAAAUAUGUAAAAUAUUUAUUAAAAUGACAUUUUAAAGUAAAACUAAAUUAAUUUAAAUGAUAUUCAACUUUGUUGAUAUUAUGAUAUAUGAAAUAUAAAUUUUAAAUAUUUUUAAGUAAUUAAUAUAAUUUAUUUUUUAAAAUUUAAUUUGGAUAUAUAAAUAAUAUUUUAAAUGUUAAAUUACGUAUAAAUAUAACUCAUAUAAAUUUAAAAACAUUUCAUAAGUGAUGAGAUAAUUUAUUCAAAUGUAAAAUACCUUUCUUUUCUUAUGUCUUUACAAUUAUUAUUAUUACCAUGACAUGUUUGAAUUAUUUUUAUAUUAACAAAUAUUAAAAUUAAUUUAUGAUAAAAAUAUAAUAAAAUAAUAAUUUAUUAUCAAUAUUGUGAUAUAUAAAGUAUAAAUUUUAAGUAUUUUUAUGUAAUUAAUAUAAUUUUUUUGUAAGAUUUAAUUUGAUUACAAAUUAUAUAUACAAUUUAUUAUUAUAAGUGAAGGGAAAAUUAAAAAAAAAAAAUUGAUUUGACUUGAAACGUGAUUUUGGAACACAAUACUUAACAAACCUUGAUAGCUACAUUUUAGAUUAAGAAAAUGAAAAAAAAAUUGUAUUAGAUAUUCUUCUACUUUGGGUUUUUUCAAUGUAAAGCCAAAACCGCUCAAUCGGAUUUGGUCAAAGUGAAAGCAAAACUGAUUAGGUUAAAAGUUAUCCACAAGUAUUAGUAUUUUUUUUUGUAAAUUUGAAAUUUAGGUUAUACAUAUAUUUAAAGUUUUACUGUAUAUUUGAAAAGUAUAUAAAUUAAAUUCUUAAAAAUAAAAGUAAUAGACUAAUUUUUAAAUUUAUGAAGAGUGUAAAGAUUUAUAACAUAUUUUAAUCAAAUAAAUAUAAACAAACAAAUAAUAAACAGACAAAAACCUUUGAUUACUACAAAAUUAUUUUUAUUGUAUAUUUUAUUCUUCUAUUGUCUCUUUCUUCUUAUGUUUUAGUUCCAUUGGAUUUUCUUACAUUUUUUUCCCCUUUCCUACCAUCAUUGAUGCUUAUGCUUCACCCACCCCUCUUUUUGGCCCCACUUAUUCAGCUGUUUGGUUCGGACUUUUUACAUUACGCCUCUAUUACGUCAAUAUCUCUGCUUUCUAUUCCGAACGAAAACCUCUGUUUAGCUUCCGUUUUACAGCUCCCAAUUUCUAUGCCUUUCUAUGCCCUGUUUUACCCUCCCAAUUGGUUUCUUUAUCACUGUAGACCGUGUAGUGGUGAUAGUAAAAUAAAGUACAAAAAAGAAAAAUUGUGUUUUCCGUUGGCUUUUAGGUUGUGAAUUGUGAAUAGAUGCCGUCAACGAUGGGAUUAGGUUUCAUGGUCGGCGUUUUGGGGGUGCUAUUCCUCUUCCACGCAGCUUAUUCCACAAUUCAGUGUAAAAUUUCGGUAACUUGGUAUUCAUCUCUAAUCUGAUUUGAUGGAUAAAGUUUUAAAUUUAUUUUUUGAUUGGGUUUUCCAGAUAGGGGGCUGUUGAAAUAUUGGAGGAGAAGUUUUCCGGUCCGCCCAUGAACGUAAGUUUGAUUGUUUUAGAUCUGAUUUUGGGCUAAUUUACUAAAAAAAGCCGUUUUUUUUCAAAAUUUACCGAAAUGGGCCGAUUUUUUUGAUUAUUUACCGGAAUGGUCCAUUUUUCGGGAAAUUACAUCCACGUCAGCGCGAUGUCAGGGUACGUGUCAGGACAUUGCGUCCACGUCAGUGCGACUUGCUGACGUGGACGCGAUGUCCCCCGCGUGUGAACAGUACCCCAACGGUAAAAAAAAAACUAUAAAAACCCCUCCCCCACCCCUUUUUUUUUCACAAACAAAUCCUAUCUCAAUUUCCUUCCAAAAUCCUCUCAAUUUCCUUCCAAAUUCCUCUCAAUUUCCUUCCAAAAAUCUCUCAAAUCCACAUUAAAUUUCAAUUUCCCGUCAAUUUUCAUUUUUUAAAAUAAUUUUAAAUUUUUUAUAUUUUUAAAAUAAUUUUAAAAUUUUUUAUAUUUUCAUCAAUGGCCGGAUCAUUGAUUCGUCUUGAUAGCAAUCACAUAUCGGUGGAGCAAAUGAAAAUGGUAAGUAUUAAAUUUAAUUUUUAAAUGUUAUUUAAGAUUUUUUUAUUUAUGUAUUUUUAGAUAAUUAUUAAUUUAUUAUUUGUUAUAAAAGUCUGAAGAUCGGUUAUUGGAAUGCAAUAUCCGGAAUAUGCAUGCUCCUCCAUCACCGUUAGUAGAGAACUACCUGCGGGAAACGGGUUUUUGGCAUGUGGCGACGGUAGGCCAGGGAUGCAAGUUGGACCCGAAACUGAUCAGUGCAUUGAUCGAGAGGUGGAGACCCGAGACGCACACAUUCCAUCUUCCAUGUGGAGAGUGCACUAUCACUUUAAAAGAUGUCCAUUUGCAAUUGCGAUUGCCGGUGGAUGGGCACCCAGUCACCGGGUCUGCCCAAUCUAGUAAUUGGGAGGCGGUGUGCUACGAGCUUUUGGGUACUGUUCCGGAUAAAAUGGAUGGAGGUAAGGUGGAGAUGGGCUGGUUACGUGCCACCUUCCCCGAUCUGAAUGCAAAUUCAACCGAAAUUGAAAGAAUCCGAUAUGCUCGAUCAUACAUUCUUCAAAUAAUUAGAGGUUAUCUGGUGCCCGACAUGUCACGGAGCCGUGUACAUCUAAGGUGGCUGCUAAAACUCGUUGAUUUUAGAGGAGCAGGUGAAUUUAGUUGGGGGUCUGCCGUCUUGGCAACAUUAUAUCGGGAGAUGUGCGGGGCGAUGCGACCGAGGAGAGCAAACAUUGGAGGUUGCGUGACACUAUUGCAAUCAUGAGCACGGUUUCGCUUUCCAUUUCUACGUCCUCGAGUGAACCACCCAUAUACAUUCCCGCUCGUAAUGAGGUAAAUUUUAUAUUACAUUUUGGAAUUGUUAUGUAGAUUUGGUAAGAAUAAAAGUAUGCUAAAAAUUUAUUUAGUUAGGUGGAACCAUCUGGCAAGUUAUCGUGGAUUACCGUCUGAACUUGAAGAUAUACGGCUUCUAUUGGAGCAACGGUCGGAAGCAGAAGUAAGUAUUAUUGCAAAUAGAUAUUUCCAUACAUUUGCUUGUGGAUUGAUAUUUAGUAUUUAGUAUUUAGUAUUAUGUAUAUAACUAAUAUUUCUAUCGUGUUCAUGUAGUUUCAAUGGACACCAUACGAGGAUCCGACAAUUCGGGCAGUAAUCCCGGAAGAGUUUUUACAAAAUCCGAACGCUUGGCACGCGAAAGUGGUGUUGAUCAACUAUGCAACCGUGGAGCCCCACCAGACAGACAGAGUCCUACGUCAGUUUGGAUGUAGACAACCGAUUCCUGCGGACCCUGAGGUGUUUGAUGAUCACCACAAAAUCAACCUUCGGCUAUUAGGUACGGAUUGGCCUAGAUACUGGUUAGAGUACACAGAAAUGUGGGAAAAUCGGCAUGAAUAUCUACCUACUCAGGAACAAAUAUCAUUCCGGAGUUAGCGUGCGUUCCAGAAUACAUGCCAUGGUUUAAGAUCCAUGGCAAGCCGUAUUUACUUGCGCCAGAGGAGAGGCAGCGGCAAAUACGUGUCGGAAGGGAAAGGCGAGAGCCUCUAAAUCCAAGGCGACAAGACUUCAAAGGCAGCCCCUCAACGAGGCCCAGACAUUCACCCGGCUCAUCAUCAGCGGCCAUGCAAUCACUGUCCCCAAUGAGAGCACCGACGCAGUCACCUGACGCAACAAUUCAACAGAUGAUACCCAUGCAAUCGCCUUUCCCUAUGAUGCCAGGUGUGUUUCCUAGCCCUUAUAUGUACCCUAACCCUUACAUGUAUCCUUUUCCGAAUCCUAUGGCAGGUUGGAGCCAAAUGCCCGGAUCAGCUCCAUUUCCUGUUAUACCGAGCGGACCACCGAUAUCUAGGCCAGUGGUGCAGGAGGGGUAUCAAGGGGGGCUGUCGGGGAGCUCUCCUUUUUAACAAUCGCCAGCAACGUAUGGCUUUCAAACACCGUCACCGUUCAUGAUGCAAACACCUCCACAUACACUAUUCUUUGAAGGUGGAUCAUCGUCCCAAGUCCAACAACCAGAUGCCGAACCGGAAGAACAACAAUCACCACCGGAGGAAGAACAACCGCCGCCGGAAGCAAGAGGAAGGAGGAACCCAGUACGUAACCGUCGACGGCCGCCAUGUGGAACCGAAUCCCCCGGGCAUAGACAUUGAUUACCGUAUUAAAAUUUAUUAUUUGAUGUAAUGAAAUAGAAGUUUAUUUGAUGUAAUACGCAUAGAAAUUUUUUUGAGUUAUUUUGAUAUUAUUUGAUAUAAUUAAAGUAAAAAUCCUAACCCUAACCUAAUUUAAUUAAAAACCCUAACCUUAACCUAAUUUAUUUAAAAACCCUAAUCCUAACCUAAUUUAUUUAAAAACCCUAACCCCUAACCCCUAACCCCUAAACCCUAACCCUAACCUAAAAGUAAAAACCCUAACCCUAACCUAAUUGAAUAAAAAAACCUUAACCCUAACCUAAUUUAAUAAAAAAACUGUAACACUAACCCAAUUUAAUUAAAAACCCUAACCCUAACCUAAUUUAAUUAAAAACCCUAACCCUAACCUAAUUUAUUUAAAAACCCUAACCCUAACCUAAUUUAAUUAAAAACCCUAACCCUAACCUAAUAUAAUUAAAAACCCUAGCCCUAACCUAAUUUAUUUAAAAACCCUAACCCUAACCUAAUUUAAUUAAAAACCCGUCCCUAACCUAAUUUUACAUAAUUUGAUAAUUUUACUAACCAUAAACAAAACCAUUAACAAAAGUUUUUGGGCUUAAUAAUUUUACAUAGUUUUACAUAAUGUUAGAUCUGGUAAAAUGUUUUGACUGGUACUAACAAUUAAGAAAUUAAACUAAUUUGAUAAUUUUACUAAAAAUUAAUACAAUUAUCAAUUAAUAAUUGAAUAAAAUAUAAUUUUUUCUAAAAUUACAUUCAACUAUUGCAAUUAGGGCAUGAUCGACUUGUAUGGCCUGGGUUCCUACACCAUCUGCAUAACUUCUGUUUACUGGCUGUUUCUCGGAUAUCCAUAUUGUUCCGUAUUCUAGUGGAGCAAGGUCGACCCUUUGGUUUGCGACGCAAUACUCUAUCCGGUAACAGCUUAAAAGGAGCAAGAGAUAUGGGCGGCCACUUACGUUCAUCUGGGACCGGUGGGAAAACGUGUCUCCAUACGUUGUACAUGUUUUCUAAUUUGUACACUUCGUCCACAUAACUCAGCGGAUCCAUACAGAGUUUUUGGCAAGCUAUAAUAACAUGAGCGCAUGGAUACCGAAGUGCAUCAAACUUCCCACAGUCACAAGUCCUAUUUCGCAAGUGUACACGAUAUUGCCCACCAACAACACCUUAGUGCAGUCUGUCAAACUCCGUUACGCAAAACCAUAAAUUGUCUCGAUCGUGACACACAGUGUGCAUGAUGUUUGCCCUCGCCUUCGCCUUGUUAAUUUCUUGAACUACCUUACUGCACCAUACAUGGCCACCCUGCAUCUGGCCUGCAUAAGUUACUACUCGCUUUGGAAAUAGCGCCGCCAAACAGAAAUAUGUCUCUCGCACAACCGAUGUUAUCGAUAGAUGGCGCGUUCCUUUAAGAACAGAAUUUAUGCAUUCUGCCAGGUUCGACGUCAUAUGGCCAUAUCGUAGGCCUCCGUCGUAUGAUUGUGCCCACUGUUCGAAACGUAUGUUACAAAGGUAGUCUGCCCCUUCUUCGUUUUGGGAUCGUAAAAUUGUCAACAUCUCGUGAAAACGAUCUUUAUUUAUUUCAUACCCUGCCAAUAUAAGUUCAUCGCGAAUAUUUUAUACCACUUCUACCAAUAAAACUAAUUCAAAUUGACAAACGAAAUAAUACAGUUAUAGAGUAAAUACCCUUGUUGGUCACUUGUCGUCGUUCGCUCUUAGAUGGAUAUUGUCUGUAGUAGUUCGAAGCAACGUGUCUUAGGCAAUAUCUAUGGUGUGUGCGCUGCCACAAGCCUCCCUCUCGAUCAAAUGCAGCUAGUAUACCGGUGCCCCGACCUGAAAUAACACAGAUAUCAGGAUGGGGGCACACAUGCCUCCUUAACCUAGAGAGAAAGAAAUCCCAGUCAUCAGACGACUCCCCCGGUGUUAUGGCAAAUGCAAUUGGAAGAAUUCUCCCACCGCCGUCCUGUGCCACUGCAACCAAUAGCCGAUGAGUAUACUUACCGAACAUGAAGGUACCGUUAAUUUGUACCAACGGCUUGCAGUAUGGAAAUGCGUCUCGGCAUUGGUUAAAGGUCCAAAAUAGGCGUUUGAACACUUGGCAUCCACGUAGCAAUCGGCCGUUGUAAUACGCAUGUUCCGUUUCAAUGUCUGUGAUGGCACCUCGGACGUAUCUCUCUAGCACCUGACACCACUGCCAUAUUUCAUUAUAUGAGGCGUCCCACCCACUAUGCAUCUUCUCCAACGCCUUUUGCUUAGCUAUCCAAGCCUUGCGGUAAGAGGGCGUGUACCCCAUUUGGCUACGGAUAUUGACAAUUAUCACCGGUACUGAAGUUCUAGGAUCUACUUUUAUCGUGGGCAGUAUCAAGCUAGCCAACAUAGCUGAAUCCAUUUUGGGAUGAUCUUGUGAAACACCUACAGAGGGAGGGAGUACAUUAAAUAAUGCAACAUUGCAAAAUAAAAUUAUUAUUCAGAUACAUUCAAUACUGUACCUGCAGCACAUGUAUGUGGACCUUUGUACUUUUUUAUCUCCCACAACCCUAUCCUUUUCCUUAACGAGGCAACGAUUUUCCAUGAACAUGUGCCGUCUUGCACCGCACACUUCGCCUCAAACUUAUCAGAUUUUGAUUUAACGACGUGGUAAUUAACGCUGUUUUUGAUGCUAUGCUGUUUCAAAGCACCAAUAAAACUAUCCUUAUUGGUAAACUGAUUACCAACUUCAAGUUCACCGAAAUCUACCCCCGAACUUGUACGAUCGUUCAACCGGUGUGGUAGAUCUGGAAACUCUUACGCAUCAUCUGCUGACAGAUGACAUUAUGUAUGUGGGCUAGAGGUGAGUAUGCUCUGAAUCGUGGAUUUUCUUCAUCAUCUGAACUCCUUUCACCAUCUUCAACUUCUGUUGGAAUAGGCUCCGGUUCAAAAAAUAAUCCCACCUCUGCACCAUCCGGCCCGGGCUCUCGAGGUGGAUCCACACCGGAGUCAUCUUCUAACCCACAAUCAUCUGCAGCAUACGACGUCCCCUCACCGGUUGAUGUCGUAGGUAAUACGUUAUCCCUUCUUCUGGGCAUUUGAUAACGUCACCAAUUGGAUGUAGAUUGCUAUCCACUAGAACUUGAUGCAGUUCCCUAGUACGUAUUUCCAGCGUCAAACGUCGAGCCACCGACGUACAUGUCCCAUCCACCGACAGAGUGUCUUGCAGGGGAUGUGCAUUCGACACCGCUACCGAACAUAGGCUGUUCCGUAUUUUGUAACCCGCUAAUCGAGUGUCGGCCAGGGGUCAUGUAUACAUCUCGAACACCGGACGGAAGUACAUCAGUUGGCGACGCAAAUUGUACAUAUAACUCAAUAUAAGUUGCUCCGCUAGCAAGAUGAGUCUGCACCAUUGUCUCCAAGCUACGAGCACCUUUUAUGUCGAACGAGUCAUAUGUCACCGGAUCAACACAAGAACAAAAUCGAUACGUGAUUGACAGAACUUUCAUUGGCGUCGUUCCGAAGAUUUUACGCCUAAUUCUUUUACGAAGUUCUGUCAAAUCUAUGUUCUGGUUAAAUGACAGUCGCACCGUAUUCUCCGACAAAAAAAACACCAUUCUCAGUGUGGCAAACCUCACCAUCGUAGUAAAUAACGGCACUAAUACGUUCACUCAUUUUGAAACUCUAACUUUCUUAGCCUCUCUAAAAUGUUUCUGCUAUGACUUAUGCAUUCUAAGAACAUUUUCUGCCUAAUUUAUAGCCUCAGCCCAAACUUGCUACUGUAGUAAAAUCGCGUCCACGAGGGCGCGAUUUUAUAGUAUUUGCUCAGAAACGUCAAAAAAAAUUAUUUCUUAAAUACCCAACUGUAGCGAAAUCGCGUCUACGAGGGCGCGAUUUCACAAAUUCUUCUCAAAUAGCAUCCUGGUAGAAGCGAUUUUAUACUAUUUGCUCAGAAGCGUAAAAAAAAAAUUAUUUCUUACAUGACCAACUGUAGCGAAAUCGCAUCCACGAGGGCACGAUUUCACAAUUUCUUCUCAAAUAGCAUCCUGGUAGAAGCGAUUUUAUACUAUUUGACCAAAAACGUCAACUCGAAAUAAUUUACCGGGACCGCUAAACCCUAAAAAGCCUGCACCCUAAACCCUAAAAGCCAGAAAACCCAAACGUGAAAUCAACGUCAAAAUCGCGUCCCCGGGAAUGCGCUACGUGGCAGGACAUCGCGUCCACGUGGACACGAUUACCCGGAAAAUGGACCAUUCCGGUAAAUAAUCAAAAAAUCGACCCAUUUCGGUAAAUUUUGAAAAAAAACGGCUUUUUUUGGUAAAUUAGCCCUGAUUUUGUUAAGAAAAUUUUGUUCUUUAAAUCUAAAGUAAGUAAAUUGAUGUGAUAAGUGCAGGUGGUUUGAGAGUUGCUUCUAGGGUUUGUUUUCUGUAUUUCAGCUGCCCUAACCGUGCCCGGGUAUUUUCUCUCCAUACAUCCUGAUUCUGAGGAGAAUAGGUAUGUAGAAACUAUAUAUUUGUUUCUGUUCUCAAUGUUUAUAAAGAUAAAUUAUUGGUUAAGAGUGGAGUUCAGCGGAUUAAUUUUCCAUUAGGGAUCAGAUCAGAUUAUCUAAAGUUGUUGCUGUUUGCAUUCAUUUAACUUUGUGGGGAAGAAGGAAAGUUCUGGGUCCUAAGAAAUGUUACUUGGAUUCUGCAUUUUUCCCUGAAGUAUCUGUGAUAUUAGAAACAUUUAUGUUCAACACAUCCGUUGAGGCGUGACUAAAAUGUGAAUAGAACUUAGAAGAUUGGGCAUGUAUGUGUUGAAUAUACCUUUAUCUGGCGAUUUAGUCUGGGUAGCGUAGUAAAUGAAGUUGUUAUUGAUGUCUUAGGAAUCAUGAUCAUGUUCGGACUGCCUUUUAGCAUCUUGUAUAGUUGAAAUAAGCUGUGUGCCCCACAUAUGAUGGUGUGAUUGUAUUUCAUAAACUACCUUUAUCAAAUUUGCUGUGCGUAAUCUAACAUUUGCACCUAGUGAUUUUGAAUUGAAUGUUAGUAGGUAAUCACAGGUGUGAAUCUUCACCAGUUUUCACACAGACCAAUAUGCCAUAGAAGGUCUUAGUGUGUUUAAUCUUUGAGUAUAUCCUCUUGAAGAAUUUUCCUCUACACUCCCAAGUAGAUCCACAAUCAGCUAUAUCUUUUGAAUAAUGAACUCAAUAAGAAUUUGGCCAAAUUGGUUUUGACUAAUCAUUAAUACAGUAAACAAGCACUGCAAAAUUCUAUGGUAAUAAACACACUACUGUGCUUUGCUAAAUUUAUAGCUAUAAUGUAAUUUCUCUCAUGAACCUCUCAGCCACAUGCUCAUGCAUACUGGCUGAUUAUUCUUUUCAAUUUUGGUAGCUCUUCAACGUGAUGCUUUCCAUAAAAAGGUGUGCUAGUAAACUUCAAUAUGUGAUGCAUAACUCAAAUUGUGUUAGUAGGAAGUGAAAAUUUUAGAAUUACUACUAUUGCUUUAUUGUUGUACAAUUAUUAUAUGGCUCUCUGAUAUCGAAAAGUAUAAUCUGGAAUGCAGGAUUGUUUCUUUAUCAGCAAACUUGGACUUUAUGAUCUUCAAUCACAGAGCGAAAGCACUUCCUUUAGAAACUGAUAUGAAGCUGAAGCAUUAAGAUCAAUGAAGCUUCAUGGUCCUUUGAUUAAGGAGAUUACGACUGUUGGCAGGUCUGUUGAACGUAAGAGUAGAGAGCCUAUGUCUCAGGUCAUUGUCAAUUGUUUUCUGAAGUGGUAAUGUUUUUUAACCUUUCAUUACUUGCUAGAAUAUGGCUUUUGGCUUUCUUGUUUACUUCUGUUACUUUGCCUGACAUACUGAACCCUAGUUUUUAGUUGGAAUCAUUAUAAGGGAUUCUACCUGGCCAGCAAUUCAAUAUAUUAUUCUUCUUUACAUUUUCUUCUGUCUGUAGUCCUAACCUGUUUCAUGUUUGGCACAGAGCAAAUUCUUGAAUUUCCAAUUAUAUCCAAUCCAAAGUGGGUAGUAAUUCUUAAACUCCAGCUAUAAUCUAAUUUUAAUCCUUUUAUUCAUUGCUGUUGGUUUGUUGUUGAAUUGCAAUCGACUUCAACACAGUCCUCUUAGUAAUCUUUUAGUAAAAGGAUUGAGCCUAUCAUAUCGUCUAUCUUUUAGAUAGUUACAAUGUUAUCCAGAUAUGCAAGACCGACUGAACACAAACUGAAAAUUUAACCAUGAAUCGUGCGCUGUCGUGGUUUUGAAUCAUGAAUCGUGCACUGUCGUGGACAAUUUAACCAUGCAUGCACAUUUGAUGCACGAUAUUUAGUCCAACGUCAUGAAUCUGGUACAAACAAUUUUCCUCUGCAACCCAAAAUCGGGGGCAACGUUUUGUCUACUAAAGAAACAGACGUGGCAGCUUCGGCAUCAAUUGGUAGACUUGUCAAAGACAGCUCUGCAAAAGUGCAAAACGUAUCAUCAUCUGGUGCAAUAAUAGAGUUUCGGAUUGAUCUGUUGCUCGAGGAGUAUCAAGUUGACCACCAACUCCAUGCGAAAUUCUUGGGCAAGAGUUGCAAAAUACAUUCUAAACUCGAAGAUAUGUUGUUCACAUGUGAAUGCAAUAAUGCUUGAACCUGAAACACUGCAAGUUUAACUAAAAUAAUGUGUACUUCUGUAUAAAUAAAUAAUCAAUGCAAUCCUAGGGUUCACAUUUUAAGGGUAAGUCAGACAAGCUCAAUUGACAAGACUACAAAGAAUAGCAGAAUGCAUAUAAGAGUGUGCAAUGAAGCAACUAAAGAGCAGUUUCCUCUCCAAUUUUAUGAUGCAAACCAAAAAUGGUAUAAGCAAUACAAAGUGUUGAGAAUUCAGGACCCUUUAGAAAAGGGGAAUUUCUCAGUUGUGCUCGAGAAUGGGUGAGCUAAAGUUAUUUGUUGUACUCAGAUAUCUAGGAUACUCACCGUUUAUCAAGUUACUAAAUCAAGAAGAACAGGAAUAUGGUUCCACUCAAAAAGGGUGCUCUAGUCAUCUUUGUAAAGCAAGAUGAAGCAUGGAUGGAAAAUCAAGAUCCACGCUACCCAAAAGUUUAUUUUGUUAGUUAUAUGACAUGGCGGUUUAUGAUUUGUUGAAUUUUUCUAACGGAUAUAACAGUAUAAAAUGAAUGAAAGUUGCAAAGAUAAUUUUAAUUUCUAUUUUUUGCUUCGUAAAGAUUCUAAAUUUGUAGAGUUCAUUUUAGUAAAUUAUAUAUUAUGAUUAUUAAGACUAAGAAUUUUAUUAAAUUAUAUAUUUUUAUUAAAUUAUAUUUAAUAAUUAUUAUUUUAAAUUAUAUUUUAUCGUAUUAUAUAUUAUGAUUUUAGUAAAUUCAUAUAAGAAUAUUUAAUACUAAGAAUUUUAUUAAAUUAUAUUUAAUAAUAAUUAUUUUAAAUUAUAUUUUAUAGUAUUAUAUAGUAUGAUUUUAGUAAAUUCAUAUAAGAAUAUUUAAUACUAAGAAUUUUAUUAAAUUAUAUAUUUUUGUUAAAUUAUAUUUAAUAAUAAUCAUUUUAAAUUAUAUUUUAUAGUGUUAUAUAUUAUGAUUUUAGUAUAUUCAUAUAUUUUAUUAAAUUGUAUAUUUUUGUUAAAUUAUAUUUAAUAAUAAUUAUUUUAAAUUAUAUUUUAUAGUAUUAUAUAUUAUGAUUUUAGUAAAUUCAUAUAUUUUAUUAAAUUAUAUAUUUUUAUUAAAUUAUAUUUAAUAAUAAUUAUGUUAAAAUAUGAUUAAAUUAUUUAUUAUUUAUAUUAAUAAUCUUAUUAAAAUUUAAUAACAAUAACAAUAAUCAUCUACCUAAAAAAAAUUAUGCUAAGGGUAUUCUAGUCAUUUUAGUUUUUUUCCUUAUGCUAUUACAACAUUAUUCCAUUUAACCAAACACAAGAAUACUAUUACGCCUUUAUUCCAUUCCAAUCAACCAAAUAAAAUGAUUACCUAUUACGCCUCUAUUCUAUUACACAUUUAUUCCAUUACAGCGAACCAAACGAGCCCUUAGUGUUAUAGACUUAUAGUUAUUUUCUAUUAUUAUGUACUCUAAUAUUUUUCGUGUCUAUCUUUUAGUGUGAAAAUAAGAUUCAAGAAUAAUAAAACAAGCCAAGAGAAAAGUUAAAUUGCUAGCAACGUACACAUGAUUUACUACAUUUUCAAACAAAUUCAUAUUUAAUACAUUCUUGGUGUAUAAAUUUAUAUGCGGACAAUAACUUAAGUAAUGCAAUGUACUAGAAAUAAAGGUGAAUAUUUGGUUGGGUCGAGUCGAAUCGAAUAAAAAAAAUUGAGUUUGUCGAGUUGACGAAUUAUAUUUUAGCAACUAAACUCAAUUUGAUUUUUUUAAUCAAAUUAAAUCGAAUAAAAAAAUUUCGAGUCAAGUCAAGUCAGUUAACGGAUCUUAUUAUUUAUACUCAAUGUUGCGUUUACAUGGACUGAUUAUUUAACUAGUAGACGAAAUACAAGAUUAUUGAACUACAUAAACAAUAUAAUGAUUUUCUCUUUUAACUUAAUAAGUAAACAUUUAUCAAAACGACGUAGCUUUGCCUUUUAACUUAAUAGUUUUGAUUUUUAACUUUAGUAAAGGUAAACAUUUAUCAAAACGACGUACUUUUUUCUUUUCUUAUUCAGAUUUUCGGAUAAUUUGAAUUGUGCAAUUCAUAUUCAAGUUAAACCGAAAAACUUAAUUUUUUAUUCGAGUUGAUCCGAAUAACUUGAUUAACUCAAAUAACUCAAACUAUUUAAUUCAAAAUUUAAAUUUUUUAUCGAGUUUUUCAAAUCAAAUCGGAUUUUGCUCAUCCCUAGUCAGAAAAUUCCAUAAACUACUAAAAAAAUUAAUUAUAUUACCAAAAAAAAAAGUUUGAUUAUAUUUAUUUCAUUUUGAGAAAUUUUAUUAAGUGUGAUGUGUUGUCAAUAUAUAUAUUGCGACAAUGUAUAAAAUACAUAUACCAUUUUAAAAACACUUCAACUUUAUUAUACAGAUACAUCUUGUUAUAUCACAAUACAAACAUUAUCUUGAAGUUUGCAUUUCUACAUGCGAUAAAUGGGCUUGGCACAGAGAUUAGUCUUCCUUGGCAAUGAGGCACUAAAUUUCUCAGUCAUGUCCAAAUCAUUUGGUGACAUUCCACCAGGCAACUCCCAAUCAAAACAAUGCACCAAUUGAGCUAAAAUAAGUUUAACUAUGAUUAACCCUAACUUCUUCCCGGGGCAUACUCUACGGCCUAAACCAAAUGGGAUGAGUUCAAAAUCAUGUCCAUGACGUUCUAUAUUGCUAUUAAUGAACCUUUCUGGAAAGAACUCUUCAACAUUAUUGGACCAGACAUUAGGAUCUCUCCCAAUUGCAAAAACAUUCACAAUGACCCUCGACUUUUUCGAUAUGUAACAACCAUCAAUAAUUAUGUCCUUCAUUGACUCGCGAGGAAUUAGCAUAGGUGCAACGGGAUAAAGCCUUAAAGUUUCUCUCACAACCAUGUCUAGGUACUCCAAUUUGGGUAAAUCAUUUUCUUCCACCAUUCUCUUCCCGAUAAUACUUUCUAACUCUGAUUGGAGUUUUAACAUUACCCUCGGAUGCCUUAUGAGCGCUGAUAAUGCCCAUUCCAAUGUGGUAGAUGAGGUGUCCAAGGAAGCCACAAACAUAUCUAUUGUUAUGGCUUUGAUGCUAUUUCGAUCCAUUAUAUCACCAUUGGGAUUCAUUUGCUUAUUUAACUCCGUAAGCAUCGUACCGAUGAAAUCAUCCUGCUUUUGCUGUUGAUGGUCGUUAAUGAUCAUCUCGAGGGCUUUGUCAAGUUUUUCACCAAGCGUCCUUGUUCGAGCUUUGAGUCCCUACAUGGUUGACAAUAAUCAACACCUUUCGCUUAGUGGUUGUUCAUAAUGUGUAUGGUUAAUUUCUUUUGAAAUAGUAUAUUAAAAUACACACAAACAUAAUACCUGUAGGUCAAAAGCACCAAAAAAAGGCACAAAAUCUGCAAGAUUGAAAACUCCUACCAAGUUAGUAAGCUCUUCAAUAAGCUCCUGAAGGUUAAAUUCCUCAUACCUCUCCACAGGCCCCAAAAUCAUUUUUAGAGUAAUCUUUUCAAUAAGAUUCCCCACCAUCUUACUAAUGUUAACCACUUCCUUUCUUGUUGCUGCUUUCUUCAAAGAUUCAAUGAAAUGCGUUAGCACGUCCUUCCUCGAUGGAGCAAACGAUUCAAUUUUUGAUACAGUAAAAAGUUGUUGACUGCAAGGCUUCCUCACACUGCGCCAAUAUUGUCCAUAUUCUGUGAAUGCUAUUCCCUUUUUGCCAUUGUAAAUUGAUUUUCGCACUUGAAGUUUUGGUCUGCUUGCGAAAACAUCGUCAUGUGUCUUAAGAAACAUCUCAGCGGCUUGAGGGGAUGAAACGACAAUAGUUCGCACAGAGCCUAGCAUUAUGGGCAUUAUAGGACCAUGUUUUUUGGCCAAGUGAUAAAGGGAUUGGUGUGGAAGCAUGCCUAACAUGUGGAGGUUCCCAAUGAUUGGCAAGGGUCGAGGACCAGGAAAGGUUUUGCCUUUUCCUUUGCCAUGUUUCGAGAUGUAAAAUAGAAUGUAAAAGGGGCAAAAAAUUGCAAGGACUAUAAGAAGAGUUUUUGCUGAAGGAUUCAUUCUUCUUAAUCAAUUAACCAAAUGGAUAUGCCUCUAUUGUAUAUCCCCCUUUCUAUUUAUACAUUUAUAUAUCAACUAUAACAAAUUAUUUUAUUCUUCUCUGUAGAUACUUUACACAUAUUAUAAAUGAAUAGAAAAGGACAACUCCCUGACCAUAUUCGAUUUGAAUCUUACUACUCACUGUCAAUUUCCUUUUAUAGAUAAUUUUAUCAUUUAAGUCCAAGAGCUAGUAAGUGGAAAUUUUUUUAUUUACACCCUUUUAUAGUAUAUAAUUGAUUUGAAUCUUACUAGUUACUGUCAAUUUUUUUAUAGAUUUUUUAUCACUUUAAGUCCAAGGGCUAGCAAGUGAAAUUUUUUUAUUUAGACCCUUUUAUAAUUUAUAAAAUUUUAAAUUAGUAAUAGUAAAAUUAUACUUUGGUGUCUGUUGACACCAUUUUUUUUGACAAGACGGGGUCGAUUUGUAUUUUGAAAAUGAAAACAAAAAUGGGAGUCGCCACCAAUCCUUUUUUAUAAGGUGUGAUCGGGUCACCUUGAAAAGUGGUUGUUUUAAUAAACAAUUUGAUUUUAUUAAAACAACGAUCUUGGUCCACGAAAUUCAGAAAAAUGGGUUUGGGAGUCGGUUACGUACGAAGAAGGAUUAGCACCCUCGUAACGCCUAAAAUUGGAACCUAGUUGAUUAAUUAAUGUAUUAGUGUCGAAGAUUAAAAAUUUUAAAGAGAUUUAAAAUACAAUCCUUUAUUGAAAUGUUGAAAAUUUUCGAGAAAAGGGGAUAUUUCACGUUAAUCGAGAAGGAGAAUUAUAUCCAGUAAGUUAGGACACAAUGACUUGAAUUCUCGAUGCGCAAACGAAUGCCAAAAAUUUACUUAUUUAAAAAAUAUUUAGCUAUCUUGGAUUUAAAAAAGGGAUCAUGCACAGUAAGUUAGGACACGAUUUUUUCUUAAUUCCCGACAUCGCUUAAAACUUGAGAAAAAAAAGGGAUCAUGCCCAGUAAGUUAGGACACGAUCUCUUCUCAAUUCUCGAGAUCAUUUAAAACUUGAGUUUGAAAAGAUUCGUGUAUUUAGAUUUAUUGUGAAAAUCGAAACCCCGUAAGUUAGGGUACGACCUUCUCGAAUCUAAACACGAGAUUUUGCUUAUUCAGAAAUCAUAAUUUAUCCAUUGAAUAAAAAUAAUCUAACACAAAAUAGUAGAAAUAAAACAUGGUGUCAAUAUGUGUAACAAAAUAAAAAUGAAUAUGAUGAUGUACACAUAAAUAAUACGAGCAACAACAACAACAAAAAAAAAAAGGAUAAAUAAAAAGGUUGAAUCAGUUAUACAAAAUAACAAGUAUAUAAGCAAAUAAAAUUAAAACAUUCUUUCAAGAUAAUAAUCAAAAUGUAAAUAAAGAAAUCAAUAAAGAAAAUGAAUAAGAUUAUAAAAAAGUAAAAGAUAUAUAUAUAUAUAUAUAUAUAUAUAUAUAUGUAUAUAUAUGUAUAUAAAAAUUGUAAGAUGAAAAAUACAUAUAAGUAUAUAUAUUCGUGAAAAUAAAAAAGUGUAUAUAGAUAUAUAUAGAUAUGUAUAUAAAUUAUAAAAUAUAUAUAUAAAAAUAUAAGUAUGUAUAUAUAUAAUCAAAGAUAUGUAUGUAGAAUAAAAAUAGUUUGUUACAAUUUAUAUAUAUGCAUAAAAUAGUAUUGUAUAAAAAUAUUAUUGAUUUUUAAAGCAUAGAAGUAUAGAUAAAUAAUUUUUUUUAAAAUUUAUUAUAAAAUAAAAUCAUUAAAAAUAUAUAGACAAUAUUGAAUUAGUAUAAAAACAUAAACUAAUACAUUAUGAAAGUAGAUAUAAUAUAUGAUAAAAAGAAUUAAAAUAAUAGUACAUAAUAAAAUUAAAUAAAAUAAUAUAUAUAUAUAUAUAUAUAAAAGGUAAAUAGAUAUAUAAACUAAUACAAUAAUAAUACCUAUAAUAAUAAUAAUAAUAAUAAUAAUAAUAGUAAUAACCUAAUUAGUUUAAUAAUAAUAAAAUAACAAUAGAAAGGGAUUAAAUUAAAAAUAAACAGAAUCUUAGGGGCGAAAUCGAAAAUGGAAAUAAAGAAAAGGAUUAAAUUGUGACAAUCGCGAAAGGAGGGGGACCAAAACAGUAAAUAAUCUCGCCCUCCAAAACUAUGCGGCUAAAUUAAAAUAAAGGAAAAGAAGGAAAAAGGGCCGAAUUGCAACGCAUUGCAAAAGCGGAGGGACCAGGGUUGCAAAAGCAGAGGGACCACUACCGUAGCCGGUGGCCGGCGAUGGAAAAGUGGGCUUUUCGGCCCCGCUUUUUUUAAAAAAGCUCGAAGGCCAAGCCUUCUUGACCCAAAGGGCCGAAGGGAAAGGAUCCUCUACGCCCUCCUCAGCCCAAUUUCGGCGACGGAAAGGGACCUCCGGCGAUAGUCACGGAAUCCACCAAGUGAGCCAUUCCAUUUUCUUUUUAUUUCGUUUAUUAAUGGCUUUUUUUAAACAAAAGAUUUGUAAAAAGAAAAUAAUAGAUAAAAUAAAAAAAAUAAAUCUUAAACAAUGAAGAAAACAACAACAUUUUUUUUUCGAUUUUUAAUGUUCGUAAAAUUGCCAAAAAAAAUUAUAGUGCUCGUAUUCGGCUUAUAUAACCGAUUUUAAAAUCCCUAAACUUCUAUUUUUUUAUCGUUUUGUGCUUUGGAUUGUUGUUUGUUGUUUGCUGCUUCUCUUUUGUUUUUUUCUUUUGUUGUAUUCUCUGCUUGCGUGUUGUUCACUACUUUGCAGGCAUCAGAGGUUGACGGCCGGUGAUAGGCGAGCGACAGCAGUGUGUGAAGGUGUGCGACGCAGGUGGCUGGCAGAACGUGCGGCGUGCCUUAGGGUUUACUUCUCUGCUGAAUGGGGUUUAUUUUGGGCUGGGGUUAUGUUUGUAUUUGGGCUUAGGAUUAUUAAUUUAUUUGGGUUUGGGCCACAUGGGCCUGCUGUAAUGUGGGCUUAUUUAUUUAUUUUUUGGUUUAUUUUGCUAAGCCCGGGCAAAAAUGGGCUAUCACAGCUGCCCCUCUUUGCUCGUUGUCGUGUAAUAGGAAUAGAGCAAAGACUUCAAAAAGGACAAAUUUUACCCUGCCCCACCGGAUCUUGACUUGUUUUAGUGAUUUUCUUCUUCAGGUAGCUUCAUUCUAGUCCACUGCUUCUUAUUGCUUUGAUCCACUUCACGACACCUUUAGAGAGAUAUGACUUCAAUCUACUCUGCUACAACUCUAUGGGGAUGAGAUUUGUGGUUUUAGUCUGCCCCACUACAACUUCAGGGAGAUAAAACUUGUAUCUUCAACCUGCUCCACUCCAACUUCAGGGAGAUAAGGUUUGAUAUGAUAAGAUUCAUCAUUGUAGCUUCAAUCUGUUCCACUACAACGCCAGGGAAGUAAAAUUCACCGUUGUGGCUUCAAUCUUUUCAAUUGCAAUGUCGGGGAAGUAAGAUUCGCCGUUAUAACUUCAAUCUGUUCCACUGCACCGCUAAGUAAGUAAGAUUCACCGUUGUGGCUUUAAUCUUUUCAAAUGCAAUGUCAGGGAAGAAAGAUUCACCGUUGUAACUUCAAUUUGUUCAACUGCACCGCCAGGUAAGUAAGAUUCGCCGUUGUGGCUUCAAUAUUUUUAAUUGUAAUGUCGGGGAAGCAAGAUUCGCUGUUAUAGCUUCAAUCUGUUCCACUGCACCACCAAGGAAGUAAAAUUCACCGUUGUGGCUUCAAUCUUUUUAAUUACAAUGUCGGGGAAGCAAGAUUUGCCGUUGUAGCUUCCAUCUGUUGCACUGCACCACCAGGAAAGUAAGAUUCACCAUUGUGGCUUCAAUCUUUUUAAUUGCAAUGUCGGGGAAGCAAGAUUCGCCGUUGUAGCUUCAAUCUGUUCCACUGCAUCUCCAGGGAAGUAAGAUUCGCCAUUGUGGCUUCAAUCUUUUUAAUUGCAAUGUCGGGGAAGCAAGAUUUGCCAUUGUAGCUUCAAUUUGUUCCAUUGCACCACUAGGGAAGUAAGAUUCGUCGUUGUGGCUUCAAUCAUUUUAAUUGCAAUGUCGGGGAAGCAAGAUUCGCCAUUGUAGCUUCAAUAUGUUCCACUGCACCUCCAGGGAAGUAAGAUUUCCCGUUGUGGCAUCAAUCUUUUUAAUUGCAAUGUCAGGGAAGCAAGAUUCGCUGUUGUACCUUCAAUCUAUUCCACUGCACCGCCAGGGAAGUAAGAUUCACCGUUGUGGCUUCAAUCUUUUUAAUUGUAAUGUCGGGGAAGUAAGAUUCACUGUUGCAGCUUGAAUCUGUUCCACUGCACUGCCAGGGAAGUAAGAUUUGCCGUUGUGGCUUCAAUCUUUUUAAUAUCAAUAUCGGGGAAGUAAGAUUCACCGUUCUACCUUUAAUCUAUUUCACUGCACCGCCAGGGAAGUAAGAUUCGUCGUUGUGGCUUAAAUAUUUUUAAUUGCAAUGUCGAGGAAGCAAGAUUCACCAUUGUAGCUUCAAUUUGUUCCACUGCACCGCCAGGGGAGUAAGAUUCACCGUUGUGGCUUCAAUCUUUUUAAUUGCAAUGUCGAGAAAGCAAGAUUUGCCGUUGUACCUUCAAUCUGAUCCACUGCACCACCAGAGAAGUAAGAUUCGCCGUUGUGGCUUCAAGCUUUUUAAUUGUAAUGUCCGGGAAGCAAGAUUCGCCGUUGUACCUUCAAUUUGUUCCACUGCACCGCUAGGGAAGUAAGAUUCGCCGUUGUGGCUUCAAUCUUUUUAAUUGCAAUGUCGGGGAAGCAAGAUUCACCAUUGUAACUUCAAUUUGUUGCACUGCACCACCAGGGAAGUAAGAUUCACUGUUGUGGCUUCAAUCUUUUUAAUUACAAUGUCAGGGAAGCAAGAUUCACCGUUGUAGUUUCAAUCUGUUCCACUGCAUCGCUAGGGAAGUAAGAUUUUCCGUUGUAGCUUCAAUCUGUUCCACUGCACCGCCAGGGAAGUAAGAUUCAUCAUUGUGGCUUCAAUCUUUUUAAUUUCAAUGUCGGGGAAGCAAGAUUCACCGUUGCAGCUUCAAUCUAUUCCACUGCACUACCAGGGAAGUAAGAUUCACCGUUGUGGCUUCAAUCUUUUUAAUUACAAUGUAGGGGAAGCAUGAUUCACCGUGUAGCUUCAAUCCAUUCCACUGCACCGCCAGGGAAGUAAGAUUCACCGUUGUGGCUUCAAUCUUUUUAACUGCAACCUUAGGGGUAUGAGUAACUCGAUUGAUCUGCUCUCUGGGGAACAUGACCUGUAAAGUCCAUUUUAUGAACCUAUUUAUGCCUAGUGUUUAGGAUGUCAUGAUUAGAAUGAAUCAAAUGCUACUAACUAGAUGUGCUUGCAUGAAUGCAAAAUGUCAUGAAAAUGAUCCAUUUUUAAUGUUUAGGUUGUCAUUCCUCGUUGUUCAUCAAGGUUCUAUCAACUAUGCCUUCUUGUUCAGCUGGUAUCUUUAACAGGAAAACCAAAGAAAUAGUUGCAAUUUAGACUAUUCUUUCUCCAAUGCUUCUAGCCCUCAAGUUGGUUAGUUCUAAACAAUAGCCCUAUUUCAGCUCCUCGUACUAUUUAGAAGCUUUCAGUGUAAUAUGAAGAACUCCUUCUACUUGAAUAUUGUUAGUCCAUUAAUCGUUACUUCAAUGAAAAAUGCUUGAAAAAGAUUAUCAAAAUGGACAAGAUGAAGUUUUGUUGAGAGCAAAGCUUGAAAUGAAUGAAUUAAUCAGGAUAGCAAAUUUUGCUAGAAUACAAAAUGAGAAUAAAUUAAUCAAGAUGCCGUAUUUUGGCAAAAUAAAAAAAAGAAUAAAAUAGAAAUAGGUGCCCUAAAUAUCGCAACAUGAGCUUCUCUGCCCCAAACAUUUUGAGGGCCCUUUUAAUCUUGAUAUGUGUUUAAAAGUCCUAGAAGACUUUGUUGAUACCCCAAGAUGUAGCAUCUCUACUUCUUAUUAAUUCAGAGAGGACAAUACUACCACAUGCCCUACAUUUGAUCAAAAUUUGAAUUGCCCAUACCUGGGUUUUCAAUUCAAAACCCUUUUGUUCUCAAGGUACCCUUUGCGGGUUUUCACCUUGGCCUCUCUUUUUCUUUUUCGUUCUUCUUUUCUUUUCUUUUUUCUUUUCAUUUUUUUUUCAAGUGAAGAAUUUAUUGCUUGAAUCAUAAUUCUCAAGAUUAGGCAGGUUUUUGCCAUCCAUCUUGGUCAAUAUCGAUACUUUUUCAGAUAAUGCCUUCCACAUAAAGUCCUUUCCAGUUUGGCAUCCACUUUCUUCUGAAGUCCUUUUGUAUAGGAAGGAUCUUUCUCGAUAUCAGGUCCCUCUUAUGGAAUUCUCUGGGUGAACCUUUUUUUGGUGAGCUCGCAUCAUUCGCUUUUGGUACAUUUGACCAUGACGAAUAACCUUCAACCUUUUCUCUUCAAUCAAAUUUAACUGAUCAUAUCGGGCUUGGAUCCAUUCCGCUUCAUCCAACUUCAGCUCUAAUAAGACUCGAAGGGUAGGAAUAUCAACUUUGAUGGGUAAAACUACCUCUAUUCCAUAUACUAAUGAGAAAUGGGUUGUCCCGGUAGAAGGUUUUUUGUUUUUUUUGUUUUGUUUCUUUUUGUUGCCUCCACUGUACCAUUCAUUUUCGGGUGACAUGGUGUUAAUCUUGAACAGACUGCAAACUUCUGAUAUCGUGCUGUUGUUCAAAUUUGGUGCAUUGUCAGAUAUGAUCCUUUUUUGGCAUUCCAUACCGACAUAUGAUUUUUCUUUUUCAAGAAUUUGCUAACUGUCGACUUCGUGACAUUAGCAUAUAAAGCAGCUUCUACCCACUUAGUGAAGUAAUCGAUGACCACAAAGAUGACUCGAUAACUGCCAGAAGCUUUUGGCGAGAUCAGCUCAAUGACCUUCAUGCCUCACAUAGAGAAAGACCAUAACUUCCCUUGAUUCUUUGUAAGGUAGGAUCUGUUUCUCAACUUGUUCUACCAUCCGUAACAAAUUAGGAGAUAAACAACAGUCUUGGUCAUCUUCAAAGUCCUGAGGUUCCUCUGGACACAUAUAUUGCUCAAAAGGAGAUUCUGAGUCAAUAGCAGUGUCGUUCAUAUCAUUGAUAUCUAGAGACUUGUUAAAGGAACAAAAGAAGACUCAAAGAACCAAUGAAUCAAAGGGGAAUUAUUUGUGUGGUAUUAGUAUGAAUGAAAUGGAAGGAACAAAAAAAUGUUUGCCAAAAUAAGACACAAAGAUGCAUUUCGUUGAAAUAAAAAUAGUAGACAUGUACCUUUUUCACAAAAGGAUUUUCUAUUGCUCCCAGGCUUAAAGCAAUAAAAGUGUUCUGAAUAUUACUCUGAACUGGUCCUUAAAAACACAAGAAUCUCCUCCACAGUCCAGUUGUUUAGAACGCCUCUAGGGAUGUAGAAACAAAUUCCUGAUAGUUUUUUUAGUUCCUUCUUCAAAGGCACAAACAUCUUUACCUUCCGAACCAUCGAUAUAUUCAAAGAAUUCCAAUUCUUUAUCAUCCAUCUGGCUCUGUACUAGAGUUCUAAACUCGACGUACUUUUGGAUUUUAGGAAAUUUAUUGUAUGCAAUGAAAUGUAAUGUUGAUGCAUGAAUGCAAAAAGAGGCGUUGAUCUUGAUUCAAUUCUAUUAGAACAACUUUUCUAGAAAACAAAUCUCUUUACAUAAAAUGGAUAUUUACAUAUACGACCUUGUCCGAAUACUCGAAGUAAAGACAUCGAUCAUUUUCCUCAAAUCCGUAUAUUAAGAUCAAAUCUUGCGAACUCUUCAAAUGGGUGCCUUCUUUAUCUCCUUUUUGCUUGAUCCAAGCCGCGACCCAUUGUUCACUCAUCCUCGUGAUGCUCGUUAGCCUUUUUAAGAAAGUUAGAACGCUAGCGGCUCUUAAAUAAUCUUUGUCAGCUUGAAUCCUCGAGAAACGAAGUAAAGUCUUGCAUCUAUUCAUUAGACUAUCACCUUUACCUUAUUACGUUUUCUCGGACCAUACUCGGACAACCGCAUUGUCUUCCAUUUUAUCAAGAAACUCAUUUUCUUAUGACAAGCUCUCUAUUUAGAUACUGAACGUGAAUCAACACCUCUUUUAUGAUGAAAAUGCAAUGCAGUCAUAACCAAAACGAAAGAAAGCAGGUUAGUACAAAGCAAAAGAAAGCAAGAAAGAAACGAAAAGAGCACCUAUUCGGGUGACCACUAAGGUUUGGAGUGGUUCUACCUGGGUUGGCUCUUAGGGCUCACUAUAUACGGUUCGAUUCUAAAGUAAAGGUACCUGAACCGGCAGAUUCCAUGAUCGUCAUCCAUUAUAGACUCAUACGGACUGAGUUCAGUUCAGGGGGAUACAUUUCUCUAUGGCUAUACGGAGAUGAAAAUCUCACGAAGACAUAGGUACGGAUAUAUCUCGAAAUCGAUCCACUAUCCUGCAUGGAGGUGAAGACCUCACGAAGGAAAUAGAUUCUCACUCCCACUCAAAAAGGUAAAGUCAACCAAUUAUGUGACGUAAUAUGCAGAGAUUAAAAGACUCGAACCAAUAAAGCAAACACAUCAAAAUAAUGCAGACCAUAAAAAUGAAAUGCAAUGCAAGGAUCGUAAAUUCUACCCAAAUUAUAAAUUUUCGAAAAAAUAACAAGAACUAAUCAACUCGUGGCUUGACACUGUUAUUUUGUCCCCAGCAAAGUUGCUAAGCUGUUGACACCAUUUUUUUGACAAGACAGGGUCGACUUGUAUUUUGAAAAUGAAAACGAAAAUAGGAGUCGCCACCAACCCUUUUUGAUAAGGUGUAAUCGGGUCACCUUGAAAAGCGAUUGUUUUAAUAAACAAUUUGAUUUUAUUAAAACAACGAUCUUGGUCCACGAAAUUCAAAAAAAUGGGUUCGAGAGUCGGUUGCACCCUCGUAACGCCCAAAAUUGGUACAUAGUUGAUUAAUUAAUGUAUUAGUGUCGAAGAUUGAAAAUUUUAUAGAGAUUUAAAAUACAACCCUUUAUUGAAAUGUUGAAAAUUUUUGAGAAAAGGGCAUAUUUCACGUUAAUCGAGAAAGAGAAUUAUAUCCAGUAAGUUAGGACACAAUGUCUUGAAUUCCCGAUGCGCGAAUAAAUGUCAAAAUUUUACUUAUUUAAAAGAUAUUUAGCUAUCUCAGAUUUAAAAAUAGGAUCAUGCCCAGUAUGUUAGGACACGAUCUUUUCUUAAUUCCCGAGAUCGCUUAAAACUUGAGAAAAAAAAAGGGAUCAUGCCCAGUAAGUUAGGACACGAUCUCUUCUUAAUUCUCGAGAUCGUUUAAAACUUGAGUUUGAAAAGAUUCGUGUAUUUAGAUUUAUUGUGAAAAUCGAAACCCUAUAAGUUAGGUACGACCUUCUCGAAUCUAAACACGAGAUUUUGCUUAUUCAAAUGCAUUGAAUAAAAUUAAUCUAACACAAAAUAGUAGAAAUGAAACACGGUGUCAAUAUGUGUAACAAAAUAAAAAUGAAUAUGAUGAUGUACAAAUAAAUAAUACGAGCAACAACAACAAAAAAAAAAAAACGACAAAUAAAAAGGACAAAUCAAUUAUAAAAAAAUAACAAGUAUAUAAGUAAAUAAAAUUAAAACAUUCUUUCAAGAUAAUAAUGAAAAUGUAAAUAAAGAAAUAAAUAAAGAAAAUGAAUAAGAUUAUAAAAAAGUAAAAGAUAUAUAUAUAUGUAUAUGUAUAUAUAUGUAUAUAAAAAUUGUAAGAUGAAAAAUACAUAUAAGUAUAUAUAUAUUCGAGAAAAUAAAAAAGUGUAUAUAGAUAUAUAUGGAUAUGUAUAUAAAUUAUAAAUUAUAUAUAAAAAAAUUAAGUAUGUAUAUAUAUAAAUCAAAGAUAUGUAUGUAGAAUAAAAAUAGGUUGUUACAAUUUAUAUAUAUAUACAUAAAAUAGUAUUGUAUAAAAAUAUUGUUGAUUUUUAAAGCAUAGAAGUAUAGAUAAAUAAUUUUUUUAAAAAUGUAUUAUAAAAUAAAAUCAUUAAAAAUAUAUAGACAAUAUUGAAUUAGUAUAAAAACAUAAACUAAUUCAUUAUGAAAGUAGAUAUAAUAUAUGAUAAAAAGAAUUAAAAUAAUAGUACAUAAUAAAAUAAAAUAAUAUAUAUAUAUAUAAAAAGGUAAAUAAAUAUAUAAACUAAUACAAUAAUAAUACCUAUAAUAAUAAUAGUAAUAACCUAAUUAGUUUAAUAAUAAUAAAAUAACAAUAGAAAAGGAUUAAAUUAAAAAUAAACAGAAUCUUAGGGGCGAAAUCAAAAAUGGAAAUAAAGAAAAGGAUUAAAUUGUGACAUGCGCGAAAGGAGGGGGGCCAAAACAGUAAAUAUCCCGCCCUCCAAAACGCAUCACUUUGAGCGGGACUAAAAUGAAAAAAAUAAAAUUAUGCGACUAAAUUAAAAUAAAGGAAAAGAAGGAAAAAUGGCCGAAUUGCAACGCGUUCCAAAAGCGGAGGGACUAGGGUUGUAAAUAACCCAUUUAACGAAAACGCACGGAUCCCCCUGGAGCGGGUCGGGUCAUACGCGGGUGGCCCUAUACGGCACCGUUUUUGGGCCACUGAAACAGGCCCUAAACAAUGCCGUUUUGCGUCCCUUAUAAAAGCAAAGUUUUUUUUUUUAAAACUCAUUCUGCCAUUCAAAUGAAAAAAAUAAAAGAAACUCUCUCAUAUACUCUCAACUCCACUUGGUCGGCAUGGACUCCAUCGGCGAAUUUGCCGCACCAUUGCCGUAGCCGGUGGCCGGCGAUAGAAAAGUGGGCUUUUCGGCCCCGUUUUUAAAAAAAGCUCGAAGGCCAAGCCUUCUUGACCCAAAGGGCCGAAGGGAAAGGAUCCCCUACGCCCUUCUCGGCCCAAUUUCGGCGACGAAAAGGGACCUCCUGCGAUAGUCGCGGAAUCCACCAGGUGAGCCCUUCCCUUUUCUUUUUAUUUCGUUUAUUAAUGGAUUUUUUAAACAACAGAUUUGUAAAAGGAAAAUAAUAGAUAAAAUAAACAAAUAAAUCUUAAGCAAUGAAGAAAACAACAACCUUUUUUUUUCGAUUUCUAAUGUUCGUAAAAUUGCCAAAAAAAAUUACAGUGCUCGUAUUCGGCUUAUAUAACCAAUUUUAAAAUCCCUAAACUUCUAUUUUUUUGUCGUUUUGUGCUUUGGAUUGUUGUUUGUUGUUUGUUGCUUCUCUUUUGUUUUUUUCUUUUGUUGUAUUCUCUGCUUGCGUGUUGUUCACUGCUUUGCAGGCGUCAGAGGUUGACGGCCGGUGAUAGGCGAGCGGCGGCGGUGUGCAAAGGCGUGCGACGCAGGUGGCUGGCAGAACGUGCGGUGUGCCUUAGGGUUUGCUUCUCUGCUAAAUGGGGUUAAUUUUGGGCUGGGGUUAUGUUUGUAUUUGGGCUUAGGGUUAUUAAUUUGUAUUUGGGUUUGGGCCACAUGGGCCUACUGUAAUGUGGGCUUAUUUAUUUAUUUUUUGGUUUAUUUCGUUGGGCCUGGGCAAAAAUGGGCUAUUACAAUGCCCCUGAGCGAUAAAAUUUUGAUUUAAUCCUUUAAAAAUUAUAAAAAUAUAAGUUAUUAAAAAGGUAAAAUUACAAUUUAAUUAUCAUAAAAAUAGACAAUUUAAUUUCGCCCUUAAAAAUUUUUUUUUUGACUUCACUUCUCCUUAAGUCAUACUCCUAACUAGAGGUGAUCAUGGACCGGGUUCAACCCAGGCAUAGACAAAAUUUUAGGCCUGUUUUCUAGGCCCGGGCUCGGGCCGACCCGAAAUAUGGGCCAAAAAAUUUAUCCAAGCCCAGCCCAAAAGAAUAUUGCUAAGCUCGAGCCCAACCAGGCCGAACCCAUAUUAAAUUUUACAACAAUAAAAAAGUAUAUAUUUAAUAUAUAUAUUUGAUUAAAAUAAAAAAUAUAUAUUUAAUAUAUAAUUCGGGCCGAGCCGGGCUUAGCCCAGGCCAAAAAAGUUUUACCCGAGGCCCGGCCCGUUUUCUAAACGAGCCUCAUUUUUUUGCUCAAACCCAUAUUUCGGGCCUAUAUUUUUACUCGAACCCUCUCAUUUUUCGGGCAGGCCGUCGGGUCGGGCUGGGUAGCCCAACCGAUGAUCACCUCUACCCUUAACUAGAAUUGAGUUAUUCGAGUCUACUUAAAUAAGUAAUUCGAGUUUCAAAUUGAGUUAAAUUUUACAAUUUAAAUAACUUUAAUAAUUUGAAUAACAGAUCGGUGUAAAUACCCUUUUAGUCCAUUCCAAUUUUGAAAAUUAGCAAAUUAGUUUCUCUUUCACAAAAAAUUACAAAAAAAAUUAAAUUUUUUUAAAAAAAUUCAAUAUAAUUUUUAAAAUUUAAAAUAUUUAUAACAAUUCCAAAGUUUAUAUUUUUAAAAAAUAUAUAAUUUUUUUGAAAAAAUUCUAAAGAAUAUAUAAAGAAAGUUGUAAAUUUAAAAAUUUUCUAAAUAAUAUUUUUGGGAUAAAAAUAAGUUAGUUAAUGAUUCAAGUUUAUCAUACUAAAGUAUCUUAUUUUUUAUUAUUAUUUUGUGUUAAAAAUAUUUUCAAAUAUAUAUGGUUUUAAAUUAUGUGCUCUACCAUGGGAAUUAGGGAUGAGUAAAACUUGAUUCGAUUUGAAAAAUUUAAAAUAAAUUCGAAUUUAGAGUUAAUCGAAUUGAGCUCGAAUAAGUAAUUUGAGUUUCGAGUUCUAGUCAAAUUGAAUUUUACAACUCAAAUAGUUUGAAUAAAAGAUUGGUAUAAAUACCCUUUUGGUGCCUAUCAAUUUUAAAAAUGAGUAAAUUGGUCUCUCUCUCAAUAAAAAUUACAAAAAACAGAUAAUUUUCAAAAAUAAAAAAAUUAAAAUUAAAAUAUUUAUAAAUUUUUAAAAAAAUUAUAUUUUUAAGAAAUUAUAAAAUUUGAAAAAAAAUCUAAAACAAUAUAUAAAUAAAGUUAUAAUUUUAAAAAAAAUUCUAAAAUAAUAAUUUUGUGGACCUAAAAAAGUUAAUUAAUUACUUAAGUUUAUUAUACUAAAGUAUCUUAGUUAUUAUUAUUAUUACUAUUAUUAUUAUUAUUAUUAUUAUUAUUUUGCUUUGAAAAAUUAUAAAUAUAUAUAAUUUCAAACUUAUAUGUUUUAAUAUGAAAUUAGUUAUACUGUAACAAAUUUUAAUAAAUAGUGUUAUUUAUGAUUAAUGAAGCACAUUCCUCUUUUUUUUUAUUCACACAUUCUUACUUGUAAAAUAAAUCAUAUAUUUAAACAUAAUAAAAUAUCAUAAUUAUAAAUUGAUUUAAAAUAUUUUAUACCUAAUACAAUUUUUUAAUUUAAAAUAUUUUAUUCCUAAUGCAAUCAUUUGAAUUUUUAAAAUAAAAAUUCUUAAAUUUAUGAAAGGGAAGCCCACAUUUCAAUCUCGGUAGGCUGACUAAAUAUUUAGUCUAAUUUAGUCAAUAAUAAAUGAAAAACGUUUUGAUGGAAAAACAACAACAGGAAAAAACUGCGGUUGUCCAAGUUUGAAUGCACUUUCGUAAUGUAAAUAUAUAACCAUUUUUUAUAGAAGUAAAUAAAUAACUUAAAUGUCUGUAUCUUUUGCUCCGAAUCGCAUGUCGAUUAAUGGUCAAGAGUGACUGCUUAAGUAGAGAAGUUUGAAACUUAGGGAAGGAUUUUGGGUAAUAUAUAAUAUUACAUUUAAUUUGUAAAUUUUUUAUUUUUUCUUAAUGAUUUUGAUAAUUAAUGACUACAAAAUUUCAGGUAACUUUCAGACGGUAUUUUUUUAAAUACCUUAACUAAAUUGUCGAAACCAUUUUUUGUUUUAAAAAAAUGGGGAUCGACUUUGAAAAUGAAAAUGGGAGUCGCCACCGAUCUUUUAUUGAGGUGUGAUUGGUUCACCAUUAAAAUGAUUUUGGUAUGCGAAUUUGAGAAAACAAGUUCGGGAGUCGUUUACGCACGAGGAAGGGUUAGCACCCUCGCAUCACCCAAAAUUGUACCAAAUUGAUUGUUUAAUGUCUUAGGGUCGAAAUUUUGAAAAGAUUUUAAAAUAUGAUCCCAUGAAAUGAAAACCUAAAUAAUCGAAUUGGAUAAUGAAACUUACCCACUUUAAAGAAAUAAAUCGUCACACUCAGUGAGUUAGAGUGCAACAAUUCAAUCUUCGAAGUUAGAUUCGUCCCUUUUUUUAAAAAAGAAUCACACGUUUUGAGAAGGAUAUUCGGUUACUUGGGUCAAUCGAGAAAUCAAGACCUAGUAAGUUAGGGUUCAAUUUCUUAAAAUUCCUAAACACCAAAUAUUGCCUUUAUUUUAAAAUGAAGAUAACAAAAUGGCAUAUCCAGUAAGUUAGGAUCCAACAUCUUGAAAUCUUAAAUGCUUUAUUUUAAAAUUGCAUGGUCUAAAUAAAAUGGAUACUUGAUGAUAUAAAUUCAUCGAGAAGAAUUGAAGCCCAGUAAGUUAGGGCACAAUUCUCUCGAGAAUUAUUAAACACCAAGCCUUAUUAUUAUUAUUUUUUAGGAAUUUUGAAAUAAAACGAUUAUAAUGUCUUAAUGAAAUGCAAUUCUUACAAACAAUAUGAUUGAAUAACAAUAUACAAAGCAAAUGAUGAACAGCAAACUAAUUCUACAAUUUGGAGCACCCAAACAUAUAAUGCAUUAACAUUUAUAAUCAAAUAAACUAAUAAUCAAUCUUACAAAUAACAAAACGAGAAUAAUUAAUACAAAAAUAAUUUAAUCACAAAUAAACCAACCAAAAUAAUCUACAUGAAUAAAAUUUUAAAACGUAGAAUAAAAAUUUAUAAGUCACAAAUUAUAAUAUAUUUUAUAAACACAUAUAUAUAUUAAAAAAUAAUGUCAUACAUAAUAACAUAUCGAAUUAACAAAAAAAUAUAGGUAAAAAGAAUUUAAAAUAAUGUUGAUAAAUUUAAAUCAUGUGGAUAAUAAUUUAGAAGAAUAGUGUAUCAUAUCUUAGAAGUUAUUCUAAUAAUUAGUUUAAAAAUUAUAUUAAGCCAAUAUUAAAAUAAUAUUAAAAAUAAUGAAUUAAUAAAAAUUGAUUUAUUUAAAAAGGUUUUAAAAAUAAAAUUAAAUACAUAAACAUUUUUUAAAAUCAAGAACCAUGAUCAACAAAACUCAAAUCCAAUCUUAAACAAAAUUAAAAUAAUAAUAUAUAAAAAAUAUAUAUAUACAAUAGACUCAAAAUAUUGGUGUAUAAUGAAAUUAAAAUACAAAGUAUAAGCUAAAUAAUAUUUUUAUUACAUUUUUAAAAUAUAAAUUAAAAUACUAUUAAAGUAAAUAUUAUAAAGAAUAUUAAAUACUAUAAUAUAUAAAAAUAGAAUUGGUUAUAAUUAAAAAAACAUUGAAUUUUAAGAAAGAAAAAUAAAUUAGUAUUGAGUUAAAAAAAAGCUGCUUCAAAAUUGAAGGACUAAAUCAGUAAUUAUACGCAAACAUCAUGAUAAUUCGAAUCAAUCACAGAAACGACGCCGCUUAAAAUCGGAUCUAAAUGAAUACAGGAUUAAAUUCAGAGUACAAAUUACAAGUUAAAAAAAAGAAACCAAACCAUAAAUUUAUUAAACGCGGAGGGACCUAAUGAAUAAAUAAACCAAACAAUCCGUGAUGCGCGGAUCCUUCCUGGGUCGGGUCAUCGUUCGGAUCGGGUCUUCAAAACGAUGCCAUUUCAGAGCCAUCGCAUUGACUCCAAACGGCCACGUUUCAUCACCGUAUUUAAAGGCCAAAACCCUAAAAAUCUAUUUCAUUUCUGAAAAACCCAAAGAGAGUAGAUAUUUUCUGCGCCGUUCGGCGCAUUGGGGCUCUUGGAUGGUCUCCGAUCCGAACCUACUCUCCGAUGACGACGGAGAAGGCCCGAACCUCAUCGCAAGGUACCUUCCUUCCCUCUCCCAGGUACGUCUUCUUUUCUCUCUAAUGCUUCCCCCUUUUUUAACUAAUGAUUGUAUAAUAUGAAAAAAAGAAUAAAAAAAAGUGAAUUUGAUAUUGGCAAAAAUGAAAAGGAAAAAGAAACUUGGAAAUCACCUCUUGAUAUUUUUCUUUUGUAUUCUCAACGUAUGUAUUGAAUGCGUAAGUUUUUUUACAGGCGUUUUUCGGUUCUUAUAUUUGUAUUCGACAAAGAACCCGAAAAAUCGAAUCAAAAAAUAAAAAAAAUAAAAUAGAAAACCCCCAUUGGUUUCUUUUUGCUGCGUUGUUUUCAUUCUGUUUGCAGGCCCGGCGUACAGCGGGGGACGUGGCGUGUACGGAGACGAGGGCACGCGCGUACGGAGUCUUGUCACGUGUGGAGGGAGCGUGAAGAGGUGCUUCUGCUACGGCGCUGGGAACCGAAAGUUGCUAGGGUUCCUUGCUCCUGUUUUGCGUUUUGGGCUCAGUGGGCUAAAGGUUUUUUUAGGCUAGUGGGUUAAUUGGGUUUGGUGGGUAGGACCAGGUUAGGGUCUAUAAUCGGGUUUAGUGACUGGGCUUCAACCCGAAUUUGGCCCAUUGUAAUUGGACUAUUUAUUGGACUUUUUAAAUUUUGUUUUUUCAUUUGGUUUUAUUUUACUAACGGGGCGGGCAAAUUGGGCCUAUUACAGCUGCCCCUCUUUACUCGUUGUCGUGUAACGAGAACAGAGUAAAGACUAGAAAUGGUCAAUUUUGCCCAGUCAUACUAGACCUUGGUGUUCUUUUUCUUUGAGUUGCCUCAUCCCAUCCUACUGCAUCUUCAGAGGUAUUGGAUUUGGUGCUUCGAUCCACUCCACCGUAACGUUAGGGAGAUAGGAUAUGUAACUCGUAACUUAAAUCUACUUAACUGCAAUGUCGGGGAAGUAAGAUUCACCGUUGUGGCUUUAAUCUGUUCCACUGCUCCGCUUGGGAAGUAAGAUUCGAUGUCUUUGAUCUACUCCGCUACUGUUUAGGGAGACAAGAUCUGUAAUUCUUCGGUUUAUUCCACUGUAAUCUCAAGGAGACAAGACCUGAUGCGAUUUACUCUACUGUAACUUCAGAGAGAUAAGAUCCUUGAUUUUAAUCCGCUCCACUGUAAUCUCAGGAGAUAAGAUUACCAGCUUCAAUCUGCUCUGUUGUAAUCUCAGGGAGAUAAGAUCUGAAAUUCUUCGGUCUAUUCCACUGUAAUCUCAGGGAGAUAGGAUUACCAGCUUCAAUCUGCUCCGAUGUAAUCUCAGGGAGAUAAGAUAUGAAAUUCUUCGGUCUAUUCCACUGUAAUCUCAGGGAGAUAAGACCUGAUGCGAUCUACUCUACUGUAACUUCAUAGAGAUAAAAUCCCUUAUUUUAAUCCGCUCCACUGUAAUCUCAGGGAGAUAGGAUUACUAGCUUCAAUCUGCUCCGCUGUAAUCUUAGGGAGAUAAGAUCUGUAAUUCUUCGGUCUAUUCCACUGUAAUCCCAGAGAGAUAAGACCUGAUGCGAUCUACUCUACUGUAACUUCAGAGAGAUAAGAUCCUUUAUUUUAAUCCGCUCCACUGUAAUCUCAAGGAGAUAAGAUUACUAGCUUCAAUCUACUCCGCUAUAAUCUCAAGGAGAUAAGACCUGAUGCUAUCUACUCUACUGUAACUUCAGAGAGAUAAGAUCCAUUAUUUUAAUCUGCUCCACUAUAAUCUCAGGGAGAUAGGAGUACUAGCUUCAAUCUGCUCCGCUGUAAUCUCAGGGAGAUAAGAUCUGUUAUAUUCACUGAUAUGUUUUCUGGGGAACACGACCUGUAUAAUGAACCUAAUUAUGCCUAAUGAUUAGGAUGGCAUGAUCAAAAUGAAUCAAAUGCUCCUAACUAGACAUGUGUGAAUGGUGUUUGCAUGAAUGCAGAAUUUUAUUUUCCCGAGAAUGACUCCGCUUUGUCAUUACUCGAAGUUUAUUAAGGCUUUAACACUGACGCGCUUACAACGCCUUUUUGCUUAACCGGCUUUUCUGAAGAAACAUUUAGCUAGGUUGCCUCCCACUGUAGAUCUCAAAGUUUAAUCCAUUGGGGCGGAAAAAUUGUAUCAUCAUUCUCCCACUGCAACCCGAGGGUAGAAAUAUAUGUGGUUUUUAUCACAAUCCUCUCUUAUCACAAUUCAAGGAUAUAGGAUCUUAAUCUUUCUAGUCCCCUUAUACCAUUUCCAGGGUGUCGUACCAAAGACUCAUGCGCAAAUGAAGGCUCCCUUCUCCGAGGUAACCUCUUCCUAUUGCUUGGUGAUAAUUACUUGCUUGUUUAUGGCAUCUUGUCAAUCAAUGCAUUUGACAAAAAAAUCCAAAGAGAAAGCCCAAAUUUAGACUUUUCCUUCUCAAAUUUUCAACCUUUAAAUUUGGUGUGUUCUAAACAAUAGUCCUGUUUCAGGUUCCUAUAUUAUUUAGAAACUUUUCAGAGUAAUAUGCAAAACUUCCUUUAUGAAAGUUUUAUUAGUCCAUUAAUUAUUAUUCUAAUGUAACAUGCUUGCAAAAAAUGGUCAUAACAAUGGAUAAGAAUAAAGUUAGUUCUAGGCAUAGCUCAAAAUAAAUAAAUUAUCACAAAUAGUAUAGAAGGAUAACAAGAAGUUGAUUGGGAAUGUAUAUCUUGGAAAAGAAAAAAAUAUUCCAAGAACAACAAAUUCAAUAUAAAUAAUAGGAGAAUUGAGUGCCCCAGAAAUCGCAGCUUGAACUUCUCUGUAAAAACUUUCUAAAGGUCAUUCUGAGUUUGACAUGUGUUUAGGAGAUCUACAGUACUUUAUCGAUGCCCCAAGAUGUCUCCUAUCCCUUCCUGUUGAUUCAGGCAUAGCAAAAUUGCCACACGCCCCGAUCUGAUCAGGAUACAAGCUGCUCUAAUCACUUCAUGCCCCAUUCUGAUCAAUAUUUGAGCCGCCCUUUUUCGAGUUUUCAACUCAAAUCCAUUUGGCCUAAGGUACCCUUUGCGGGUUUUCCCCUUAGCCUCUCUAUUUUUACUUUUUCAUCAUCUUUUUUUUUAGGAAUCAAAGCGCCCUUUGCGGGUUUUCACUUUGAUCCCUUUCCUUCAAGUGAAGUAUUUCUUGACAUAAGGAUACUCCCAAUUUGGCAUCCAUUUUCCUCAAAAGUCUUUUUGUAUAGGGAGAAUUUUCUUCAACACUAGAUCCCCUUCAUGGAAUUCUCUGGGACGAACGUUUUUGUUAUAGGCUCGCAUCAUCCGUUUUUGAUACAUAUGACCAUGUUGGAUGGCUCUUAACCUUUUCCCUUCUAUUAAGUUCAAUUGGUCGUAUCGAGACUGAACUGAUUCUGCUUCAUCCAAUUUCAAUUCAGCUAAUACCCGAAGAGAAGGAAUCUCCACUUCAAUGGGUAAAACAACUUCCAUCCCAUAAACUAGAGAAAAAGGUGUUGCCCCAGUAGAGGUCCUAACAGAUGUUCGGUAAGCUAAGAGAGCAAAUGAUAGCUUUUCAUGCCAAUCCUUAUAGGUUUCAGUCAUUUUUCCCACAAUUCUCUUAAUAUUCUUAUUGGCCGCCUCCAAUGCACCGUUCAUUUUUGGGCAAUAUGGCGACGAGUUUUGGUGACUGAUCUUGAACUUACUACAAACUUCCGCUAUUGUGUUAUUAUUCAAAUUCAAUGCAUUGUUGGAUAUGAUUCUUUCAGGCAUUCCAUAUCGAUAAAUGAUCUCCUUUUUCAAGAAUUUACUAACUGCCGAUUUCGUGACAUUUGCAUAUGAAGCAACUUCCACCCAUUUGGUAAAGUAAUCGAUGACCACAAAGAUGAAACGAUGCUCAUUCGAAGCUUUCGGUGAUAUUGGCCCAAUGACAUCCAUUCCCCACAUGGAGAACGGCCACGAAACAGUCAUAACGUGCAGAGGUGAGGGAGGUACACGUAUCUUAUCUCCAUAAAUUUGACAUUUAUGACACUUCUUGGCAUAGCUAAUGCAAUCCCCUUCCAUAGUAGACCAAUAGUAUCCAAAUCUCAUGAUCUGUUUGGCCAUUGUAAAACCAUUUGCAUGGGUUCUGCAAAUGCCCUCAUGGACUUCUUCCAGGAUCUUUCUAGCCUCCACGGCAUCUACACAUCUUAACAGCACUUGAUCUUUCCCUCUCUUGUACAACACUUCCCCAUCUAAGACAUAUUCAAUGGCUAUUCUUCUCAACGUUCUCUUGUCAUUUUCUGUCGCUUGAUCAGGGUAUUUUCAGUUUUUCACAUAUUGUAGUAUACUCUGAUACCAAUGAUAAUCAUCUUUUCCCUCCUCUUCCAUAUUGUAGCAAUGAGCCGGAACUUCAUAUAUGCUUAUCUGAAUAGGCUUCAUGAUUUCUAACUUGUUCACUUUAAUCAUCGAGGCUAGAGUAGCCAGUGCGUCAGCCAUCUGGUUUUCAUCUCGUAGGAGAUAACAGAAAGUGAUGUCAUCAAAAUCGUCAAUCAAUUCGAGAACCAGCUCUUUAUAACUGAUCAACUUAGCGUCCCUGGUUUCCUAUUCUCCUUUGAGUUGGUAUAUCACUAAUACGGAAUCUCCAUACACUUUUAGCACUUUGAUUUUACGUUCAAUGGCUGUAUGAAUACCCAUAAUACAUGCUUCAUAUUCGGCCAUAUUAUUUGUGCAAUCGAAGUCUAACUUGCUAGCGACAGGGUAAUGAUCUCCACUCGGGGAUAUCAAGAUUGCCUUAAUUCCAUUACCCAUAGCAUUUGAAGCUCAUCGAAAUUUAACUUCCAUAUGUGGUCUAUUCGAGGGUUUUCUUCAGUGUUUGUCACAUACAUCAAGUCCUCAUUUGGAAAAUCGAAGUUCAAAGGCUCAUAGUCUUCCAAGGCUCUACUGGCUAGAAAAUCAGCUAUUGCACUUCCUUUUAUAGCCUUCUGACUUACAUAUACUAUGUCAAAUUUAGAGAGCAGAAUUUGCCAUCUAGCCAUUCUCCCAUUUAAAGCAGUUGAUUCCAUCAUGUACUUUAAAGGAUCCAACUUUGAAAUCAGCCAAGUCGUAUGAUACAACAUGUAUCGCCUUAGUCUUCGAGUUGUCCAAAUUAAAGCACAACACAACUUUUCAAUGGACGAGUACCUCAUUUCACAAUCAGUGAAUUUAUUGCUGAGAUAGUAUAUUGCUCUUUCUUUCUUUCCUGUUUCGUCAUUUUGGCCCAAGACGCAUCCCAUGGAAUUGUCAAACACCGUUAGAUACAAUAUCAAUGGCUUGUCUGGACUAGGCGGUGAUAGUAUUGGAGCACUAGCCAAGUAUUGCUUUAUCUUGUCAAAAGCUUUCUGACAUUCCUCAUCUCAUUCUCCCGGAUUAUGUUUCUUCAGAAGACGAAAUACUGGAUCGCAUUUCUCAGUCAAUUACGAAAUGAACCUAGCAAUAUAGUUCAACAUUUCUAGGAAACCUCAGACCUCUUUCUAAGUGCUUGGAGGAGGCAGAUCUCGUAUUCCUUUAACUUUAUCCGGGUCAAUCUCAGUCCCCUUCCUACUGACUAUGAAGCCCAACAACUUUCCUGAUUUGGCUCCAAAUAUGCAUUUUGUUGGGUUGAGCUUGAGCUGAAAUUUUCUCAAUCUUAAGAAUAAUUUCCUCAAGUCGCGGAGAUGAUCUUCUUCAGUUCUAGAUUUUGCACUCAUAUCAUCAACAUAGAUCUCAAUUUCUUUAUGCAUCAUGUCAUGAAACAGGGUGACCAUUGCCUUUUGAUACGUUGCUCCUGCAUUCUUCAAUCCAAAGGGCAUUACUUUGUAACAAAAUGUUCUUGUAACACCCCUUACCCGUAUUCGACACCAAAAUAGGGUACGAGGCAUUACCGGAGUUUACUAAUUAAUUUUUAGACAUUUCAUUUUUAUCUAGCAUUCAUAUUUAUAACCAAUCAAAAUCAAUACAUUAAUAAGCUAAUGUUAACCAAUUUAACUUAUACAUGCCAUUAUAACCAGAAUCAAAUCAUCCAAAAUUACCGAUAGAACCAAUGGAUACUGUGAUAUAUCUCCAACAAGCUUCCAACCCAAUUUAGCUUCCGAUAAUCAGCUAAAUGUAUCAAAUAAUUAUACAUAUUACCAAUAAUAAUUUAAUUCCAAUAAUAAUACACACACAUAUAUAUAAUUUUCAUUACCAAAUAGCAUUCACUUUAAUUAAAAUUAUUACAGAAUAUAGCUCAUUCGAGCUUACCAUACUAAAUUGCAGAAAUACCAAAAUUCAAGGAUAUUUUGGAAGUUUUCUAUUUUUCUCAAAUUUUCACCCAAUCUUGAUCUAAAUUAAUAUUUCAUUCCAUUUACUAAUUUAAAUAAUAAAACAAUUCUUUUCAUGCAAUUUGGUCACUUUUUGACAUUUUUACAAAUUUACCCUUAAAGUUUUACUUUUAUUCAAUUUAGUCCCUGAGUCUAAAACGUACAAGUUAUCCAUGCUAACUGAAUAUUCAUAUAUAUAUUUUUCCUCCUCCUCCUCUCCAUUCCACAUCCUUAAUUUAUAAUACAUGCUUAUAAGUAACAUUAUCUAUGGUUUCACAAUUUACUUGUAAAUUUAUUCAAAGCUGUCCAUUUGAGUCAUAGCCACUAAAUUAUUUUUAUCUUGAGGUACGAAACUCCAAAUUAGGGUCCGAUAAUUUUACCUGCAACUAGACUCAAAUACCUUCUUACCAUAAAAUUUUCAGAAUUUUUGGUUCAGCCAAUAAGUACAGUUUAUUCUUUAAAGUCACCUUUGUUCUGCUGUCUGACAAUUCUGACCCUUCUUCACUAAAAAUUAAUUAUCUCUUUGUUCAGAAUUCAGAUGAUGUCCCCAUUUGUUUCUCUUGAAAGUAGACUCAUUAAGGAUUUUAAAAAUAUAAAUUAUAACCAAUAACUAGUUUUUUACAAUUUUUAAUGAUUUUUCCAAUUCAGAACAAGGGAACCCGAAUUCAGUGUGCCUUGUCUCACAAAAUUUAUUAUAUCUCAUAAUUUAUAAUUCCAUUACUUACACUGUUUAUUUUAUGAGAAACUCGACUCAAUAAGAUUUAAUUCCAUAUUUUAAUCAUGCUCUAAUUCGAUUUUCAUAAUUUAUGGUGAUUUUUCAAAUUGAGCCCACUGUUGCUGUCCAAAACCAUUUUAGUGCAAGAUGUUUAUUACCAUGUUUAUAACACCCUUAUUUUCUUUCUCUACACUAUUUCUCAUCACUUUCUCUUAUUUUCUCUUCACUAACAUAUCAAGAACAUAGGACCAUAUAUACAAAAACUUUACAUUCACAUCAUUUCCAUGCUUUUUCAAUAAUAUCAAACUUAAAAAUAUAUUAAAAUCUUGAUGUACUUACCUUGUCAUAUUGAUUUCAAUCUUUAACUUGAUUUUCUCUCUCCUUCAGCUUCUAUUUCUUGAAUCUAACUUUAUAUUCUAGCUCCCCAUAGUCUCCUUGUUAUCUUUCUCUCUUGAUGGAUAUGGAAAUUCUUUUGAUUUCUAGAUAAAAAUGAUGAAUUUUUGGUGGAAGGACUAAAUUGUAAAGAAAGUAAAACUUUCUUUCUUCUCUUCUCUUCUAACCUGAAUUGCAUGGAAAAGAUGGUGGGUUGGAUCCUUCUGAUCUUUCUUUCCACAUAUAUAUAUACUAAAUAUUAAAAUAAUAAAAUAAUAACAUAUCAUGUAAAAAUCAAAUCAAAAUAUUAAUAAACUAAUAUUUAUUUAUUUAAUUAAUCUAAAAUAUCUCUAACAUCAUCAUUAUCUUCUAGAUUUCUCUCUCUUCUAAUUGACCAUUUUUCCCUUCAUGAUCUUUUAAAAUUCCAUCUUGAGUCAUCACUUAAUUUGGUAAAAUUGUGAUUUAGUCCCUCAAACUUCUUCACAAUUUUCAAUUUGGUCCUAAUCCAUCCAUUUUUCUUAGUUUCUAGAUCAUUCCACCCUUAAAAUAUUUACACCAUUGGUCCUUCAAAUUUUCAUAUUUACACUUUAACCCCUUAAUUUUUUGAGUAUUUACUCUUGGGUAACAAAACUUUUCUCACUUUUACGAUUUAAUCCUUUCUUGAACUAAUAUGUCAUAAUAUACGACCCAAUGUUGACAUAACUCCAAAAUUUCCCCUUUUUGACGCUUUAUUUUCUUGUUUUAUUAUAUCAUAGAUAAUAUCUUACUGUAAAGAUUUUCGAGGUAUUACAUUUCUCUCCCCCUUAAAAUAAAUUUCGUCCUCGAAAUUUCCUUGUUUUCUUUUGAUCACGAACUUCAUUUUCCUUUCCAUAAGAAUAGAAGACCUUUAGUAGAUUACUUUUGGAGUCAUUCAUAUAAUCCUAUGUUUCCUUUUUGCUCAAUUUACAAGGAAAUUCAUAAUUAAUAUACAUUCUCAGUUUUCUUGAAAUAUCAAACAUAUAAUGAUUUAUUGGUAUAUAGAUAUUAAUUAUACUUCAUCUUCAAAUUUUCAACAAUAACAAUUAAUCAAAUUAAUAUCGUAUAUUCUCAAACUGAACUUAAUCAUCUUGUGAACCUUUGGUUCAUGUCCUUUAUUUUCAGUUUCCAUUUACUUCACAAUUUCAACUUUCUCAUUUCUUCAAUAAAUCAAUCGAUCAAUUUCAUUCGUUUUUGUAAUAUUACUUGUUUACCCCUAUUAACAAGUAUGUAAGCAAUAAAUGCUUAGUAAGCUCGUAUAAACUUUAAUCAUUUUCAUUCAUUUCAAAUAUGAAAUUUAUAAUUAUCAAGAAUAAUUUAAUAUUGAUACCACAAUGCUCAUGUGGCUAUAUUCAUCAACUCACAAGGUAAAUAAAUUCACAUCAUUACUUGUUCAUUUUAUCCCUGGCAAUAUAGGAUUUUAAAAAACUUUAACUCUUCAUAAUUUCUUUAUUUUCAUUUUCAUUUCUUUACUUUCCACUCUUCUUCCAUAUGCGUGACACACAAGUCAUAAACAUUUCAUUCAACCACAGUCACAAGCUAAUACAUUUCCAAAGUCUUUUUCGAAUUGAUCACAUGAUAAGUUAUUUCAUAAGAAAUUGUAUAAUCUAAACCUUACCACUUUUUAGUGAGUGCUAGCAUAUUUUCACUUAAAUUCUUUCCAAUUCAAUGCAUUAUAUAAUUAAUCAUAAUACGAUUCAACCAAUAGCUUGGCACUUGCCUAUGCGUCAAGCAAGAAUACUAGAUAGUGUACUUGCACACAUUACAUAUAAACUCAUCAUGCAUAAUUUUCUUGUAUCAACAUAUUAAAGAUAAUCAUACAUUUACAUGUCAUGAUACAUAUCAUUCUCUUGUCGUUUCUUCAUAAACAUAUAUCAUUCAUUUCAUUAUUUUGAUAUUUCAUGUACCAUCAUUUUCAUGAAUUUCGUACAUACCAGUAAUAGUUCAUUUUAAAUUCAUGUUAUCUCACUUCAGAACUUUACCUGUUAUAUCAUUUAAAUAUCAAUGGUUAUAUUUAUUUCAGAUCAAUACCAAUAAUAAUUCAAUUCCAUGUUUUCUAUUACCCUUAUUAUUUUUCCAUAUUUAUCCCGUUGAAUAUCGUGGAAAUUCGAUGGAUUUUCAGAGGAACACUUUAAGUGUACAAGUCCGGAUCCGUCAAUACAUAUCCAUGUGCACACAUUUUCCAAUUCAGAGAGCACACUCCCGCGAACCUCAUUUUUUAUAGCGGGAUUACCAGUCCAGGCUAAAUCCCCUGCAAGAGAGCACACUCCCACGAACCUCAUCCAUACAGCGGGAUUACCAGUCCAGGCUAAAUCCCCUGUAAUGUAAACUCAUAGAGUAUUGUCGGGAUUACCAGUCCAGGCUAAAUCCCCUGCAACGACAAUUACUCUAAUGAGCUUGGAUCUGAAUUACCAGUCCAGGCUAAAUUCAGACCCUAAUUCGGAUUACCCGUCCAGGCUAAAUCCAUUUUCCACAUAUUCUUCGGGAGGGCUAUAUCAAGAACACCCGUCCGGGCUAGAUCUUUUUCACACAUAUUCUUCGGGAGGGCUAUAUCAGGAUAGGAUCACCCGUCUGGGCUAGAUCCUUUUUACCGUCAAUUCCUUUUCAGAGAUCUAUCGAAUGUUCCUUCCAUCCAACCGGGAUUUCUUCCCCUUUUUAUCAAAUAUAUCAAUGUUUCAUCAAUUUUCAUACAAUGAACAUUCAAAUCAUAUUCACAUCAAUAACAAACAUUUCAAGCAUUUAAGAAUAUAAUUCAAGUUACACAAACUUACCUCGUUACUUGUUCGUGUUUACAAUUUCACUAAUCCGAUAUCUUUUCUUUUCCAUGUUCAAGUCUCGUAUUUGAGUCAUUCGGAUCUUUCUAAACAAAUUUGAUCAUCACUUUUAUUCAUUUCAUAUUCUGAUAUAUUCAAUUAAUGCUCUACCCCUAAGCUUUUAAUUAAUGACGAUUUCAAUCCUUAGGCUCAGUAAAAUAAAUUCUUGUAAUUUAAAUAAAUAAACAAUCCAUUUCAUGUACUUCAUAUAUCACUUUUACAUGUUUUACAAUUUAGUCAUCAACACAAUAUUUCUUGUAUCAAUAUGUUUUUCUUCUAAUAACACAUAUAACAUAACAUUCAUCAUUUACAUGUCUUAUAAAACAUUUAUUCAUACCUAUAUGAGUUCUGAUUCAUCAUAAUCAAAUUUUUACUCAUAUACUUGAGUAUCACUUUCAACAUUAUCAGAAUUAGCUCGGUUAGGAAAACAUCUCUGUUUAUAAGUAAAACAAAUCUCAUCAGAUUCGAGAGAUAUCACACUAUCACAGGUUAUAUAAUGGCAUGUAUUUCCAGACAUUACAUAUACUACGUUUGGUCCGAGAACCGACUAAACCGUUGCUCUGAUACCAUUAAAUGUAACACCCCUUACCCGUAUUCGACACCAAAAUAGGGUACGAGGCAUUACCAGAGUUUACUAAUUAAAUUUCAGACAUUUCAUUUUUAUCUAGCAUUCAUAUUUAUAACCAAUCAAAACCAAUACAUUAAUAAGCUAAUGUUAACCAAUUUAACUUAUACAUGCCAUUAUAACCAGAAUCAAAUCAUCCAAAAUUACCGAUAGAACCAAUGGAUACUGUGAUAUAUCUCCAACAAGCUUCCAACCCAAUUUAGCUUCCGAUAAUCAGCUAAAUGUAUCAAAUAAUUAUACAUAUUACCAAUAAUAAUUUAAUUCCAAUAAUAAUACACACACAUAUAUAUAAUUUUCAUUACCAAAUAGCAUUCACUUUAAUUAAAAUUAUUACAGAAUAUAGCUCAUUCGAGCUUACCAUACUAAAUUGCAGAAAUACCAAAAUUCAAGGAUAUUUUGGAAGUUUUCUAUUUUUCUCAAAUUUUCACCCAAUCUUGAUCUAAAUUAAUAUUUCAUUCCAUUUACUAAUUUAAAUAAUAAAACAAUUCUUUUCAUGCAAUUUGGUCACUUUUUGACAUUUUUACAAAUUUACCCUUAAAGUUUUACUUUUAUUCAAUUUAGUCCCUGAGUCUAAAACGUGCAAGUUAUCCAUGCUAACUGAAUAUUCAUAUAUAUAUUUUUCCUCCUCCUCCUCUCCAUUCCACCAUCCUUAAUUUAUAAUACAUGCUUAUAAGUAACAUUAUCUAUGAUUUCANNNNNNNNNNNNNNNNNNNNNNNNNNNNNNNNNNNNNNNNNNNNNNNNNNNNNNNNNNNNNNNNNNNNNNNNNNNNNNNNNNNNNNNNNNNNNNNNNNNNNNNNNNNNNNNNNNNNNNNNNNNNNNNNNNNNNNNNNNNNNNNNNNNNNNNNNNNNNNNNNNNNNNNNNNNNNNNNNNNNNNNNNNNNNNNNNNNNNNNNNNNNNNNNNNNNNNNNNNNNNNNNNNNNNNNNNNNNNNNNNNNNNNNNNNNNNNNNNNNNNNNNNNNNNNNNNNNNNNNNNNNNNNNNNNNNNNNNNNNNNNNNNNNNNNNNNNNNNNNNNNNNNNNNNNNNNNNNNNNNNNNNNNNNNNNNNNNNNNNNNNNNNNNNNNNNNNNNNNNNNNNNNNNNNNNNNNNNNNNNNNNNNNNNNNNNNNNNNNNNNNNNNNNNNNNNNNNNNNNNNNNNNNNNNNNNNNNNNNNNNNNNNNNNNNNNNNNNNNNNNNNNNNNNNNNNNNNNNNNNNNNNNNNNNNNNNNNNNNNNNNNNNNNNNNNNNNNNNNNNNNNNNNNNNNNNNNNNNNNNNNNNNNNNNNNNNNNNNNNNNNNNNNNNNNNNNNNNNNNNNNUUAUAACACCCUUAUUUUCUUUCUCUACACUAUUUCUCAUCACUUUCUCUUAUUUUCUCUUCACUAACAUAUCAAGAACAUAGGACCAUAUAUACAAAAACUUUACAUUCACAUCAUUUCCAUGCUUUUUCAAUAAUAUCAAACUUAAAAAUAUAUUAAAAUCUUGAUGUACUUACCUUGUCAUAUUGAUUUCAAUCUUUAACUUGAUUUUCUCUCUCCUUCAGCUUCUAUUUCUUGAAUCUAACUUUAUAUUCUAGCUCCCCAUAGUCUCCUUGUUAUCUUUCUCUCUUGAUGGAUAUGGAAAUUCUUUUGAUUUCUAGAUAAAAAUGAUGAAUUUUUGGUGGAAGGACUAAAUUGUAAAGAAAGUAAAACUUUCUUUCUUCUCUUCUCUUCUAACCUGAAUUGCAUGGAAAAGAUGGUGGGUUGGAUCCUUCUGAUCUUUCUUUCCACAUAUAUAUAUACUAAAUAUUAAAAUAAUAAAAUAAUAACACAUCAUGUAAAAAUCAAAUCAAAAUAUUAAUAAACUAAUAUUUAUUUAUUUAAUUAAUCUAAAAUAUCUCCAACAGCAUCAUUAUCUUCUAGAUUUCUCUCUCUUCUAAUUGACCAUUUUUCCCUUCAUGAUCUUUUAAAAUUCCAUCUUGAGUCAUCACUUAAUUUGGUAAAAUUGUGAUUUAGUCCCUCAAACUUCUUCACAAUUUUCAAUUUGGUUCUAAUCCAUCCAUUUUUCUUAGUUUCUAGAUCAUUCCACCCUUAAAAUAUUUACACCAUUGGUCCUUCAACUUUUUAUGUUUACAGUUUAACCCCUUAAUUUUUUGAGUAUUUACUCUUGGGCAAUAAAACUUUUCUCACUUUUACGAUUUAAUCCUUUCUUGAACUAAUAUGUCAUAAUAUACGACCCAAUGUUGACAUAACUCCAAAAUUUCCCCUUUUUGACGCUUUAUUUUCUUAUUUUAUUAUAUCAUAGAUAAUAUCUUACUGUAAAGAUUUUCGAGGUAUUACAGUUCCCUAUAGGGUAAUGAAUGUGGUUUUCCUCAUAUCUUCAGGAUGCAUCUUUAUUUGAUUGUAUCCAGAAAAGCCGUCCAUGAAAGAAAAUAAUGAGCAGCCAGCUGUGUUAUCUACCAAAGUAUCAAUGUGUGGCAACGGAAAAUUGUCUUUUGGAAUAGCCUUGUUCAAGUCCUUAUAAUCCACGCACAUUCGUACCUUUCGAUCAUUUUUGGGAACAGGGACAAUGUUUGCUACCCAUUCUGAAUAUUUGACCUCUUGUAAGAAUCCAACAUCGAACUGCUUUUUGACUUCCUCUUUUAUUUUCAACACAAUAUCGGGUCUCUUUCUUCUGAGCUUCUGCUGAACUGGUUUACAAUCUUCUUUUAUAGGUAAACGAUGUACCACAAUGCUAGUAUUUAGCCCUGGCAUAUCCUGGUAUGACCAUGCGAAAACAUCUUUGAACUCUCGGAGUAACUCGAUGAGGUCAUGUUUUGUCUUUGCGGUGAUAUUAGUUCCAAUUUUCACCUCUUUUCCUUCUUCUAGGCUCACAAUUUCUAAUGAUUCCUUAUGAGGUAGGAUUUGUUUAUCCUCUUGUUCCACCAUUCUCAACAAGUCCAGAGAUGCACAACAGUCUUCAUCAUUUUCAAAGUCAUAAGAUCCUUCCGAACACAUGUCUUGCUCAAAAAGAGACCUCGUGUUUGAAACAGCAUGACUCAUGUCAUUGAUAUCUGAGGACCUAUGGGUAUGCACCAAAGAAUAUAUAAAAAUAUAUAAAUUUAUGAAUAAUUAUUUGUACACUCGGGUUAUAAAUAUAAUGAAAAAAUCAUUUGGAAGACAAUCAAUCAAAUGGAAAAUAUUUACUUGCCUAGAAGGAAUAAAAGAAUUUCUUAUCAUUCUUAGGCUAAAAACAACAAGAAUGUUUUGAACAUUACUCUGAAAUAGCUCUAAAGACUACAGGUAUUUCUUUCGCAGUCCAAUUGCUUAGCUCGCUCCCAGGUUCGUAAGGGCAAAUCUCCAACAAGGUCUUUCUUUCAGCUGUCUCUAUAGCAUUGAUAUGAACAUUUUUCAACAUCUCUUCAAUGCCUUCCCUUUUGGACACCUCUCGCUCAGGGUAAAUAAACCCAUCCGACACAAAGGAUUUAGAUAUGUGAGGGAAGGUCAAAGGCUCCCACUUGACUUCCUCUCCGCUUAAACGUGCCCUUCUUCUCUCUUGCCUUUUCUCCACUUCUUUUCUCUUUUGUUUCAUAUCUGGCUUGUAACCUAAGCCAAAACGAUCAAACUUUUCCUUCAGCAUGGGUGCUUCAAUCCUUCCUUGAAGGUAUUUUCCCAACCCUUUCCCUGGCGAAGCUCCUCUUUCUACCAUCAACUGUAGACCCAUCUCAGUAGUCUUAGAUAUCUUUGGUACCAGGAUCCUAUUUCCUUCAGCAAUAAACAUUGCGUUCACAAAUUCUAAGGACCGGAAAGAACAUUCCACUGCCUCAUCAUUGGUCUCUACAUAAGGUUCAUCACCCGUUACCAUAGCAAUAAUAUCCUCCUCUGCAUUUAUUGUUACCAAUCGACCCUCUGAUAUUAUCUUUACCUUUUGAUGUAACGAUGAAGGUACUGCCCCUGCUGAGUGUAUCCACAGUCUCCUCAAUAAACAAUUGUAGGAAGGCUUAAUAUCCAUUACUAAAAAGUCCACCUCAUAAGUAGUUGGGCUAAUUCUUAAUGGUAUUUCAAUUCUUCCUAUAACCGUUCUUUCUGUUCCAUCAAAUGCCCUUACUAUAUUCUGGCAGGGUUUCGUAUGUGAACUGUCCACAGGUAACCGAUUAAGAGUGGACAAAGGCAAUACGUUCAAUGCGGAUCCAUUAUCGAUCAAAACCCCGGUAAUGUGUCCCCCUGACAUCGGGUAGUAAUGUGUAGAGCUUUGGUAGAACCCCUACCUCCAGACGGCAUUUCAUCAUCAUUGAAGAAGAUAAAAUUGUUAGCACUUUUAUUGUUGGCCAAGCGAUCCAGUUUAUUGACUGAGAUGUCCUCGGCCACAUAUGUUUCGUUUAGUACUUUCAUUAGCGCACUUCGAUGUACUUCUGAACUUAGGAGCAAAGCUAAUAUAGAAAUGCGGGCUGGUUUUUUGUGUAGUUGCUCCACAACACUGUAUUCACUGUGUUUCAAAAACUUCAGAAACUCUUUUGCUUCUUCUUUUUUUUUAUUGUUUCAUUAACCAAUGGCUUAGAUUCUGUCGCCUUCCCUUUCCUCUGUUCCACCAUCGAAGUCUUUUCUCUUGGCAAUUCUACUUGAGUGUCAUAACGCUUCCCAUUACGUGUAUAAGAACCCCUUUCCUGAUAUUCUUUUACCAUAUUGCCCUCAACUUCUUUUCCUAGUAUUGUCACAUUGCAUCCGUAAUUCUACGGGACCAUUUUGUCAUCCUUAUAUGUGAAACUUGACGGUUUCGUGAUUACAAUUUUUGGUGUUACCUGAACCCUAGCCUCAUUACUCUUAGGGCGUGAGAUACUGAUCACAGGAUGAUUUAUUUUCGGCAUUCCUAUUCCCGAAUCUGUCGCGCAUAUGCUCCUCCUUUCUUCCGCAUCUUUAUAGAACCUCAUCUCCUUGUUAUCCAUCGUGCUUUGAACCAAAGCCCUGAAUCCUUCACAUUCUUGGAUUUCGUGCCCUAUUUUAUGGUGGAAUUCACAAUAAUUUCCCAUCUCAUACCCUUCCUCCAAAUCUGAAAUAACUAACCCUCUUUUUGCCAUCUCUUUCCAUACCUGUUUCAAUGGAGUUCUUACUUCAGCGAUGUCAGUCUUGACUUCUUCCCCCGUACCUUCGCUCAACAUGUUCACUCCCUUAUCAUCAUGAUUGGGCAAUGAACCUUCUGUGCUGGGUGAGUCAUCAAAUUUGACAACACCCAAUUUAAUAAGUCCUUCUGCAACCUUCUUGAAAGCGGUACAAUUUUCUAUUGAGUGCCCUGAAAUUCCCGCAUGAUAGUCACAUUGUGCGUUCGUGUCAUACCAUUUUGGAUACGAAGGUUGUAGAGGAUUCAAGUAACGAAGAGCAACAACAUGUGCAUUAAAUAACUUCUGAUACAGCUCUUUAUAUGUCAUUGGAAUGGGAGUGAACUAGGGCUUCUCAAUAUUUUGCCUUAUUCCUGACUCUUGUUUCGAUGAGUCUUGUUGAUUAGCAACCAUCUUCCUUGGUUGAUUCACUGUAAUUGAUUUACUGUAAGCGUUCACAUUGUUUACUUCACCUUCUCUUUUCUUUGAAGCUGACCUUCGAUUAUUCUCCCCACCAUCUAUUUUUCCACUUUUAAUAGCAUGUUCAAUCAUUUUGCCAUUCAUGAUUAUAUCCGCGAAACUCUUUGAGGCACUUCCUAACAUGUGCGUGAUAAACGACGCCUUCAAUGUGUUGACGAAAAGCAUCGUCAUUUCCUUUUCAAAAAGUGGUGGCUGAACUUGAACUGCAAUCUCUCUCCACCUCUGUGCAUACUGUCUAAAAAUUUCGUUUGAUUUCUUUUCCAAGUUCUGCAAAGUGAUUCUAUCAGGCAUUAUUUCAGAUACAUGACUGUACUGUCUCAUAAAAGCCUGUGCCAAAUCUCUUCAAGUGCUGAUUUUGGCCCGGCUCAACUGGUUAUACCAUUUAGACGCCGCCCCAAUGAGGCUAUCCUAAAAACAAUGUAUUAAUAGCUGAUCAUUGUUAAUGUACCCAGUCAUUCUCCUACAGAACAUUGUAAUAUGGCCUUCAGGACAAUUGGUUCCACUAUAUUUCUCAAAUUCCGGCAUCUUAAACUUGUAAGGAAGUACCAAAUCCGGAACCAGACUCAGAUCUUUUGCAUCUAUUCCACGAUAACUUUCAAUGUUUUCUAUUGCCUUAAACUUCUCUUCAAUCCAUUUCCAUUUCUCCUCAAACUAUUUUGGUAAUUCUUCCUUUUCUUUAUCCUUCUUGGCUACUUCAUCGAAGUCUAGGGUAGCAAGAUUAACUGGGUUUUCACCAGGGUUAGAUCCUAAUCCAGCUUGGGAGUUCAUCAGUAUUGGAAUAUCGGCUUGAAACCACUGAGGCCUUAUUGAAACAGAGGAUCUACGCAGCUGCACCUCAGUCUGAACCUGCGCAUGUGGAGGCGUAAAGCCUGGAGGAUAGGUGGGUCCAUUCUUGUCUUCUUAUUCAUCAUUAAUCAUUGGGACUUUCCCCUUAUUUAUUCCUUUUAGUAAUUGCGUCAGCUCAGUUAUCAUGUCCUUUUGAGACUCCAGCAUCUUUUCUGUCAUGUCCUGUUGAAUUUUUUCCAAUUGCUCCUUCAUUUGCAUCUGUAACUGAUCUUUCAUUUCCUUUUGAAGUUGCUCCAACUUUUCCAAUCUUUGAUCCAUAAUUUUUUAUUUUGCACGGGUACCGUAACGGUGUUUGGUUGAUGAGUUUUUGCUGAUUUCCAGAUUUACUGAAUCACAAUUUUAACCAAUUAAAACCCUUUUUAAUAAUCUUGAAUGAAUAUGAUGACAUGUAAUGCAAAUGCAUGAAAUGAAUGCAAAAAGAGCAUCCAUUUUGAUUCAAUUUCUUUUUAGAAAACUUUAUUGAUAAACAAAAUUCUUUACAUAAAAUGGAUUACAGAUAUCGCUUUGCCCAAAUGCUCAGAGCUCUAACUUCUUUCAACAAUGAAGCUAACUCUUGAUCCCGGUCUGAUUCUAGUUUAUACUUUACACUUAAAACGUCAGCCUAAAUCGGCAUUGUUUGCAAAUGAUCAGCUACUUCCCGAAUCUGUGCAAUAGUCCUGCCUAUAAUGAAAUCUCUGUUCUGAAUUUGAUUCUGCGAAUGAUAAAGUUGCUCCCUCCAAUGCUCUUUAUUUCCUUCCAAGGAUUCGAUCCGUUGUCUAUAGCCUUGUAAUGCAUACUCCAAUUCUUCUAUCCUCUUUUUCAUUUCUUCAAUCUUGCACAGACUUGUCUUUAAUUCCACUACAGAAUUACGACCUCUAUACGUAACAAGUGAUCUCUCGAGUUCCGCUAUUAUAGCUUUCAAGUCCGCUUGAUAGUUUUGAGUUUCUAACACCUGCCGCUCUAAUGUCUCUUUCUGAACUUGAGUCUCCCUGGACUUUCUUUCCCACCGAUCGACUUUGUUUCUUUCUUCCUGGAUCUCCUGUCGCCACUUGAUGUGAUCUGGCCCGGGUUAAUCGAGUCGUUUCACGUAGAUGCCCGAUCGUCGAUGAGGAGUUUCGUACCAAAAGGAUGGUUUGUUUGUAAUCGGCUAAAAAUAUGUAGUAAAGUGAUGGAUAUAAGUUCACAAAGGGGUAAGUAGGAUAUGGAUAGUUUUGACAACAAGGGGAUGGAGAAAGAUAGCUAAUUUGUUUGGCUCGGUUUAAGGAUAAAAUAAUAAAGAUAAAAUAUAAGAUAUUCGGUGGGGAUGGAUAAGUGAACUUAAACACCAGAAACGAUUCAACACUAAAGAGUGUCACCCCGAUUUCUAUUUGGUUAAGGUGGAUUUGAGGAAUUGUAGAAGGGUUGAACGCCACACCAACGCAAGGUGAUAAGUUCAAAAGAGAACGAUAAACGCCACUAGCACGCUAGAUAAGUCAGAUCGAAACUCGUACGAAUUUAGAGAGGAGAAAAGCUCACUCUUUGAACAAAGUUCAUUCAAAUGAUCAAAAGUCAAAAGUCCUUUACAAAAUGUGAUAACAGACUAUUUAUAGCCUACAUUUGAUAGCCUAAUGGACAAAGUAAACAGCUUAAUGACUAAGUGAUUCAGCUAUUAAUGAGUUAAAUUAAACUAGAGAAAUGUACUUUAACGGCAUGUCCAUAUUCGGCUGAAUGGAACAUCAAUGGACACCUUCUUGAUUAAGCAAACAUAGUUCUUGAAUGUAGAUGAAUGAAUGGUAGCCCAUCAGCCUUGUCUAGGUUCGGCUAUAGCAUGAAUGUAUUAACCAAUAAGUGUCUCUUGGUCGAACAAUCAUCUUGGAGGCCAAAGAUUCAUUGCAUAAAUUAAUGUAGCUAGACAUCCAUGCACUUUCCCAUUUGUUGAAUCUUGCUGUCCAUGCAUCUUCAAUUGGCUCUUAAUUUGCUGUUCACGCAUGGUGCCCUCAUCACUCUCCCUCAUUUAAAUGUCGUCCAUGCCCAAAUUCAUGCUUUCUUCAACAUCUCAUUGAAUGGCCGUCCAUUGCAUGUGGAACAUCUCAUUAAUUCUUGUCUUUGUAUCAGCAGCUUUUAAUGCCGUCCUAGGGAAGAUGUACCAGCAAAUUAAAUCCAUUGUGGGCACAUUAAAUUCGGCUGUUUAGGAAAAAUGCAGCAGCCACCUUCUUUAAAUGCCGUUCCUUGCAUGCUAACAUUUCAUUUAAUACAUGUUUGCCUGAACAUUAAAUUUGGCCAACAUUUAGACACACAUUAAUUCGGCAGUAAACANNNNNNNNNNNNNNNNNNNNNNNNNNNNNNNNNNNNNNNNNNNNNNNNNNNNNNNNNNNNNNNNNNNNNNNNNNNNNNNNNNNNNNNNNNNNNNNNNNNNCAUAUUAAUAACCUGCACUUAAGUGUUAGUUGGAGACAUAACAUAAAUUCGGCUGCACAAAAUAUGAAAAUAUAUGCACAAUAAAUUCGGCAACCUAAAGCACAUUUAAUUCAGCAGCCACAAUUAACUUCAACUGGACAUCAUAUAAGACAUCAUUAAAUUCGGUUGUAGCAAGACUAAUUAAAUUCGUCCAGACACAUUAAACAACAGCAUUAACUAUGACAAAACACAUUAAUUAGGCUUAAGACAAAUUAAAGCAUGCAUUAAAACAAAUAAAACAUAUUUAACAUGGAAAUUAAUAUGUCCAGAUUUUUAAACAAAUUAAUUAACUUAUUUAAUUAACUAAUUUAACUAACAGCAACUUAUUUAUUCCAACAAAAAUAAAUGCAAUCUUAAUUAAAUAAAUUGCAUUCUAGCUCAAUAAGCUAGAAUCCACCCGAAUUGAACUGGGACGAGCUUGUGAAAAUGUUGAGCCUCGCUUGUGGGCUGAGCCAAGGAUGAUUCCAGGGCAGGGUCGUAUCAUUCCCGCCUUCUUUAGAACGACUUGUCCUCAAGUCGAGCCGUUGGUUCAUUCGAUCAUAACUUCGCUUACUCAUCUUUCCUAGAUCAAAUGGAACGAAUGACAAUUGAAGCAACUGAAAAAAAUAUCCAUGAGUUAGCAAAAAGUAGUGUAAACAAAUUUGCAAUUCGAGUAUAACAAGACAAAUGUAAUGCAGGCUAUUGGAAAGAUUCAGAUUACCAUGCAAGCGAACUAGUUUACUCGACAAGGCCAUGAAAAAUGUUCGAAACAAAAUCGAAUAGAUUUCUGAGCAUGCAUACAUCUUAAAUUGAUUACACAAGCUAUAAUUGGAUCCCGAGUAAUGAGUCAAAAUAUGUACAUAGGCAUCACAAACAGGUAAUGAAAAAUAUUUACAUGGUUCUCGAAGUUGCACAAUCAUACCGUGCAUUAGACGAUUGACUAUCGAUUCUAUUACAAUUACAUCAACAAAAUUAUCAAAAACAAGAAUCUUUUUGUCAACAUUAAAAAUAGAUAGAUCGUGUUCAAUUGUUACAAAAAAAUUAACCAUAUCACAAUCAAAGUAUCUUUCAAAAACCAAUUCACGAACAAGAUUGUUAUUACCAUCCGAGGAAAACAAAAAUAUUUUAGAAAUUUCAGGAGGCUUACCUUUUGGAGCAGGGAAAUAAAGUUCAUUUUUACCUCGCUCGUUUAACAAAAACCUUCGCUCCUCGGCGAUGUAGAGUAGUCGAAAUUCCUUGCUUGAAUUAACCCUUUCAAAAUGGAUCUCCAUACUCGACAAUAGAGCAUGCAUCAUAAUCAAAUUGGAAUUAUAAUCAAAAUACAUCGAGAACUCAUCCAAAUGAUCAUGUAAUCUAAAUUUCAGUCGAUCAAUUUUGCUCAAAAAUGUAGAAUUUGGAUAACAAAGCAGAUUUGAGACACCAUCUUCAACUUUAAGUGCACUAACCAUUUUACAUGUCAUCGUCAUAUCAAACAAACAAAUCAAAGACAUGCAUGUUUUCAAGCAUUCAUACGUCUCAAAUCUCAUACGCUACAUUCUUGUUUAUACAAAGUAGUUUCUCACAAAAGAUCAAUGAGUGCAUAUUUUUACCCAAAUCAAGCUGAUGGAAUGGCUUAUAUGUCUUCUUAUCUUGCAAAUGCCGAAUAAUUAUUAUUUCACUAACAAACUCAUCAGCAUCGCAAUUUGCAAAAGCGUUAUUCUUCUUGCCAUCAUCCCACGCAAAUAUAUUAUCAUCAUUCAAAGGAUGGCAAGUAACCACAUCAAAAUUCAGAUCACUUCUAAAGGACAAUUCAUCAACAAGGUUUCCAUCAACAAUCGAAUAAGAUAGAGGUGCUUUAAGAAUUUCAAAACUCAUACCUUGCUCCUCUUUUGGCAUAGGCGUACUAAGAUAGUUGAGAACGUUACCUUUUUCAACCAAGGUGAACCUUCUCUCCUUGGAAAGGUAUUAGAGUUGUAAAUUAUCGUCACUCGGCCUUUUGGAUACCUGAAAAGCAGAAACAGAACAAGAACAAAUUUCAUAUGGAUUAGUUGAAAUGCUCCUCACUUUUUCUGGUUCAUUUGUCUCUUUUUCUCUCGUUUCUUUUUUAAUCUCAACUUCUUUUUUUCUCUUUUCAUUUCCUCUCUCGUUUUCAAUUUUAUUUUCGACCUCACUCUCUUUUUUGAUUUCUUUUUCUUUUUCAAUCUCUUUUUCUUUUCUUUCGUUUCUUUUUCUCGCUCGCACUCUUGUACAAUCUCAAUUUCUUUUUCGAAUUCUUUCUCUUCAUUUUUUUUUCUCUCACUUUUUUGAUUUCAUUACAAUGUGCAGUCGACACGAAAGAAUAAAAAAUAUAAUCAUUUGCCCCUAAGGAAGAGAAAAUAUUUUCAUAGGCUUCUCGUCUAUUUCUUUAGGAACAAUCCUUCGGGAAGGACUUCUUUGAAUCAUACGAGGAAUAACUUGUCCUCUCUCGUUUGUCAUGUCGAAAAGUCGCAAGUUCUAAGCUGUCGCGUCUUGAAUUCCUUGACGAAUAGGAAUCCCGAUAAGAAUCUCUUAGCGAGUAGUCUUUGGACGCGUAUCGCCGUGAUGAUCUCGACUCCGUUUCUCAACUUGGUGGGUUUUGUUUCCGCCUGGCUCUUUCCUCCAUUCGAUCCAAGCAAUCAUGCAAUUUAUCAAAUUUUGAUUUCACCAUUCUACGCAUCUCUUGCAUCAAAUAUUGGAAUUCUGAUUCAGAAAAUUCUUGUGACAUGAUUUUUUUUGGCAAAAAAAAGAAAAAAAUGAUUAGAAUAAAAUAGAAAGUAAAUACCUCGCCACAAAAAUCUCACGUUUCACUCACAAAGAAAAUUGGAUAACACUCCACUCGUGUUUACACUCGUUUAAUGGCUUUUGCUCGCUCUAAUGUACUCACCACUCGUGCCUUUUUCCGCUCGUCUCACUCUCGUGAAUUCGUAUUUUGUUUCAAGAAGACUUAUUGCGUCUUAGAGGGUCGGCUUCAAAUGGGUGCAAAGGAUAACGUUAGGGUGUAUAGGGUAGGCUGAAACAAGGAAAAUAAAAAUCAAAGUAUGUGUGGCGUUUUGGGGGGGGUAGAGGGAAUGGUAGAAUGAAUGAAUGCUCGGAAGCAACAAGAAAUAAUAACAAAAUAAAACUCACAAUACUUUUCACUUUUUUUUAUACUUCGAUUUUUUUUUGAAAAUUUUUUUUCAAUCAAUUUUUUUUCAAUUUUUUUUAAAUUUCCUCCUUUUUUUUUUGAUUUUUUUGUUCAAUUACAAUAUGCUGAAAUACAAUGGGAAGAGAAAAGAGAAAAUAAAAUAAAAUAAAAUUUCAACCUAAAUUUUUUUUAUUUUUCUUUCACGUUACGAACCUACUCCGAGCUUGAUACGAACGCCGGCGCUCCUCGUUUUAGUAGCUCUGAUACCAAAUGAUGUGAUCUGGCCUGGGUUAAUCGAGUCGUUUCAUGUAGAUGCCCGAUCAUCGAUGAGGAGUUUCGUACCAAAAGGAUGGUUUGUUUGUAAUCGGCUAAAAAUAUGUAGUAAAGUGAUGGAUAUAAGUUCACAAAGGGGUAAGUAGGAUAUGGAUAGGUUUGACAACAAGGGGAUGGAGAAAGAUAGCUAAUUUGUUUGGCUCGGUUUAAGGAUAAAAUAAUAAAGAUAAAAUAUAAGAUAUUCAGUGGGGAUGGAUAAGUGAACUUAAACACCAAAAACGAUUCAACACUAAAGAGUGUCACCCCGAUUUCUAUUUGGUUAAGGUGGAUUUACGGAAUUGUAGAAGGGUUGAACGCCACACCAACGCAAGGUGAUAAGUUCAAAAGAGAACGGUAACGCCACUAGCACGCUAGAUAAGUCAGAUCGAAACUCGUACGAAUUUAGAGAGGAGAAAAACUCACUCUUUGAACAAAGUUCAUUCAAAUGAUCAAAAGUCAAAAGUCCUUUACAAAAUGUGAUAACAGACUAUUUAUAGCCUACAUUUGAUAGCCUAAUGGACAAAGUAAACCAGCUUAAUGACUAAGUGAUUCAGCUUAAUGAGUUAAAUUAAACUAGAGAAAUGUACUUUAAAGGCAUGUCCAUAUUCGGCUGAAUGGAACAUCAAUGGACACCUUCUUGAUUAAGCAAACAUAGUUCUUGAAUGUAGAUGAAUGAAUGGUAGCCCAUCAGCCUUGUCUAGGUUCGGCUAUAGCAUGAAUGUAUUAACCAAUAAGUGUCUCUUGGCCGAACAAUCAUCUUGGAGGCCAAAGAUUCAUUGCAUAAAUUAAUGUAGCUAGACAUCCAUGCACUUUCCUAUUUGUUGAAUCUUGUUGUCCAUGCAUCUUCAAUUGGCUCUUAAUUUGCUGUUCACGCAUGGUGCCCUCAUCACUCUCCCUCAUUUAAAUGUCGUCCAUGCCCAAAUUCAUGCUUUCUUCAACAUCUCAUUGAAUGGUCGUCCAUUGCGUGUGGAACAUCUCAUUAAUUCUUGUCUUUGCAUCAGCAACUUUUAAUGCCGUCCUAGGGAAGAUGUACCAGCAAAUUAAAUCCAUUGUGGGCAUAUUAAAUUCAGCUGUUUAGGAAAAAUGCAGCAGCCACCUUCUUUAAAUGUCGUUCCUUGCAUGCUAACAUUUCAUUUAAUACAUGUUUGCCUGCACAUUAAAUUCGACCAACAUUUAGGCACACAUUAAUUCGACAGUAAACACAACAUUAACUACAUCAUAUUAAUAACCUGCACUUAAGUGUUAGUUGGAGACAUAACAUAAAUUCGGCUGCACAAAAUAUGAAAAUAUAUGCACAAUAAAUUCGGCAACCUAAAGCACAUUUAAUUCAGCAGCCACAAUUAACUUCAACUGGACAUCAUUUAAGACAUCAUUAAAUUCGGUUGUAGCAAGACUAAUUAAAUUCGUCCAGACACAUUAAACAACAGCAUUAACUAUGACAAAACACAUUAAUUAGGCUUAAGACAAAUUAAAGUAUGCAUUAAAACAAAUUAAACAUAUUUAAUAUGGAAAUUAAUAUGUCCAGAUUUUUAAACAAAUUAAUUAACUUAUUUAAUUAACUAAUUUAACUAACAGCAACUUAUUUAUUCCAGCAAAAAUAAAUGCAAUCUUAAUUAAAUAAAUUGCAUUCUAGUUCAAUGAGCUAGAAUCCACCCGAAUUGAACUAGGACGAGCUUGUGAAAAUGUCGAGCCUCGCUUGUGGGCUGAGCCAAAUAUCGGUAGUUUUGGAGUUAUAUUCCAAUUUAAAAUUUACUAAGAAAAUUAAGGUGGAUGUUUGACACAAGAAUGUUGAUAUAUCCCUUAGAGAAAUUAGUGAGUAAUAUGUCGUCCGUUAUUAGGAAACUGAUGACCUACAAGCCAUAAAUUUGAACAAUUUUGAAAUUAUUGAUAUGGACGCCAUUUUGUUAUUUUUAUCAGAAGGGAGGGGGAAUAGAAACAAGAGGGAAUAAUAACUACCCCUAUCUUUUAAGCAAGCUAUAAUAUUUCCUGCUACUAAUAAGUGGAUGCAAUUCAUUUGUACUCGCAUCUUACAACUUCACAACAUUAAUACUGUUAAUGUUUUACGAGUUGCUUUGUUGUAUUGUAUUUUUCAUCUUAAACGAGUUAGCCUCGGGGAGUGGGUCCAUAAAUAAAUCCACAAAUGCAUAUCUAAAAUCAAGGUUGUGAUUUAUUUCCCUCACUUAAUCACCUAUUUAUGCCACCGUGCUGGAGUGGUGAUGGGAUCUACAGAACAAUUUCACCCUCCCACCACCAAUAUUAUUGGAGACACCCUCAUGCAUCAAUUCCAAGAGCUUUAUAUAAAGCAAAUAAAAUAAUGCAAUUAGAGGCGAAAACAAAAAAUGGAGAUACCUCCACCCCCACUGAAGAAAUCCAUGAAGGCUAAGUUGAAGAAGACCGAUAAGCCUACACAAUGGGAGCAUAGGCUAGGCCGCGAUGUGUGAGAUAACGUAAGACUCCUAGAGUCCAAAAAAAUAGGCAUGGACAUGUUUGUGAAGAGCCUAGGAGGAAAAAGUAGAGAAUGACCCAAACAGUCAACUGACUCGUCUGAGGGUAAGAAAGACGUGGUCGAGCCAUAGGAGGAGGAUGAGGAAGAAAUAGAUGAUGAGGCCAGAGAGGAUAGCGCCUUCACCUCUUAUCAAAGGAACUUUGAUAAUGCAUUUGCAGUCACAAGGAAACCAAGAGAAGGACCUAUCUUUCGAGACCCUAUUAACCAAGCCCAGAUACGACCUCGAAACUCACUAUGCACAGUAAAGGGAAAGGUGUUGCAGGACCGUGUAGAGAUACUGAGGAUGAUUUCAACUAGUUACAUGUGUUUUUAGACGAUUUUAUUUUGUGUUUGGUGUGUUUUAGUUGUUUUUCUUUGUUUAUUUUUCUUAUGUUUGCUAGUUACCUUGAAAGACUACAUAACAUGUAGAGCUUCGACGAGGAGGUGGACGCUCGAGCUAGUCUGAUGCUCCAUUCUAAGGAAGUUUCGUAACCUUUUAACCUUUAUUUUGAACACAUCGGGGAUGAUGUGUAGCUUGUUUGUGGAGGGGUUCACAUAAGCUUUAUGUGUGUUUAUUUUAGUUUUUAUGCAUUUUAAAAAAAUCCAAACAAAAAUAUUUUUCAUUUUUAUUUUUAAUUUUUAAAAAAUCAAAAAAUAUUUUUCUUCUUUUCUUUUAAUUUUUUAUUGCAUAGUGCUUGGACUAAUACCAAGUUAUAAGUUAGUAGUUUUACAUAUCAAAUGAAUAUAUAAGAUUGAUGAACAUGUAAGUUUUUGAAUGAUGCUAGAUAAUUCUUGCUCUUAACUGUAGAUAAAUUAGUUCACUUGGUUAAUAGGUAUAAUAGACUAGAGGCAAUAACCAAAAUGAAAAUGUAGAUAAAUAAUUUGAGUUGCUAAUUGUUCUUCUAGAUAGAUGUAUGCUUAAUGAAACUAUUGUUAGAUAACUAAUCCGAGAAGGACCUUAGGAAUUGUUUGUAUUGCCUUGAGCCUAAACAACCAACCUUAAACUUUACGUUAUCCCUAGUUCCCAAAUUUAAGCCUUACAAUGCCCUUCUUAAUGAACUUCUUUGUUUGAAACCUCGAGUGUAACCUCCCAAACUCGGCCUAAAUGUUAUGACUAGAUUGAGAAGGCUACAUUAGCCAUCGAAAUGGCUAAGAUAAAUUACGAUACUUUUGAAGACCUUAAAUAAACUCAUUUUAGAGAAAACCGUAGUUUUAUUUUGAAUUAGCAUAAAAGUGUUCAUUCAUUAGGUCGUGUAUAAUUAGGAUUCAUUUUAUUUUUGAUAGUGUUGUUUUAGAAAAACUGUUUGCUUGUUGCUCUUCUAAAAAAACUCAUUGUUAAACUAAUGCAUCGGAAAAACCAUUUUUCAAGUCAUUUUGGAAACUUAGUUACCUUAUCGAUUUGUUUCGUUAAAAAAUGUUUCCUUUGCAAUGCAGCGGAAACUAGGGAACAAUAUUAAAUUUUACUUAAGCUUGAUAUAAUGCAUUAUCUGAUUAUUAUGCUUGAGUAAUCCAUGCAUGCAAAAAUCCCCAAAAGAAAAGUUACCAAACCAAAGACAAAAAAAAAUUAAAAAUUACAAAUCAAAAUCAAUAAUGACUUAAUAAUACUUAUUAUGAAUAGUCUGAAAUCCAAGGUUAUUGUCCGAAUGCCGAGUUCGGUACUAAUUUUGAGGUGUACCUGAAAAGUUAUUGGGGUAAGCUUAUGGAAAGCUCAGUGUGAGUUGAACAAUUAUUUAAACAAACAAAAACAUAAAAUAUAGUGAAACAUAUUAAAAUUAACAAAAGAAAACAGAACCAUUAUAGGAAUUUCAUACCAUUACAUAGCCAUUAUCAAAUUGAUGUCAAAUGGUGUAUGAGAAUGGGACAUCAUUCAUUUGAGUAUCAAUAAUUAAUUUUGGUACCAUUCAAUACAACACAAUAGAACAUAUAUCAUAAAUCAAUAACAUUCGAAUAUGUCAUGAGCAUGAUGCAAUGCAAAAAAGUUCCUAACCAUACCAUUCACUACACACCAUGAGUUCCCUAGAACCUGUCAUCCGAACUCCAAAACAUUAUGGGCUAAAGCUCACUGUGAUUAAAACCAUGGAAAAUAAUAUGCAAAAAAUUAUGCCACUAAAAAUGCGAUAAAUCCCCAUUCCCCUCGAUACUCCAAGUGUAGUGCACUAACUACAAAUAAUGCAGACUAAAUAUGCUAUCGGUACUCCAUGGAUCUCCUUUGUCAACCACAAAAUCCCUACCCAAUGCAUAUGCAAUAUAUCACACAAUCUUAUACAUAAUCAUAUCUCAAUACUUUUUACAUUCAUUUGACAUGCUCAGCAUGUCCUCAAUAAUCACAUACUUUCAGUAAAUGGAAACAAUGUUUCAAUCUUUCAUAUUACCAUUGUGUUGGUUUCAAUCAAUAUCAUUCAAUUUCACAUACUUUACAGAUUUUCAUUGUGUAUAAAUAACACCUUUUUCAGUACACAAUAUAAAAAUAUCUCAUGCAUUUAAAUCAUACAUAAGUAUCUCAAAAAAUUAUCAUCAUUCAGUCAAAAGUUCUCAUAUCUCAUAACUCAAAUAUGCAAUUACAAACUCAAUCAAGCAUUCAUACUAUCAAACUAGCAAUUUUGCCAACAUGUCAAUCUUUUAAGGCUCGAAACAUACCUGGUUCGGCCACUCACAGAAUCAAUAAUUUUGCUAUUAAUUCAAUCCAAUCAACAAGAUAAUUUAAAUAUAACAUGAUAUUUAACAUUUUCAAACAAUUUUAUAAGUUUAGGACCCACACGUUAUUUUUUGCUUCAUCGCAGCACACUAGCGAAUCUUCCAAUUUUCCUUUAUAAUUUCUUAAACGAACCUAAACCAAAAUUCAAUAUAAAUUCAAUAAAUCUACCAUUAAACUAGAACCUAAACACCUACUUAUGAGUUCAAACCAAUCGUUGAAAUUAUAACUAUUUUAUGAAUCCAAACUAGUUAGAUUCCUUACAUUAUAUCGAUGCAAACCCUACGUACAAUCGUCCUUCAUUUGUACAGAUGAUUUGGGGAAUUUGGGUUGACUAAGUGGGUUCAAUAACACAAUUUAAUGCUAGAAAAUAUGGGCAAGACCCAAGAAACAAAACAACCUACUUUCUUCCACAUAGGCGCACCACCACCAUCCAUGGUGGCCAAAAUUGGGGCAAAAUUUAAAAUGGUUUAAGAUUUAAUUAAAAUCUGGAAAAAUACCUUUGAAAUCAUUUAAAAUCAAAAAAAUUCCAGAUAUGAAAAUUCUUGUUUUUAAUUGACAAUAUUAAUAAAGAAAUUGAAUAGAAAAGAGAUCUUACCCAAGCUAGUUGAAAGAAACGGCAAUGACACUUUCUUGGCAAAGUUCGGGAUCAAUCUUUGGGUUCAAGAUUUCAUAUUUAGGGUUGUUUUAGAUGGAGAUAAAUGUGAGCAGUGGAGUAAAGGAUAUGGUGCACAGUCUUGAUGCAAAAAGAAGAAAGAUAUGGUAAAAUGGGAGGUGUAGGCGACGACAACAAUGGGAGAAAGAAAGAAAAUUGAAGAGAAAAGAUGAGAGGAAGAGGGUGAACGACUAGGGUAGUGAAAAUUUGAAUUAAUGGCUGAAAAAUACAAUAAAAAUUGUAUUUAUAGUUAGGGUUCAAAGGUAUGGAUGGCACACAAAUUAAAAAAAUAAAGGAUUUUGUAAAAUUUAAUUAUUUCGCAAGUAAAAGGAUUCAAACUUGGGACCCCUUUUAAUUUCUAUGCUUUCUCAUAUUUCUUUUAACCAUUAGGCUUUUUCCUCAUUCUUGAAAUAAUUUUGCAAUAUUUAUUUUAAAAACAAGGCAUGCCACAUACUAGGUGUUAGAGUUGUGUGACACAAAUUCUAAGAAAUUGCUUACAAGUCAAGUUAAACAAAAUAUAUUUUCUUUCUAGAAGAUUUAGUAUUUAUUAGUAUAAUAUAUUUAGCAUUUAUUAGCAUAGUUUAUUUGACUUACUAAUUUAGCCUAUAAAUAGGUUCUUUUACAACAUUAAAAAAAUACACCCAUUAGAGAUUAGAACUCAUAACACAUUUAGAGAAUUUUGUGUUUACGUUUUGAGGGUUCUUUGUUUUUGGGUUUUCAAGGUUUAGAUUUUAUCUCCAUCUUUUGUACUCUUCGUUCUUUUGCCAUUGUAGUAAAAUUAUCUUUGCCCGUGUUUUUUUCCUCUUUGGAGGGGUUUUUCAUGUUAAAUUUGUGUGUUCAAUUUCUCAAUUGAUUCCGCUAUUUUUUUACUUGUUACUUCAUCAGGUCGAUCCAAACAAGUGGUAUUAGAGCUAGUUCAAUUUUCAUAGAUCAGCCCGUUCAAAGAUGGCAGCAACAAGGUUUGAAAUUGAGAAGUUUGAUGGUGUGGCAAAUUUCGAUCAAUGGCAAGUUCAGAUGAUGGCAAUUGUAGUUCAAAUCGGCUUGAAAAAGGUUGUUACCAGGAAAAAACCUGAGAAUCUAAAUCAAAUAGAAUGGGAAGAGCUUGAUGAAAACACUUUGUCUGCAAUCCAAUUAUGCCUCGCGAAUACGGUAUUGGAGGAGGUAUUGAUGGAGAAGACCUCAUCUUCCUUGUGGAAAAGGUUAGAAACUCUUUAUGCGACUAAGUCUCUAGCUAGCCGUUUAGUGUUAAAACAACGUCUAUUUAUGUUUCGCAUGAACGAAGGUGAGCUUCUUAGAGAUCACAUUAGUCAAUUCAUUACUCUUUUAAAUGAUUUAAAUAAUGUAGAGGUUCAUAUUGACGACGAAGAUCAAGCUAUGUUAUUAUUGUGCUCUUUACCCCCUUCAUACAAGUUUUUCAGGGAGACUCUGAUUUAUGAUAGAGACAAACUCUCAUUCAAAGAUAUGAAGGGUCAUUUUUUGAGUAGAGACAAACUCGACAAUGAGUUGUGUCGACACAAUUUUUAAAUUUGAAAAAUGGGAUCUACUUUUUUAAAAUGGAGUCGCCACCGAUCUUUAUUGAAGGUGUGAUCGGCUCACCUAGAAAAUGAUUUUGAUCCACGAACUUUUAAGAAAAUAGGUCUGGGAGUCGCUUACGUACGGGGAAGGGUUAGCACCCUCGUGACGCCCAAGACUGGUACCGAAUUGAUUGUUUAAUGUCUUAAUGUCAAAAUUUUGAAAAGAUUUUAAAAUACGAUUCUUGAUGAGAAAACUUGAAUAAACCAAAUUAAAUGAUACGAACACUUAUUUCGAAGAAAUAAAUUUUCGCGCUCAGUGAGUUAGGGUGCUCCAAUUCAAUCUUUGAAAUUAAAUGUGCCCCUUUUUUAUGAAAAUCAUGAGUUUAAAGAAGGUUACUUGAUUGUUUAAGUCAAUCAAGAGAUCAGAAUCCAGUAAGUUAGGGUUCAAUUUCUCGAAAUUCUUAAAUCUCAAAUAUUGCCAUUAUUUUAAAAUUGAGAUAACAAAAUGCCACAUCCAGUAAGUUAGGAUCCAACAUUUUGUAAUCUUUAAAACUUUAUUUCAACAAUCGAAUGGUUUUAGUAAAAUGAACACUUGAUGGUACGAAUUCAUCAAGAAGAAUUGAAGCCCAGUAAGUUAGUGCACAAUUCUCUCGAGAACUUAUAAACACCAAGCUUUUUUAGUAGAUUUGAAAUAAAACGAUUAUAAUGUUUUAAUGAAAUGUAAUUCUUACAAACAAUACAAUUGAAUAACCAAAUAUAAAGCAAAUGAUGGAUAACAAACCAAAUUUACAAUAUGGAGCAACCCAACAUAUAAUACAUCAACAUAAAUAAUUAAGUAUCUAAUAAAUCAAUAAUCAAUCUCAUAAAGAUAUCUUGAAUAUAUAAAAAAAAUAGAUAUUUAGAAAUAAUUUAAUAAUAAAUAUUUAAACUAAAGUAAGCAAAAUGAAUAACCCUUUUUUAACUAAUAAAAUACUUAUGUAUGAAAAGAAUAUAAAAUUUUACAAGUUGGAAUCUGUAAUAAUCUAUACCUACUUAUAUACACCAAAAAAGUUCCUUAUAAAUUAUACAUAUAGAUAUAAUAAUCAUGAAAUAUCAUGGUAAAAAUAAAAUUUGAAACUAUAUUCUAAAUUUAUUAUUGAGAAGUAUAAAGUAACAUAUCAUUUUUAAUAUAUAUUAAGUGCGAUAAAAUAAAUAAUAAUAUAUCAAAUUUGAAAAAAAAAGAGUAUAUGUAAAGAAUUUAAAAUCGAUGUCAAUGAAUUUAAAACAUAUUGAUAAUAAUUUGCAAGAAUAAAGUAUUAUAUUUUAGAAAUCAUAUUAAUAAUAAGUUUAAAAACAUUAAGUCAAUGUUAAAAUAAUAUUAAUAAUUAAAAUAACAAUAAAAUUUUUAAUAAAUAUACAGUAGUUUCAAAAUAUUAGUAUAUAAUAAAUUUAAAAUACAAAAUACAACCUAAAAUAAUAACUUUAUUACAUUUUAAAAUAAUAUAAUAAUAAUUUAAAAUACUAUCAAAAAUAAAUAUUAUAAAGAAUAUUAGAUACUAUAAUACAUGAAAAUAGAAUUAAUCAUAAUUUAAAAAACAUUGAAUUUUAUGAAAAAUAAAUCAAUAUUUAAUUAAAACCUGUUUCAAAAUUGAAGGACUAAAUCUGCAAUUAAACACAAACAUCGAAAUAAUCCCAAACAAUAACAAAAACGGCACCGUUUGAACUUGGAUCUAAAUGAAUACAGAAUUAAAUAUGAAGUACAGGUUACAAAUCAAUAAAAGAAAUCAAAUCGCGAUUAUAUUAAACAUGAAGGGACCUUCUGAAUAAAUAAGCCAAAUGAUCCAUGAUGCGCAGAUCCUUCCCGGAUCGAGUCACUGUUCGGAUCGAGUCUUCAAACGACGCCGUUUUGAAGCCAUUACAUUGGCAACAAACGGUGGCGUUUCAGCUUCCGUGUUUAAAGACUAAAAACCAAAAUAUUUUUUCAUUUUAGAAAACCUAAAGAGAACAAAUGUUCUCUGUGCCGUUCAGGGCAUUGAGGACACUCGAGUGAUCUCAGAUCCAGACCUACGCUCCGAUGACAACGGAGAAGGUCCGAAUCUCAUCACCAGGUAACUUAUAUCCUUUCCUAUGGUUGUUUAUUCCUUUAACAAACGCUCAGUAGGUACAAAAAUAAAAAAAAUGAAGAGAAAAGGAAGUAAAAAAAAUCUGUGAAUGAAAAAGAAAGAGAAUCCUGAAAUCACCUUUUAAUAUAUUGAUAUUUUUAUUCUGAAUGCGUAAGUAAUCCUUACAAAACCUUUAGCCUUUUUGUUUUAUAGGCUGAAAAAUGAAAAAAAUCGAAAAUAAAAAUCGAAAUCUCAUCAAAAAUCAAUCUUAUUUUGUUGUUUUCUGCUGCGUUGUUUGCUCUAUUUGCAGGUACGAUGUACGGCGGGGAACGUGGCAUGUACGGAGGCACGGACGUGGUACGUAUGUGGGGAGAGGCGUGCGUGGCAGCGGCACAGGAGGCUCUGGUUGCUGCUAGGGUUUUCGGUGUUUGGGGGCAGUCUUGGGCUGAGUUGGGUUUUGGGCUAGGCUAGGCUUUGGGUUCGGGUUUGGGUUAAAGCUGAUUGGGUUUAGGCGAAUCGGGCUUAGGACUGUAUUUUGGGUUAGAUUUUAUUGGGCCAAUGUUUCUGUAUUUUUGGGACUUUUGGACUUUUAAUUCUAUUACUAUAUAUUUUUUGUUUGUAAGGGCCGGGCAAAUUGGGCCUAUUACAAGGUUGUUUGGAUAGCAAGGCAGAUAGACAAGCUUGCGUUUUGGUAGCAUUAAAGAAACGAGACAAAAGGUGUCGCUAAUGUAAAAAGUUAGGUCACGUUACAGCAGAUUGUUAUAAACUGCGAAAUAAAAGAGCUACUUAUAGUAACAAGAAAGAUAUAGCUGGUGCUAAUUUGGCUGAUGAAAGCGGUGAUAAUUUCUUGUUAGUGUCAACUAGCGAUAACUCCAAGCUCACGUCUGAGUGGAUCCUAGAUUCAGAAUGUUCUUUCCACAUGUGUCCCAAUAGAGAAUGAUUCUCUAGAUACAGUUUAGUUGAAGGUGGAGUUGUGCGCAUGGGAAAUGAUUCAUCUAGUAAGGUAAUCAGUAUUGGUACUAUUAAAAUUAGGAUACAUGAUGGGACGAUUAGGACACUCUCAAAUGCUAGGUAUGUACCUCAUUUACGAAAGAAUCUCAUAUCCGUGAGUAUUUUAGACUUGAAAAGAUGCAAAAUCAACGUCGAGUCGAGUGACAUUAAAGUAUCUCAUAGAGCUCUCGUUUUGUUAAAAGAUAAAAGAACCGGCAGCCUUUAUAUUCCAGAAGGUUCUACAGUGACCGGUGAAAUCAAAUGUCCCUCAUCCAUUACAGAUUCAAAGUCAACUCGUUUAGAGCAGAGGCAACUUGAUCAUAGGAGGGUAAAAGGUAUGACCGUUUCGUUGAAGAGAGGUUCUCUUUUGGAUGCGGGUUUUGAAAAGUAAGGCACUGUGUUUGUGAAAGCCAGACCCGGGUUAGUUUUGUUUUGGCAGUGCACAAGUCGAAGGCUAGAAGUCUUCCAACUUCUAAGUAUGGAUUCGACUUGAUUAAUUCCCUGCACAGUUCAAGCUAGGCCCGUAGCGGGCUUUGGCAAAGAUGGAAUUGUAAGAAUUCGUGUCAAGAUGGAGAUUGUUAGAUUUGUGUGACCCAAAUUCUAAGAGGUUGCUUCCAAGUCAAGUUAAACAAAAUAUAUUUUCUUUCUAGAAGAUUUAGUAUUUAUUAGUAUAAUAUAUUUAGCAUUUAUUAGCAUAGUUUAUUUGACUUACUAAUUUAGCCUAUAAAUAGGUUCUUUUACAACCUUAGAAAAUACACCCAUUAGAGAUUAGAACUCAUAACACAUUUAGAGAAUUUUGUGUUUACGUUUUAAGGGUUCUUUAUUUUUGGGUUUCUGGGGUUUAGUUUUUAUCUCCAUCUUUUGUACUCUUCGUUCUUUUGCCAUUAUAGUAAAAUUAUCUUUGCCCGUGGUUUUUUAUCCUCUUUGGAGGGAUUUUUCCACGUUAAAUUUGUGUGUUCAAUUCCUCAAUUUAUUCCGCUAUUUUUUUACUUGUUGUUUAAUUGGGUUGAUCCUAAUACUAGGGUUUAAGGCAAAAUUAGCAAAAUAAUAAAAAAUGGUGAGAGAGAAGGGAUUCGAACUUGGGUUUCAAGGAAUGUUUCAUUAACACUUAACCAACAAACCAAUACCUCAUUUAUUUCCUAAAAAUGCAUAGAUAAUAUAAAAAAUUAAGGCAUGGCCACUCUCUCUCGAUUCACAAACUCGAUUCUACUAACCCCCGAUUUUUGGGAUGUUACAUAGAGCUUAAAUUGAGUUCAAAACUCAACCCUUCAUUGUCCUUAAACUUUGUAAUGCACUAUCGAAUAGAUGUCAAGUCAUGGACAUUAAGGGUUAGGCAGGAACAUUACGAAGGUUUCUCACAAAAAAUGUACUUGAGCGAUUAGAGAAAAGGGAUUGAAUUAGCUUGUAAAUGAUUCUCACUAAAAAUAGUGCUUAAAAAGAAAAGAAAAAUGUGAGAGAAAAGAACACUCAAAGUGUAAAAAUGAUAAAAAAAGUAAAAUAAAUGAGUUUAAAAUAGUCUCAAAAUCAUAGUGAACAAAAAUUAGUUAAUAUCAAUUAACUUUUUUUAGAUUAUUUGAGAGAUAAGGACAGUGAGGGAAUGAGAAAUAAGGCGGUGAGAUGUAACGAUCACUGAUGUGACCCUGCCCCAUGGCUCUCUAAGUCCUAGUUUCGAUCCCAAUAAGCUCCCAAAAGAACCCAUGAUUCAAGCGCGGUCCAAGCGAUUCCAAUAAGCUGUUUCAGCAUUAUUUCUUAGAAUUUUGAAGGAGGAUCAGUUUGUUAACGAAGGGAAAGCUCGGGCUAAUCCAUUGGGGAAUCCAUGCGUCUUAGUGCAAGCUGAUUUUAGCUCAAUUCUAGCUCCUUUAGCUCGUUUCAGCUCCAAUCAGCUCAUUUAAGCUCAAUUUAGCUCAUUCGAGCUCAAUUUAGCUUUCUAUCAGCUUGUUAAUUUUAUUGUUUAAAGAAAUUGAGUAUUAGUUAUAUUUUAAUUAAUUUUCUACACCUCAUGGUCGAAUUAUUUAGCUCAAUUCAGUUCAUUAAGUUGUUUCACAUCUUUUGAGCUAACCGAAUUUAUUAUUAGCUAUGUUUUAUUUAUGUGUUUUUAAAUUGCUUAUUUAAUAUGUUUUGAUGUUAAUUAGUCUAAGAUCAACUGAAUAUAGUAUGAAUUUAAUUUAUUCAUUGUCUUUGUAGGUACACCCGAAUGUGGGAACACAAUUAAAUGUCAAUUCAUGAACAAGUUUGCCUCUUUGUGAUAGAUCUUCCAAGGCCGAAUACUUUGAUGAUUUUGAUACACGUUCGCCUCUUCGUGAGCCAACCUUCACAAAUGAAUAAAUUGAUGCACUUGUAGAGACAUGUCUACCAUUUUGUUUAUCAUCUCGGAAGGACUCAAACUCGGAGUUUGCUUCUCUUGGUCUCGAACGCCUUGUUGAAUAGGAGUCUUGAUAGGAGUCUCUUGUCGAGCAGUGUCAUCGUGAUGAUCUUAACUCCGUCUCUUGUCCCAGUGAAUUUGGCUUCCGUCGGGCUCUUUCCUCCACUCGAUCCAAUCGAUCAUACAAUUUAUCUAAUUUUGAUUUCACCAUUCUACGCAUCUUUUGCAUCAAAUAUUGGAAUUCUGAUUCGAAAAAUUCUUCUCGAGACACGAUUAUUCACUAAAAGAAGAAAUGUUGAAAGAAUAAUAACAGAAAAUUAGAUAGCUCACUACAAAAUCCUCACUAAUUCUCUCGAAAAGGAAAUAAUGAUUUUCACUCGCACUCGUGUUUACACUCAAUUUUUGGCUUUUUCUUUUGAUGUAAUUCACUCUUGCCUUUUACCACUCGACCUCGUCUCACAAUUUCGUAAUUCGUCUCGGUAGACUUAAUUUGCUGCUUGAGGGUCAGUUUCAAAAAUGGGUAACAAAGGGAAUAAUGAGAUGGUGUAACGUAGGCUAGAACAAAAACAUAUUCGGUUUAAGAUGUGGCGUUUAAGAAGAUAGAAUAAGAAGAAUAGGGAAACUCACUUGAUCGGGAAACACAAAGAAUGAAUAAACAAAAAUUCCAACACAUCACUUUUUUUUCAAAUUUUUUUUACUUCAUACUUUUUUUUUUAUUCUCAAUUUUUUUCGUAAUUUCCUCUUUUCUUUUUUUCAAUGACAAUAGAUGAAAUACAAAGAAAGAAAAAAAAUACAACUUGAAUUUUUUUAUUUGUUUUUUACGUUACGAACCUACUCCGAGCUUGAUACGAAUGUUGAUGCUCCUCGUUUUGCAAGCUCUGAUACCAAAUGAUGCGAUCUGGCCCGGGAUAAUCGAGUCGUUUCACAAAGUUGCCCGAUCGUCGACUAGAAGUUGCGUUCGUUGUUGAUUAGAGAUAGCUUUAUGGAAAUGUUUGAGCGGAAGUAAUUAAAAUGGGUUCAAAAGAUGGCUUUUGGGAAUUGAUAGAUUCGGUUUUGAGAAAAGAAAAUAAUUUAUAAAUUGAUAGAUAAAAUGGAAUGGAAAUACAAACUCAAGCGUCAAGAUCAAUUCAAUACUAUUUGAAGUAUUGCCCCGGGACUUAUAUUGCUUAAGGUGGGUUAAAUGGAAUAUCGAAGAUGGACCUCGACCCGUUACUUAUGAAGAAGUAAGAACCAAAGGUAUUAAAAGGUGGAUGAACGCCAUACCAUGAUGGUGAUAAGUUCAAAGAGUCGGGCUGACACCACUAGCUAGCUAGAUAAGUUAGAACAAGACUCAAACGAAAUAGGAUAGGAGGAAACCUCACAAUCUAGUUUUGAUAAUAAAAAAUGUCUAACCUUGUUACAAAGAGAAAUAAACUAUUUAUAGACUACAUAUGAUAGCCGAAUGGACAGAAUAAACAAGCUUAAAGAUUAAGUAAUUCGGCUUUAAAUGUGUUAAAACUAAUCUCGGAAUGUAUCCCUUAAAUGCUAUGUCUAAAUUCGGCUGAAUGAAUCUUCAAUGGGUAGCUUCAUGGCUAAGGAAAUGAAGUUGGUGGCUGGUGAAUGCAUGAGAGGCCGAUAGCCUUGUCUAGGUUCGGCCAAUGUGUGAAUGGACACUCCAAAAAAUGCCUUUUGGGUCGAAUAGGUGCAUAGGAGUUCAAUGGACAGCAACUGAUGCAUGUAGGUGAGCAUUCAUGUAUCAUAUUUAAAAUCACUCAUUCGUUGUAGAUAGCCAUUCAUGCAUCCACACAUACGUUGAAUCAACAUGUUCAUGAAUCAACAUUUAAUUGUGUUCCCACAUUCGGCUGUACCUACAAAGACAAUGAACAAAUUAAAUUCAUACUAUAUUGAGCUGAUCUUAGUCUAAUUAACAUCAAAACAUAUUAAAUAAGCAAUUUAAAAACACAAAUAAAACAUAACUAAUAAUAAAUUCGGUUAGCUCAAAAGAUGUGAAACAACUUAAUGAACUGAAUUGAGUUAAAUAAUUCAACCAUGAGGUGUAGAAAAUUAAUUAAAAUAUAACUAAUACUCAAUUUAUUUAAACAAUAAAAUAACGAGCUGAUAGAAAGCUAAAUUGAGCUUGAAUGAGCUGAAUUGAGCUCAAAUGAGCUGAUUGGAGCUGAAACGAGCUAAAGGAGUUGGAAUUGAGCUAAAAUCAGCUUGCACUAAGACGGAUGGAUUCCCCAAUGGAUUAGCCCAAGCUUUCCCUUCGUUAACAAACUAAUCCUCCUUCAAAAUUCUAAGAAAUAAUGCUGAAACAACUUCUUGGAAUCACUUGGACAGCACUUGAGUCAUGGGUCCUUUUGAGAGCUUAUUGGGAUCAAAACUAGGACUUAGAGAGCCGUGGGGCAUGGUCACAUCAUUCCCCCCUUCUUCAAAAUGACUUGUCCUCAAGUCGAGCUGUUUGUUCAUUAGAAAAUAUUCCUUCUUAUGCAACUCUCCUUGGGCGAAUGGGGCGAUUAGUCUUUCAUAGGCCUUUGCAAAAGAACUCACAAUAUUCGGCAGUAGAGAUGGCAAAUGAAUCAAUGGAAAUGGACAACCAUUAAUCAUCAAGAAAUGAUCAAAACAAUUAUGCAGAUCAUGCAUAGCCGUAUCAAGACAACUAUGAGUCAUGUAAAAGGGCAGAUUUAAAAUAUCGUUCUUACUAUCAAAUGAACAAAACAUUUUACAUGUCAAUAACUUAUCAAAUGAUCGAAACAAAGAUGAAUAUGUUUUAAAGCAUCCAAACAUCUCAAAUUGCUUCCACAAGUCAUUGUUCAAAUAAAUGCAAUGCAAUCAAUGAGCCAAGAAAUGUAAGUCUUCAUCACAAAUAGGCAAAUGAAAAGAUUCACAUGAUUCAUGAUUUCGCAUACUUGAAACUUGCAAAUGUCGUUUGGCUAUGUCCUCACCAACGAAUUCAUCACAAUUUCCAAAAAUAAAAUUCUUCUUAUCAUCAACCAAAAUAGGUAUAUUCCCUUCAAGCAAAAUCUAACAAUUAACCACAAUGGGAUUCAAGCAAUUUUUAGCAUUCAAAGUGUCUUCAAAAAUUUUAUCUACAUUCGAAUAAGGAAAAAAUGGUCGCAUAGCAUCAAAAAUCAUACCUUGUCCACAUUUAGGAAUAGGAAAUUGAAGAUCGAUUUUACCUUUUUCAAUCAAAGUGAUCCUUUUCUCCUUGGGAAGGUAUUGAAGUCGAAGCUCAUUACACAGUCCUUGAGAAACCUGAAAUGAAGGAUAAACACAAAGACAACUUGCACUUUUCGAAGUGUUGUGUUCAUAAUGUUAAAAGAGGGUAAUGUCACCAUGGACGUUGGACUCAAAGGAACAUGCUAAAACACUAUGAACAUAUUGAACAUAUGUAACGAUACCAGGUUUGAAAACAUGAGUUGAUCUUGCCUUUUCGAAAUGAAAAAUGAAUUUCAUGUACAGCCACAUAAAAUGAUCAAAGAACAAUUUUAAAUUAUAAUCAAAAUCUUUAAAUUUUAGAGGCCAAGCAUCAAACAAACAUAAACUUGUCACAAAAAAAUUAGGAUGCUUGAGUUCCACACAUAUCAACCUAAAAUAAUAAAUUCUAGGUUUGAACACAAGAGUUUGAUUACUUAUUCCAAGGUGUAACAAAGGUUUCAUUAAAUCAAACAUGCCAGACCAAGAAAAUUUGUGCUUACACAGAAUGAAACAAUAAAACUUCUUUACAUUCAUCAAAACAAAUUUGCACAAAUUCAAGGAUUUCUCACAAAGUGGUAAUUGAGUCACAAAAUCAUCGCAAUCAGACAAUUUAAUCGCUUGUCAUGAAUAGUAGUUAUCAUGCAAAAUCUUAUGUUGUGUGUGUUGAUUUAUUUGAACAACAUGAAAAGGGUUUUCAACACAAAACAAAUCAAGGAAACAAGUCCUCAUGCUUCCACUUAGAAGGAGUUUAUCAUCCACAAAUGAAGAAUAAGGAUUAACCAGAUCAAAAUAAGGAAAUCUUUUAAAAACUAAGUCAUCAAAAAUUUUAUCGACAACUUUCAAACUUGUUUGCCGUGACUCUAUUGCUAAAAAUACCUUACCUUGCUUAUCUUGGAACACUUGUGGUUGGAUUUCACCUUCAAUCUUACCUUCGUUGGUCAAUUGGAAUCGCCUCUCAUUAGGAAAGUAUUGAAGUUGAAAUUUUUCAAUCGAUUCUUCAAAAACCUGAGAAGAAACAACAUGAGGAAAACUCAUAUGUUGGUUAGUGGAGACAAUCCUCACUUUUUCUGGUUCGCUCAUCUCUUUUUCUUUCGUUUAUUUUUCAUCAUCUUUUUCUUUUUCAAUUUUUUUAUCAAUCUUAAUUUCUUUUUCGAUUUUCUUUUCUUCGAUUUCUUUUUUCUUUUGCAAUUUCUUUUUGUUUUUCUUUUUCACAUGCUAUUUUGAUUUCAUUACAAAAGAAAAAAUCAUCAAAAUGAGAAGCCUUUUAUUGAGAAUAAGAAAAGGAUUCUUCAUACAAAUAAAAAUCAUCUCUUUGUGAUAGAUCUUCCGUGACCGAAUACUUUGAUGAUCUUGAUACAUGUUCGCCUCUUCGUGAGCCAACCUUCACAGAUGAAUAAAUUGAUGCACUUGCAGUGACAUGUCUACCUUUUUGUUUAUCAUUUCGGAAGGACUCAAACUCGGAGUUUGAUUCUCUUGGUCUCGAACACCUUGUUGAAUAGGAGUCUUGAUAAGAGUCUCUUGUCGAGCAGUGCCGUCGUGAUGAUCUUAACUCCGUCUCUUGUCCAGGUGAAUUUGGCUUCCGUCGGGCUCUUUCCUCCACUCGAUCCAAUCGAUCAUGCAAUUUAUCAAAUUUUGAUUUCACCAUUCUAGGCAUCUCUUGCAUCAAAUAUUGGAAUUCUGAUUCGAAAAAUUCUUCUCGAGACAUGAUUAUUCACUAAAAGAAGAAAUGUUAAAAGAAUAAUAACAGAAAAUUAGAUACCUCACCACAAAAUCCUCACCAAUUCUCUCGAAAAGGAAAUAAUGAUUUUCACUCACACUCGUGUUUACACUUAAUUUUUGGCUUUUUCUUUUGAUGUAAUUCACCCUUGCCUUUUACCACUCGACCUCGUCUCACAAUUUCGUAAUUCGUCUUGGUAGACUUAAUUUACUGCUUGAGGGUCGGUUUCAAAAAUGGGUAAGAAAGGGAAUAAUGAGAUGGUGUAAGGUAGGCUAGAACACAAACAAAUUUGGUUUAAGAUGUAGCAUUUAAGAAGAUAUAAUAAGAAGAAUAGGGAAACCCACUUGAUCGGGAAACACAAAGAAUGAAUAAACAAAAAUUCCAACACUUCAUUUUUUUUGAAUUUUUUUUACUUCGUACUUUUUUUUAUUAUCAAUUUUUUUUCGUAAUUUCCUCUUUUCUUUUUUUCAAUGACGAUAGAUGAAAUACAAAGAAAGAAAAAAAAUUACAACGUGAAUGUUUUUUUGAUUUUUAUUUCACAUUACGAACCUACUCCGAGCUUGAUACGAACGUCGAUGCUCCUCGUUUUGCAAGCUCUGAUAACAAAUGAUGCGAUCCGGCCCAGCAUAAUCGAGUCAUUUUACAAAGUUGCCUGAUCGUCGACGAGAAGUUGCGUUUGUUGUUGAUUAGAGAUAGCUUUAUGGAAAUGUUUGAGCGGAAGUAAUUAAAAUGGGUUCAAAAGAUGGCUUUUGGGAAUAGAUAGGUUUGGUUUUAACAAAAGAAAAUAAUUUAUAAAUUGAUAGAUAAAAUGGAAUGGAAAUACGAACUCAAGCGUCAAGAACGAUUCAAUACUAUGUGAAGUAUUUCCCCGGGACUUAUAUUGCUUAAGGUGGGAUAAAUGGAAUAUCGAAGAUGGACCUUGACCCAUUACUUAUGAAGAAGUAAGAACCAAAGGUAUUAAAAGUUGGAUGAACGCCACACCAGGAUGGUGAUAAGUUCAAAGAGUCGGGUUGACACCACUAGCUGGCUAGAUAAGUCAGAACAAGACUCAAACGAAAUAGGAUAGGAGGAAACCUCACAAUCAAGUUUUGAUAAUAAAAAAUGUCUAACCUUGUUACAAAGAGAAAUAAACUAUUUAUAGACUACAUAUGAUAGCCGAAUGGACAGAAUAAACAAGCUUAAAGAUUAAGUAAUUCAGCUUUAAAUGUGUUAAACUAAUCUAGGAAUGUAUCCCUUCAAAGCUAUGUCUAAAUUCGGCUGAAUGAAUCUUCAAUGGGCAGCUUCAUGGCUAAGGAAAUGAAUUUGGUGGCUAGUGAAUGCGUGGGAGGCCAAUAGCCUUGUCUAGGUUCACCCAAGGUGUGAUGGACACUCCAAAAAAAUGCCUUUUGGGCCGAAUAGGUGCAUAGGAGUUCAAUAGACAACAACCGAUCCAUGUAGGUGAACAUUCAUGCACUCUCCCAUUCAUUGUAAUGAACCAUUCUUGUAUCAUCUUUAAAAUCACUCAUUCGUUGUAGAUAGUCAUUCAUGAAUCCACACAUAUGUUGAAUCAACAUGUUCAUGAAUCGGCAUUUAAUUGUGUUCCCACAUUCGGCUGUACCUACAAAGACAAUGAACAAAUAAAAUUAAUAGUAUAUUCAGCUGACCUUAGACUAAUUAACAUCAAAACAUAUUAAAUAAGCAAUUUAAAAGCACAUAAAUAAAACAUAGCUAACAAUAAAUUCAGUUAGCUCAAAAGAUGGGAAACAACUUAAUGAACUAAAUUGAGCUAAAUAAUUCGACCAUGAGGUGUAGAAAAUUAAUUAAAAUGUAACUAAUACUCGAUUUAUUUAAACAAUAAAAUUAACGAGCUGAUAGAAAGCUAUAUUGAGCUCGAAUGAGCUGAAUUGAGCUCAAAUGAGCUGAUUGGAGCUGAAACGAGCUAAAGGAGUUGGAAUUGAGCUAAAAUCAGCUUGCACUAAGACGCAUGGAUUCCCCAAUGGAUUUGCUCGAACUUUCCCUUCGUUAACAAACUGAUCCUCCUUCAAAAUUCUAAGAAAUAAUGCUGAAAUAGCUAAUUGGAAUCGCUUGGACCGCGCUCGAAUCUUAGGUCCUUUUGGGAGUUUAUUGGGAUCGAAACUAGGACUUAGAGAGCCAUGGGGCUUGGUCACAUCAAUCACAUUUUGGGGGGAAUUGGGAAUAAUGUAGUGUGAUAUACAUAGUGCUUGAACCAUUUUCAGAUGAACUUUCUUUGAAUCUGUACCAACCCCAACCUUAGAAUGUUACAAGCCAAUAACACCUUUUGGACCCAAAUAAGUCACUGACGCAUCAAUUUGUAUAUAGCUUGCAUUUGUUAGAAUGAACAUGAAUAAUUCUUUUCAAAAAUCUAUGAGCGAUCCGUAUGGUUUAUGUUGACGGACCAUAUUUGUACAUAUGAUCAUUUACGUUGCUUCUAUCUUUAUUGACACUUUAACUUUUUGAACUAAUAAUAUCUACAUUAGGAGUUGGUAAAUUAGUUAGAUAUCAUUCUUAAAUUGCAUGUGAAGUAAUCAUCGUGCAAAUUUGAUGUUGUAUAACUAUAUAACUUAAUUGUUUGAUUUAGUCCAAGGGUCAUCUUUUGCAUGUUUUGUGUGUUUGCUUGAGGACAAGCAAAUACUUGAGUGUGGGGGAAUAUGAUCUACCACAAAUCGAUGUGGAAAAUUAUGCUUUUCUGACGCACUUAAGGAGCUUUUUCUCAAGCAAAAUAAAGAUCUUACUUUAGUUUUUCAUUGUUUUCGUAAUUUUAUAUUUUUCGAGUAAUAAGUGAGAAUUUCUCGUUUUUGUCUAAUUUUUAACCAAAUUGGUAGAUAGUGCCAUUGGAAGGUCUAAUGUGUGCUUCAAUGAUGUAGAGACGUGUUGGAGGUCGAAAAUAAGCGAGAAUGACAUCUAAGGCCAGGGUAUCGCGAUAUCCAACCCCUGGAAUCGCGAUACCUCUGGUAGUAUAAAAGAAAAAGGAGACCCUUCAGUGGUAUCGUGACAUCCUCCUUGUGUAUCGUGAUAUCCACCUCUCUAGGAAGCCCCCCAAGUUCAACAAUGCCUAAGAUAUCGUAAUAUCCACUUCUAGGUAUCGCGUUAUCGCCUUCACCAAAGGGACAAACUUCAACAAAAGGGAGAACUUUGUCUACCCAACCCAUCAAUCACUCAAGGCUCAUGUAAGUGCAAUUUUAGCAUCGAAAAGUCAUCAGAAUACCCUUCAAAACAGCCAAAAAUUGAUGAGGAAGAAAGAGACACAUUUUAUCUUAGUUUUAGGUUUAGUUUUCUCUAGAUUUUCUUUAGUUUUUCUCUUCACUUUUCAAGGUUUUUUAUUUUUCUCUUCUUCUACCUUAGAUUGGAGUUUAUUUUUUUUUAUUUACUUCUUGUUCUUGAUGUUCUUUAUGUUAGUUAAGUUAGUUAGCACUAUAGCUAGGAUUUAUUUACAUUUUUUGUCUAUGUACCUCGCUUUCAAGACUCUUUAAGCUUUAGUUUAAUGUAUUUCAGUUGACUUUACUACAAAUCUGUUAAAACUUGUUCCUUUUAUGUGUCUUGCUUUAGAUUUAUUUGGAAAAUGCUUUUGGUUUCAUGUUAUUGAAGUUUUCUUGCAUAAAAAUCUCAACUUUCACAUAUUUCUUAAGUUUUACGUUUAUGGCUGCUCUGUUGUCAUUGUUAUGUUUAUUUUCUUAACUUUGAGCAUGUCUAGCUAAAUCCUUAAGGAGGUUGGUUGAUGGAAAUGUAGAUAAUCUACAAUCUUUGGGAAAAGGACUAAAUCAUAACAAAUUUGACUAAUUUGAAUAGAAUUAAGAACUUGGGGAGUGAUGCCCCUAAGGGAACACUAAGAUAAAGUGAGACUGAAAGGCUACUUCUUUAUGCACCCGUUCGGUAGCCCUAAAUUAACCGGCGAGAUUGGAAGAUAAACCGAACAUAAUUCGUCUAAAUUGGUAAAAUUGAGAUCGAAAGAUAAAAUGGAUCCACUUGAUAAUUUACGCGAUUUAUAUCCCUAGUCCGAUAUUUGGUGAACCACAUCGAAGUCAACCAACCUCUAUUAGUCAUUUGCUAGAUAGUCCCUCUAGUUUACAUUUCUUUCAAUUUAGCCCCUAGAGUACGAUAUUUAAUUUUCUUGGAAAUUUAUGUUUUAUAAAUAGUCAUAAUAUAAAAUUGUAUUAAUAGCCACUUAGCCUCUAUUGUGUAAGCUAGUUAUUGCUCAAUGGUCUCUUCCUUUGGGUUCGAUCCUUGGAAUAAUUUAGUGUUUCAUUGUAACACUACAAAUAUUACAACUGACCUGUAUGCUUGCAGUAAAACUGAAUGUUAAAAUUUUUCUCAUAAAUUAGUUAUUUUAAUGCACACGCGCGCACUUGGUCACUGUGCCUCAAUUGUUAUUUGAUUUUUUCUUCAAUUCUUGUAGAAGAUGAAUUUGUACAGGGAGACAGAUAAGAAAAAAAUAUGCUCAAUAUUAAUUCUUGUAUGAUAGGUUAGUCCAAAUUCAAGUAUGAUUUUUUAUUUAUUUCAAAUAUUUUUAUGUUAAGUAAAUUAUGAGAUAAAUGUUCAUUUUUUUGAGUAUAUGUAAAUUCACCAUAAUUGUUUUAUAUUCCUUAGAAAUUAAACAUGCAUGAGGACUUAGCCUCUUGAAUUGGUUUGGUACUUUCCUUGAGGCAAAAUGCUAGGUAGCAUAGCAGGUUUAAAAAAUUAUUUAGGCAUAUUUUCUUUGGAUUGAUUGAGCCUUUCAAGCCUACCCUAUUAAUUGAAUCCCUUUAAAACCACAUUUUAAGUUGUAUGGCCUAUAUUUUUCUAAGAUAACCCAUGAAAUAAGUAGCUCUUCCCAAAUAAUUGUUUCUUUGACCUUUUGAACCACUGAAUCUUUGCCUAGCUUACUUUGGAAGUGUUCGAAGAUUAUGUUUAAGGGAAUCCAAGAGAAAUAUUGGGUGUAUAUUAUAAAACACUUAAGGAUGAGUUACAUAUAAAGACGUGCUCUAAAAGGUACUCUUUAAAAAAAGGAGGUACCAUUGGGCACAGGACCUAAAAAUAGUUGGUUUUUUGGUGGAUAGUUACAAUGUUUGAAGGCUAAGGUAAACUAAGUUUAGGGUUAUUGAACAUAAAAUAUAUAAUUUCUCCAUACCUUCACCCUAGCCCCGUUACAACCUUAUCAAGACCUAUUGAUUUAAACUGCUAAGCUGACUAGGGAAGUAUAGAAUUUCAACAUAUAAAGACAUGUGUUAAAUCUGAGGAAUGAUGCUUAGUUAAAUUAUGGAAUUAAUCUUUUAUGGAAUUGAACUUAAUUUACUCUGAAAAUUAGCAAUUCAAAUCAUGAUUUUUUUUUUGUGUUUAGCUACUUCAAUAAAUAUUGGAUGAUAUGUUGUAUAUGAACUACAUAUUUACAUAAUUGAUUUGAAGGUAUACAUUUUUUCUUCUUCAUGAUUGCUUGUUUGAAUAAAUUUCUACAUUAUGACAUGUUUUUAGCAUUACUCGAGAUGAGCAAUGAUUUAUGUUUAGGGGUGUGUGAAGUCUAAAAUAUAUAGAUAUUUCAACACUCUUUUAUAUAAAAUUUAUGCAGAUUUCGAGUAAAUAGAAAACACUUUAUAUGGGUUUUCACUCAAUUUCACGGUAUUUUAUUAUUUCCAUGGGAAUGUGUUAAGUGUGUGAAUAUUAUGUUAAAUGCAUGCUAUUUUGCUAAUUUUUGGUAAUAAUUGGGCUAAGGGAAAGGAUGGCAGAAUUUUGGUCAUAUUUGGGUCUUAGACAGGUGCAGGUUGAAGGAUUCACAAUGUAGUCAGAUGGGAUUCAAAAUGGUGUUCAUUCAGAGUUAAUUCCAAUGAGACCCAAUAUUGUCCAAAUUUGAGGCCAAAACAAUUCCACUUACCCACUUUACCAUGAAAUGGAAUAGCAACAUCCACUAUUAAAAUUAGCCGUCCUAAUCAACCAUUCAACUCCCAAAUUUAAUAGAUUUCUCCCCAAUAUACACCAAAUAAAAUUAGCAUAUUUUCCUUGGAUUAAGCAUUCAACCGUCCACCUACUACUAAAAAUUGCAGUAAAAAAACCACUAUCUUUUGACCAUUCAUUGGCCGACCACAUAAGGAGGAUAUUAAGCUAACUUCCUUGCUAAAAUUAGGAAGGAAGCAACCAUUCCUCCACCAUACAAGGGAUGGCACAAAAAGGGGAGGAACUCAAGGAAUCAUCCACCCACUUCUCCCUUAAGCAAGGGACGACACACUCAUAGAGAUUUUAGGGGAUUUAAUUGCUAUUUUUAGUGUGGCAGAUUAAGCACCAUCAAGUAUAAAUAGGGCAAGCAUUACACCAAUUUUUCUCCAUGUCUUACUAAACAUUUGAUUUCCACAAAAUAAGGCAAACACUUGCCGAUAUAAGAGCAUGUGACGUGGAGGAGAGCCACCAUGGGAAGCUGCAAGGAGCAGUCUCAAACAACCCCUGUAGUCAAUUUUUUCUUGUGUCGAGAGAUAAAAUUGCAUCUCAUCUUCAUGUUUUUAAUUUGAUAUGUCAUGACUUAAUUUUGUUUAUUCAAAAUGGAUAUGAAUCUUGGUAUGAAUUAAUUUGUUUUUGUUGUCUGAAUAUUUUGUACAAAUGAUUAUUUAAUUCAUUUAGGUUUAAUUCAUGAUUAUACUUAUAAAUUUAUGGCCAACAUUUGUAGGUUAAUUAAUUAACUAUUUAAUCUGAGAAGAGGUAAAUGGUAAUUGACAAAAUACCUAAAUGGUGCAUAUCAUGUCGGUAUUGAAAGAUGAUUGCUGUAUGCAUACACUAUGUAAAUGCUCGAGAGGGUGAUUUUUAGGUUAGUUUUUCAUAUAAGCAUAUGCUAAUUAACUUAGGGACAUAAUAGGACUUCGAGAUAAGCCUAUGCCUUAAAUAAAAUGGGUUUAAUGAAUUUUCAUAUUCCCACGAUCCUCCAUUAUAUUCUUUUUAUGAAUACCAAUAAAUUCUUAUUAAGUGACAUAUUUAUUUUAGUUUAUUCAUGUUGUGUUAUAUUAAAUCUUUAGUUCAUUUCUUGUUGUGAUUAUUUCUGUAAGGAAUGUUGUUUUUUUUUAUGGGUCUUUGAACUCUAGUUACAUUUCUUAAUUUAAUUUUGCGACUCUCAUCAAUAAUAUUCUCUUUUAUUUGUUCCUUCAAAAUUGAUUAAACUUGACGUUGAAAAUAAUUCACACAACAAUUUCUAUGGAAACAAUACUCUUUACUUGCUACAUAUUACUUGUAUGAUCGUAUACACUUCCACGUAAUCAUGCGACACAAUUGGAUAAGAGGAUCUCCAAAACACUCCAUAUGACUCAAGGAGUCGAACACUAUCUUCAUGUCAGUGUAGCGUGAAUGUUCACACUCUUCAAACAUACCACGCUAUCUACAAUGAAUGGAGCUAUGCUCAACAUUCCCUUAUCUCUCCAACACUAUCUCUGAGCUACAAUGCCAUAACAUAGAGUAGAAAGGGUGAGUAAUCACAGUCCUAUGGCUUGCCAAUUAUAUCUAGCGGUUACAAUCAUUAACAAUGCCAACAUAUCAUUUUUUUAUCACAUUCACAAUACACAGUAUAAUAAGGCUCACAAUCCAACAGAGCUUGCAAAAACAUGGGCUCACUUAUAUCAUAUGGGUUCACACAUAAUAUAUGGGUUCGAAUGGCAUAGAGUUCGUACAAAAUGUAAGGGGUUUGCACAUGGAUAUAGGCUCGUAUAGUAUUUUUAGGCUCGCAUAAAACAUUUAAGCUUGUAUAAAACAUUUGGCUCAUAUAAAAUAGUUAAGCUCACAUGAAACAUUUAAGCUCGCAUAAAACAUUUGAAAGUAGGGUUCGCAUUUAUCACAAGUGGGCUUGCAUAAUAUACAAGCCCGCGUGAUACUGGUGUUCACAUGACAUAUAUAAUCUUGCACACUUGUAAGCUCACUCACUUUUAUAAAGUUGGCACAGUACUUUUAUAGGGUUCACACAAUACUUUUAUUGGGUUUGCAUAUUAUAGGCUCACACAAAAUAUGUAAAGCUCGCACACAUUGUAACAAGGUUCGUAGAUGAUAAAUCAAGGCUUGCAUAAUAUAUAGCAGGGCUCCCAUGAAAUUUCAACAACGUCCGCAUGCCUUAACUGGACUUUCUUAAGCAUGCAAACCAUUGUUUAAGUGAGUUAUGCAAGAACACUAAUGUAACACCCCAAACCCGAUUUUUGUCACCCGAAUAGGUGACGUGACCACGUCCCAAGCACCGCUAAGCCCUAGCCAUGAUUCCAUCGAGCUUCCAAAAGGACCAUUGACUCGAGCUCGAUCCAAACACUUUCAUGAAGCUAUUUUAGCUCUAUUUCUUUGACUUUGGAAGGAGAAUCAGCUUAUGGAUGAAAGAGAAGCUCGAGCCCAUUUCUUGAAGACUCCUUGCACCUUAGUGCAAGCUGAUUUUAGCUCAAUUCUAGCUCCCUCGGCUCGUUCCUACUCAAAUCAGCUCACUUGAGCUCUUUUCAGCUCGUUUGAGCUCAAUUAAGCAUACUUUCAGCUUAUUUCUUUUAUCAUAUAAAUAAAUUAAGUAUUAUUUUUAUUUUAAUUAUUUUGCUACACCUCAUGACCGAAUUCUCUAGCUCAAUUCAGCUCAUUAAGAAUUUCAUCUAUUAUUGAGCUAGCCGAAUUUAUUAUUAGCUAUAUUUUAUUAUCUGUUUUUAAUUUGUUAAUUUAAUAUGUCUUGAUAUUAUUUAGUCUAAGAUCAGCCGAAUAUACAUUGAACUUAAUUUGCUCAUGUCUUUUGUAGGUACAUCCGAAUGUGGAAAACACAAUUAAUGAUGGUUCAUAAACAGGCUGGUUCAAUGUACGUGCGGGUGGAUGAAUGACUACCUUCAACUUAUGAAUGCAUUAAGGAUGGUGCAUGAACGGUUCAUUACAAUCCAUGGAAGAGUGCAUGAAUACUCACCUACAUGUAUCAUUUGCUAGCUAUUGAUCUCCUAUGGGUUUAUUCGGCCAAGAGGCAUCUAUUGGAGGGACCAUUCACCCUUUGGCUGAACCUAGACAUGGUCGAUGGUCUCCUAUGUAUUCACCAGCUGCCACAUUCAUUUCCUUAGCUUUAAAGCUGAACAUUGAACCUUACAUCUAGCCGAAUCUAGACAUAGCUAAUAGGAAAUGCAUUUCUAGAUUAAUUCAUACAAUUAAAGCCGAAUUACUGAGUCUCUAAGUUUGUUUAUUCUGUCCAUUCGGCUAUCAUAUAGAGGCGAUAAAUAGUUUGUUAUUUCAUGUUGUAAAGGACUUUUUACCAAAUUAUUAAAUGAACAUAUUGUUCUUGUGAGGUUUUCUUCCUCUCCAUUUCGUUCGAGUCUCGAAUUGACUUACCUAGUUCGCUAGCGGCGUCAACGCUAACUCUUGUUUCCUUCCAUCCUUUUAUACCUUUGAAUCUUACUUCUUAUAAGUAACGGGUCAAGGUCCAUCUACUAUCUACCAUACUUCCCACCUUAAGUGAUAUAAGUCCCGGGGCAAUACUUUAUAUAGUAUUGAAUCACUCUUGAAACUUAAGUUCUAUUCUUCCAUUCCAUCUUUUCUAACAAAAAUUAUCUUUGUUUUAUUUUGUUAAACCGAACCUAUCAACUAUCCAAAUAACCAAUCUUUUGAAUACCUUUAAAGACUUUCACUACUUCAUAACUAAAUCUACUCUUUAAACGAAUCCGAACAACUCCUCGUUAACGAUCGGGGAUCUUAAGUGAACUCGACUCAAUCAAUCGAGCCAGAUCACGUUAAUAGGUUGCAGAGCAUUAUCGUAAAAACAUAACUUUAAAAACAUACAUUUUAUACCUCAACAUAAACAUAGCAUAAAUCAUUCAUCUACAUGCAUAUCAUCCCUUAAUGGAGCCUUUGUGGCCUUUAAAAACAUUUUAGAAUCAAUUCGGGACGAAAUUGGAAUCAUUCAGAAGGUUCAGGAAAAAGUUAGAAAAUUUGAACCGCAAGGGUCACAUGCUCGUGUGACUCAUGACCGUGUCUCAGCCCGUGUCCGUGCCCGUGUAACUCUCUGAGUUGAGUCACAUGGCCAAGCCACACGCCCAUGUGCCAGGCCGAGUAACUCUCAAAAUAGCUCCACACGCCUGUGUCCCAAGCCGUGUUCUAGGUUGUAUAAUAGCCUAACUUGCAUGCAUUAAAACCUACAGGGGACACACAGCCGUGUCGUCACAUGGCCAUGUGUCAUACACGGCUGAGUCAUAUGCCCAUGUCUCAUGCCGUGUGGACAUGAAAUUGACCAAAUUCAAGCCAUUCCCAACACCGAUUCAUGCAUCCACUUGAAAAAUUUUAGUGCACAUUAUCAAAGCAUCAAAACCUUAUCAAAACUUACAUAUAAUAACCAAUUUAAUGAUCCCAAAUCAAUCAACCAAUAUGCCAAUCAAGGCACCACAAAUGCAAAUAUUUAAACCUACCUAAACAUGCAUUUAUUUGAUCUCAUUUCUAUCCUCGAACCUAGUUCAACUUCUAACAAAUCAAACAUCAAAUUUGACCAUUACUAUUCCAAUACAAAACACGCCAUUUGAGCAUUCAGAACAUACAACAUGAUAUAGUCACAAUUACACAAACUAACAAGGUGUCAAAUGUACUAACAUAGUUAACUUACAUAAUGUAUACUUACCAAAUCACCUUCUACCAUUUUCAAACAUUAUAACCUAGUUCAAUUAUGAACUAAAACAAGUCACAAGUAACCAUUUUCAAUCUAUCACCAACAUGUCAAAUGAAUCAUAUCAACAAGAGUAAUCAACAACGCAUAAUUGGGUAAGGUGUUGAGAUGUACCAAACCAAUAAAGCUUUCCAAUGCUUACACAUACCAAAACAUCAUUUACACAUGCACUAUAAUACCAUUAGAAUCUUCCUAUACAUGCCAUUAUAAACCAUAACCAAAUUACUCAAAACCUACCGAUUUGUCCAUUGGAUAGUGUGAUAGAUAUCUAACAAACCUCCAACCGAUCGAGCUUCCAAUAAUCUGUAAAGUAAAGGAAAAUAACUAUUCAAGCAAUGAAUGUUUAGUAAGCUCGUAUAAACUUUAAAUAUAACAUUCCAUUUCAAUAAUGAACAUUAUAGGAUAAAUAAUAAGAUAUGAAAAUGCCAUAAGAUUUAUAAAACUACAUAACCAUCAACUCACAAAUAAUUAAGUCCAUCAGCAUCAUAUAUAUUUUUCAUUCAUAACAUAAUAGGAUUUUAUAAGAUAUAUUACGAAAUCAUCAACCUUUUUAUAAGAUUAUGAACCUUUUUAUUUACUUACUUUCCAUUUCAUUUUAAAUGCUUAACAUAAGCCUAAACAACAUUAUCAGUUUACAAGUUAUUGUAUUUAUUCAUGACAUGAGUAAAUUCAUCCAUAACAUAAGUAUACUUCUCACAUAUAAAUGUCAUUUAACUUAUCAAUCAUUUUAUUUCAUCAUAUUACAUCCCAAUUAUGAACUUACAGUUUCAUUACCUGUUCUUACCUAAAUCAUUUGCAUAAUACAAGACAUAAGUAUAAACAUCAACCAAUUACACAAGCUUGACACAAGCCUAAGCACCAACAACAACACAUGUUAGCAUAUUCAAACAUAAUCCACAUGAGUUUAACAUAGGUAAGCCAUUACACAUGAACACAAUUCAUUUCAAUUCAUCACUUUCCUUAACAUAUCAUACUUUUAAUGAAACUUACCAUUUCAACCCUUUAAUAAAUACAUGAUAUAGUUCCUUUUAAACAUUUAUCAUUCCUUUCCUUUUCAUAUCCGUUGAACCAUUUAGAAUAUCAUUGGAUAUUUGGGAUAGCUUACACGAAGUGUGCUAACAUAUAACUAUAACAUUUCCUUUCCUUUACAUCAUUGCUCACACGAGCUGUGGGUCAGAAUUUAAGCUACACGAUGUUGUUCACACGAGCGGUGGAGUAUUUGUAACAAAUGCAGGACCUCAUCCAUCGGUAGGACAUUCAGGACCAGCACCCGAAACAAGAAAACCCUAAUGACAUGUCAUUUGUAUCCUAUGAAUUCCUAAGGUUCAAAUGGGGCUCAAUAAUCGUCGUGACUUCGUUGGGUUUCCAUAAUUUCUUUACAUGAUAAAUUGCAUAAUAACAUAUAUAUUGAUUCAUUUACAUUAGAAAAACAUGUUAAACAUUCAAUUUAAUCAACAUUAAGUGAUUAUAGUUCAUACGAACUUACUUGGCUAAAUUGCAGCAAUGACUAAGUAUAGGGGUUAUUUGGUAAUUUCUCUUCUCCUGGAUUUUCCACUCAUUUUUUAUCUAAAUUAAUAAUUUCAUUCAAUUCAUUAAUUUAGAUAGUAAAAAAAAUUCAUUUUAUACAAUUUAGUCAUUUUUGACAUUUUUACAAAAUUACCCUCAACUUUUUAUUUUUAUUCAAUUUAGUCAAUAUGUCCUAAUCAUGCAAAUAAACAAAUUUUAUUGAAAAUUCAUACCAUCCGAAUGUUAAUAGCUUCCAUUACAGCCCACUUUUGUAACAAUUUCACACAAAGUCCUUGUAUUUUUACUAUUUCAACAAUUUAAUCCCUAAUCGUUAAAUUCAUCAAAAUCACUUAACAAAAUACUUACAAAAAGCAACUAAUACCUCAAAUUCAUCAUUUAACACCUAAAAUCACAAAGAUUCAUCAAAUGGAAACAUUCAAAAUCUUCAACAGUUUCAAAAAUGAAGGCACGGACCUAGUUACAAUGAUCGCAAGAACAUAAAAAUUAAAAGAAACAGCUGAAAAAUGGCUUAUCAUGCAUAAAUUGAAGCGUGGCCGAACCUUGGUUCUUCUUGCCAUCGUGUUAUGGUGAUGAAAAAAGAAAUUGAAGAAGAAAAUAUUAUGUUUUCUUAUUUUUAUUAACCUUUUUACUUUAUUUUAAUAAUAAAAAAUAACAUAUAAACAUUUAAUAAUAAAAAAUAACAUAUAAACAUAUAAAAUUAAAGAAUUUAAAGCUUAAACUAUCCGCCAUCAUAAGAAUGGGAAAUUUAUCCAUUAAGGUCAUCCAAUUAUAUUUCUUUAAUCAAUUAACACCUUUAAACUAAUAGCGAUUCACUUUUUCAACUAUUACAAUUUUGUCCUUUUUGCUUAAUUAACUAUCUAAACAUCAAAUUUUCUUAACGAAACUUUAAUAAAACCUUAAUAACAUUCCGUAAAUAUUUAUAAAAAUAUUUACAAAUAAUUUUACAAAAACGAGGUCCCAAUACCUUAUUUUCUAAAACCACUUGACUUUAGGGUCUUACCACUUGAACUUAAUUGUUCAUUCAAAUAGCAUAAAUUGUAAAUUCAAAAUUUAUUUUAAUACCAUAUUUUAAUUGUAAAUAUUAAAUAAUAAUAUUUAUGAACUUACUAGUCAGAUUUGUGGCCCCAAAACCACUGUUUCUGACACCACUGAAAAAUGGGCUGUUACAACUCACCUGCGGUUUGCCGCUGAUUGUCGAGCCUACACCACUUUAUGUUUGCCCUUAUCCUUGCUCGUGGAUGCUCCCUCACGAAUAGAGGCUUCACACAUAACAUAAUACAUAUAGGCUAUUAUUUUUCACAACAAAACAGCAGCAGUUCGCCACUCUCUCAAACUGGCGAACUCACUUCGCGCAACUCUAAACUACAAAUUACUUCAUUUUAAGUCAAUCAAAUCCUCAAUUUGCAAUUCCUAGCAUCAGAUCUAAUGAUUAAUUACUUAUCUAAGCCAUUAAUUUUACUCAAUUUCACUAAUUAACAUUUUUCAGAAAAUCACAUUCGUCUUCAAUCUUAUGGAAGAAAAAUCAAUUGAUUCAUGUAAUCUCUUUAAGGAUUUGUUAAAUCAGGUUUCUAAGCCUCUUAAUUACUGUAAAAUGAGCUAAAAAUUGUUUUAAAACCAUCACUUAGCUUAUUAUUUCGAAAUCCACCAUUUUUAUGCAAAAUCAUGCUUUAAAACCGUAUAUCUUAUGAUUUCUUGGUUAGAUCUAUAAGAACACAAAUUGAAAUCACAUAUUAAAUGUUUAAGCCAUAAGAAAUCAGAAGGUUUACCUUUAAUUAAAAGAUCACCACGAAAUUAGAUAAUUUUGAGCAAAAAGAACCUAAGUGUUAAUAGAAAAUGGAAUGAGAAAGAGAGGAUUUCUUUUGAAAUUAAGGAGAAAAAAGGCGUUUGGAUGCUAAGAAAAUAAAAAGGAUUAAGGGAAUUUUGAGAGAAUACUCUUGAUUUGAUUUCUAACCAAUUUUUGAAAUGGUUUAAAUUAUGAAGGGAAGGGACAGUGAAUGGUCUUAUAUAGCCAACCAAUUUUAAAAUUUUGGGCUAUUUACCCUUAAGCCCCUUCCUACUUUCUCCCUUAUUCUAGCAACUCCCGUUUCAAUUAAAGCUCUUAAUUUACACAUUAGACCUCUACUUUAAAGAUUGCUCCAAUUUAAACCUCACUAAAAUAUUUUUAUUAAUUCAAUUAUUAUUGCAUAAUUACUUAUUUUAUUUUAAUUUCUACGAUACUAAUAUCGUAUUUCACUCAAGCCCAUGAUUUGAUUACCUGGUUUUCGGGGUGUGAGAAGAAAAUUAUUUACAAAAUCAAUUAUCAAUCCAUGAAUCGAAAAAUUGUGAUUUCCCUUAGAUUAAUAUUUAUCAAUCCUUGUACUCCUUUAAAUUUUACUAUUUUGACUACGUUCUUUGUCAUUUGUUUUUAUUUCAAUUUGAACUAUAGAAACCCCCUCAAUUUUAUUUUCUCAUUUAUUUUGUAGGAAUUACUCUAAUCCCACUUCCUGUGGAUUCAACCUAGCUCACCACUCUACAAAAGUUUGUUUUUCUUUCUUUUCGAGCAAGAUAUAUUUUUGAGUGGUCUUGACAGUCUGCCAACAACGUCGGUUCAUGUGGAAAUUCCAUAGCCACAUUUUUGUCCGCAUCAGCGCUGUAAUAGGCCAAUUUUGGCCUGGCUAAAAAACCAUUUACAUAGCCCAAAUAAUUCGGCCCAACAAGGCCAAAAUUGCUAACCCUAAUCUGCUAGCCCAAAAAAAUAAAAUACAAAGGGUAUAGAAGAAACCCUAGUAUCCGCCGCAGCAAUCUUACCCUCGCAUGUCGCCGCAAAUGGCGCGCAUGCGCAUCUCCAUGAUCGUACCUGCACAACAAGAAAGUGAAUAAACAACAAAGAAGGCGAGAAAAUCAAGAAAUUGCGAAUCAAAACAGAUAUUAGAAUAGAUUUUUACUUUCUUUUCUUUUUUUCAUUACGGUUAUAAAAAGCCAUCUCAAUUACUGUAAAAAGAGGGGGGGAAAAAAGGGAAUACGGAGAAAAGAUUAAAAUAGAGAUUCGAAAUUUUUUUGAUAACACAGGUGAUUGCUUUGUGGGUUUUCGACAUUUCUUUAUUUAUUUGUUUAUUUUAUUUAUUUCUUUAUUUUUACUUAAAAUAUAAAAAAAAGAAGAGGGCAAACUUAACUUUUCGCCGGAAUCACCGAGUUGGUGCCCUCUCCGUCACGAUUGGGGACUGGGGCAGCGAUAGAGGCUGUGGGAAGUCCUUGAGCGGCGGCUCCCAAGGGUUAGAGAAACCCUAAAAGAAGCAGUUUCUGCUUCAGGAAAAAACAGAACAUUUUAUUAAAAUUUUUUUCUUUUUUUAACCUAAAACAGCUAAAACGGCGCCGUUUAAGAGGCCAGAUCCGCACGCCGACCCGACCCGUAAGUAGGGUCCGCGCGUUCUGGACUAAGUGGUAAAUUUGCGCAAUUAGGGCCUCUCUUUUUGCGACGCGUUUUAAUCAAGUCUGUGUCCUUUUUCAAUUUGGCCCAUAUAUUUUACCCGUGUGACGUUUUAAUCCAAUGCUGCGCAACGUUUAGGAAGGGCGGGAUUAAUUUCCCUUUUGACCCUUCAGAUUAUGCGCAUUUUGCAAAUCUGUCCUUUGUUUUAAUUUGCUCUCGUUUUUUAAUUUUGUUUUGAUUUCAACUUAAUCCUUUGCAUUUGUUUUACUUAUUAAGUUUAAUAUUAGUUUUACUAUUAUUAUUAUUAUUUAUUAUUAUUGUAAUUAUUAUUCCCAUGUACAUACAUACAUUUUUUAAAUUUAUAUAUAUGUAUUUUUUUAUGUACAUAUUUAUAUAUAUAUAUAUUUUAAAAUAAUAUUUUUUCUCAUAUUUAUAUAUAUACACAUACAUAUUUUUUUAUUAAUGUUGAUAAUGUAGAUAUUAUUUAAUUAUUUUUAAUCUAUGUAUAUAUUUUAUAUGUACAUGUAUACAUAUAUAUUUUUUCCUAAUGAAUAUUCUUAUAUAUAUAUAUAUAUGCGUAUAUAUCUAUAUAUAUAUAUGUAUAUAUAUCCAUUCUUAUUUUCAAAAAUGUUUAAAUAUCUACUUGUAUUUUAACACAUAUUUUAUAAUUUAUAUACAUAUUUCUAUACUCUUCUUUAUUUUCACAAAUGCAUAUAUAUUUUGUUUAUAUAAUUUUUUUUAUAACCUAAAUUUUAUAUGUAAAAUCAUUUGUUUUUUUUAUUCUUCAUAAUUUCAAUAUAUAUAUUAUGUAUCUUUUAUUCUUUAUUUUUUUGGUUUAUUUCUUUCAUUUGUUUAUUAAUUUGCGUUUUCAUUUUUUUAUCUUGCUCGUUUAUUUGAACCUUGCAUGUCAUUCUUUUUCCCCUCAUGUAUAUUAGUUUCGUUUAUUUAUUUGUUUAUAUUAUUUCUAUGCCAUUAUUGUAUUUAUUAUUGUUGUAUUUGUUAUUGUGACAUUUAUACAUACAACAUAACAUUACCCCAUCUUUUUACUCGAUUUUAAAAAUAGAAACGUUUCAAAAUAGGGAUAAUACUCGUAUUUAGGAUUUUCAAGAAAAUUGAGCCCUAACGUAUUGGGUUCUGAUUUUUUUGUAAACUCUAACAAUCGAGGAUUGCUCUUUAAUCAAACAAAAUAAAACUUGUCAUCGGGAAUUCAAUAUGUUGUGUCCUAACGUAUUGGAUGUGACACGUUGAUUUCUCGAGAUAAAGAUUUUUUUUAAAAAAUAAAGGGAAUAUUGAAUGUUUGGGAUUUUAAGAAACCAUGCCCUAACGUAUUGGGCUACGAUUUCUUCAUAAAUUUUAAACAAUUAGAUAUUUUCUUAAAUUUUAUUACACGAGUUUUUGACUAACUCAUCAGGAAGAGAAUAAAAUAUUGUGCCCUAACGCAUUGGGUGUGAUAUUUUCCUUUUCCAAAAUGAGAAUGUUUUAAUAAAUAAUUCAAUUUAAAUAAAGAUCGUAUUUAUUAACUCUCGACAUUAAGACACUAAUUAAUCAAUUUGGUACCAAAUUUUGGGCGUUACGAGGGUGCUAAUCCUUCCUUGUACGUAACUGACUCCCGAACCUGCUUUUCUAAAACUCGUAGACCAAAGUCGUAUUUAGGUGAUCCAAUCACACCAUAAUAAAAGAUUGGUGGCGACUCCAAUUUUAAUCGACAACUAAUUUUUGUUUUUUCCAAAAAUAAAAAUGGUUUCGACAAGCGCCAUUAUCUUUAACUCUCAUUUUCUUUGUGUUUAGAUCUUCAGUAGAACAUGACUCACCAUCAUCACCAUCACAAAGAGAGUUAGUCAUAGGUUUUGCCAAAAAGCUUUUAAUCAAUUUAUAUUCACAUCAAAAGAUAUUUAAAAUAAAUAAUAUAUUUGAACAUAAUAAAAUGAUCAUAAUUAUAAAUUCAUUGAAAGCAUUUUAUACCUAAUGCAAUCAUUUGGACAACUUGAAAUUAUAUAGACAUUUAAAACGCCUUCUGAAUAACAAUUCAUGCAAAUUAUGAGUAUUUAGAUAACAAAAUUUGUAGUUUUAUUACAAAUUUUUAAAGUAGAAAAAAAUUAAAGAUAAAUUUGUAAUCUUACUUCUUUAUAUGCUACUUUGACAUAUUUUUGCCGAUUUGACGCAGGUUGGUGCAAUAGAAGAAAAGUUAGUAUUGAAGCUCACCUAUUCAAUACUUAAUUUUGUAGCAUUCCUGUAGCAAAGGCCAUGCAGAUGUGGGUUGAUGGUUGAUUAACAUGGACGUCCUAAAUUCAUCUGUUGGACUCUCAAAUUAAUUUUAACCCAGCUUGCAAUUGGAUCACUAAAGUGGAGAAUCCUACUGCCAAAUUUGAAGCCCAAACUAUCCACUAAGGAAUAAAGAGCCCAAUUUGGCUAUGGGAAAUCCAACCGUACAUAAAAAUAAUUAAUUUAGGCAACAAAGACUUGGUAAAAUGUCACAAAUCCGCCACAACAAUUUUUCCAUGUGACCGUUCAACUUCUUCUCAAGAAUCAAGCAUGAGCUAGCUAAAUUUAGUAAAGUCAUCCACCUUCCUUCCUCAACAAAAGGGGAAAGCCAUGCAUGAGAGAAAAAAAAAGGGGCUCCUCACCAGUCAAAUAGAGAGACAUUUGCUCUCCAUUUCACAAGGGGUCGACCAUGCAUGAGAGAAAAGAAUGGGGGAUUAUCAUGCUUAAAAUAGAAAACUCAAUGAGCUCUUCACUAGUAUAAAUAAAGAGGCAUUUGUUCUCUCGUUCUCUCUCGUUUCAGUUCCAUUUGAGAGAGUAUUUGCAAGGUUUUGAGAGUAGCCACUUUAGGCAAUAUUGAGAGCUUUAAAGCUUGGUAGUCACAACAAGAAGAAAAGAACAAAUGAGGAGCAAAGUGAGUUGUGCCAUGGAGAUCAACUAGAAGUGGCUUAGCAAUUCUCUUUCCUUUCAAUCUUUAUUUUUUUUUAAUUCAAGAAAUAUGAUUACAACUAAGUUUUUGUGCUUUUAAUAUAAUCAUGAUUACUUAAUUUUGUUGGUUUUAGAAUGAUUUAAUUUUCGUAGUUGUAAUUAUUUAAUUCUACUAAAGAUGCUCUAUGCUUUUGAUCUAUUUACUCAUGCAAGUAAAAUCAUGAAUAUGUUUCUCAUGCAUUAUGAAUGAAGGAAAACAACUAAAUUAAUUGACACAAUACUUAUAUAGUGUAUGUUUAAUCAUUCAGGGAUUAAAUUAGUAAUAAUACCAAAAAUAUUAUUACAUUAUAUUAGUUUAUUAAACAUAGAUGAUACGACCUUGCCCUGGACAUGUCCUUAGUUCAGCUCACCUAAUUUUAUUUCAGCUCACAUGAGCUUAUUUCAGCUCGUUUGAGCUCGGUUUAAAUUCUUUUCAGCUUAUUAAUUUUAUUUGCUGGAAUUUUUGGACAUCUAAAUUAAGCAUUUGUUUAAGUUUACUACAGCUCAUUAGUGUGUCCAAAAUUAGUAAAAGUGUUUAAUUUGUCUUGUCUUAAUUAAAUUAAAUGUGUCUUAAUUUUAUUAAGUACGUCUUAAAUUAAAACAUGAAUUAGUUAUGCUCAGCAUAAUUAAUGUGUCUUGUUUAGUUAAUAUUCAAUUUGUCACAAUGUCAAUUAGAGUGUUCACAUUAUGUUUUAAUUUAGUUUAGCUGAAUUUGUUUGAAUUAAUUAAGUUCUUGUGUUAUUAUUUAGGUGCAGCUGAAUUUAAAGAUUCAUUGGCUAGAUGCAUGCACGUAGAUUCAAUGAAUGUGAAUAUGCAUGUGCAGCUGGUAUAAUGCAUUGAAGCUGAUUAAUUUUGGUUCUCUCCAAGGCAACUAUUCGGCCAAGAGACAGCAACCAUUCAACUUUCCAAGACAUGGCCGAUCCUCUCCUCAAAGCAACAUAAUUCUUUUCACACCAUCUGUUUACACCUUGGCUGUUUGGUUCAGCUUGUUCACACCAUGAGGAUUUACAAAACCUUCUAUUCACACUUCCAAGGGCUGCUCAAAUUCUCCUUAAAUGCUGGUGAUGUUUCAGCAAGAGUUGCUUCACAAAUGGGCCAAAUUAAGAUCAUUAAUCGAAUUUAGUUGCUGCCAAGAACUUUCAAGAUUCAUUUGCUUAAUUGAGGAGCUGAUUUUUAUUCUCCAUUCAGCCGAAUCUACCUUGGUCUUCAUUCAUGAAUUAAAGCUGGAAUUUAGUUCAAUGUUUGCUUAAAUAUUAAGUCUUGAAUAUGUCCAUUCGGCUACUAGACUUUAGGCUAUAAAUAGUUGUUGAUUUUCUUGUAAAAAGGACUUUUUCCAGAUUAUUGAAUGAACUUUGUUCAAAGAGUGAGUUUUCUCCUCUCUAAAUUUGUAUGAGUUUCGAUCUGACUUAUCUAGCGAGCUAGUGGCGUCUAUCGUUCUCUUUUUGAACUUAUCACCUUAUUUUGGUGUGGCGUUCAACCCUUCUACAAUUUCGCAAAUCCACCUUAACCAAAUAGAAACCGGGGUGACACUCUUUAGUGUUGAAUCGUGUCUAGAGUUAAGUUCUUUUUUCCAUUCCCACAAAUUAUCCCAAAUUAACUAUCCUUUGAUUCCUUUAUUAAACCGAACCUACAUCUUUCUAAACCUUCUAUCAUUACAAAAUUCAAUUUGUAAGCUUCCGUAAAAUUUUAAAACAAAUUUACACCUUUUCGGCUGCUAGAACUUCUCCUCGUCGACGAUCGGGCAAACUUUGUGAAACAACUCGAUUAUCCCGAGCUGGAUCACAUCAUUUGGUAUCAGAGUUGGUUAAAACGAGAAGUACGAGCACUCGAAGUCAUUUUGAAAUAGGUAUGUAAAAAAAGUUCGAAAAAAAUUUAAAAUUAAAAAAACAAAUAUGUACUUACGAAAUUAAAAAAAAUAAGUGAAUUGAAAAAAAAAUUUGUGAAUUAAAAAAAAGUGUUUUGUUUCAAGUUCUGAAAGUUGUUCACUUAUUUGUAAUACCGAUCAUUCCCUAAUACUCUUUUUUUCACGCCACAUUUAGUUCAAAGCCUCCCUUGUUUCUUUUAGCCUACCCAUAACCUAACAUCAAUCCCUUGUGAGCCAUUUUAAAGCCAACCCACUGGACUAAGAUAAUGUCACAUCGAGUCUUCUACGAAAUCACCAGAGGAAAUUGAGUGAAAAAGGCACGAGUGUGUGAGCGCAUUAGAGUGGAGGUAAAAGCCAAAAAACGAGCGCAAACAUGAGUGUAAGUGACACCAACUUUUCUUUUCGAGAGAUUUGUGAGGUUUUUGUUGUGAGGUUUUUAUAUUCAUGUCUCAAAACCCAGAACAAAAUAUGGCAGAAGGAGGUGGAAGACAACCAAUCUAAAACGUCGCGCUUAGAGGAGGCAGAGUGCCAGAUUUGGCUCAACAAGCCAUGUUGCGAGAAUUCCAACGUAUGCUCCGGAAUGAGAUGGAAUCAUUUAAUAAGCGUUUGGAACGAGUCGAAGAGAGGACUCAACGAGAAAAAACUCCCCAAGGGCCACAAAAAGAACGAGGCCACCCAGACGCCAAUAAAAAAUACCUCUAUGAUCCAAGUGAAGCUGAAAGUGAUCAAGGGUCAAACCAAAGCGAAAGGCGAAGAGGUCCAAGGAAUCGAGACAAUCGGGAUCGAAGACGAGUGGAUGAUGACUUGAAGAACAUCAAACUUUCUAUUCCAUCUUUUCAAGGAAAAUCCAAUCCGAAGGCCUACUUAGAAUGGAAAAAGAAGAUUGAAUUGGUUUUUGAUUGUCACAAUCAUUUCGAGAUCAAAAAGGUGAAGUUGGCGGCCAUAGAGUUCUCCGAUUACGCCAUGAUUUGGUGGGAUCAACUCACCAUGAGCCAGAGAAGGAAUGGGGAACGGCCAAAAUCAACUUGGGCCGAAAUGAAGGCUGUGAUGCGAUGACGUUUCGCUCCAUCCUACUAUCACCGGGAACUCUAUCAAAAACUUUAAAAUCUCACUCAAGGUUCAAGAAGUGUUGAAGAUUACUGUAAAGAGAUUGAGAUUGCAAUGAUUCGUGCCGAUGUCCAAGAAGAUCGUGAAGCAAUGAUGGCGCAUUUCCUUGCUGGUCUCAAUCGAGACAUUGCCAAUGUUGUGGAGCUACAAUAUUACAUUGAAAUCAUGGACAUAGUGCAUAUGGCCAUUAAGGUGGAGAAGCAACUCAAGCGAAAGAGCUUCGUUCGAAGCUACCCUACUACGAGCACAACAAAAUGGGGUCAAAGCAUGAAUAGAAGCAAUCCACCAAGUCGUGCCAAAGAGCCAAUGGUGCCUGCUAAGACAAAUAGACCUAUGGGCGACACGAGUAAAGGCAAUGUGAUAGAUUCAUUUGCCAAUCGAAAGAGGGAUAUCAAGUGCUUUAAGUGCCUCAAAAGGGGGCAUAUCGCCAGCCAAUGUCCCAACAGUAGUAAUAUGGUGGUUCGUGCGAAUGGAGAAAUUGAACCGGAAGAGGAAAAACUUGAAGAUGACCCCGAAGCGGAAUCCGACAAUGAAGAAUAAGUUGAACAUGCCCUUGAUGGGGAACUUCUUGUUGUCAAAAGGAGCCUUAGCAUCAAAGGUGUGGAAGACGAGCAACAACGAGAAAACAUUUUCCACACACGAUGCCAAGUUCAAGGGAAAAUAUGUAGCGUCAUCAUUGAUGGUGGUAGCUGCACGAAUGUGGCGAGCACUCUUAUGGUUGAGAAGUUAGGCUUGCCAACCACCAAGCACCCGAGCCCUUACAAACUCCAAUGGCUCAAUGAUGGCGGUGAACUCAAGGUCACCAAGCAAGUUCUAGUUUCAUUCUCCAUUGGAAAAUAUUACGACGAGGUACUAUGUGAUGUUGUUCCAAUGCAUUCGGGUCACUUGCUACUUGGCCGUCCGUGGCAAUUUGAUCGUCGAGUCAUGCACGAUGGAUACUCAAACCGCUAUUCUUUCAAGCAUAUGGGAAGAAAUGUAACCUUAGCCCUGUUGACGCCAAAGCAAGUGUAUGAGGACCAAGUUAAAUUGAAACAAUCGAUAGAACAAACGAGAGAAAAAGAAAGGAGUGAAAAUACAAAAGAAAAGAAAAAUGAUAAAAAAAGAGGAAAAACUAUACAAUAAAAUAAAAAGAAAUUGAGAAAAGAAAAAGACGAAAAGGAAAAGGAAAGUGAAAAAUUGAGUGUUUUUGCGAGGGUUGGUGAUGUUCGAAAAGCAUUUUUAAUGAGGCAACCGAUCCUUGUGCUCAUGUACAAGGAAAAUUUUCUUAACACUAAUGAACUUCCUAAGAACAUUCCAUCUUCUGUUGUCUCUCUUUUGCAGUAUUUCAAAGAUGUAUUUCCGGAUGAUGUGCCAAGUGGUUUGCCACCCCUUCGUAGGAUUGAGCACCAAAUCGACUUCGUACCUGGAGCCGUUAUUCCGAAUCGACCUGCAUACCGAACCAAUCCCGAAGAAACCAAAGAGCUGUAAAGACAAGUCAAUGAACUCAUAGAAAAGGGCUACAGUCGAGAGAGCCUUAGUCCUUGCGCUGUGCCGGUAUUGUUGGUACCCAAGAAGGAUGGAACUUGGCGUAUGUGUAUUGACUGUCGCGUCGUAAAUAAAAUAACCAUUAAAUAUCGUCAACCGAUACCACAUCUCAACGACAUGCUUGAUGAAUUGAGCGGUGCCAAUUAUUUUCAAAUCCAAUACCUUUCCAAGGAGAGAAGGUUCACGUUGGUUGGUAAAGGUAAUCCUAGUCCACCUAUGCCACAAGUUAAGAAAUGUAAGUGUUAUAACCUGUUUCAAUCCCCACCAACUUAUUUGAACAUUUGUGAAUAUAAUGAUGAUAUGGUCAAUUACCCUUCUUUGAUUAAUGGCAAUGUGUUGGUUUUAAACGAUAAUAAGACGAGUUUCUCUAACGAAAAUUGCCAUGUUUACAAGUUUGCUGGUGAAGUAAGUGUAAAUCAACGCAAACAAUUUUUGAAAUUGUAUGUUAAAAAGUUGUCAUGUAAAUCUCCUAGUUCAAUUGUUUGUGAGACGUCUCUGCUUUGUCAUAUAAAUUUUGCAUGCCUAUGUAAGUUUGAAGGUGUGACACUGUGUACUAAAAAAUUUUCUUGGUUUGGCAUGUUUGAAUUAAUGAAAUUUCUACUGCAUUAAGGAAUAAGUGAUCAAACUCGUGUGUUCAAACCUGGACUUUGCUAUAUCGGUCCAUUUUGUGAGAAAUUCGAGCAUCCUAAAUUUUAUGUGAACAAUUUGUUUGACGCUUUGGCCUUUGAUAAAUAUUUGUAUCCUGAUGCAAAUGAUUGUUUUCCUUUGGUUAGCCAUGAAGUGCUUGUUUUGAGAGAUGAUUGUAAGAAUAAUAUAGAUACAAAUUGCUAUGCUGAACCAUAAACAAAUCAAACUGUAAUCCAUUGUCCUUGGUACAUUUUGAAUGCGUAAGAUGAACACCCAUAUAAGUCUUUCUUUGAGAUUGAUCAUGUUGAAAAGGCAUGGAAAAGGACUCUUGAAUUUGAUUGUGUGCGAACAUGCAUGAGUAAUUGUCCUUUGAAUCGAUUGAAUUCACUUGUUUGCAAUAAUGACAUAUCAAGACUGUUUGAUAAUUUGAGAUAUGCAAGUUUUGAUCAAAUAAGACUUUGGAUGCAUGACCAAUUGAAUGAAUUUUUCAUUUAUUUUGGAUGUAAUUUGAGUUUGAUUUCUUUGUUCUCCCAACCGCCAAAGAUGGAGAGUCAAAUUGAAAAUCUUCGACUACAAUAUACCCCCGAGGAGCGGAGGUUUGUAUUGACUGAACAAGGUAAAACUGAUCUUUGUGUUCCUACUUUUAAAGGUAAGGCUCAUGAACUUUUUGAAACAUCGUUGUUCUCUUUAGGUGGUGACAAAGAUAGUGUUGUUGAUUUGGUUCUUGUAAAACACUUAAAUUGCGACUUUCUUGACUGUUCUAUCUUGUUUAUUGAUCAUCUACUUGUUUUGGUUGUUGAUAAAAAGAUUCUUGUGUUUGAUCUUCGUAACUUUGUUGGUGACCAUAUGAUUAAACGGAAAUUGCAAUGUCCAACCAAGCCAAUUCAUGAAUCAUAUGAAUCUUUUCAAAUGUCUGCUUGUGACAAUUACGUUUACCAUUUUAUUUAUUACUCGCGAUUUAUGCAUGGCUUGUGGAAACCAUUUAAAAUGUUUGAAUGCCUUAGAACAUGUCCGUUGUUGUUUCGAAUAUUUGAUGAGGCAUUGGCGAGUAAAUUAAUUUGUUUGCAUGGUUGUCAAUAUGUUGUUUUGAACCUGUCCAUUCACAUGCAUUCUGUUAUGCUUAUGAUUGGACUACAAGUUCAUUUGCAUUGCUAUUUGCUAACUCAUGACUAUUCAUUUCAGUUGAUUCAAUUUCCAUCCGUACCAUUCGACUGAGGAAAGCCGGGUAAAAAGAGCUAUGUUCGAGUGAACCAACGCCUCAACUUGAGGACAAGUCGCUUCGAUGAAGGGGGAAUGAUACGACCCUGCCUCGGACAUGUCCUUGGUUCAGCUCACCUAAUUUUAUUUUAGCUCACAUGAGCUUAUUUCAGCUCGUUUAAGCUCGGUUUAAUUUCAUUUCAGCUCAUUAAUUUUAUUCGCUGGAAUUUUUGGACAUUUAAAUUAAGCAUUUGUUUAAGUUUACUACAUCUCAUUAGUGUGUACAAAAUUAGUACAAGUGUUUAACUUGUCUUGUCUUAAUUAAAUUAAAUGUGUCUUAAUUUUAUUAAGUAUGUCUUAAAUUAAAACAUGAAUUAGUUAUGUUCAGCAGAAUUAAUGUGUCUUGUUUAGUUAAUAUUUAAUUUGUCACAAUGUCAAUUAGAGUGUUCACAUUAUGUUUUAAUUUAGUUUAGCUGAAUUUGUUUGAAUUAAUUAAGUUCAUGUGUUUUUAUUUAGGUGCAGCCGAAUUUGAAGAUUCAUUGGCUAGAUGCAUGCACGUAGAUUCAAUGAAUGUGAAUAUGCAUGUGUAGCUGGUAUAAUGCAUUGAAGCUGAUUAGUUUUGGUUCUCCCCAAGGCAACUAUUCGGCCAAAAGACAGCAGCCAUUCAACUUUCCAAGACAUGGCCGAUCCUCUCCUCAAAGCAACAUAAUUCUUUUCACACUAUUUGUUCACACCUUGGCUGUUUGGUUCAGCUUGUUCACACCAUGAGGCUUUACAAAAUGGUCCAUUCACAUUUCCAAGGGCUGCCCAAAUUCUCCUUAAACGCUGGUGAUGUUUCAGCAAGAGUUGCUUCAUAAAUGGGCCAAAUUAAGAUCAUUAACCGAAUUUAGUUGCUGCCAAGAACUUUCAAGAUUCAUUUGCUUAAUUGAGGAGCUGAUUUUUAUUCUCCAUUCAGCCGAAUCUACCUUGGUCUUCAUUCAUGAAUUAAAGCUGGAAUUUAGAUCAAUGUUUGCUUAGAUAUUAAGUCUUGAAUCUGUCCAUUCGGCUACUAGACUUUAGGCUAUAAAUAGUUGUUGGUUUUCUUGUAAAAAGGACUUUUGCCAGAUUAUUGAAUGAACUUUGUUCAAAGAGUGAGUUUUCUCCUCUCUAAAUUCGUAUGAUUUUCGAUCUAACUUAUCUAGCAAGCUAGUGGCGUCUAUCGUUCUCUUUUUGAACUUAUCACAUUAUUUUGGUGUGGCGUUCAACCCUUCUACAAUUUCGCAAAUCCACCUUAACCAAAUAGAAAUCGGGGUGUCACUCUUUAGUGUUGAGUCGUUUCUGGAGUUAAUUCCAUUUUUGCAUUCCCACAAAUUAUCCCAAAUAAACUAUCCUUUGAUUCCUUUAUUAAACCGAACCUACAUCUUUCUAAACUUUUUAUCAUUACAAAAUUCAAUUUGUAAGCUUCCGCAAAAUUUUAAAACAAAUUUACACCUUUUUGGUUGCUAGAACUUCUCCUCGUUGACAAUCGGGCAAACUUUGUGAAACGACUCGAUUAUCCCGGGCCGGAUCACAUCAAUAGAAAUAUGCUUGAUAGACUUAUUAAUUAAAUAAGCUUAACAUUAUAACUUAAUUAAAUAAUGUUAGUAAAUUAUCAAUUUUCCACGGAAUUUUCGUAAAAUCUCUUAACAGUGUUUAAAUAAUUUUAUGUUAGGAAGGAAAAUUAUUCUAACAUAUGCAUGCUAUUGUAAUUAAUUCUUAAAAACUUGUAUACUUAUUUCUUUUGUGUUUUUUUUUUUUAAUUUUGAGAUAGUUUUAGUGUAAUUAGAAAAUUCAUGAUUUUGAUACUUGAAUGAAUCAAAGAUUUCACAUAAUUUCCAAAUGGCAUUAAUUUUUUUUAAAAAAAUCUAUAAUUGAAGAACCAAACGCAAAUUUUAUUUUUAAACAUGCCAUGAGCUUUAAAUAAGUAACAUAAAAUAGAGAUUAAAGAUACCAAAAAAAUUUAAAAACACAACAUAAUUUCAAAAUAGAUUUUCUCUACUGCAUGCUUAUAAAAAAUGUAUUUUCUAUAAAAAAAAUUUUUUUAAGAAAUCUAGGAAUUUCUUCUGUUUUUUUUUUCUUAACAAAGAAUGAGUUCUGAAAACAUUUUUAGAAUUUUGAAUUUAUUUUCAACAUAUUAUAUUUAAUUUUUUAAUGAAGUUGUGAAAAAGGAUAACAAAAAAAACUGAAAAUGAACAACUCAUAACAGGAUCAAUUUUGAGAAAUAAAAAUAGAAGGAUUAAAUUUGUAUAAUAAAUACAAAAAAUAUUAUUUUAAUUUAAUUUUUAAAUUAAAAUUGUCAAAUUUAGAUUUAGUAUAAUAAAAAGAUAUUAAAACUAAUAAAUAAAAAUCGUUUUGAUGGCAUAAGAGUUUGAGUUCAACCUCUAAUACUCUAAUUCUAUUGCCAAAUACAAAAAAUUGGUUUAAAUGGUAAAAAUUUGAAAUUCAAAAUAAAAUAUCAAGAUACCGAGAUAAAUCUGCAAUCCUUGAAGUUUGAAUGCAAUUUAUUUUUCUUUUAUUUUUGAAAGUAUGUUUGUAAAUAUAUAAUCAUAUUUUUAUUCAAGUAAAUAAAUAAGGCUAGAAUAUGCUAUAAGUCUAUACUUUUUGAAAUUUUGAAAUUUAAUUUAUGUACUUUUUCUUUAGAAAUGUAAUUCCUCUACUUUUCAAAUUUCAUAAUUUAUGUUCAAUUGUUAACACUGUUAAAUUUGUUAUUGUUUUGAAAUGAAAAAAAAAUUACUCACUUGGUAGCCAUGUAACUAAAAAAUUGACGUUGUAAUGAAGUUGAAUUUAACAAAAAAUUAGCAAUAUUAAUAGCUGGACUUGAAUUUUAAAAUAUAAAAAAUUAGAAUGAAUAAAUUCUAAAAUUUUGAAGAGUACAAGGACUUAUGAUAUAUUUUAACCAAUAAAUAAUUUUAAUGUAUCUUUUGCCCAAAGAUGCAUGCCAAUUAAUCAUGGUUGUUGGAUCGAGAACCAAAAAGUGUAAUGGCUCAAUCACCCUCAUCAAACUGGAAAUUAAAUGAACUGUUAAGAACGGUUUAAACUAGUGUAGAUUUAUGAGUUGAAAUUUUGGGUGUAUUCCUUCCAUUAAAUCACUUUGGUUCUUCUUUGAGCCUUGAACAACUUUGGAGCGAGUCACUACUGAGCCCUUUAAUGCACAAGAAGAGAGAUUUGGAGAAAAAUAACUUAAUAACAAUAAAGAAGAAGCAAUAAAAGAAUUGAAUGUUUGAGUAUUGAGAAGAAGAAAACGCUUCUAAGUUUGUCGAUUAUGUUGUAUAGAAGGUAAAGAAAACUAGAGGAGAAAAACAAGAAACAAAUAAAAAAAUAAACGGAAAAAAAAAUUCAACCAUCGAAUGGACGAGAAUAGGGACAGACAAAAAAGAAAAAAAAAUUGAAACAACGACUUGAGAAAAAAACUGAGUAGUUGAAUGAAUUCAUUGAAAGAAAACUUAGUUAUUGGUUCGUUCUCUAAAGGGCAGGAAAGCAAGCUAAGAAGAAAAAUUUUAAGGCUUCGUGUAAUAGUUCAUUUUUUAGUGAUAUCAGAAAUAGUGGCCUUAGAACCACAAAUCCAACAAGUAAGCUCGUAUAAUUAAUAUUUAAAUUAUACGAGUUAAUAAUAAUUUUAUAUUAAAUUUUGAUUUGGUUAAUUUUAAUUAAUUGAAUUAAUAGAUAAUAUGAGUGGUUUGGUCUAAAAGUUAAGUGGUUGCUGAAAAUGAGGUAUUGGAGCCUCGUUUUCGUAAUUUAAGGCCGUAAAUAUUUAAAAAUAUUUACUAAGUCAUAUAAUAUGUGAAUUGAAGUUUGGUCCGGUAAUUUUAAUGAUUUAUUGCUUAAUUAAGGUAAAAGGAUUAAAUUGUAAAAGAGGUAAAAGUAAAAGUUAUAGAUUUAAAAUAGUAAAGGGACCAAAAUGGUGAUUAAACCAUGGUCAAAAAGUCCAAGCGAUGGUGGAUGUCAAUCAUUCCACUAUCUUUUGGAUUAUUUAUUCAUUUAGUCCUAAUUAGUUUAAGACUAAAUUGUAAAUAAGAUUUUUUAAAUGGAAUUUAAUAUAAUUGAAGGACCGAUUGUGUAAUUGGACCAUCCUUAAAUGGCCUAAUAAUAGAAAUGAUGUGAAAUUCUCUAGAUUGUGGUAAAUUUCAAUUAAAUCCUAAUUAAAUAAGGAUUUACUAAUUAGUAUGUUUUACAAUAUGAUCGAAAAUGGUAGUUUCAGGGCUACAACUCCGAUGUGUUAGGCCGUAAAUAUUACUUAUUUAAUAUUUACGAGGUCAUUAGUGUCGUAUUAAAAUUUUCUUAGCAAAUUUUAACGUUAAGAUGGUUAAUAAGUAAAAGGACUAAAUUGUAAAUAUGGAAAAGGUGGAUUUGUAUGUUAAAAAGAUAAAUUAAAGGGGUUUUGUCACAUCUUCAAAACCCCCUUGGUUGUAAAUAAUAUGAGAUAAAAUUUUAGUGAAAUAAGGUAUAAGAUCAAAGAAAAUGAAAGCUGCAAGAUAUCAAAAGAGAAUUAAAUCAACAAGCAUGACAUGAUGUAUAAUUGAUUUCUCGAUAAAAUGAGAAAAUGAUAUAAAGAUGAUAAAAGAGAAUAUUGAGGAGUGUUAAAUAUAAUAAUAAUAAUAAUAAUAAUAAUAAUAAUAAUUAAGAAGUAGGUUUUAGUAUAUUGAUUUAAAGUAAGGACUAAAUCAUAAAUAUGUGAAAAGUUUUUGGCUCAUGUGUAAAUAUAUUCAAAAUUUAGGGGAUCAAAGUGUAAAAAUAAGAAAUUUGAAGGACCAAAAGUGAAAAUAAUCCAAUUUAAAAUGAUAUAGAAUUGGCAUGCAGGGACCAAAUUGAAUAGGUGAAGAAUUAUGAGGGACUAAAUCAUAAUCUUACCAAAUUAAGUGAUGAUUCACGGAUGAAAUUUUAAAAGAUCAUAAAGGGAAAAAUAGUCAAUUAGAAAGAGAGAGAACUCUAGAAGGCAAUGAUGAUGUUGGAGAUAUUUUGAUGAUAUUUUAUAAUUAUUUAAUUAGAUAAAUAUUACUUUAUUAAUAUUUUAAAGAGAUAUUUUAUUAAUAUGUUAUUAUAAAUAGCUAGUAUAAAAGAUGAAAAAAAAAAAGAAAAGAAAAAAGAGAGGAUCCUCUCAUCUUUCCAACGUGACUGAGGGGGAGAGAAGAAGAAAACUUUGUUGUCUUUACAAAUUGGUCCUUCCACCAAAAAUCUACCAUUUUCACCAAGAAUUUCAAGAAAUUUUCAUAAUCACCAAGAGAGAAGAGUGAUAAGGAGACUAUGGAGAACAAGAAAAUCACAUUGGAUUCAAGAGAAUGGAAGUUGGAGGAGAGAGAAAAUCAAGUUAAAGAUUGAAAUCAAUAGGACAAGGUAAGAACAUCAAGAUUUCAAUAUAUUUUUAAGUUUGAUAUUAUUGAAAAAACAUGAAAAUGAUGUUAAAGUAGAGUUUUCUUAUAUAAGGUGUAGUAGGCCCAAUUUGCCCGGGCCCAAAACUAAAUAAAUAAAACCAAAAAUAAAAGAGUCCAAGUCCAAAUUAUUACAAACCCAAAAUAAAAACCCUAAGCCCAAUUAAUAUUCCCACAACCUAAUCUAAUUCAGAAGCCCUAGGGUUUCCAACUCCUAUGUGCGUCGCUGCCCUCAGCCAUGUCAGCAUGCUCGUCCUAAGGCUCCCCGCCCCGAGGUCUGCUCCCCUGACGCUCCCUUUGCACCAAAAUGGCAAGACUCAAGUCUCGUUACCACUGUUGACUUCGCCACCUACAAGAAAAGAGAAAGAAAAGGAUAGAGGUUAAACAGAGAACAAAGACAAAACAGUAAAAGAUAGUAUGUAAAUCGGCUAUAAAAGCCUCAACGAAUGUAAUUAUUUUUUGACAGACAAUCAAAUACAAAAAAAAAAAGAAACAAAAACAUCAAUCAAAAAUAAUAAAAAAAUUUAGAAGGUUUACUUCUACUUUCGUUUUUAUUUUUUGUUUUAUUUUAUUCUACAUUUUUUUUCAUUUUUUACAUACGAAAAUAAAAAGAAAGGGAAAAGAGUUAAAAAAAACUUACUGAAAGCUCUUUAGGCUUUUUUUUAUGUUUUUGAAAGGUUCUCAGGAAAUAUUCCCCUAGAUUCGGACUCUAGAGGUCGAAGCGUUCAGGGCGGUGUCUUUUAGAUUUUUCAGCCACCAUGGACGGCGGCGCCAUCGCCGGUGACCGGUGGCCGGCACGGUGGCGAACCACCGGAGCAAAGGCCGAACUUGAGGGCUUUGAGAGAGAGGGGGGAGAGUUUUUUAGAUUUUUUUUUUGUUUUGAAGGAUGAAAUGAUUUUUUUUUUGUAAAAAUUUUGACUUAUAUAAGCGUAUGAAACGGUGCCAUUUUGGGCCUAAGCUUCAGACGCCAAAACGGCGUCGUUUUGAAGUGGAGCUCGACGACCCGACCUGAUCCGCCUAGUAGAUCCGCGUGUUUUUGUGACUAGGGUAUAAUUUCCACCCUAGUCCUUCCGCUUCUUAAAUGGUUUUCAAUACUGUCCCUUUUUUAUUUUUCUAUUUUAUCACUUAAUUUCAAUUUGCUUUCGAUUUAGUCCUUCGAAUGUUGACCCCUUUGGGAAUGAUGAGUGUCCUGGAGUUUUGGGAUAAUUUCUCAUUUAAUCCCUAUUUUUCUUCGCGCAUAUCAUUUUGGUCCUUUAUUCUGUUUUAUUAGAUUAGUUUUUAUUAUUUACGAUUUCCACCCCAAAUUUCAUUUAAGUUUCAAUUUAAUCCUUGCUUAUUUAACUUCAACCUUUUACAAUUUUUUAUUAUCUAUUUAUUUGUCUAUUAUUUCUUUAUUUUUAUAUAUACUCAAAAAUUAGAUUGUAUAUACUUUCUUAUUUGUACAUAUUUAUUUAUUAUUGUUGUCAUUAUUAUUUUAUUUUUUAUCCUUUUGUUCUUGGUAUUUUAUUAUUUCUUUUAUUAUUUUUGGUAAUUUUCAUCUCAUACAUAUUUAUCUUUUCAAUCAUGCAUCUUCCAUUUUUUUUUAGGUCACCUUAUCUAUUUUAUUAUUAUUAUGAUGUGAUUAAUAAUAAUAAUAUUAUUAUUAUUACAUUACUGUUGUUAUAGUACUCCCUUAUUUAAUAUUUAUCAUUCUAAUAUUAGACGCAUAUAGCCGUUCAAAAUUAUUUCAUUAUCACUAUAUCAUGCAUUGUGUUUAAAUAUACUUAUUCAUUUUUAUAUUGUGCCCGAAUAAGUUAAAUGCGCAUCACUUUAAAUGCUAUGUUUGUUUUUGCACGAUGCAUAAGUAAGGAAAAUUUUUUAUCAAACACUACACCAAAACAGGCUUUUAGCGGCAUUUUUAGCGGCGUUUGGAUAAAAAAUGCCGCUAAAGAUCCAGCAUUAGCGGCGCUUUUUGGAAAACGCCGCUAAAGAUCGAGAUUUAGCGGCGCUUUAUGGAAAACGCCACUAAAAAUAAGCAUUAGCGGCGUUUUCAAUAAAGCGCCGCAAAAAAUCUAAGCCCAACGACACCGUUUUUUGAUCUUUCGGGGAUUUAGCGGCGUUUUUGAGAAAGCGCCGCUAAUGCCCAUGGCUUUAGCGGGGUUUUUGGAAAAGCGCCGCUAAUGCCCCAGGCCUUUAGCGGUGUUUUUGUGGAAGUGCCGCUAAUGCCCAGGCCUUUAACGGCGUUUUUGUGAAAGCGCCGCUAAUGUCCAGGCCUUUAGCGCCGUUUUUGUGAAAGCGCCGCUAAUGCCAAGGGCUUUAGUAGAGUUUUUGGGAAAGCGCCGCUAAUAAUGCUCAGGGAUUUAAAAUAAUUUAAAAUAUUUGUUAAAAAUGGAAAAAAUAAAAUACUAUUAUUUAAAAUAAUUUUAAAAUUUUUUGGGUACAUCACUAAUUUUUUAAUUUAUAUAUUAAAUAAUUUCUUAUAUAAUUGUAAAAGAGAUAGUAUUAAUUUUAAAAUAUUGAAUUAAUUAUCACUAAAUAAUUUCUUAUAUAAUCGUAAAAGAGAUAGUAUUAAUUUUAAAAUAUUGAAUUAAUUAUCACUAUAGUUUAGGGUUUUUGGUUUAGGGUAUAUGGUUUAAAUAGGUUUAGGUGUUACCAUUUUAAGGUUUAUGGAUUUUGGGUUUAGGUCCUUGGUUUAGGGUAUAUGCAUGGUUUAGGUGUUGCCAUUUUAAGGUUUAUGGAUUAUGGGUUUAGGGAUUAUGGGUUAUGGGUUAUGGUUUAUGGUUUAUGGUUUAAAGGUUGGGGUUUAAGGUUUAGAGGUUAUGUGUGAAUGGUUUAUGGUUUUAAGGUUUAAAUUUAUGGUUUAGGGUUUAGAUUAACUAGUGUUUUCUAAUUUAUAUAUUAAUUAAUUUCUUAUAUAAUUGUAAAAGAGAUAAUAUUAAUUUGGUUCUUCAAAAUCGUGUGAAGAUUUGGUUCUUCAAAAUCGAUAUAAGCUAUAUCCAAGGAUAUCCCCAUCUUAUCCCUUCCCGGUUUAGUAUUUUUAGUGCUCGGUUCAUUUUUUUUAUCUGGUUCAGUUUUUUUACGUGUUUUGCCUUGUCCCCGCCGUGAUCAUCAAGUAAGAAUUGAUUGAAUAGAUUAAACUUUGCAAAGGUUUUAAAAUAUCGAAUUAAUUAGUGGGCCAAGCCAGACCAAGCUGUGCCAAUGCCCAAUUUAAAAAACUUUUCCAACUUCAAGCUCGUUUUACCCGAAUCACCCAUUUCAUUGUUUAAAAACAAUAAAAAAUAUUUUAUAUUUAAAUUUAAUUAUUAAAAAUAAUGUCAAUAUAACUUGUUAAUAUUUUUAUUAUUUUAAAUGGUAAAACUGGCUAAGUUCAGCUAGCUUAAGAUUAAAAAAUAUAAAUCUAAGCCUAACCAUAUUUUGGACUAGGUGGGUUGUAUGGGUAGUGAACAUUUCUAAUUAUCAUUUAAAGAGUAAAUAACAUAUAUUUUUCUAAAUUUUGAAAGGUUUUAUAUUUUUCGUGAUUUAAAAUUUUAAAAUCAAUUUUAAAAGAUUUUAAAUUUUUUUAGAAAUUUUAAAAAGAUUUUAAACUUUUAUUUUUAUAAUAUUUAUUUACUUUCAAAGAAAAGACCAAAUUAAUAAAAAUUACAAACAUUAAAGACUACAAAAUUAUUUUACCAUUUUUUAAUAAGGUGCCUUAAAAAUGUUGCAUUGAUUAUAUAUAAUAAUAUUAUNNNNNNNNNNNNNNNNNNNNNNNNNNNNNNNNNNNNNNNNNNNNNNNNNNNNNNNNNNNNNNNNNNNNNNNNNNNNNNNNNNNNNNNNNNNNNNNNNNNNNNNNNNNNNNNNNNNNNNNNNNNNNNNNNNNNNNNNNNNNNNNNNNNNNNNNNNNNNNNNNNNNNNNNNNNNNNNNNNNNNNNNNNNNNNNNNNNNNNNNNNNNNNNNNNNNNNNNNNNNNNNNNNNNNNNNNNNNNNNNNNNNNNNNNNNNNNNNNNNNNNNNNNNNNNNNNNNNNNNNNNNNNNNNNNNNNNNNNNNNNNNNNNNNCUGCACUGAAUUCACUCACCAUAGCUACUCCUUUUCUCUCGAUCUGUUAGGGUUUUUGCGCUUUGUUUUCCCCCCUUUCUUUUACAUUGCCUUUACUAAGAUGCCAUUGGCUGUUCGCUGAAAUAAAGAGAUAAAAAAAAGAUUGAAGAAGGUGAAGAAUCUCUGUUUCAAUUUCUUUUUCUGUCUUUGCUUAAAAAAAUAUUUUUUCUUCUUCUUCUUCUUUUUUUUUUUGUUCCAGAUCUUCAACAGCAGGUAGUAUAUAGGUUUUCCUUUUGAUGAAUACAAUAUUAUUGCAUACUGAACAUCUGUUUCUCUUCUUUAGGUAGAGCAAUUAGAGCAAGAAGUUGGUGAGCUUCGUAAGGCACUGUUUGAGAAGACUGAACAAGAAAUUGCAAUGCUUCAGGCACCAUUUUUGCUUAUGGCGUGACAAGUAGCGGGAAGACUCAUACAAUGCAUGUAAGAAAUAAUUUGCUACUUCUUUUCCUUAUCUUUGUAUGUUCUACAGUGUAGGGUGGUGUCUCCUAUUUUAAUUUCAUCUAAAGCUGUCAUUUAAUUUGCAUUAUAGAGACCAAAUGUUCGAUUCUUUUGUUAUUAUACAUUAACGAAUAAUUGGUUUAUUGACUACUCUAAGCUUGUCAGAUUGGGAUGCAGUGAAUAGGAUUAAUGAUUAUUUGUUUAUAUAGGAGCUAGAAGGGAUUGUGUGUUGGUUAUNNNNNNNNNNNNNNNNNNNNNNNNNNNNNNNNNNNNNNNNNNNNNNNNNNNNNNNNNNNNNNNNNNNNNNNNNNNNNNNNNNNNNNNNNNNNNNNNNNNNUAUUUGCUCUUUAAACAAAAUCUAUUUAAUUCUAUAUCUAAAGCUCAGAAGUAGCAUUAAUUUUUUAACUAAAGCAACAGUAUCUCAAUUUUUACCAAUGUCAUGUUAAUUUGCUUCCACAUUUGUGCCUAGGUAUUACUUAUUUCUAGCUUUCCAAAUUCCAUUUUUGGAGAAAUGUACUUGUUAUUUAAGUUAAGUUAGUGUAGCAAGUGUCAAAAUCAUUCUUUAAGUCAAAUUUAUUUAAUUUUUGCAUUUUCCACUUGUGACAAGCUUAGAAGUAGCAGUAUUUUUGAACUAAAGCAACAAUUUCCUGCUCUUCUUCUACUAGAGUUUAUAAAUUUGAUUUCCUUCACAUUUGAGUCUAGCUACUUUAUUAAUCAAAAGUUUGAUUACCUGGCAGCAGUAGGCUGAAAACAGGUUCCUUGUUUGUUAAUUCCUUUCUAGUAUUUUCUAUUGUUGUCUCAUUAUUUACAAGUCAUUUUUUAAUUUCAGAGCAUUUAUGUCUUCAUAUCAUAUCAUAAUUUGUUGUCAUAACUUCUUUAUUUAAACUUUACUUAUUGUGUCUAACAUUGUUAGAUGUAUAUUUAUUAUGUCACUUUAAUUAGUUCAUUUCAAUUUAUAUGUAUAGGUGAAGCUUGUUUGGUAUUAUAAUAAUGCACUUGGAAGACCAGAGAAGAAGAAAUUUAUUGCUAGAGCCAAAGCGUAAAAUUCAAAAAUCCUAACCUUCAAACCGUGUGUCAUUAUUUAGUUCACUUGCNNNNNNNNNNNNNNNNNNNNNNNNNNNNNNNNNNNNNNNNNNNNNNNNNNNNNNNNNNNNNNNNNNNNNNNNNNNNNNNNNNNNNNNNNNNNNNNNNNNNNNNNNNNNNNNNNNNNNNNNNNNNNNNNNNNNNNNNNNNNNNNNNNNNNNNNNNNNNNNNNNNNNNNNNNNNNNNNNNNNNNNNNNNNNNNNNNNNNNNNNNNNNNNNNNNNNNNNNNNNNNNNNNNNNNNNNNNNNNNNNNNNNNNNNNNNNNNNNNNNNNNNNNNNNNNNNNNNNNNNNNNNNNNNNNNNNNNNNNNNNNNNNNNNNNNNNNNNNNNNNNNNNNNNNNNNNNNNNNNNNNNNNNNNNNNNNNNNNNNNNNNNNNNNNNNNNNNNNNNNNNNNNNNNNNNNNNNNNNNNNNNNNNNNNNNNNNNNNNNNNNNNNNNNNNNNNNNNNNNNNNNNNNNUGAAUGGUUUGUUCAUAAGUGAGGUUUUGUGCAUUGCAUUGUAGGUUAUUUCUGUAUUUGGGAGGCUUGGGACAAUGUUUGGAUAUAUGCCGAUUGGAGCAGUCAUGGUGAGCCCUCAAGUAACAGAAGUCGUUUAUUCUCAAAGCAACAAGCUUGGUAAGUUAAAACCUGUGUCCAACACUCAUGAGUGUUGAGACAAUUGGUAACUCUCAUUCUUGACUUUAUUAAGCUCACCUUAAGGCUCUAAGUACCAACUAUUUCUACUCAUCCUUUAGCUUUCAAGUAACUGAUGCACAAAAAUUAUGCUCCAAAUUCCUGAAAAAAGGUUGAGAACAUUGGCAAGUAAAUUUUUAGAGAAAGUUCUAUGAAGUUUUUUAUGGAUUCUGUGGCGCAGACCCAUAUUUUUUAUUUUGGCACAUCAUGUAAUUGUUGUACUAAGUAAAGUAAAAAGUAGACUGAAGCAGUUUACUAUGAAGUUUUUAGAGAAAGUUCUAUGAAGUUUUAAUCUAUGCUUGUGUUCCCAUGGAUUUCCAUUCCAACUAGCUUCGAUACGGUUCUGCUGCUUUCAGUUUCACGUGAUCUCCUCACUGUUACUUGUAAUUAUCCUUUUUCCAUCUUUUGAUGACUGAUUUUGCUGCUGCUAUUGUUGUUAUUAGGCUUUGAUAGCCAAUGGCGUUGAAGCGGGGACUAUCCAGUGUGGGCGUCCAAAGGAACAGAAGCUCUGGAUCUUGUUUGCGUAUCGUGAUUCUUUUUUUCUUCUCAAUUCUGACACUCAUUGCUUUGAGUUCAUUACAAGAUUUCCUUGAUUAAAUAAAUGUAUUAUAUUUUUUAUUACUAAGAUUUACCUUAAGAAAAUUCAUUGUAUGUUUUAUUACCUUGCAUAUGUAUUAUUUAUUUUAAUUUUGAUUCUAAAUUUUUAUUUUUUCUUAAGAGUUUUAACUUUUGGAUUUUAAUUGUAUUAUUAAUUUAUUAUUUUAAAUUCUAAAUUUAAAUUCAUUAAUUUUUUAUAUUUAGUUUUAAAAUUAAAAUUUUCGUAGAAAAUUUAAUUUAAAUAAUAUUUUUUAUUUAUCCUUAAAACAUAAUAUAAUAUUUAUCAUAGAAAUAAAUAUUAUUUAAAAAAAUUAUUUUUUUAAAAAGAUAUGUUUUUAGAGGCGUUUGUGUGAAAAGCGCCGCUAAAGGUCUGUUCUAUAGCGGCGUUUGUGUGAAAAGCGCCGCUAAAGGUCCUGAUCUAUAACAGCGUUUGUGGGAAAAGCGCCGCUAAAGGUCUUGAUCUAUAGUGGCGUUUGUGGGGAAAGUGCCGCUAAAGAUCUUGAGCUAUAGCGGCGUUUGUGGAAAAGCGCCGCUAAAGGUCUUGAUCUAUAGCGGCGUUUGUAGGGAAGCGCCGCUAAAGGUCCUGAUCUAUAGCGGCAUUUGUGGGGAAGCGCCGCUAAAGGUCCUGAUCUAUAGCGGCAUUAGCAACAGCGGCGUUUUUUGUGGCGCUUUCAAAAACGCUGCAAAGACUUUUAGCGGCGCUAAAGGCAUAAAAAAACGCCGCUAAAAACCUAUUUUGGUGUAGUGAAAGUAAUAUUCAUUAUUCUUGGAAUUAAAAAGAGUCAUGUUCUUAACUUACGGAAUAAGGCUUCUUUCUAAAACCGAAAUAGUUGAAUAUAUACUUUAAAAUAAAUAAUAAAAAUAUAGGAUUUUUAGCGUUUAUUCUCGCAUCGGGAAUUCAAGACAUUGUGUCCUAACUUACGGGACGUAAUUCUCUUUCUCGAUUAACAUGAAAUCUGCCCCCUUUUUAAAAAAAUUUCAAUUAAGCGAUAUUUUAACAAAGGAUCGUAUUUUAAAUCUCUUUAAAAUUUUCAAUUUUCGACAUUAAGACAAUAAGUAAUCAAUUAGGUACCAAUUUUGGGCGUUACGAGGGUGCUAAUCCUUCCUCGUAAGUGACCGACUCCCGAACUCAUUUUUCAAAAUUUUGUAGACCAAAAUUGUUAUUUUAAUAAAUUAAAUCGUUUCGAGGAAACCCGAUCACACCUCAUAAAAAUAAUCGGUGGCGACUCUCAUUUUCGUUUUCGUUUUCAAAACCACAAUCGACUCUUUUUUUUAAAAAUGGUUUCGACAGCUUGGUGACUCCACUGGGGACAAAAUAACAGAGUCAAGCCACGAGUGGAUUAGUUCUUGUCUUUUUGUCAAAAAUUGAUAAUUUGGAAAAUUUACGAUCCUUUCAUUGCAUUUCAUUUUUUUAUGGUUUGCUUCAUUUUGAUAUGUUUCCUUUAUUGGUUCGAUUCUUUUAAUCUCUGCACAUUGCAUUACAUGACCGCUCGAUUAUACCUUUCUAAGUGGGAGUGAGAAACUACUCCUUCGUGAGGUUUUCACCUCUGCAUGGGAUAGUGAAUCGCUUUCGGGAUAUAUCCGUACCUAUGUCUUCGUGAGAUUUUCAUUUCUGCAUGGCCAUAGGGAAAUGUAUUCCCCUAAACUAAACUUGGGCCAUAUGAGCCUAUAAUGGGUGAGGAUCGAGGAAUCUGCCGGUUCGGGUACCUUGACUUUAGAACCAAAUCCUAUAUAGUGAGCCCUAAUAGCCUACUCUAGGAAGAACUACACCAAACCCUAAUGGUCACCCAAAUAGGUGCUUUGUUUAUUAUUCCUUGCUCACUUUAGCUUUGUAUAAUGUAUUAACUUGUUUUGUUUUUCUUUGACUGUGAUUGCAUUGCAUUUUCAUCAUAGAAAAGAGGUGUUGAUUCAUGUUCAGUUGCUAAAUAGAGAGCUUUUCAUGGAAAAUGGAUUUCUUGAUAAAGUAGAAGACAACGCGGUCAUCCAAAUAAGGUCCGAGAAAACGUAACAAGGGAAUGGUGAUAGUCUGAUGAAUGAGUACACGACUUUGCUUCAUUGCGUGAGGAUUCAAGCUGACAAAGAUUAUUCGAGAGCCGCCAACAUUCCUACUUUCUUAAAGAAGCUAAUGAGCAUCACGAGGACGAGUGAACAAUGGGUCGCGACUUGGAUCAAGUAAAUAGAAGAUAGAGGAGGCACCCCUUUGAAGAGUUCGCGAGAUUCGAUCUUAACAUACGUAUAUGAAGAAAAUGAUCGAUCUCUUCACUUUGAGUAUUAGGGCAAGGCCGUAUAGGUAAAUAUUAAUUUUAUGUAAAGAGAUUUUUUUGUAGUAAAUUUGUUCUAAUAGAAUUAAAUUAGAAUCAACGCCUCUUUUUGCAUUCAUCCCAUUCAUCUGCAUUACAUUGCAUGCACUAAAUUUCACAAAAAGACCCUAAUUAAUUGAAAUUGUUACAGUUAACCUAGAAACUAUCGAAAAUCCACCAACUAAAUAUCGCUAUGGUACCCGCCGCAAAACCAAACCAUGGACCAAAGAUUAGAGAGAUUAGAGCAAAUGCAAAAGGAUAUGCAAGACUAACUGCAAGCGCAGAUAUAAGAACAACUGGCCAAAAUUCAACAGGACAUGAGGGAUCAGAUGCUAGAAUCCCAAAGAAGUAUGAUGAGCCAAUUAAUGCAGUUACUAGCUGGAGGUCUUGAAAUAGGGAAAGGCCUAGUGGUCAACAGUGGAGAUGAUAAUGAAGCCCCAUCUAUCCCCUAGGUUUACCCUAAUAAGUGUCCAGGCCCAACCAGACGCGCAUCUACAAGGGGCACCCGUUACUAUCAGACCCCAACAAUAUCAGACCGAUACUUUAGCACCAAUGAAUUACCCGAUAGGCUCAGGUUCCAAUCCGGGGGACAAUCCAACCAAUCCUGUAGUUCCUAAUCUAGACGAAAUGACAGAAAUAGAAAAAGCAAGGGUGGAACUACCAAAACAACUCGAAUAUCGGUACAAGUAGUUGGAGGAAGAACUCAGAGCAAUGGAAAAUGCUGAUUACCAUUGCGGGGUUGACGCCAAGGAUCUAAGUUUCGUCCUAGAUUUAGUACUCCUACCGAAAUUUAGGACUCUAGAAUUUGAAAAGUAUAAUGGGACUAGUUUUCCUGAGGCUCAUAUCAUGAUGUUCUACCGAAGAAUGAUAGGAUACGUUAAUAAUGAUUAAUUGUUAAUUAAUUACUUCCAAGAUAGUCUGAUUGGGUCGGCUGCCAAAUGGUACAACCGGCUGAGUCAUACCAAAAUCCACUCAUAGAAGGACUUAGCGCAGGCUUUCAUGAAGCAAUACAACCAUGUAAUAGACAUGACACCUGACAGAAUUACACUGCAGAAUAUGGAAAAGAAGCAAAAUGAGAGCUUCAGGCAAUAUGCCCAAAGAUGAAGAGAGGUAGCGACGCAAGCCCCGUUCAUUAACCAUAUGUUGGCAAGCACUACCAUAAGCUUCUCAGAUAUUGUAAUGUCUGGUGAGAUGAUUGAAAACGUGAUAAGUAGUAAGAAGAUAGACAUGGGAGAAAGCGCCAAAAGAUCAACCCUGAAGAAAAAUGAAAAUGAAGUGAAUAAUGUGAGCAAAGGGUAUUCCAAAUUAGUCACUGUAGUCCAACCGAGGGCAGUGACGACUAGCUAUCAGGGCAGCUCAAGGAAAGAAUCCAACUCGAGGCCAAACAUAGAAAAACUCUAGUUCACACCCAUUCCGAUGACAUAUAGAGAGCUGUACCAGAAUCUGUUUGAUGCGCAUGUGGUACCUUCAUUCUACUCAAAAACCGUACAACCUCCAUUCCUGAAAUAGUAUGAUGCGAACGCCUAAUGCGAAUACCGCACGGGAAUAACAUGACACUCAAUUGAAAACUGAACUACAUUUAAAAAGUUAGUUGAAAGGUUCAUCAAGAUGGGCAUCGUGAAGUUUGACGAUCCAUCAGGACCUAAUAUGGCAGGAAAUCCAUUAUCCAGUUAUCCAGACCCAAGGGUAAACGCGAUAAUUGAGAAUGGAAGAAAGAGAACCAAAACCAAUGUUGCAGACGUAAAAACCCCACUGAAAUGGGUUUUGAAACAAAUGAUAGACAUGGGGUUAAUUAUUCAGAAUUCGGAAAAAAGACCAAAAGGGACGAGAAGCUACAGUGAGUUCCACGCUGAAGAAGGUCAUGAAAUCCAGGAAUGUGCUGAAUACAAAGCUUUGAUGCAGAGCCUAAUGGAUAAUAAAUAGUUGGAAUUUCUUGAAGAAGUCAAAGGCCCGGAAGGGGUGUUAGGGAAUCUGAACAUUAACGCCGUAUUCGAAUGGGGAGCCUAGGAAAAGAAUUUAUUAAGGAGUGUUUUGAACGAUGGGACUGUGGAAAAGAUCCCUGUAUUUUUUAGAGCUAAUUCAGAGUAAUGUCCAAAGUACGCUUAUUGCUCUAAGCCUAGGAGCAAUAAGAAUCCUUUUGUGAAUUUGCUUAUGUCCAGCAUCUUUAUAUCAAUAAAAUGCAUCUUUGUUUCUCACUUUGAGCAAAUAUUCUUUUAUUGUUUCCAUUUCAUUUAUAAUCAUAAUAUACAGAUAAGUAUUCUUUUGUUCUUUGGAUCUUCUUUCGUUUAUUCUUUUGUUCUCUAGAUAUCAAUUAUAUGAGCCACACUGCUAUUGACUCAGAACCUUUUUUUGAGCAAGAUAUGUGUCCAGAAGAACCUCGGGACUUUGAAGAUGACUGAGACUAUAGCUUAUCUCCUGAUUUUUUAAGGAUGGUAGAGCCAGAUGAGAAACAGAUCCUACCUUACAAAUAAUCAAUGGAAUCCAUGGCUUUUCUCUAUGUGGGGCAUGAGUAUCAUUGGGCCAAUCUCACCAAAAGCUUCUAAUGGACAUCGGUUCACCUUUGUAAUAAUUGAUUACUUUACCAAGUCAGUAGAGGCCACUUCUUAUGCCAACGUCACAAAGUCGGCAGUCAGUAAAUUCUUGAAAAAAGAGAUCAUAUGUCGGUAUGGGUUGCCAGAAAGGAUUAUAUCUGAUACUUCAUUGAAUUUAAACAAUAGCACGAUAGUGGAGGUCUGUAGUCAAUUCAAGACCAAGCACCACAACUCAUCACCAUAUCGCCCAAAAAUGAAUGGUGCAGUGGAGGCAGCCAAUAAGAACAUCAAGAAGAUUGUGGGGAAAGUGACUGAAACUUAUAGAGAUUGGCAUGAAAAGUUACUGUUUGCCCUUUAUGCUUAUCAAACGUUUGUCAGGACCUCUACCGGGGCAAUGCAUUUCUCUUUGGUUUAUGGAAUGGAGGUUGUUCUGCCUAUUGAGGUUAAAAUUUCCUCUCUCUGAGUUUUGUCAGAACUAAAGCCUGAUGAAGCAGAAUGGAUCCAAGCUCGAUAUGAUCAGUUAAAUUUGAUUGAAGAGAAAAAGUUGAAAGCUAUCUGUCACGGUCAGAUGUACCAAAAGCGAAUGAUGCAAGCUUACAACAAAAAGGUUCAUCCCAGAGAAUUUCAUGAGGGGGACUUGUUAUUGAAGAAGAUACUGCCCAUACAAAAGGAUUUCAGAGGAAAGUGGAUGUCAAACUGGGAAGGACCUUAUGUGGUAAAGAAGGCUUUUUUUGGAGGAGCGCUGAUUUUGACUAAGUUGGAUGGUAAGAACUUGCCUAAUCCUAUGAAUUCAGAUUGAGUCAAGAAAUAUUUUACAUAAAAAAAUGGAGAGCCAAGGUGAAAACUCGCAAAGGGCGCCUUGAGACCAAUGGGGUUUUAAAUUGAAAACCCAGGACAAGGGCAAUUCAAAUUUUUGAUCAAAGGUGGGGCAUGUGGUAGUCUUGUCCUCUCCGAAUUAACGAAAAGGAGGGAUACUACAUAUUGGGGCAUCAACAAAGUCUUUUAGGACUUCUAAACAUGUAUCAAAUUUAAAGGGUCCUUGAGAAGUUUUGUGUAGAGAAGCUCAUGCUAUGAUAUCUAGGGCACCUAUUUUCAUUCAUUUCAUAUCUUAGCAAAAUUUGGUAUCUUGAUUAAUUUAUUCAUUUUUUGCUUUGCUUUCAAUAAAAGUUCAUCUUGUUCAUUGUGAUAAUCUUUUUCAAGCUUUUUUCAUUGAAAUAACGAUUAAUGGACUGAUAAUAUUCAACCAAAAGGAGUUCUGCAUAUUACUCCAAAAGCUUCUAAAUAGUAUGAGGACUUGAAACAGGACUAUUAUUUAGAACUAACCAAAGGGUUGGAAACAUUUGAGAAAGAAUAGUCUACAUUAUGACUAUUUCUUCGGGUUUUCUGUCUAAGAUACCAGCUGAACAAGAAGACAGGGUAACACAUCAAUGAUAGAACCUUGAUGAGCAACGAGUAAUGAUAAUCCACACAUUAAAAAGGGAUCAUUCUCAUGACAUUCUGCAUUCAUGCAAAUAUCAUUCAUACACAUCUAGUUAGGAGCAUUUGUUUCAUUCUAAUCAUGACAUCCUAAUCACUUGGCAUAAAUAGGCCUAUGAAAUGGAUUCUACAGGUCAUGUUCCCUAGAGAACGGAUCAGCGAAACCACAAAUCCUAUAUCACUAAAGUUGCAAUGGGAUGGAUUGAGGUCAUUAUAGGGAAUCUUAUUUCGCUGGUGUUGUGGUGGAACAGAUUCAAGCUACAAAUUAUGGCAGAUCUUAUCUUACUAAAGUUGCAGUGGAGCAGAUUGAAGCCACCAGCCUUAUCUCCCUAAAGUUACAGCAGAACAGACAGAAGACAACGAAUCUUAUUUACCUGACAUUGUAGUGGAGCAGAUUAAAGCUACAAAUUAUGGCAGAUCUUAUCUUUUUGAAGUCGCAGUGGAGCAUAUUGAAGCCACCAGCCUUAUUCCCUGAAGUUGCAGUGGAGCAGACUGAAGAUAGCGAAUCUUAUUUCCCUGGUGUUGUAGUGGAACAGAUUAAAGCUACAAAUUAUGGUGGAUCUUAUCUUCCUGAAGUUGCAGUGGAGCAGAUUGAAGCCACCAACCUUAUCUCCCAAAAGUUGUAGCGAAGCAAACUGAAGAUAGCAAAUCUUUUUUCCCUGGCAUUGUCGUGGAACAGAUUAAAGCUACAAACUAUGGCGGAUCUUACCUUCCUGAAGUUGUAGUGGAUCAAAUUGAAGCCACCAGCCUUAUCUCCUUAAAGUUGCAGUAGAGCAGACUGAAGACAGCAAAUCUUAUUUCCCUGGCGUUGCAGUGGAACAGGUUAAAGCUACAAGUUAUGGCAGAUCUUAUCUUCCUGAAGUUGCAGUGAAGCAGAUUAAAGCCACCAGCCUUAUCUCCCUGAAGUUGCAGUGAAGCAGACUGUAGACAAUGAAUCUUAUUUCCCUGGCAUUGCAGUGGAACAGAUUAAAGCUACAAAUUAUGGCGGAUCUUAUCUUCUUGAAGUUAUAGUGGAGCAGAUUGAAGCCACCAGCUUUACCUCCCUGAAGUUACAGCGGAGUAGACUGAAGACAACGAAUCUUAUUUCCUUGGAAUCACAAUGGAACAUAUUAAAACUACAAAUUAUGGCAGAUCUUAUCUUCUUGAAGUUACAGUGGAUCAGAUUGAAGCCACCAGCCUUAUCUCCCUGAAGUUGCAGCGGAGUAGACUGAAGACAACGAAUCCUAUUUCCCUGGCAUUGCAGUGGAACAAAUUAAACCUACAAAUUAUGGCAGAUCUUAUCUUCCUGAAGUUACAGCGGAAUAGAUUGAAGCCACCAAUCGUAUCUCCUUGAAGUUGCAGAGGAGCAGACUAAAAAUAGUGAGUCUUAUUUCUUUGGCAUUAAAGCUACAAAUUAUGGCAGAUCUUAUCUUCCUGAAGUUACAGUGGAGCAGAUUGAAGAUACUAAUCUUAUCUCCCCAAAGUUGCAGUGGAGUAGAUUGAAGUGAAGCGAUAAAUUUUGUACAUCUGAAGUUACUGUGUGUUAGAAGGAGGCUACUUCAAGAAGAUGAGCACCAAAGAAGUCGAGAUUUAGAAAUCGAGCAAAUUUGGUCCUUCAUAAAAGUCUUUGCUCCAUUCUCGUUACACGACAAUGUGCAAAGAAGGGAGCUGUAGUAGGCCCAACUUUCCCAAGCCCAAAACCAAAUAAAUAAAACCAAAAAUAAAAGAGUUCAAGUCCAAAUUAUUACAAACCCAAAAUAAAAACCCUAAGCCCAAUUAAUAGGCCCACAAACUAAUCUAAUUCAGAAAACCUAGGGUUUCCAACUCCUAUGUGUGUCGCUACCCUCAGCCAUGUCAGCACGCUCGUCUCGAGGCUGCCCGCCCUGAGGUCUGCUCCCCUGACGUGCCCCUCGCACCAAAAUGGCAAGACUCGAGUCCCGUCACCACCCUUGACUUCUCCACCUGCAAGAAAAGAGAAAGAAAAGGACAGAGGCUAAACAGAGAACAAAGACAAAACAGUAAAAGGUAGUAUGUAAAUCGGCUAUAAAAGCCUCAACGAAUGUAAUUCUUUUUUUGACAGACAAUCAAAUACACGAAAAGAAACAAAAACAUCAAUCGAAAAAAAAAUUCAGAAGGUUUACUUCUACUUUCAUUUUAAUUUUUUGUUUUAUUUUAUUCUACCUUUUUUUCAUUUUUUACAUACGAAAAUAAAAAGAAAGGGAAAAGAGUUAAAAAAAACUUACAGAAAGCUCUUUAGGCCUUUUUUUUACGUUUUUGAAAGGUUCUCGAAAAAUAUUCCCCUUGAUUCAAACUCCAGAGGUCGGAGAAUUCGGGGCAGCAUCUUUUAGGUUUUUCGGCCACCGUGGACGACGGCCCCGUCGCCGGUGACCAGUGGCCGGCACGGUGGCGAACCACCAGAGCCAAGGCCGGACUUGAGGGCUUUGAGAAAGAGGGGGAGAGUUUUUUAGAUUUUUUUGUUUUGAGGGAUGAAAUAAAUUUUUUGUAAAAAUUUUGACUUAUAUAAAUGUAUGAAACGGUGUCGUUUUGGGCCUAAGCUUCAGACGCCAAAGCGGCGUCGUUUUGAAGCGGAGCUUGACAACCUGACCCGAUCCGCCUGGUAGAUUCGCGUGUUUUUGUGACUAGGGUAUAAUUUCCACCCUAGUGCUUCCGCUUCUUAAAUGGUUUUGAAUACCGUCCCUUUUUUUCUAUUUUAUCCUUAAUUUUAAUUUGCUUUCGAUGUAGUCCUCCGUAUGCUAACCCCUUGGGGAAUGAUGCGUGUCCUAGAGUUUUGGGAUAAUUUCUCAUUUUAUCCCUAUUUUUCUUCGCACAUAUCAUUUCGAUCCUUUAUUCCGUUUUAUUAGAUUAGUUUUUAUUAUUUACUAUUUUUACCCAAAAUUUCAUUUAAGUUUCAAUUUAAUCCUUGCUUAUUUAACUUUAACCUUUUUACAAAUUUUUUUAUUAUCUAUUUAUUUGUUUAUUAUUUCUUUAUUUUUAUAUAUACUCAAAAAUUAGAUUGUAUAUACUUUAUUAUUUGUACAUAUUUAUUUAUUUAUUGUUGUUGUCAUUAUUCUUUUAUUUUUUAUCCAUUUGUUCUUGAUAUUUUAUUAUUUCUUUUAUUAUUUUUGGUAAUUUUCAUCUCAUACAUAUUUAUCGUUUCAAUCAUGCAUCUUCCAUUAUUUUUAGGUCACCUUAUCUAUUUUAUUAUUAUUAUGAUGUGAUUAUUAAUAAUAUUAUUAUUAUUAUUACAUUACUGUUAUUAUAGUACUCCUUUAUUUAUUAUUUAUCAUUCUAAUAUUAUACCCAUAUAGCCGUUCAAUAUUAUCUCAUUAUCACUAUAUCAUGCAUUGUGUUUAAAUAUACUUAUUCAUUUUUGUAUUGUGCCCGAGUAAGUUAAAUGCGCAUCACUUUAAAUGUUAUGUUCGUUUUUGCAUGAUGCAUAAGAAAGGAAAUUUUUUUAUCAAAGCAAUAUUCAUUAUUCUUGGAAUUAAAAAGAGUUGUGUUCUUAACUUACGGAAUAAGGCUUCUUUCUAAAACCGAAAUAGUGUAAUAUAUACUUAAAAUAAAAACAAUGGAUUUUUAGCAUUUAUUCUCGCAUUGGGAAUUCCAGACAUUGUGUCCUAACUUACGGGACGUAAUUCUCUGUCUCGAUUAACAUGAAAUAUGCCCCCUUUCUAAAAAAAAUUCAGUUAAGCGAUAUUUCAACAAAGGAUCUUAUUUUAAUUCUUUUCAAAAUUUUCAAUUUUCGACAUUAAGACAAUAAGUAAUCAAUGAGGUACCAAUUUUGGGCGUUACGAGGGUGCUAAUCCUUCCUCGUACGUAACCAACUCCUGAACCAAUUUUUCUGAAUUUCGUAAACCAAAAUUUUUAUUUUAAUAAAUUAAAUCGUUUCGAGGUGACCUGAUCACACUUCAUAAAAAUGAUCGGUGGCGACUCCCAUGAUCGUUUUCGUUUUCAAAAUCACAGUCUACUCUUUUUAAAAAAAAUGGUUUCAACAUAAGGUUUAAUGUUAUUGAUAUGCUAGUGAAGGGAAAUAAGAGGAAGUGAUGGGAAAUAUUGUAGACAAAGGAAAAGGAGGGUGUGAUAAACUUGGUUAUCAACAAUUUGCACUAAAAUAGUUUUGGAUAACAUCAGUAGUCUAACUUUAAAAAUUCACCAAAAACUAUAGAAAUUAGAUUAAAAGUUAAUUAAAGUAUUAAAUUAAAUCCUAUUGAGUCUAGUUUUACAUAAAAGAAACGGUGUAAGGAAAAGAAUUUCAUAUUAUGAGAUAUAUGAAUUUUUGUGAGACAAGGUCAGAUUGAUUUCAGGUUCCCCUUUUCUGAUUUGGAAAAUCAUCAAAAAUUGUAAAAAAAAAUAAGUAAGGAUUUAAAUUUAUAUGUUUAAAUUCUUAAUGAGUUUAUUUUCAAGAGAAACAAACAGAAACAUCAUCCAAACCCCGUACUAAGAGAUAAUUAAUUUUUAGUAAUGAAAGGUCGAAGCUAUCAAACAACAGAACAUGGAUAAAUUUGAAGAUUUUACUGUACUUAUUGGCUAUAUUAUAAAUUCUGAAAUUUUUAUGGUAGAAAGAUAUUUGAGUCUAGUUUUAAAAAACAUCAAGCGGAUCUUAAUUUAGAAUUCUGUAGCUCAAGAUAUAAAUAAUUUAGUGACUAUAACUCAAGUGGAUAGCUUUGAUAUGAACACAUAAGUAAAUAGUGGAAUUAUAGAUAAUGUUACUUAUAAGCAUGUUAUAUGCUAAAAGCUAAAGAGUCUAACAAAUAUAUAUACAUAAAGGAUGUGGAAUGGAGAGGAGGAGGAGGGAAAAUAUAUGAAUAUAUAUAUAUAUAUAUAUAUAUAUAGUAGAUGAAUUUGAGCUGUUUUCAAAUGGGUGUAGGUGAUGGGAUGAUUGAUACAUGAGUAUGUUUAACCGAAUUUGUAAUGGCCCAAAUUUAAGGUUAUUAGAAUAAUGGUUUCGUAACCACAAAUUCAAUUUAAAGAGAAAAUUAUCAUUAAUUUUUUAAGAUUUAUCGAGUGAUUAGAUAUAAGUAUUAGAGUAUUGAUAAGAAAUUUUAUUGAUUGUAUGCCUAAAUUGCCUAUUACGACUUAAUUGCAAAAAUGGGUAAAUAUGAGUUUUAGAUGAUAAAGGAUUUAUUUGAAGUUCAUAAUCAAAUUAGAGGUCCUUAAAUAGUAAUUAGACCAUAAAAUUUCCAUGGACAAAAAUAGGCAUGCAUAGAUAAAUAUAAGUAAAGUUUUAAUGAAGGGUAUUUUAGUAAAUGAAUAAUAAAAAAAUAAAAAGGGAAAAAGAUGGAAAAACUAUCAUCUUCUCCAUAGCUUGCUGCCGAAUUUGGAAAGACACCAUAGCUAGGAUUUUCACACUUUUUCAAGCUCAUAGUAAGUGAUUCUAAGCCCCGUUUUUAAUGCUUUUUAUGUUUUUGAGAUCCCGGUAGCUUAAUUUAGCAUAUUCUAGCAAUAAUUUAACCUAGGAUUUAUAUUUGGAAAAAUACCCAUAGGUAAAAAGUGUUUAUUUUGAUGUUUUAUGAUAGAAUAUGAAGCUAGAAAUUAUGUUAAACAACUUUUGCUAGCCGAUUUUAAGCGAAAACGAUAAGUUGACAUAAUUGGUAAAAAUUCCUAAUGUACAUAAGUAAGUGUUAGAGUGAGAAUUUGAUGUUUUCAUAGAAGAGAAAAAUGUUCAGCAUGUUAUAUAACAUAAGAAUAUAAGAUGAAUUCUAAUUUCCGAGCCUUGGGGUAAAAAUGUAAUUAUGUAAAAGUUUAAGGGCAAAAUCGUAAUUUUUCCAAAGUUAGAGUCGAGGGCUGUUUUGAUAAAUGUGAGUAUUAAAUGAGUUAAAUUUUUUAUUUUAGAUCAAAAAGAACGAAACUCGAAGUUAGACAAAGGAAAGAAUAAAGUUGAAGGCUAAGUUGGUGAAUUUGGAAUAAUUGGUACCGAUGUAAGUUUACGGUAAAUAAAUGAAAUAUUUCAAUAAUUAUUAUUAAUGUUGUUAUUUUUCAGCAGUUAUGUAUUUAUUUUUUGAAAAUAUAUAAUGUUGACUCAAGUAUGAGAUGAUAGAGAAUUAGUGAUACAAGCCCCGUUGAAACAUUAGGAAUGUAUUGGAUACAAAUGUCAUGACAUUUGGGUAGAGAGAUCCCAUGUAAGACCAUGUCUGGGACAUGACAUUGGCAUCAUUGAGAUUAUGAGAGGUCCCAUGUAAGACCAUGUCUGGGACAUGGCGUUGGCACCGAGAUGAGAGGUCCCCCGUAAGACCAUGUCUGGGACAUGGCAUGGGCACCGAUAUGAGAACUCCCAUGUAAGACCAUAUCUGAGAUAUGGAAUUGGCAGUACAUGAAACAUCCCAUGUAAGACCAUGUCUGGGACAUGGCUUUGGCAUGUUAUUAUCAGAAAGAGACCCAAGUAUUCUUAUUAUUCCAAUGUGGUUUUCACGGGCUAGUAAAGAACCUAUGACCAUGAAAGUUUAGUUAAAAACAUAAAUGGUAAGUUCAAGUGAGUUAUAAGAGUUAAGAGUAUAUUACAUUACCCAUUGAGAAUCAACAUUUCAGCAAGAGAAAAGUCAGUCAUAAUUAUGAGUUAUCUAAGUAAACAAGUAAGUGAAUGAGUAAGAGAUCAAGUAAAGAGGAAAUUAAAGAUAAUGUUACUUAGACUAGAAUCUUCAAAUCUAGUAGACCAUAGAGAAAUCGAGGAGUUUGAGCGAGUAAUAGGGGUAUGUCAGAGACUCAAUAGUUAGAUCAGAUGUUAGAACACCUGCAAGAACAUAUGCUAUUCGUGCUCGGGAAGAGACAUCCUCCCCUGAUGUAAUUACAGGUACAUUUUCUCUCUAUGAUAUUAAUAUUGUUGCAUUAAUUGAUCCUGGCUCUACACAUUCAUACAUAUGCACAAAAUUAGUAUUUGUUAAAAAUUUGUCUGUCGAGCUUGCUAAAUUUAUGGUUAACGUCUCGACCCCCCGGGCUAGUUUGUGAUUGUGGAUAAAGUUUGUAAAAAUUGUCCACUGAUGGUAAAAGGUAUUUGUUUUCUGGUUGACUUGAUGUUAUUGCCUUUUGAUGAGUUUGAUGUGAUAUUGGGCAUGGAUUGGUUAACUCAGCAUGAUGCAGUAGUAAAUUGUAACAGAAAUAUAUUGUACUGAAGUGCCAGAAUGGAGAAUUAAUUCGGGUUAAAUCUGAUCAGAUAGAGGAAUUAUCUGACGUGAUUUUAGUUAUGACAGCUCAGAGGUGUGUCAGAAAAGGGUAUGAUGUUUAUUUGGCGCGUGUGUUGGAUACUUAGGUAUCUGAGUCAAAGAUACAGGUAGUUCCAGUUGUAUGUGAGAUUUUUGAUGUGUUUCCAGAGGAAUUAUCGGGGUUGCCACAAGAAAUAGAAGUGGAAUUUUCUAUAGAUCUAAAUCCGGGAACUAUCCCAAUCUCCAUAGCUCCAUAUCGUAUGGCUCCUACAGAAUUAAAAGAGUUAAAGACAUAGUUACAAGAACUUGUAGAUAGAGGUUUUGUUCGUCCAAGUCAUUCACCAUGGGGUGCUCUAGUUUUGUUUGUGAAAAAGAAAGACGGGUCUUUGAGAUUGUGUAUCGACCAUCGGCAGCUCAAUAAGGUAACUAUAAAGAAUAAGUACCCAUUGCCUCGAAUUGAUGACUUAUUGGAUCAGCUGAAAGGUGCCAUAGUAUUUUCAAAGAUUGAUCUUCGAUCGGGUUAUUACCAGUUAUGGGUAAAAGAGCCAGAUGUGUCAAAGACAACUUUCCGAACCAGGUCUGAGCAUUAGGAAUUUUUGGUUAUGCCAUUUGGGCUGACUAAUGCCUACAGUAUUUAUAGAUUUGAUGAACCAGAUAUUCAGACCGUAUUUAGACAGGUUUGUAGUAGUUUUCAUUAAUAAUAUUUUAGUCUAUUCUCGAGAUGAAAAUGAGCAUGCAGAACAUUUGAGAAUAGUGUUGCAAAUUUUGCGUGAAAAGAAGCUUUAUGCUAAAUUCAGUAAAUGUGAAUUUUGGCUCCGAGAGGUGGGUUUUCUUGGACAUAUUGUAUUCACAAAAGGCAUCAGGGUAGAUCCGAAUAAAAUCUCAGCUAUUGUCAAUUGGAGUCCACCGAAGAAUGCAUCUGAAGUUAGAAGUUUCUUGGGUUUAGCUAGCUAUUAUCGGAGAUUUGUAUAGGGUUUUUCUAUGAUAGCUUCUCCAGUGACCCGUUUGUUACCAUAAGAUGUUAAAUUUGAAUAGAUAGAUAAAUGUCAGCAAGGUUUUGACAGAUUGACAAAAUUGUUGAUCGAAGCACCUGUGUUGGUACAGCCUGAAUCGGGUAAAGAAUUUAUUAUUUAUAGUGAUGCAUCAUUAAAUGGUUUAGGUUGUGUCUUGAUGCAAGAAGGUAAGGUAAUAGCCUAUACUUCAAGACAACUUAAGGCCAUAUGAAAGAAAUUACCCGGUACAUGAUCUUAAAUUAGCUGCUAUUGUAUUUGCAUUAAAAUUAUGGUGACAUUAUUUGUAUGGUGAAAAGUGCCAUAUUUAUACUAAUCAUAAAAGCUUGAAGUAUUUGAUGACACAGAAAUAUUUGAAUUUGAGAGAAUGCAGAUAACUGGAAUUGAUAAAGGAUUAAGAUUUGGUUAUUGAUUAUCAUUCGAGUAAGGCUAAUGUUGUAGCUGAUGCUUUGAGCCAGAAAUAUCUAUUUGCUUUACGAGCUAUGAAUGCCCGGAUGUCACUAACUGAUGAUGGUUCAAUCAUAGCUAAAAUGAGAGUUAAAUCGAUAUUUCAUCAACAAAUAUGUGAAGCUCAGAAAAAUGAUGAGAAGUUACAAGCUAAACGGGUACAAUGUGAGUCAGGUAAUGAUUCAGAAUUUUAGAUUGGGACUGAUGGUUGUUUAUUAUUUAGAGGCAGAGUAUGUGUACCGAAGAAUUCAGAGCUUGUACAGAAGAUUUUACACGAGGCACACAGUGGUAUUAUGUUCGUACAUCCGGGAGGUAAUAAAAUGUAUAAUGAUUUGAAGAAGAUGUACUGGUGGCCAGGUAUGAAACGUGAUUUUUCUGAGUUUGUAUCUAGAUGUCUGAUAUGUCAAGAGGUCAAAGCAGAACAUUAGGUACCUUCGGGAUUGCUCCAGCCAAUUACUAUACCGGAAUGGAAAUGGGAAAGAAUUACUAUGGAUUUUGUGUUGGGAUUACCAUUGUCACCGAAGAAGAAAGAUGCCACUUGGAUGAUCGUUGAUCGAUUAACAAAAUCAGCACAUUUUAUCCCGGUACGUAUGGAUUAUUCUCUAGAUAAAUUGGCUGAAUUGUAUAUAUCUGAGAUUGUCAGGCUACAUGGAGUGCCAAUCUCCAUUAUCUCUGAUAGAGAUCCCAGAUUCGUUUCUGGGACAAAUUGCAAGAAGCCUUGGGUACUUAGUUGUAUUUCAGCACUGUAUUUCACCCUCAGACAGAUGGCCAAUCUGAGCGUGUAAUUCAGGUAUUGGAAGAUAUGCUCUGAUGUUGUUUAUUAGAGUUUGAAGGUAAUUGGGAGAAGUAUUUACCUUUGAUUGAAUUUGCUUACAAUAACAGUUAUCAAUCCAGUAUUAAAAUGGCUCCGUAUGAAGCUUUGUAUGGUAGAAAAUGUAGACACCGUUAUAUUGGACAGAGCUCAAUAAAAAGAAUAUACAUGGGGUUGAUUUGAUCUGGGAAACAGAAGAAAAAGUAAAAGUGAUUCAGGAUAGUUUAAAAGCAGCUUCCUAUCGCCAGAAGUCAUAUGUUGAUCUUAAAGGAAAACAGAUUGAAUUUUAGGUGGGUGAUAAGGUAUUCUGAAAAGUGUCUCCUUAGAAGAAAGUUCUCCGGUUCGGUCGAAAGGGUAAAUUGAGUCCAAGAUUUAUCGGGCCAUAUGAAAUCAUAGAAAGAAUUGGACCGGUCGCUUAUCGAUUAGCAUUACCACCAAAACUCGACAGAAUUCGUAAUGUUUUUUAUGUAUCUAUGCUACGACGGUAUCGAUCAGAUCCUUCACAUAUUAUUUCUCCUACAGAAGUAAAGAUUCAGCCGGAUAUGACUUAUAGUGAAGAACCGGUCAAGAUAUUAGCACGACAAACAAAGGAGCUUAGAAAUAAGAAGAUAAAUUUGGUAAAAGUAUUAUGGCAAAAACAUGGGAUUGAGGAAGCGACAUGUGAACCGGAAGAGGCAAUGAGGAAACAAUACCCAAACCUCUUUAUUGGUAAGAUUUUCGAGGAUGAAAAUCUUUAAAGGGGGAGAGUUGUAAUGACCCAAAUUUAAGGUUAUCGAAAUAGUGGUUUCGUAACCACAAAUUCGAUUUAAAGAGAAAAUUAUUUUUUUAUGAUUUAUCGAGUGAUUAGAUAUAAGUAUUAGAGUAUUGAUAAGAAAUUUUAUUGAUUGCAUGCCUAAAUUGCCUAUUAGGACUUAAUUGCAAAAGUGGGUAAAUAUGAGUUUUAGAUGAUAAAGGAUUUGUUUGAAGUGCAUAAUCAAAGUAGAGGUCUUUAAAUAGUAAUUAGACCAUAAAAUUUCCAUGGACAAAAAUAGGCAUGCAUAGAUAAAAAUAACUAAAGUUUUGAUGAAGGGUAUUUUAGUAAAUGAAUAAUAAAAAGAAUAAAAAGGGAAAAAGAAAGCAAAACUAUCAUCUUCUCCAUAGCUUGCUGCCGAAUUUGGAAAGACACCAUAGCUAGGGUUUUCACACUUUUUCAAGCUCAUAGUAAGUGCUUCUAAGCCCCGUUUCUAAUGCUUUUUACUUUUUUGAGAUCCUAGUAGCUUAAUUUAGCUUAUUCUAGCAAUAAUUUAACCUAGGGUUUAUAUUUGGAAAAAUACCCAUAGGUGAAAAGUGUUUAUUUUAAUAUUUUAUGAUAAAAAUAUGAAGCUGGAAAUUAUGUUAAACAACUUUUGCUAGCCUAUUUUAAGCGAAAACGAGUAAGUUGACAUAAUCGGUAAAAAUCCCUAAUGUACAUAAGUAAGUGUUAGAGUGAGAAUUUGAUGUUGUCAUAGAAGAGAAAAAUGUUCAGCAUGUUAUAUAACAUAAGAAUAUGAGAUGAAGUUUAAUUUCCGAGCCUUGGGGAAAAAAUGUAAUUAUGUAAAAGUUUAGGGGCAAAAUCAUAAUUUUUCCAAAGUUAGAGUCGAGGGCUGUUUUGAUAAAUUUGAGUAUUAAAUGAGUUAAAUUUUCUAUUUUAGAUCAAGAAGAACAAAACUCGAAGUUAGACAAAGGAAAGAAUAAAGUUGAAGGCUAAGUUGGUGAAUUUGGCUAUAAUUGGUACCGAGGUAAGUUUACGGUAAAUAAAUGCAAUAUUUUAAUAAUUAUUAUUAAUGCUGUUAUUUUUUUAGAAAUUAUGUAUUUAUUUUAUGAAAAUAUAUAAUGUUGACUCAAGUAUGAGAUGACAGAGAAUUAGUGAUACAAGCCCCGUUGAAACAUUAGGAAUGUAUUGGAUACAAAUGUCAUGACAUUUGGAUAAAGUGAUCCCAUGUAACACCAUGUCUGGAACAUGGCAUUGGCAUCAUUGAGAUUAUGAGAGGUCCCAUGUAAGACCAUGUUUGGGACAUGGCGUUGGCACCGAGAUGAGAGGUCCCCCGUAAAACCAUGUCUGGGACAUCGCAUAGGCACCGAUAUGAGAACUCCUAUGUAAGACCAUAUUUGGGAUAUGACAUUGGCAGUACAUGAAACAUCCCAUGUAAGACCGUGUCUGGGACAUGGUCUUGACAUGUUAUUAUCAGAAAGAGACCCAAGUAUCCUUAUUAGUCCAAUGUGGUUUAACGGGCUAGUAAAUAACCUAUGACCAUGAAAGUUCAGUUAAAAGCAUAAAUGGUAAGUUCAAUUGAGUUAUAAGAGUUAAGAGUAUAUUACGUUACUGAUUGAGAAUCAACAUUUUAGUAAGAGAAAAGUAAGUCAUAAUUAUGAGUUAUCUAAGUAAACAAGUAAGUGAAUGAGUAAGAGAUCAAGUAAAGAUGAAAUUAAAGAUUAUGUUACUUGGUUAUUUUUAUUUGUGUUUAAAGUUGCUAUUUAUUUACUUGAAAACUUACUAAGCAUUAUGCUUACUUUGUUUAUUUUCUUUUUAUAUAGCAUUAUUAAUCAGAGUCGAGGAUCCUAAAGAAGUCGAAGAUCGUCCAAACUAUCAACUACAACGACUUGGUAUUUUAUGAUGAUCUAUGUUUGAACUAUGGCAUGUAUAGGAACUUAUCCAUUUUGAAUGUUGUAUUAUGAUUUUGGUUAAAAAAUUAUGUGUAAAUAUCUAAUGAUGAAUGGUUGUCAAAAUGGCUAAGUAUGAAGGUGUUUGUUGUUAUACAUGUCUAUGUGAUAAAUUAUGCAUGGAAAUCAUGAAAGAGUAAAAAUUUGUAAAGAAACAGAUUUCAAACAGCAGCAGUGACGUGACUUUGAAAAAUCACAUAGUAUAGUAUAUAAUGAAUUAGAAGGUAAAUUAUAUAUAUAAUGAAAUAUUAUUUAGUCUACAUUCAUAGAAAAAUAACGGUGCAGGAAAAGGAAUUUUAUAAUUUGAGAUAUAUGAAUUUUAGUGAGACAGAGUCAACUGUUUUUAGGGUCCCCUAUUCUGAGUUUAGAAAAUCAUUAAAAAUUGUAAAAAAAUGGUUAUGAGAUGUAGUUUAUAUUUGUAGAUUCCUUAUUGAGUCUACUUUCUGUAUAAAUAAGUGAGAACACCAGAAGAAGUUGGUACAAUGAGAUAACUAAAUUUUAGUGACAAGAGGUGAGUACAGUCAAAUAGUGAAACAAGGGAGACUUUAACUAAUAAACUGUACUAAUUAGCUAAACCUAAAAUUCUGAAAAAUUUAUGGUAAGAAGAUAAAUGAGUCUAGUUUCAAGGAAAAUUUACGGAUUUAAAUUUUCAGUUCCGUAGCUCUAGUUAUAAAUGAUUUAGUAACUGCUACGUGAGUGGACAGAUUUGUUGUAAAUGUGGAAAUUGAUUUCAAAAGUAACUUUUUAUGUCUCAAAUUAGUAAGACAAGUAAAGUAAUGCUUCAAGCUCGACUCCGGCAACGGUCUCGGAUAAGGGGUGUUAUAGAAUUGUUAACAUAAUAAGUGAAUAAUUGUUAAUUGAUGUGGAUUCUUUGUUAAAAUUUUAUAAAGAAUUAAAUUGAUUGGCACAAUGUAGAAAUAAAUAUGAAAUAUAAAUAAUGUAGAUAAACUAAUUUUGCAAGUGCAAGUCCUCCAAUGGUCUUAUUUGUAAAAUUUUAAUAUUUGUGUUAAUUUUAUAAACUUUUUUAUAUUUAAUUGAAUAUCAUGUUUUUAUGAGGACUUGAGAUUAGAAAUAGAUGUAAGUGGAAGAUAUGUAAAAUGAAGCGGUAGUUAUGACAUCUGAAUACUGUUCAGGUAAUGAUAUAAAAUAAAUAAAUAAAAAUAAAGCGUGGAACUUGUAGGAAAUGGGGAUUACAUCAUGAUGACAAGUUCGCCAUGUUACAAUGUCGAAACCCCCAACGUCGCGACGACAAUUCAAAAAUUUUUAUGAACUUUACAAGUUGGCCUUUAAUCAAUUGUGGAUGUUUUAACAAGCUCUUUUAACUCAUAAUUAAUUCUAUCGUAAAUUCAAUUAUUACUAAAAUUAGUUAAUGAUCUACAUUAAUUAAAUAAUAAGAUAAAUUGAUCUAAAAUUUUCAGUAGUUGCUUCGCCAAUGAAUGUGACAUCCUGAUGUCUUAACUCGGCGAUCGGGUCAGGUAUAGGGGUGUUAUAAGUUUGGACGGUAAACCACCAUUACCCGUAGUGGACGAUUUUGGGAUGUUAAACACAUGAAAUUGGAUAAAUUUUAUAAGGGUAAAUUUGUAAUUAACUAAAACAUAAUGUAAUUAAAAUAAAGAAAAGGCAUAAAAGAGUUAUCUUCAACUUAGGUUCUUGGGAAGAAAUCGAAAACUCCAUGGAUAGGGCUUUAAGCAUUUGGCCAAGCUUGCCUUUCAAAUUGAUAAGUGAAUUUUAAUCGGUUUCUUGUAAUUUGUACGUUUUUUAGAUCGUUGCAACUAAAUCCAGCUAACUUGUAUCUCCAUUAUCGAAACGGUUAAAGAUUAUGAAUUAUUCCAUUGAUAAGUUUGGAUAUUCUUGAAGUUUUAUGGUAGAUUAUUAAGCUUGGUUGUUAAAUAUGACUAAUUUAUAAAGUAACUUUUGGUAAUUUUAAUGUUUAAGGACUAAAAUGUGAAAGUGAUAAUGAUACGAGUCACAAAGGCCCAACCCAAGCCCAAGAACGUGAUCGGCUCAAAUUACCACAAGGCCCAAUAACGAGAUCAAAGGCCCGACAAAUGCGUUCCAAACUAAACGGGACCAUUCAGGAGUUUGUUAGCAAGGCCUUAGAUGCGUACAUGAAAGAAAGAGAAAAUCAAGAUUCACUUUCUUGUUUUCAAGAAAAUCAAGAAACCGAAUCUUGCUGUUUGGAGCGAUUUCAAGAAUCAAGAAAAUCAAGAUUCCAAAUCUUGGAAAUCUUGGUCCAAGAAACCAAAUCUUGUAGCCAAAGCACAUUGGAUCUCCGUUACGAGCAUCAAUGAACCAAUUUAGGUAGGAGAUGGAAUACAAGUCCAAGUUCUUGGAGGAAAGGCCCAAUAAGAUGAUUCCAAGCCCAACCAAGAAGACAACUUACUUGAAAAUCAGGCCAAAUUGUCAAAGUGGCCCAAUUUGUAAAGUUUUAUUUUUUUAAAUACUUAGUUUAAAUUUUUAUGUAAAUAUUCAGUCCAAGAGGCCCAAUUAAGAGGCUUUGGCCGAAUUUCCAUUUAAAAUUAAAAUAAUUAGGAGUUUUUUUAGUUUUAGUUUUCUAAUCAGACUAGGAAAACAUUUGAAAGGCCUAUAUAAAGGCUUGGCCAGCCACCUUGUUAGAUACUUCACAAUUAUAUUGAAAAAAAAUUUAGAUUUGUUUUGAAUGAAAAUUCUCUUUGAGUUCUUCAAGAAUUUUCUCUUGAGUUUUCUUUAGAAGUAGUUUUAACAAUCUUUUUGAUUGUGGGAGCCAUCUUCAGCCUUCUUCUUGCCAUUGAUCUUCAUUGGAGGGGAGAUUAGAGCCGUUUAAAGGGAGUUGUGAGAUCUUUCGGGAUUUCAAGGCUUUUGAGGACUUUUCUUUAUUCUAUUGCUGUUCAUUCUUCUUUAUUAAAUUCUGCUUGUGCCGAUUUGUUGAAUAAUAUGGGAUUAAUUGUUCUUGUUUUGUUUCAGCCAUUCCAAACUUCAAGAUCUAAUUCAUCACUUCCUUGGACAUAAAGAAACGUUUUUGAUUCACAAAAAUCCCCCUUUUCUUGCCGUCCAAUCCCUAGAACUAGUUUCAAUUGAUUUCGCAAUCUAUUUUUAAUUUAUUUGCUGUUUUGUGUUCUUUGAUAGUUUCGGCUGAUUGGAAGUUGAUCUUGGGGCUUAAUUUCGUGUUCUUGGCUUCCAAGAACAUCUAUUCAUAAGUGUUUUAAUUCUUGGCUGUUCCUUAUUGUUUUGGGGAUUUUUAGUUUUCAGAUCUAAUUGAUUCUAAUUAAGUUUUGCUAUUUCGUUUCAGAUCCAAGCGAUUAGCAUUUUCGUAGGAGUUUCUCGUGACUUGAUAACUCAAUCUUGGUCCGCGUGCAACCCCCUAUCAGAUAAAAUUAAGAGGAUUAAAAUGUCAAAAAGGACCUAAUUGCAUAAAAUGAGUGAUUUUGUUGUUAAAAUUAUUUAAUUGAAUGAAAUUAUUAUUCUAGAUCGAGAACGAGCUGAUAAUUACAUAAAGGAAAAAAUUACUGAAUAGUCCCUAAACUUUCGUUAUUGCUGCAAUUAGUUUGGUAAGUUUGUUCGGUUUAAUUUUAGUACAUUUUGCAUAAUGUUGGAUUAUAUUGAUAUGUGUAACUGAAAUGGAAAAAAGGAAUUGAUAUACCAUCAAUUACUGGUUGAGAUACUCUGAACCGUUACUGCAAAUCGGUCAUGUAAGUUCAUUUAUAUAAGUAUGUUAUAGAUAGUUUCCUUAAUACUUGUUUUACUUUAGUAAUGGUAGUGUUUUGUGAUUAUUUGAACGUUUGAUUUAACGGAGGUCAAUAGUGAAAUUGAAAUGUAUUGAGUGUAUUGAAUCGGGCCUUGAGCCAAGCAGGCUUUAUGCUGGUGUACUAUAAUAUAUCGGACCUUGUGCCUAGCAGGCUUCGUGCCAGUGUAAUUAUUGGGCUUAAUGCCUAGCACGCUUCAGGCUGGUGUAAUUAUUAGGCUUAAUGCCUAGCAGGCUUUAUGUUGGUGUAAUUAUCGAGCUUAAUGCCUAAUAGGCUUUGGGUUGGUGUAACAAUUGUACUGGAUAUUGGUGAUUGGAGAUCUUACUAAACGAUAAUUUGUAAUAUGAUUUGAAUUAAUGUGUUGUACAAUACUCACCUAUUGUGAGCUGUGAUUGACAGGAAUUUUGAAAAGAACCUUGUGAGAGGAACUCUGUUCUUUAAUCUUGUUAUUGGAUUUGUUGAGUUUAAAUUCAAUAAGAUUUAUCAUUCAAUUGAUGAACUUACUAAGCUUUACGAAAUUUUACUCGUGUUAUUUGUCUUAUUUCUUAUAGAUACGUCUUAUAGAUUGAGAGAUUGGAUCAUCUCGAAGAAUCACACUAUCCAGGAAUCAUUUUGUAGUUUUUGAAUAUAGCUUUUCUUAUAUGACAUGUAAUAAGAGUAUUUGGUUAUGUUUUGUAAUGUUACAUAAGUACUUGUGGAUGUUGUUGUUAAUGUGCAUAUGAUAAUGUGGUAUAAGUAGUUAAGUGAGAUGUACUUACUUGGUUCUAUGGUAAAGUAUAAGAGGUUGGGCAUGAGAUGGUAAGUUUGACUAGAAUUUUGGUAUAACAUUUUCGAAUAGGAAGUAUGUUAUGCAAAAGUGCUUGUAACUUGUGUACGUACUUAAGGAAAUGAAUUGUGUAAGUACUUGAAAUGUGGUGUCAUUGGUGAAAAAUUAGUUAGACCUUAAGAUGAUUGUUUUGGCAUGUUUUGGGUGUCAUUUACAUACAUUUUAAAGUCUUAUAAUUAUGUGUUGAGAAUUGGUUUAGGUACCUAAUCAUUUAGAUAUGAAUUAAGUAUGUUUUGGGUACACACGGCCUAGGACACAAGCUGUAACACAACCGUGUCUCACACACGGGUAAACCAUAGGGGCAUGUGCCCUGAAGGUGUUAGGUGCAGUUUUCACAUGGUCUGCGAGACGGUCGUGUGACCCAUGUCAAAGAGUUACACUGUCCAUGUUAGAGUAUGCCCAAAGAUAAAUCAUGAGAUGGUUGUAAUAUCAUACUUGAUUUAUCAUGAUUAUUAAUACAAGGCGUUACCAUUAUUAUUUCAGCUUCUUUUCUGUGUGUAUAAAUAAAAUAUUUUAUAAUAAUGUCUUGAGUAUAAUAUGAUUAUUCUUAAAAAAGGUCCUUAGUCAAGUAUUAUUGUUGGCUAGGACAACAAUAAUGCGUUAAGACUAACAUGUAGUUGAUUGAUGAUAAAGAGUUUUCAUUGAUAUGGAGUGUCGAAAAUCAAUGCAUGAAUAUGUAUGUUAGAGAACAACAUAUUGGACUGACCCAUUAUGAGUAUGUUUCUCAGAUUAUUAUGUAAUUGUCACAACAUUACUUAUAGUGAUUAAUAUGUAUAUAAUCCUCAGACUUGACAUCAUCAUUAUCCCAACAUAUUGAGUUUUAUAUUUUGAUACAGUCAAACGUACACAGUAACUAGUUGUUCUAUAAAGGCUGAUGUUGGAUAUACCACGAUCUAUGUAGAGGGAUAUGGUUGAUCGAUAUAGGAUAAGUCCCUACAUAAUGGGAGUAAUAUCUUAGGCCACUUGAUUGAGUGAGACUAGAAAUGCAUGACCAUGCUCAAAUAAGCGGAUAUAAGAUGUCACGCUUAUUUGUAUAUCAUAGUCUACUCAAGGUAUCAAGGAACAUGGAUGGACUCUGCAAGUGUGACUAUUCCAUGACUUGUGUCCAACCCAGAGAUAAAGGACUUAAGGAUUAAUGCAUGAAAGGUUAAUCGCAAAAAGGUUAUGUCGAAUCAUAAUUUCUUGUAACUUAGGUAGCAAUGAUGCAAUGCUAGAUGCCACUCAUUGUCUGCAACAUUAGAAUCGUUCUAGUAUUAUUGCUAACUUUACAAGAACCUACAGGGUCACACCCUAUGGUUGAAAUGAACGGAAUAAAACAUAGUUGGUAUUGUGUUUGGUUGUCACAUGAAUUAAAUUAAUUGUAGAAUUAAUUUAAUUUGGUAAUCAAAUAUCGAUCAUAUUAUAUGUACAAGGUUGUUGUACACAUAAUGAGAACAUAUUAUAUGAUUUUGGUUCGUAUAUAAAUUCAAAUAAAUAUAGUUUACCAAAAUCUUUAUUAUAAUUAAUGUUAAUUAUAAAUUUUGGUUUAAAACAUUGUUAUAUUUAUUUGAUUUAUUUAAUGAAUUAUGAUUCAUUAUAUAUACCAAUUAUAAGAGGGAUAUAUGAGACAGUUUUUUUUUAAAAAACCCUAAAAAUAAAAUAUAAAAUUCCAUUUUUCCUUUGCUUGAAUAGUCUUGCAGCCGUCAAGCAAAGUCUUCUUCAAAACAGCUUUGGGGAUUUCUUCCAUUCAUUGUCAACUGGGUGGAUUGCGUAGAGGCUGGAGUCACUAAAGGUUGCGGCUUGGUUCGAUAGUAAAAUAGAAUACUCAUUGCUGAGGCGUUGCUGUCUAUUUAGUUUAAAGAUUUAUGUAAUUUCGAAACCUUUUUCACCCAGAUUCGUUCCUCACACAUGAAUCCAUGGUUUGGAUCACCGGAUGUAUUAAUUUUUACUGCGUCGUGGGGGUGUCGGCGUUCCAAUAGUGGUAUCAGAGCCACUUGUGUGAUACGGACUCGGUUUUAAAGAAUUGGGUGAUGCAAUUGUAUGAGAUGCAUGCUUUAAUUUUAUUACGUUUUCGACUGUGUUUAAAUCGUUUAAGCAUAACCUGAUAACCAUUCCUUUCGAUAAUUAAUUAAAUGUUAAUCAUGGUGUUGUGGCCUAUUCGGUUUUAUAUUAUUAUUGUUAAGUGUUAAUAAGGGUUGUUCUAACAUGAAACAUCAAGGAUUAAAAUCUUGAAAACAUGAUUCUGUUGAUAAAAGUUAUUAAAUCGUGAGGUUUCAUAAUAAAUAAAACUUGGUGCCAUAAAAGGUUGAAAGGAUAUUUUAUAAUUCACCUUAACAAAAUGUUGAAUUAUGUAUGCUAUUUUUGACAUGCACGGCGUUUGAAAUGCAUAGUUAUAGCACGAUGACAUGUAUGUUGUUUGAAAUGCAUAGUUAUGUAUGCUAUUUUUGACAUGCACAGUGUUUGCAAAAAGGUUGUAACUUUAUAAAUACGGCCUGCGUGUCAUGCCUCACUACUAUUCUUUUGUAUUUCUCUUCUCAUCUUACUCCCUCGUAUGUAAAAUGAGUUUCUACAUAUUGUAAUUUGCAAAAGUUACUGUGGGCUAGACGAGAAGGAAGAUGGGCCAACUAGUGUGGACUGAUAGCUUGUGAAACGGCUUACACCUUUAGGUUUCCUUUUGGUUUUCCCAUUGUCCUGGGUUGCAACACCUUAGUUUAUAGGCUAUAGCUAUUGCAUUUAUUUAUUGCUUUAUUUAUUAAUGUAUGAGAUGCUAUAUAUGUCUAAAGCAUGCCAAAUUUUAAUAUAUUUAGAAUUUGAUUAUAAUGAACCUUAUUAAUUGAAAAGAUCAAUUAAAAGGCUAAAUGGACUAAAAUAGACCAUAAUUGGUGAGAUGGAACAACCUUAAUAAAAUCUCUCAAUUAAAAUAUUAAGUCAACAUAGCCUUUCAAUUUUGCCCUCGUUAAGGCCUCGAUCAAUAUUGUGUAGGUUCUAAUAAAGCGAAGUACGCGAAGAAUAAACUAGUGAUAUUCACUGGUUAAAAUUGGUUAAUGACUUAACUAGAGUUAGAACAACAACAAAUUUCACAAGAAAUUGAGGAACAAGUAACUACUGUAGAAACACAACCACCGCGUAGAUCCUUAAGGGGACGCCAAGCACCUGAGAGAUAUGGAUUUCUAAUUACAACGCAUAUUGACGUUCUUCUUACAGAUCAAGAUGAGCCUAGGACUUAUCAACAAGCACUGACGAGCCCAGACUCUGAGAAAUGGCUUGAGGCCAAGAAAUCUGAGAUGAAUUCCAUGAAUGAAAACCAAGAAUGGACUUUGGUUGACCCACCCGAAGGCGUUAAACCUAUAGGGUGCAAGUGGGUUGUCAAAAAGAAAACCGACAUGGAUGGUAAUGUACAAACAUACAAGAGGCGAUUAGUCGCUAAAGGUUUUCGCCAAGUUUAUGGUGUUGACUAUGAUGAAACCUUUUCUUUUGUAGCUAUGUUAAAAUCCACCAGGAUCUUGCUCGCUAUAGCAUUAUUUCAUGACUAUGAAAUCUGGCAGAUGGACGUCAAAACAGCUUUCCUUAACAGCAAACUUGAAGAGGAUAUGUACAUGACACAACCUGAAGGUUUUGUCAAUCCACUGGAUCCUAGAAAGAUAUGUAAGCUACAAAGAUCCAUUUAUGGAUUAAAGCAAGCUUUUUAAAGUUGGAAUCUUCAUUUUAACGAUGCAAUCAAAGAGUUUGGUUUUAUCAAAAAUGAAGAUGAGCCAUGUGUUUACAAAAAGGUUAGUGGGAGCACUAUAACAUUCUUGGUACUGUAUGUGGAUAACAUACUUAUCAUAGGAAAUGACAUACCUACCUUGCAGUGUAUUAAGACUUGGUUAGGAAGCUGUUUUUCUAAGAAGGACUUGGGCGAAGCCACUUACAUCUUAGGAGUCAAGAUCCACAGAGAUAUAUCAAGACGACUACUAGGUCUAAGCCAAAGUACAUACAUAGAUAAAGUACUGAAAAGGUUCAGUAUAAAAGAAUCUAAGAGAGGAUUACUACCUAUGAGACAUGGUAUUUCACUGUCGAAGGAAAUGUGUCCUUCAACUCCACAAGAGAGAGAACGCAUGAGUAAAAUUCCAUACACUUCCACUAUUAGAUCUAUCAUGUAUGCCAUGUUCUGUACCCGUCCAGAUGUCUCGUAUUCCUUAAAUAUGACGAGCAGGUACCAAGUAGAUCCAGGUGAAGGUCACUAGACCACAGUCAAUAAUAUCCUUAAGUACUUAAGAAGGACUAAGGAUACGUUCCUAAUAUAUGGGGGUGAGGAAGAGUUAAGUGUAAAAGGUUACAUUGAUGUCAUCUUCUAAACCGACAAGGACGAUUCUCAAUCACAAUCAGGUUUUGUGUUUUGCCUUAAUGGUGGUGCUGUGAGCUGGAAUAGCUCAAAGCAAAGUACAAUAGCCGAUUCUACAAUAGAGGCCGAGUAUAUUACAGCCAGUGAGGUAGCAAAGGAAGCAGUUUGGAUCAAGAAGUUCAUUAUUAAACUAGGGGUUGUGCAUAGCAUAUCAGAUGGUAUAAAACUCUGAUGUGAUAACAAUGGAGCCAUUGUACAAGCCAAAAAACCUAGAUCUCACCAGCGAUCCAAACAUAUACUUAGGCGCUACCAUCUUAUUCGAGAGAUUAUUGAUUGAGGGGAUGUAGAGAUAUGCAGAGUACCUACAGAAGAUAACAGUGCUGGUCCCCUAACCAAGCCUCUAAAACAGCAGAGGCAAGAUCGUCACACUAAGUCGCUUGGUAUUAGAUAUAUGAGUGAUUGGUCUUAGUGCUAGUGGGAGAUUGUUAGAGUAUGCGAAAAGAUCAAUCAUGAGAUGGUUGUAAUAACAUACUUGAUUUAUCAUGUUUAUUAAUACAAGGUGUUACCAUUAUUAUUUUAGUUUCUUUUCUGUGUGUAAAUAAACUGUUAUAUAAUAAUGUCCUGAGUAUAAUAAGAUUAUUCUUAAAAAGGGUCCUUAGUCCAAUAUUAUUGUUGGCUAGGACAACAAUAAUGUGUUAGGACUAACAUGUAGUUGGUUGAUGAUAAAGAGUUGACAAUGAUAUGGAAUGUCAAAAUCAAUGCAUGAAUAUUUAUGUUAGAGAACAAUAUAUUCGACUGACCCGUUAUGAGUAUGUUUCUUGGAUUAUUAUGUAAUUGUCACAACAUUACUCAUAGUGAUUAAUAUUUAUAUGAUCCUCAGACUUGACAUCAUCAUUAUCCCAACAUCGUGAGUUUUAUAUCUUGAUACAGUGAAACGUACACCGUAACUAGUUGUUCUAUAAAGGCUGAUGUUGGAUAUACCACGAUCUAUGUAGAGGAUAUGGUUGAUCGAUAUAGGAUAAGUUAUUCCUACAUAAUGGGAGUAAUAUCUUAGGCCACUUGAUUGAGUGAGACUUGAAAUGCAUGGCCAUGCUCAAAUAAGCUGAUAUGAGAUGUCGUACUUAUUUGUAUAUCACAGUCUACUCAAGAUAUUGAGGAACAUGGAUGGACUAUGCAAGUGUGACUAUUCCAUGACUUGUGUCCAACCCAGAGAUAAAGGACUUAAAGAUUAAUGCAUGAAAGGUUAAUUGUAAAAAGGUUAUGUCGAAUCAUAAUUUCUUGUAACUUAGGUAGCAAUGAUGUAUUUCUAGAUGCCACUCAUUGUUUGUAACAUUAGAAUCGUUCUAGUAUUACUACUAACUUUACAAGAAACUACAGGGUGACACCCUAUGGUUGAAAUGAACGGAAUAAAACAUAAUUGGUAUUGUGUUUGGUUGUCACAUGAUUAAGUUAAUUGUAGAAUUAAUUUAAUUUGGUAAUCAAAUAUCGAACAUAUUAUAUGUACAAGGUUGUUGUACACAUAGUGAGAACAUAUUAUAUGAUUUUGGUUCGUAUAUAAAUUCAAAUAAAUAUAGUUUACCAAAAUCAUUAUUAUAAUUCAUGUAAUUAUAAAUUUCGGUUUAAAACAUUAUUAUAUUUAUUUGAUUUAUUUAAUGAAUUAUGAUUCAUUAUAUAUACCAAUUAUAUGAGGGAUUUAUGAGACAGUUUUUUUUAAAAAAACCCUAAAAAUAAAAUAUAAAAUCCUAUUUUUCCUUUGCUUGAAUAGUCUUGUAGCCGUCAAGCAAAGUCUUCUUCAAAACAGUUUUGGGGAUUUCUUCCGUUCAUUGUCAACUGGGUGGAUUGCGUAGAGGCCGGAGUCACUAAAGGUUGCGACUUGGUUCGAUAGUAAAACAAAAUACUCAUUGUCGAGGUGUCGCUAUCUAUUCAGUUUAAAGAUUUAUGUAAUUUCGAAACCUUUUUCACCCCGAUUCAUUCCUCACACAUGAAUCCAUUAUUUGGAUGCCGGAUGUAUUAAUUUUUACUGCGUCGUGGGGGUUCCGGCGUUCCAACAGUGGUAUUAGAGCCACUUGUGUGAUUUAGACUGGGGUUUAAAUAAUUGGGUGAUGCAAUUGUAUGAGAUGCAUGCUUUAAUUUUAUUACGUUUCCGACUGUUUAAAUCGUUUAAGCAUAACCUGAUAACCGUUCCUUUCGAUAAUUAAUUAAAUGUUAAUCAUGGUGUUGUGGCCUAUUCGGUUUUAUAUUAUUAUUGUUAAGUGUUAACAAAUCUGUAAUGGUGUGACGGUGGGAUGUGCAGUUUCCAGUAAGAGUUAACUGGUUAGUGAAAUAAGGGUUGUUCUGGCAUGAAACCUCAAGGAUUGAAAUCCUAAAAACACAAUUAUGUUGAUAAAAGUUAUCAAAUUGUGAGGUUUCAUAAUAAAUAAAACUUGGUGGGCCAUAAAAUGUUGAAAGGAUAUUUUAUAAUUCACCUUAACAAAACGUUGAAUUAUGUAUGCUAUUUUUGACAUGCACGGUGUUUGAAAUGCAUAGUUAUAGCCCGAUGACCCAUUUCCUAAUAGGUUGUAAUUUUAUAAAUACGGCCUGCGUGUCGUGCCUUACUACUAUUCUUUUGUAUUUCUCUUCUCAUCUUACUCCCUCGUAUGUAAAACAAGUUUCUACAUAUUGUAAUUUGCAAGAGUUGCUAUGGGCUAGAUGAGAAGGAAGAUGGCCAACUAGUGUGGACCGAUAGCUUGUGAAAUGGCUUACACCUUCAGGUUUCCUUUUGGUUCUCCCAUUGGCUUGGGUUGCACCUCCUUAGUUUAUAGGCUAUAACUAUUGCAUUUAUUUAUUGCUUUAUUUAUUCAUGUAUGAGAUGUUAUGAAUGUCUAAAGCAUGCCAAAAUUUAAUAUAUUUAAAAUUUGAUUAUAAUGAGCCUCAUUAAUUGAAGAGAUCAAUUAAAAGGCUAAAUGCACUAAAGUAGACCAUAAUUGGUGAGACGGAACAACCUUAAUAAAAUCCCUCAAUUAAAAUAUUUAGUCAACAUAGCCUUCCAAUUAUGCCCUCGUUAAGUCCUUGAUCGAUACUGUGUAGGUUCUGCUAAAGCUAAGUACUAGUAUUUAUCUUGGUUAAACGCGAAGAAUAAACUAGUGAUAUUCACUGGUUAAAAUUGGUUAAUGACUUAACUAGGUUACUCUAUUAGGAUUAGAAACCUAGAGGCAAGUAAUUUGGAUAAAUCAUAAGAUGAUUAGAACAAGAGUUUUUCACCAAACAUUAGGAGUUCCAUAUGAUGUAAUUAGCAAGUGUUGCGUACCUAAAUAACCAUAAUCCUGAGAGUAAAGCCAAAGCUGACUUAAGAGGAGGAGAAAUAUGGAUCCUUAACCCACUUGAAAUACUUUUCAAGAAAGUCUUUUCGAAGCUAAUAUAUGAGGGUUAUUAAUUUUUGUAGUAAUGGGAAUAUCAUUUAAUAAAGUCCUUUUAAUGAUUGAUAUAAACUUGGUAAAUUUACACACGCAUAUUUUAUUGUUGUAGAUAUAUUAUGCCUGCAGAUACUAAUACACUCUCAUUGCGAUCGGUCCUUGAGAAGGACAAAUUGAAUGGUUUGAAUUUUCUUGACUGGUUCCGUAACUUGAGGAUUUUCCUCAAACAAGAACGAAAAUUAUAUGUCAUUGAACAACCACUUCGUAAUGAUCCACCCGCUAAUGCCUCGGGGGCUGAUAAAGAUACUUACAGGAAGCAUCUCGAUGACUUGGUAGACGUUGGAUGUCUUAUGCUUGCCACUAUGAAUCCUGAGCUUCAGAAGCAACAUGAGGACAUGGUUACUUAUGAAAUGAUCGAGCACCUGAAAGAAAUUUAUCAGGGGAAAGCACGACAGGAGAGGUUCGAUGUCUCUAAGGCCCUAUUCCCAUGUAAGAUCGUUGAAGGAAGCCCAGUAGGGCCUCAUGUCCUUAAGAUGAUUGGCUAUAUUGAAAGCCUGUCUAAUCUUGGGUUUCCAUUGAGCCAAGAGUUGGCCAUGGAUGUUAUUCUGCAAUCGUUGCCAGAUGGCUACAGCCAGUUUGUCCUUAAUUUCAAUAUGAAUGAAAUUGACAAGACUUUGCCACAGUUGCUCAGUAUGUUACGAACUACUGAAGGCAACAUGAAAAAGGUUGGACCCAAGCCCAUACUGAUGGUCCGUAGUAACAAGGGCAAGGGAAAGGCCAAAGUUAAGACAAAGCCCAAGGGCAAAGGUAGGCCAAAGCUUGGAAAAGGAAUGGCUGCAUUGAAACCUAAAGGUGGGGUGUCUAAGGAAGGAAACUGCUUUCAUUGUGGUGUGACUGGACAUUGGAAACAAAACUGCCCUAUUUAUCUUGAAGAAGUCAAGAAGGCCAAAACAAGCGAAAUGUUUGUUUUAGGUAUUUAUGUUAUUGAUAUUAAUUUAUCAACUACUACUUCUUGGGUAUUAGAUAUUGGUUGUAGUUCUCAUAUUUGUACUUCUGUACAGGGACUACAAAAGAGUAGGACUUUGGCUAGAGCAGAUGUGGACCUGCGAGUUGGAAAUGGAGCAAAAGUUGCUACAUUAGCUGUGGGAACAUAUAAUUUAUCUUUGCCUAGUGGACUUGAUUUAUGUUUAGAGGGUUGUUGUUUUGUGCCCAGUUUGACUAAAAAUAUUAUUUCAAUUUCUUGUUUAGACAAAAUUGGUUUUGAGAUAAUUAUUAAGAAUAAUUGUUGUUCCUUUUAUCUCAAUAAUGGUUUCUAUGGUUCGGCACAAUUGAUUAAUGUCCUCUAUAUUUUAGAUCAAAUGGAUCUCAUUUACAACAUAAAUACUAAAAGAUCGAAAAUAAAUUACUCAAAUCAAACUUAUCUAUGGCAUUGUCGUUUGGGCCACAUAAGGGAGAAACGCAUAUCCAAACUCCAUAAAGAUGGUCUCUUGGAUUCAUUUGUUUUUGAACAAAUUGAAGUAUGUGAAUCUUUCUUAUUGGGAAAAAUGACUAAAUUUCUUUUUACUGGUAAAAGCGAACGAGCUAGUGAUUUAUUGGGCUUAAUACAUUUUGAUGUAUGUGGACCAAUAAAUACACAGGCUAGAGGUGGAUUUCACUACUUCAUUACUUUUACUGAUGAUUUCAAUAGAUAUGUGUAUGUCUAUCUCAUGUGCCAUAAGUCUGAGUCCCUUGAAAAGUUCAAGGAAUUCAAAAAUGAAGUACAAAAUCAACUAGGCAAAACUAUCAAGACACUUCGAUCUGAUCGAGGUGGAGAGUACUUAAGUCUAGAGUUUGAUGAUCUUUUUAAGGAAUGUGGGAUUGUCUCACAACUUACUCCUCCUGGUACUCCUCAAUAGAAUGGAGUUUUUGAGAGAAGAAAUCGUACUCUGUUAGACAUGGUUCGAUCAAUGAUGAGUCAUGCUGAUCUACCGACUUCCUUUUGGGGGGCAUGCACUUAAGACAACUACUUUCACACUAAAUCAUGCUCCAUUUAAAUUGAUUCAAAAGACGCCAUAUGAGAUGCGAACUAGGAAACGUCCCGGUAUGUAUUUUAUGAAAAUUUGGGGAUGCAAAGCCUAUGUUAAACGUCAGACGUCUGCUAAGCUUGAACCCAAAUCUGAAAGGUGUAUUUUUGUGGGGUAUCCAAAAGAAACCAAAGGAUAUUAUUUCUUCAAUCCCACUGAGAAUAAAGUAUUUGUUGCUCGGACUGGUGUCUUUCUAGAGAGAGAAUCUAUUUUUAGAAAAGGAAGUGGGAGAAAGAUUGAACUUGAAGAAAUUCGAGAAUCAUAAAAUACCACUGAACCAGAGAUAGAACAACAGCAAAUUCCAUAAGAAAUUGAGGAACAAGUAACUGCUGUAGAAACACAACCACCAUGCAGAUCUUCAAGGGAACGCCAAGCUCCUGAGAGAUAUGAAUUUGUCAUUACAACGCAUGUUGACGUUCUUCUUAUAGAUCAAGAUGUGCCUAGGACUUAUCAAGAAGCAGUGACGAGCCCAGACUCUGAGAAAUGGCUUGAGGCCAUGAGAUCUAAGAUGGAUUCCUUGUAUGAAAACCAGGUAUGGACUUUGGUCGACCCAGCCAAAGGGGUUAAACAUAUAGGGUGCAAGUGGGUUGUCAAAAAGAAAACCGACAUGGAUGGUAAUGUACAAACAUACAAGAGGCGAUUAGUCGCUAAAGGUUUUCGCCAAGUUUAUGGUGUUGACUAUGAUGAAACCUUUUCUCCUGUAGCUAUGUUAAAAUCCACCAGGACCUUGCUCGCUAUAGCAUUAUUUCAUGACUAUGAAAUCUGGCAGAUGGACGUCAAAACAGCUUUCCUUAACAGGAAACUUGAAGAGGAUAUGUACAUAACACAACCUGAAGGUUUUGUCAAUCCACUACAAAGAUCCAUUUAAGGAUUAAAACAAGCUUUUUAAAGUUGGAAUCUUCAUUUUAACGAUGCAAUCAAAGAGUUUGGUUUUAUCAAAAAUGAAGAUGAGCCAUGCGUUUACAAAAAGGUUAGUGGGAGCACUAUAACAUUCUUGGUACUGUAUGUGGAUGACAUACUUAUCAUAGGAAAUGAUAUACCUACCUUGCAGUCUAUUCAGACUUGGUUAGGAAGUUGUUUUUCUAUGAAGGACCUGGGCGAAGCCACUUACAUCUUAGGAGUCAAGAUCCAUAGAGAUAGAUCAAGACGACUACUAGGUCUAAGCCAAAGUACAUACAUAGAUAAAAUACUGAAAAGGUUCAGUAUGAAAGAAUCUAAGAGAGGAUUCCUACCUAUGAGACAUGGUAUUUCACUCUCGAAGGAAAUGUGUCCUUCAACUCCACAAGAGAGAGAACGCAUGAGUAAAAUUCCAUACACUUCCGCUAUUAGAUCUAUCAUGUAUGCCAUGUUAUGUAACCAUCCAGAUGUCUUGUAUUCCUUAAGUAUGACGAGCAGGUACCAAGUAGAUCCAGGUGAAGGUCACUGGACCAUAGUCAAGAAUAUGCUUAAGUACUUAAGAAGGACUAAGGAUACAUUCCUAAUAUAUGGGGGUGAGGAAGAGUUAGUGUAAAAGGUUACACUGAUGCCAGCUUCCAAACCGACAAAGACGAUUCUCGAUCACGUUCAGGUUUUGUGUUUUGCCUGAAUGGUGGUGUUGUGAGUUGGAAGAGCUCAAAGAAAAGUACAGUAGCCGAUUCUACAAUAGAGGUUGAGUAUAUUGCAGCCAGUGAGGUAGCAAAGGAAGAAGUUUGGAUCAAGAAGUUCAUUACUGAACUAGGGGUUGUGCCUAGCACAUCAGAUGGUAUAGAACUCUGAUGUGAUAACAAUAGAUCCAUUGCACAAGCUAAAGAACCUAGAUCUCACCAGCGAUCCAAACAUAUACUUAGGUGCUACUAUCUUAUUCAGGAGAUUAUCGAUCGAGGGGAUGUAGAGAUAUGCAGAGAACCUACAGAUGAUAACAGUGCUGAUCCCCUAACCAAGCCUCUAACACAACAGAAGCAUGAUCGUCACACUAAGUCGCUUGGUAUUAGAUAUAUGAGUGAUUGGUCUUAGUGUUAGUGGGAGAUUGUUAGAGUAUGCCUAAAGAUCAAUCAUGAGAUGGUUGUAAUAACGUACUUGAUUUAUCAUGUUUAUUAAUACAAGGCUUUACCAUUAUUAUUUCAUUUUCUUUUCUGUGGUAUAAAUAAACUGUUAUAUAAUAAUGUCCUGAGUAUAAUAUGAUUAUUCUUAAAAAGGGUCCUUAGUCAAGUAUUAUUGUUGGCUAGGACAACAAUAAUGUGUUAAGACUAACAUGUAGUUGAUUGAUGAUAAAGAGUUGUCAAUGAUAUGGAGUGUCAAAAUCAUUGCAUGAAUAUGUAUGUUAGAGAACAACAUAUUGGACUGAUCUGUUAUGAGUAUGUUUCUUGGAUAAUUAUGUAAUUGUCACAACAUUACUCAUAGUGAUUGAUAUGUAUAUGAUCUUCAGACUUGAGAUCAUCAUUAUCCCAACAUCGUGAGUUUUAUAUUUUGAUACAGUGAAACAUACACCGUAACUGGUUGUUCUAUAAAGGCUGAUGUUGGAUAUACCACGAUCUAUGUAGAAGGAUAUGGUUGAUCGAUAUAGGAUAAGUCCAUUUUACAUAAUGGGAGAAAUAUAUUAGGCCACUUGAUUGAGUGAGACUAGAAAUGCAUGGCCAUGCUCAAAUAAGCUGAUAUGAGAUGUCGUACUUAUUUGUAUGUCGUAGUCUACUCAAGAUAUCAAUGAACAUGGAUGGACUAUGCAAGUGUGACUAUUCCAUGACUUGUGUCCAACCCAGAGAUAAAGGACAUAAGAAUUAAAGCAUGAAAGGUUAAUCACAAAAUGGUUAUGUCGAAUCAUAAUUUCUUAUAACUCAGGUAGCAAUGAUGCAUUGCUAGAUGCCACUCAUUGCUUGUAACAUUAGAAUCGUUCUAGUAUUAUUGCUAACGUUACAAAAACCUACAGGGUCACACCCUAUGGUUGAAAUGAAUGGAAUAAAACAUAGUUGGUAUUAUGUUUAGUUGUAACAUGAAUUAAAUUAAUUGUAGAAUUAAUUUAAUUGGGUAAUCAAAUAUCGAAAAUAUUAUAUGUACAAGGUUGUUGUACACAUAAUGAGAACAUAUUAUAUGAUUUUGGUUCGUAUAUAAAUUCAAAUAAAUAUAGUUUACCGAAAUUAUUAUUAUAAUUAAUGUAAUUAUAAUUUUUGGUUUAAAACAUUGUUAUAUUUAUUUGAUUUAUUUAAUGAAUUAUGAUUCAUUAUAUAUACCAAUUAUAAGAGGGAAAUAUGAGAUAUUUUUUUAAAAAAACCCUAAAAAUAAAAUAUAAAAUCCAGUCAUUCCUUUGCUUAAAUAGUCUUGCAACUGUCAAUGAAAGUUUUCUUCAAAACUGUUUUGGGGAUUUCUUCCAUUCAUUGUCAACUGGGUGGAUUGCGUAGAGGUCGGAGUCACUAAAGGUUGCGACUUGGUUUAAUAGUAGAACAGAAUACUCAUUGCCGAGGCAUCGUUAUCUAUUCAGUUUAAAGAUUCGGUAAUUUUGAAACCUUUUUCACCCCGAUUCGUUCCUCACACAUGGAUCCAUCGUUUGGAUCGCCGGAUGUAUUAAUUUUUGAUGCGCCAUGGGGGUGUCGGCGUUCCAACAGUCCAUGCAUACGGGCGUGUGAGGUCACACACGGGCGUGUAAGAUUGGUACACGAUCAUUCUGGAGCCACAUGAUCUGGGCUCCGCCGCAGAGCCUGGACACACAACCGUCUAACCCUUAUUUUAAAAAUUUUCUUUUUUUUCCAAAUCUCUUAUUUUGUUUCAAAUUAGUCCCUAAUUGUUCCUAAACUAAUUUUAAGGCCUCACAGGCUCGAUUUUGUAUCCAUAAAUGUAUGUAUCACUUCAAUCUGAAUUAGUUAUGAAAAUUCUAUUGAUUAAUUUGGUAAACUUGCUGUUAUCUGUUAUUGAUUGUUCUGAAUUGUACGAUAAUACACCGUAAGCCUAAUUCGGAGACGGGUACGGGUUAUGGGUGUUACACUUCGGGUCAACCAAAAGUGGAUAAGAAGAAGACUAGGAAGCCUAAAGACUUAUAAAAGUCUAAUAUUUUCUUCUAUAGUGAGAAAUGACACUUCAAGGCUAACUGCAAAGAAUGGAAGGACUACCUAGCCUCAAAUGGUAAAGGUAUGAAGGUCACACCUGGUUUCCUUUAAGACCUAAAAUUAGGAAUAAGUGGGGGUUAAAUUGAAAGGAACUAUAACUUGGCAGCCUAUAUAGAAAAAUCAGGAAAAGUUAAUGACUGAUUGGAAAUGGUUGAGAUCAAAUUCUUGUUCGGUUGGAUUAAAACCAACUAGUUCCUCAGUGGGAGACAAAAUGAUUAGCAACAGAUGGUUUUUAUAGGGUUGAUAACUGAGCGCGAAGGACUAUAAAUAGCUCAAAAAUGACUUCCCAAGGAAAAACUCUUCUCAUCUCUAAUUCAUUUUCUUCUUUUCUUUAUCCUCAUCUUGGGUUUCUCUAAAGAAGAGAUAGUUAUAGGAAGCCCUGUAUGGAGAAGUGACCAUAAGGUUUGAGUCGAAAACGUAGAGAAUCAAGUAAACUAGGAAGGUUCUAAGUCCUCCAAUAUACGUAAGAUUAAGGAAAUGAAGUUAAUGAUUUUCCAAAACAUUUUACUGGGUUUAUCAAAAUUGUGUUACCAUAAUCAUGUGCAUAAAAGUUGUAAUUUUGUAUGUUGUGUAUAUGUUUAUUGAUAUUUAAUUUGUUAUAAAAUUCACACUGAUCUUUUUAGCUCACUCUUUAGUUUUCAUAAACUUUUUAGAUGAUUCACGAGCGUAGGACUUGGAUUCAACAUUUGGAGAGGUCUCAUAGAUGAAAUAUUUUAUAAAAUGGUUAAUAAACGUUUUAGGUUAUUAUUUUGACAUUGGACAUUAGACUAUUUAUGGGUUGUUUUUACUUAUAAUUUAUAAACUGCUAUUCAUGCAUGAUAGAUGAACUUAUAAGUAUAUUAAAUUGUUGUUAUAAAAUAUUUUAAUGAUUUUAUCUAAUUUUUAAUAAACUUAUAAAUUUAUGUUUUUUUCUUAAUUAUUUUCAAAGUCCGUUGUGAAAUAUUUUACCAAAAUCAUUUUUAAGAAAUAUUUAAAAUCGAUGUUGUAAAUUCUUUUUUUAAAUGAUAUAAGACGAUAACUCGAUAAAAUAAUGAACUUUUCAAUAUUUAUGUUUUAAUAUUUUUUUUCAAAAAUUAAAUUAUUUUGUAUUUUAAUUUUAAGUUUUCAUAAAAAUGACUUUAACAGAGUUGUUUUUAACAAGUAAAAGUUUUUCAACGGAUUUAAUGUGGCUUCUAAAAUUUGGCCAUAAUGUCUUGGCCGGGUUUGGGGGUUACAACAGCUGAGUCGCAACACAGCAGAACCAACUCUUGAAUUCACAUUCGAAGUUCUGUGUCAAAACACGCACUAGCCUGUGUCGCAACACAGGUCUGAUGGAGGGCAAAAAUUCAUUAAGGCUGUUUUCGUCUACACAACCCAUAUUUAGAUUAAUUAAUGCUUGCAAUUGACCUAAUUGAGAAACUAACUUUGCUUAUAAGUAGUAAGCUUAUGCUAAACUAUAGGGGCCACCGUAUUGGAGGCCACAAACUAGGUUUUAGGAGUAGAUUUGGUUUUAAUUAGAUUUUAAAUUAGGUUUCUUUUCCUUUUCAAAACAUUUUAUUUCAUUGUUCUUCUACGUUGAUUCGAUUUGAUCCAAGACUUUGUUUUCAAGUUUUUUUUUUAUAUUUUUCUUUCACUUCUUGAUUGUCAACGAUGAUAUCUUGCUAGUUGUUAAAGGAUUUUGCAAAUCCGAGCACAUCUAGUUUAUCAAAUCGAUCAAUUUCUAUCCUUCUCUCAUUUUAAUUUAAUUUGUCUGUUUUGCAUGAUUAAUUUAAUUAUGAUGAAGAUGGUAAGUGAAUUGAUGAGUGGCUAAGAGGUGAUUAAGGAGCGGAUGUGGGAGUGAUUAAUGGAAAAUGAGGGUUUCCAUACGAAUUCGUUGGUAUAAAUUAUGUAUGCUUGAACCUUUGAAUUGACGACCCUAGGAAAUAAUCUAGGAUAACCAAGGUCAAAGGAUAAGUUUACCGAGCAAAUCGCAAUUUAUCUCGAUCAAGAAAGUGAGGUUGGAAACUAAGUGAGUAUUGGUCGAUUAAUUAAUUAGUCAAGACCGAAAGGUACUACUGGUUAGUUAAUAACUAAUUCAUUAAACAAACCCAAGUUUUGAUGUUAAUUACAACCACGGAAGCGAGUUAAUUUUUUGUCUGUUAAUUGAGAUUUUCUUUAUUGAUUUAUUGAUUCCUAGUUAUUUUAUUUUAUUUCAUAAUAUUAAUUUUAAUAUUAUUGUUUAUCAUAAUAUGAUUUUUUUGUGAUUACUAUUUAGACUUAUUAUUGUAAAAAUCAUUCCAAAUUUAAUCUAUCCUCCAUUGGGUACGAUUCUCGGAAUACUUACCGGCGUUCCGUUAUAACACUUGUAUAUUACAAUUUGACAUGUUCACUUGCAGAUACCACACUUUAAUUAUAUCUUUUAUUUGCACGAUUUUUACUCUAAACGUUUGCACAUUUGGAGGUGGUCAAAAGUUAAAAUUAUUAAAUGGUCUUUUAAUGCAAGUGGUACAAAGGUGAUUCAAUCAUUAGAGCAUUAAUGCGCAAGGUGGUUAUGAAUAUUACAUAACUUUUAUAGAUGAUUAUUCCAAAUAUAAGUAUGAGUACCUAAUGCUCUACAAGAGAAAAACCUUCGAUAAAUUGCUAGAGUGUCAUAUGAAAGUUGAAAAAUAGUUAGGUUUACCCAUAAAGACAUUUUAAUUUGACCAAGGUGGAAAUAUUUAUCAAAUGAGUACCUAGGUUACCUUAUACAGAAUGAGAUCUUAUACCAAUUAAUUGCUUUAGGCGCUCUACAAGAAAAUGGUGUGGCAGAGGGAAGCAACAAAACCUUACUAGAAAUGAUUUGUUCAAUGUUGAUUUGUUCACAACUAUCCACAUGUUUUUGGGGAUAUGCAUUGAAAAUGACUUGCUACAUUCUGAAUGAAAUACCAACUAAGAAAGCACCAAAAUAUCCAUAGGAAUUGUGGCAUGGGAGGAAGCCAAACCUAAAUCACUUUAAUAUUUAGGGAUAUCCAACCUAUUUACUAGAUAAAGAUACAGAGAAGUUGGAUUCAUGAUUGUAAUUGUACAUGUUUGUUGGCUAUUAGAAAGUAAUGAACAGUAAAAUACUUAUUGAAAUGGCAUUGUAGAGUAACACUAAAUUAAUUGAAAUGAUAUUCAAAUUUGUUAAAAUUAUGAUAUAUGGAUUAUAAGUUUUAAAUAUUUUUAUGCAAUUAAUACAAUUUAUCUGUAAAAUUUAAUUUGGAUAUAUAAAUAAUAUUUUAAAUAUUAAAUUGUGUAUUAAUAUAACUCAUAUAAAUUUAAAAAGAUUUCAUAAGUGAUGAGAUAGUUUAUUAAAAUGUAAAGUACCAUUCUUUUCUCGUAUCUUUACAGUUAUUAUUAUCAUGAUGUCGUGCUGUCAUGUUCGAAUUUUUUUAUAUUAACAAAAAUUCGAAUUAGAUUAUCAUGAAAAUAUAAAAAAAAUGAUAAAUCAUUGGUAAUAUUAUGAUAUAUGGAAUAUACAUUUUAAAUACUUUUAUGUAAUUAAUAUAAUCAUUUUUAUAAAUUUUGUUGGGAUUGAGUAACCCGAAUCCUUAUUCAAAUAAAAUACAGUGGUAGAAUAAAAUAAAAGUAAAAUCCAUAUAGAACUACAAUUCUUUUAUUUUAUUUUAGAUUAAGGUUUUUCAACCUUAUUACACUUCAUCUAUUUGAUAUUGAUUCGAAUAAGGUGUUUCUGUAACACCCCGAAAUUUGGGUUUAGAAGUUUUGAGGUUUAUAGUUAAGGUCUAUGAGUAAGGCGAGCAGUUGAGUUUAUUGUUGUGUUUUAAUGUUAGAAUGAGCCUGUUGGUUCGGUGGUUGAAUGAGUGUUAGUCUAUCAUUGGGUCUCGGGUUCAAGUCCUCACAUGUGUUAUUUUAGUUUUGGUUUAAGUCUUGUUUUGUUUUAAGGGUUAAUUAUUUAUUUACUUUUAAUUUGAAAAUAGGAAGUGUUCCCUUAAAAAUUUCCAUGUUCUAUUUUCUGCUCACAUUAGUUUUUUUCCUUUUCUCCCUUACACGUUGGUUUCCUCUUUCUUUUUAUUAUUAUUAUUUUCUUUUCCACUUCUGAUUUUUGGUUGAUUUUUGGCCAUUGUAUGUUUGUUCUUCAAAUUAAUUCUGGUUUUUAUCAUCGGCGUUGUUGGUUGUUAGUCAUAAGGGUUUUUCCCGAUGUCAAGUGCUGAUUUGAGUAAGUAUGUGUGUUGGUUUCUUGCUUUGGUUCUUGGUUAAAUCAAUUUUCAUAAAGGUUUAGGACUUUUGUAAAUCGAGUGUUUUAGAUUGGUUGAUAUGAGUUAUUUCGGUCGAUCGUUGGUGCUUCUAGGAACGUCAAUUAGGUGUGUUUCUAAACUAUAUUGUUUGUGGGUCGAUUUAGUGAUUAGAAUUCGUGAUUUUAGCCUGUCUCGGUGUGGUUUCGUGACCACACGGGUGGCCACACAGGCGUAUGCCGCACAUGGGCGGUCUACACGACCGUGUGACAUUGGGAAAUUAGGAUUUUUGAUGAUUUUUGUGCCACACGGGCGUGUGAGUUUUUCAUACGGCCGUGUCUACUCUGUUCCUUAAUUUGUCACUUUUGGACAGCGAGUUACACUGGCUACAUACACAGCCAUGUAACUCGAACACGCGGGUGUUUGUCUCCUCCACACGGGCAUGUGCCCCUUCCACAUAGGCAUGUCAAUCUUCACACGGCCGAGACCCUUCCACACGGUCGGGGCACACAACCAUGUGGCCAUGUUUUGUAAAUUUUUGUUCGGUGCUAUAAUUUGGCUCGUUUUGUGCUUCUAUAUGUUCAAACUCUCGAUUAGGCCUCUGUAAAUGUGUUGGGAUUCUGUUCUUAGCUUAGAUUCGAGUUUGAAUUUAUAAUUAUAGGAUUUAAGUAAUUGCUAGUUCAUGCGUUAAGGUGAUGUGAUAAAUGGAUAUAAGAUAUUUUUCUAAUUAUUACUUAUUUGUAUAUAUGCAAUAUUGACUCUGAAAUUGGUCCACUGGAUAUUGAGUUUACUUAUUUGAAUUUACUUAUUUGUAUUUUUGUUCCGCGAGUUUGUUAGCAUAUUGAGUGCACUUUUGCAUUUGCGUCGAAACUUUGGGAUAUUGGUUGUGAAGAGAGAGAAGACUGAAUUGGCAAUUUAAUUGCAUCGUUUUUGUGCAGCAGUUUGCCGCACUAUUUUAUAUAUGUCAACACAACUGCAUAUCAUUAGUUGGGUGGCUCAGUUCCAAUAUCGUGGUGUGUAGGGUGGAUGGGCUUGUCAAAGCUCUUGUGGUGUGCAGGGUGGAUGGGUCUUUUAUGUCCCACUUGUGGUGUAUAGGGGGGUCGGAGUGGCGUUUGGUUGGAUGGGUGGAAUUUUAAUUAUUGCAUUCAGUUUGCAUUAGUGAUACUGUGUUCGUUUAGCUAAUUUUUAAAUUGGUUGCGAAAUAAGUAAUUUGAUUUGGUGUGUAAGUGCUUAUGUAUGUACAAAGCGAUGUAUGUGAUACUUUGAAUGGCUUAUGGCAAUGUGUUCGUACUUCUGACUGUUGAAUCAAGAUUUUCUAUUUUAAAUUGUGUGCUCUUAUUUGGGAUUUUGCUUGAACCUUUCCAAUUGCCUUUUGUUUUGGAUUUCGGGCUCACACUGGGCUCACAUAGCUCACCCCCUUAAUGUUUCAUUCUUUCAAGUAUUUCGCGAGACUAAGGUAUGAACUAGGCACAUCAAAGGUCUUAGAAAGUUUGGUUUGAUUCGGUUUAGUUAAAAUUUUCAUAAGCUUUAUAUGGUUGGUUUUAAGAUUAUUUGUAAAGCGAUUAUAUAAACUUUGGUAUGGGGUAGGGUUUGAACUUUUCGUUAAACUACGUGAUUUUGGUUUUGAACAACAUUUCAAAAGUUUCGCGCAUGAAUUUUUUUGGGUUUUCUGCUAUUGUUUCAAAGUUCACGCUUUUGAGAAAACAACAUAUUCUUUUCACAAUUUCUAAUCUAAAAUUUCGAGUUACAAUUGGCAAAAUUGAUGCAUUUUGAAAUUGUACAAGAAAAGUUAAUUUGAUUUAUUUCUAGUUUUUUUAACACUAAUUAGUUUUUGUUUCAAAAGGUUAAAUAAGUUUUAUCUAAUUUCCUAAAGAUCGUGAGGGCCAACCUAGUGAGACUCUCGAGGAGCCAUUAGCUUCUCUGGGACGUGUGUCUGUUCAGGAGUCGAAGGUCAGUGUGGUUACACUAGCUACGGGUAGCGAUAACCUGGAGGUUGGAACUGAGGCAUUAGCUCGGGUAGUAAGAGAGCUUUUAGAGAAAGUGUUCGAGGCUAGUUUAGAAAGAACUAGAGAAUUGGUUCAAGGUAGGUGUGUGGAUUGUGGGAGGAAAAGAGAUUGUAGUCUUUCGAGGUUGCAGCCUCAAUCUGUGAAGCAUGAGAGAUCAUAGUUGAGUGGGAGAAAAGGUAAUGUGGAAGGUUCUAGUAGUGGCGCGGACAUAUCAGUUUGUGAGCAUUGUAAAAAGCAUCAUUCGAGAGACUGUCAGAAAAAUUGGGGGGCGUGUUUCCGAUACGAGUCCACGGAGCAUCAGAUUAGGGAGUGUCCUCGGUGACAUUGAGAUAGGUAUGGUGUUGACAUAUUGUUUACUUUGUGUACUAUUUUUUGUGAAUGAAUUGACUUUCUGAAUGUGGCAUAGUGUUUAUGUGUGUGAUAGACAAUUAAAUUGAUCUAGUUUAGUGGUAAGAGGUUCUAAGUAUGUGUGUGAGAUUUUAAGGUUUAGUAUGGUGGUAUGUUGGGAUCAGAGUUGUGUAGCGGGAGUGUAGUGGUGAGAUUUUUGCAUUUAGGAAACUGUUCGGUUGUAGAAAAUUGCGGGGACGAAAUUUCUUUAAGGAGGGGUGAGUUGUAACACCCUAGAAUUUGGGGUUAGACGUUUUGAGAUUUGUAGUUAGGGUCUGUGAGUAGGGCGAGCAGUUGAGUUUAUUGUUGCAUUUUAAUGUCAGAAUAAGUCUGUUAGUUCAGUGGUUGAAUAAGUGUUAGUCUAUCAUUGGGUCUCGGGUUUGAGUCCUCACGUGUGUUAUUUUAGUUUUGGUUUAAGUCUAGUUUUGUUUUAAAGGUUAAUUAUUUAUUUACUUUUAAUUUGAAAAUAGGAAGUGAUCCCUUAAAAAUUUCCACGUUCUAUUUUCUGCUCACAUUAGUUUUUUUUUUUCAUUUUCUCCCUCAGACGUUGUUUUCCUCUUUCUUUCUAUUAUCUUUUUUUCUUUUCCACUUCUGAUUUUUGGUUAAUUUUUGGCCAUUGUAUGUUUGUUCUUCAAAUUAAUUCUUGGUUUUAUCGUCGGCGUUGUUGGUUGCUGGUCACAAGGGUUCUUCCCAUUGUCAAGUGUUGAUUUGGGUAAGUAUGUGUGUUGGUUUCUUACUAUUUGGUUCUUGGUUAGAUCGAUUUUCUUAAAGGUUUAGUGCUUUUCUAAAUCUAGUGUUUCAGAUUGGUUGAUUUGAGUUAUUGUGGCAGAUCGUUGGUAAUUCUAGGAAUGUCAAUCACGUGUGUUUUUGAACCAUGUUAAUUGUGGGUCGAUUUAGUGAUCAAAAUUCACGAUUUUAGCUUAUCUUGAUAUGGUUUUGUGAGCACACAGGUGGCCACAUGGGUGUGUGUUGUACAUGGCCGGUCCACAUGGCCGUGUGUCAUUGGGAAAUUAGGGUUUUUGAUGAUUUUUGGUGGCACACGGCCUUGCCAGAUGGCCGUGUUGCUACUAUUGGGGAUUUUUGUCAAUUUUCACACAGGCGUGUGCCUUGGACACACGACCAUGCUCCUUAGCCACACAGACGUGUCAAUUUUUCACACGGUUGUGUCUACUCUACUCCUUAAUUUGGCACUUUUUGGACAGUGAGUUAUAGGGGCUACUCAUACAGCCAUGUAACUUGGAGACAUGGGCAUGUGUCAUCUCCACAUGAGCGUAUGCUUCUUGUACACAGGAUGUGCUUCUUCCACACUCCCGUGUGCCCCUUCCACACGGCUAUGACAAUCUUCAUAGCGUAGACCCUUCACAUGGCCGGGGCACACGACCAUGUGAACCUAUUUCACAAAUUUUUGUUCUUUGCUAUAAUUUGGCUCGUUUUCUAUUUCUGUAUGUUUUGACUCUCAAUUAGGCCUCUAUAAGUGUGUUGGAAAUCUGUUUUUAGCUUAGAUUCGAGUGUGAAUGUACAAUUAUAGGAUUUAAGUAAUUGUUUGUUCAUGCAUUAAGGUGAUGUGAUAAAUGGAUAUGAGAUAUUUUUGUUAUCGUUACUUAUUUGUAUACAUGUGAUAUUGACUCUGAAAUUGAUCCACUGAAUAUGUAUAUCUGUUCUGCGAGUCUAUUAGCAUAUUGAGUGCACUUUUGCAUUUGCAUUAGAAAUUCGGGAUAUUGGUUGUGAAGAGAGAAAAGAUUGAAUUGGUAGUUUAACUGUAUCAUUUUUGUACAGUGGUUUACCGCACUAUUUUAUAUAUGUCAGGACAGUUGCAUAUCAUUAUUUGGGUGGCUGAGCUCUACUAUCGUGGUGUGUAGGGUGGAUGGGCUUGUCAAAGUUCUUAUAUAGUGUGUAGGGUGGAUGGGUCUUUUACGGCUCAAUUGUGGUGUGUAGAGGGUUCAGAGUGGCGUUUGGAUGGAUAGGAAGGAUUUUAUUUGUUGCAUUCAGUUUGCAUUAGUGAUAAUGUCUUCUUUUAGCUAAUUUUUAAAUUGGUUGUGAAAUAAGUAAUUUGAUUUGGUGUGUAAGUGCUUCUAUAUGUAUGAAGAGAUGUAUGUGAUACUUUGAAUGACUUAUGGCAAUGUGUUCAUACUUCUGACUGCUGAAUCAAGAUUUUCUAUUUUAAAUUGUGUGCUCUUAUUUGGGAUUUUGCUUGAACCUUUCCAAUUGCCUUUUGUUUUGGAUUUCAGACUCACACUGAGCACUCGUAGCUCACCCUCUUAGUGUUUCUUUCUUUUAGGUAUUUUGUGAGACUAAGCUACGGACUAGACACAUCGGAGGUCUCAAAAAGUUUGGUUUGAUUUGGUUUAGUGAAAAUUUUUAUAAGUUUUAUAUAGUUGGUUUUAAGAUUAUUUGUAAAGCGAUUAUACAAACUUUGGUAUGGGUUAGGGUUUGAACUUUUCCUUAAACUAUGUGAUUUUGGUUUUGAACAACAUUUCAAAAGUUUUGUAUGCAGGUUUUAAUUGGGUUUUCUACUAUUGUUUCAAAGUUCGCACACUUUUGAGAAAACAAGAUAUUUUUCGCACAAUUUCUAAUCUGAAAUUUCGAGUUACAAUUGGCAAAAUUGAUGCACUUUGAAACUGUACAAGAAACGUUAGUUUGAUUUAUUUCUAGUUGUUUUUAACCCUAAUUAGUUUUUGUUUCAAAAGGUUAAAUAAGUUUUAUCUAAUUGCCCAAAGAUAAAGCAAACAAAGAGGUUUCUUGGUUUUAGUCAGAGCUUUUAGUUCUACCACCUUUUGUAGCCAAUGUAACCUCCGAAAACCAGUCGAAACUUCUAGCUGGGUUUUUAAGUGUUAUAGUUUCAACCUUACUACACUAUUUCUAUUAGAAUAUGGUUUUACAUGCCUAUAAAUAGAUAUAGUCUAAUCCUUUUGUAAUUAUUCAAAUUUGACAUAGUGAAUUAUCUUCUCCUCUACCCGUGGUUUUUUACUUAAAGCGUUUCGACCGAAAAAUCUGUGUGUUCUUUAUUUGUCUUUCUCUUUUCUUUGCGAUACAUUGUCAUUAUUGACGUUCUAUUUUUCACAAAUUGGUAUCUGAGCUUUUCGACUUGCUUAUCUCAAUCACGGUAAUGGCGUCGCUGAAGUAUGAAAUUUCACUGUCGGAUUGUAACACUAGAUUCACAUUAUGGCAGAUUAAGAUGCGGACAGUUUUUGCGCAGAUGGAUCUGGAGGAUGCCCUGCUAGGGAUAGAUAAGAUGUCUUCGACAUUGAUGGAUGAAGAAAAGAAGCGUGAGGAUAAAAAGGCUUUGACACAAUUACAUCUACAUUUGUCUAGUGAAAAUUUGCAGGAUGUGAUGAAGGAGAAGACCACCGUUGCAUUAUGGAAGAGGUUGGAGCAGCUCUGUAUGUCAAAAACUCUAACCAGCAAGCUGCAUAUGAAGCAUCGUCUUUAUGCUCAUCGUUUCGAGGAAGGUACAUCUGUGCACAAACACUUAACAGUGUUUAAAGAAAUUCUCUUAGACGUUGAUGCCAUGGAGGUUCAAAAUGAUAAAGAAAAUCUAGGGUUAAUUUUGCUUUGUUCAUUGCCCCCGUCUUAUUCAACCUUUAGAGAUCUGAUUUUGUAUAGCCGCGAAUCUCUCACUGUUGAUGAGGUUUAUGAUUCUUUGACCUCGUAUGAUAAUAUGAAGCAUAUUGUGGUUAACCUGACUCUGAGGAAGAGGGUCUCAUUGUUCGUGAGAGACAAUAUAGGAAUGUUGAUGAUGAUCGUGGAAGGACACAAGAAUGGAAUCCUCGUAGUAAAUCUAAAGGAAGAUUGAAGUCUUCAAACAGAUGUAAAACUUGUAACUUUUGUAAAAAGAAGGGGCACAUUAAACCUUUGUGUUUUAAGCUGUAAAACAAGAUCAAAAGGGAGGCUGCAUAUCAAAAGUGCAAACAACCAGAAAAAUCUGGUGAAGCUGAUGUUGUAGAAGACUAUAGCGACGGUGAACUUUUUGUGGCUUUUAUCAACAAUUCUAAAGUGAUAGAGAAGUGGAUCAUUGAUUUGGGUUUCACCUUCCACAUGAGUCCCAAUCGGUAUUGGUUUGCAACUUACAAAACAGUGUCUAAUGGUGUUGUUUUAAUGGUAAACAAUGCUUCGUGUAAAACUCCAGGUGUUGGAAUGAUUAAAGUUAAGAUGUUUGACGGAGUUGUUAGAACACUUAGUGACAUGCGACAUGUUCCAAAAUUGAAGAGAAAUUUUAUUUCGUUGGGUCCUUUUGAUUCAAAAGGAUACAAAUACACAGCUGAAAGUGGGUUUUGAAGAUUUUCAAAAGUUCCCUUGUUGUGAUGAAAAGGCAAAGAAAAAAUUGCCAAGUUAUAUGUUUUACAGGGUUCUAUAGUUACUGGUGAUGCCGCUGUCACUUCCUCUUCCUUAUCUAAUGGUGAUGUUACUAGACUUUGGCAUAUGCGCCUAGGGCAUAUGAGUGAAAAUGUCAUGACAGAAUUUAGCAAAAUAGGACUUCUUGACGGGCAAGGAAUUUGCAAACUGAAGUUUUGUGAGCACUGCAUUUUUGGGAAACAAAAAAGAAUUUGAUUCAUCAGAGGAAUCCAUAACACAGAGGGAACAUUGAGUAUAUUCAUUCUGAUUUAAAGGGGCUAUCUAGAGUGCCUUCGAGAGGCAGAGCUAAUUAUAUGCUAACACUUAUUGAUGAUUUUUCUAAAAAAUUUUGGGCAUUCUUCCUGAAUCACAAAGGGAUGUGUUUUCCGUAUUCAAGUCUUGGAAAACUAUGAUUGAAAAAUAGACUGGAAAGCAAAUGAAAUACCUUAGUACAGACAAUGGCUUAGAGUUAUUUCCUGAUAAGUUUAAUGAACUGUGCAAGUCAGAAGGGACCAUGAGACACUUGACAGUUCGUUAUACUCUACAGCAAAAUAGUGUUGUAGAAUGAAUGAAUAUAAUGAUCAUGGAGAAGGUUUGAUGUAUGUUGUCGAAUGCCAAAUUACCAAAGUUGUUUUGGGCCAAAGAAGCCUCUACUACAUUUUUUUUAUCAACUGAUCUCCAUCCAUUGCCAUUGAGAAAAAAACUCCACAAGAGGUAUGGUCUCGUAAUCUUGUUGAUAUUCUGAUUUAAAGAUCUUUGGGUGUCCUAUGUAUACUCAUGUUGAUAAUGGAAAAUUGGAACCGAGAUCCAAUAAAUGUGUUUUUCAUGGUUAUAAAACUGGUGUAAAAGGAUAUAAGUUAUGGUAUAUUGAAAAUAGAAAAGUUGUGGUUAGCAGAGAUGUUGUUUUUUAUGAAACUACUAUGCUACCUAAAUUAUCUCUUAAAGACUCUUCCAAUAAAGAACAACAAAAGCAGGUGGAGCAUCAGAUUAAUCUAGAAUCUACAACAGAGUUGACUUCUCAAGCUACUACAGAAAUUUAGAAUAAAGUUGCUUCUUCACCACAAUACUCUAUCGCCAAAAAUAAAACUAGAAGAGAGAUUAAACCUCCGAAGAAGUAUGCUGAGGCUGAUCUAGUUACUUAUGCUUUAAAUAUUGUUGAAGAUAUAAAUGCAAAUCAAGAGUCAUCUAGUUAUUAUGAGGCAGUUAGCUGUGAAGAUUCAGAAAAGUAGAUGUUUGCUAUGCAAGAGGAGAUGGAAUCACUCCACAAAAAUAAAACAUGGGAUCUUGUGAAACGUCCUCAAAGCAAAAAGGUUGUUCAUUGUAAAUGGAUGUUUAAAAAGAAAAAAAAGGGACUCCAGGAGUUGAAGAACCUAGAUAUAAAGCAAGGCUUGUUGCAAAGGGUUACAGUCAAAUUCCAGGAGUGGACUUCACAUAUGUGUUCUCCCCAGUUGUGAAACAUAGGUCGAUUCGAGCUUUGCUUGGUAUUGUGGCCAUGCAUGAUUUAGAGCUUGAGCAGUUAGAUGUAAAAACUGUAUUUUUUCAUGGAGAACUUGAGAAUGAUAUUUACAUGCAACAACCAGAGGUUUUAUGGUCUCAAAAAAAGAGAACAAUGUUUGCUUACUAAAAAAGUCCCUUUAUGGUUUGAAAUAGUCACCAAGACAGUGGUACAAGAGGUUUGAUUCUUUUAUGACUUCUCAUGAUUUCAAAAUAAGUAGCUUUGAAAAUUGUGUUUACUUUUAGAAAAACAGUGAUGGUUCUUUUGUGUAUCUACUCCUUUAUGUUGAUGACAUGUUGAUAGCAGCGAAAGAUAAAUGAGAGAUAAUAAAGGUCAAAGCCCAACUAAAUGAAGAAUUUGAGAUGAAAGAUUUGGGACCAGCAAAGAAGAUACUUGGUAUGGAGAUUCUCAGAGAUAGAAAAACAAGUAAGUUAUACCUAAGUCAGAAGGGGUACAUUGAGAAAGUUCUUUGCAAGUUCAAUAUUCAGAGUGCUAAACCUGUUAGUACUCCUUUAGCAGCCCAUUUUCGACUUUUAUAGGCUUUGCCUCCAUAAUCAGAUGAUGAGAUUGAAUACAUGUCACAUGUUCCAUAUUCUAGUGUAGUGGGAUCUCUCAUGUAUGCUAUGGUUUGUUCACGUCCAGAUGUAUCAUAUGUAGUUAGUACAGUUAGCAUAUACAUGGUGAAUCCCAGUAAAUAACACUAGAAAGUAGUUUAGUGGAUUUUAAAAUACUUACGAGGUACUACUGAAGUUUGCUUACAGUUUGGAAGAACGUUGAUGUUGAUUUUGCUAGAGACCUUGAUAGAAUAAGAUCUCUCGCAGGUUCUGUCUUUACAAUCGGAGGUUGUGCAAUCAGUUGGUAAGCAACUUUGCAAACUACAGUCACUUUGUCUACCACUGAAGCUAAGUACAUGGUGAUUACUAAGGCUUGUAAAGAAGUCAUUUGGUUGAAGGGACUCUUUAUUAAACUCAAUGAAGACCUUCAAAUCAGUACAGUAUUUUGUGACAAUCAAAGUGCCAUCUUCCUUACAAAAGAUCAAAUGUUUCAGAAGAGAACAAAGCACAUUGAUGUUCGAUAUCAUUUGGUUCGUGAUAUUGUUGUGAGCAAAACUAGUACUCAUGAAAAUUCUGCUGAUAUAAUGAUUAAGUCACUUCCCAUAACCAAGUUUGAGCAUUGCUUAGACUUGGUUGGUGUUCAUUGUUGAGGUUAAACCCUUAAGGGGUUUUAUGGAAAAUGUGGAGAACUUGUUCGUUGAGAGUUCACGAUGAAGAACUUGUUCAUUGGGAAUUUGUGUCAAGGUGGAGAUUGUUAGAAUUGAGUGACCCAAAUCCUUAUUAAAAUAAAAUAUUGUGGUAAAAUAAAAGAAAAGUAAAAUCUAUAUAGAACUACACUUCUUUUAUUUUAUUUUUCAACCUUAUUACAUUUCAUCUACUUAAUAUUGAUUAGAAUAAGGUGUUUCAACCUUACUACAGUCCUUCUAUUAGAAUAUGGUUUUACAAGCCUAUAAAUAAACAUAGUCUACUCCUCAUGUAAUCAUUCCAAUUCAACAUAGUGAAUUAUCUUCUCUACUGCUCGUGGUUUUUUCCUGAAAGGGUUUCCACGUAAAAUUUGUGUGUUCUUUAUUUUUCUUACUCUUUUCGUUGUGAUACAUUGUCAUUAUCGACGUUCUAUUUUUUAUAAAUUUUAAUUUGAAUAUAAAUACUUUAUUAUUAUAAAAUGAAGGGACAAUUAAAAAAAUUGAUUUAACUUGGAAGGUGGUUUUGGAACACAAUACUUAACAGACGUUGAUAGCUACAUUUUUUAUUAAGAAAAUGAAAAUAACAAAAUUUUAAUUAGGUAUUCUUCUACUUCGUGUUUUUUUCAACGCAAAGCCAAAAAUGCUCAAUUAGAUUUGAUCAAAGUGAAAGGAAAUAUAAUUAGGUUAAAAGUAUGUCACAACUCUCCGUAUUUUUUUUUGUAAAUUUAGAAUUUAAUUUUUAUAUUCUUUUAUAAAUUUAGAAUUUAGCCUUACUGUAAGUUUGAAAAAUAUAUAGAUUAAAUUUCAAGAAAUAAAUGUAUAGAGAUUAAAUUCUAAAUUUAUGAAAAAAUAUAAGGACUUAUAACUAUUUUAACCAAAUAAUAUAAACAGACCAAAGUCUUUUAUUACUACAAAAUUAUUUUUAUUGUAUUUUUUUUAUUCUUCUUUUGUCUCUUUCUUCUUCUUUUUUAGCUCCAUUGAAUCUUCUUACCUAUUUUAUUUUAUUUCCUUUCCUAGCAUAAUUGAUCCUUAUGCUUCACUUACCCCACUUUUUAAUUCUUAGAGUAAUCUACUUAAUUUUUUUUUUAUUUGAACAAGCAAUCUACUUAAAGUUAUUUUCUAUUAUUAGUACUCUAAUAUUUUUCGUGUCUAUCUUUUAGUGGGAAAACAAGUUGUGAUAAGUUUCAAGAAUAAUAAAACAAGCCAAGAGAAGAAGUUAAAUUGCUAGCAACGUACGAAUGAUUUAUUGCAUUAUUGUAUUUUCAAACAAAUUCAUAUUUAAUGCAUUCUUAUUGGUGUAUAAAUUUAUAUGCACACAAUAACUUAAGUAAUGUAACGUGUUAGAAAAUUUAGUUAAUUACAAAAAAAAAUCAAUUCUAUUACCAAAAAAAAGUUUGAUUAUAUUUAUUUGAUUUUGAGAGAUUUUAUUAAUUGUGAUGCGUUGCCAAUAUAUAUAGUGCGAUAAUGUAUAAAAUACAUACAAUUUUCAAAAGGCCCCAAUUUUAUUAUAUGGAUACAUCCUGUUAUAUUACAAUAGAAAUAUUAUCUUGAAACUUGCAUUUCUACAUACGAUAAAUAGGCUUGGCACAAAGAUUAGUCUUCCUUGGCACCGAAGUACCAAAGUUCUCGGUCAUGUCCAAUUCAUUUGGCGACAUUCCACUAGGCAGCUCCCAAUCAAAACAAUGCACCAAUUGAGCUAGAAUAAGUUUAACUGUGAUUAACCCUAGUUUCUUCCCUGGGCAUACUCUACGGCCUGAACCAAAUGGGAUGAGUUCAAAAUCAUGUCCAUGAAGUUCUAUAUUGCUAUUAAUGAACCUUUCAGGAAAAAACUCUUCAACAUUACUGGACCACACAUUAGGAUCUCUCCCAAUUGUCCAAACGUUCACUAAGACCCUUGACUUUUUUGGUAUGUAACAACCAUCAAUAACUAUGUCCUCCAUUGA
This 227484-nucleotide long non-coding RNA is filed under the name Gossypium raimondii (Peruvian cotton). Its description in RNAcentral is "long non-coding RNA (GRAI_LNC004605)". The stretch from base 17359 to 17445 matches the Rfam family "MIR7486 microRNA precursor family". Lineage: Eukaryota; Viridiplantae; Streptophyta; Magnoliopsida; Malvales; Malvaceae. The record is from RNAcentral.